This 196569-nucleotide long non-coding RNA is filed under the name Solanum tuberosum (potato). Its description in RNAcentral is "long non-coding RNA (STUB_LNC004039)". The record is from RNAcentral. Lineage: Eukaryota; Viridiplantae; Streptophyta; Magnoliopsida; Solanales; Solanaceae.
UACGUUACCACCAGUUACCACCAACUGUUCAUCAUUAACUUUCCAAACAGUUUCGUCAACACACAACUUUGUUGUUUUAACAAAGAACUUGAUAUAAACAGCAGUCAUUAGACGCACCACAUCACCAUCAUCCGACUCCGACUUACGAACGAACAUGACGGGCGUGCCUUUUCCCAAAAAUUGGGGAAUCGACAUGUGCUGUAACACGGCGUUUGGGCAUUGAAGGUUUCCAAUAUUGUUCAAGUAUACGGCUCCGGCCCCGAGGAGAGGAUUCUUAAUAAUGUACCUCUCACCAAUCCUCAGCGGAUUGCCAUCUUGGUCAUAAACUUCAGGGAGUACAAGAUUAUCAUGACAAGUUGUGGGGAGGACAAUUGGAUUCUCAGAAGUGAAAGAUCGAGCAAAGGCAACCAAAGAGAGGGUACUUGAAAGCAAAAGGAAACUCAAAAUAUUAAUCGACUUCAUCUUUCUUUGUGUGUUUUGCUUGCUAUGAGUUUAUGUCCAAUUUAUAGAGCUGCUAAGGGCAUUUUUGGCAAACAAAAAAUAAUACCUACUACCGCCUUAGACACCUCAAAUAAGUUUUAUUCAUUUUAAAUACCUAAUAUCAAGCUUCAAUAUUAAGUCACUCUUUACACUUUUUUUUUUUUUUUUAACGAUCAACAAAAAUAUAUACAUAAUAUGUGUUACACUGAAUAACAUGCAGGUAAAGUAUCAAAUUCGGGUAAGGAAUUCUAUUGACCGAGGGAAAGGUAUUAGGCAUCCCUCGAGUUCCGUGGUUCUAGCACGGUCGCUUUUAUUGACUUAUACUUGACUUUUAUUAUUAUUAUUAUUAUUAUUAUUAUUAUUAUUAUUAUUAUUAUUAUUAUUAUUAUUAUUAUUAUUAUUAUUAUUAUUAUUAUUAUUAUUAUUAUUAUUAUUAUUAUUAUUAUUAUUAUUAUUAUUAUUAUUAUUAUUAUUAUUAUUGUUUGGAUAAAUUGUGUUUUAGGCCAUGGUUUACUUAUAUUUUUUAUUGUGCAUUUUUAUUUGGUCUCGACCUAUAUACGUAACCGCAUUCUUGAUCUUGGCGUUUAGAGACAUAACUGUCUUCUUUGCAUCGCACCUAAUGAUUGUCUAUAUGUCUUACUUUGAAUUAAUAAAAGUUAUCUAUAUUUUUUACCAAGGUGUGUCACCGCAUUCCUUGAGUUUCUUUUACAGCCUCAAAAAGAUGUGUAACCACAUUCUUAAUUGAAACAAAUAUUUUUAACAGUCCUAAAAUUCAUAUAGUCAUUAAAAAAUUAAUAUUUUGUCCCUUAUAAAUAAAACCAAAUAAAAUAAAAUAAAUCUAAAUGUUGAGAAUAGAAUAUAUAAUUCUGACAUCAUUUCUAUAUCCUUUUAUUUUAUGCUAUUAAUAAUAAUUUCUUUAAAUUUUUUAUCCUAACUAUAUCUACUUUAUCAUUAUUAUCUAAAUCAAGACAAGAACAAUGUCAUGAUCCGUUCAUUUUUAAGAGGUCACAACUAGCGAAUAGAAAUAAAUAAAAUAAAAAGUAAUCAUUGUUAAAGCUACCUUCAUUCAUUAAACAGAAAUAUAAUAGCUAACAAAUUGUUCAUUUCAAUCAAAUUACGAAUAAAUUAAAAAAAAUAGGAAAACAUGUCAUAAAACUACAUCAAAUUCCAUAAAUAGAUUAAAGAAAUAAGGAGAAGUUGAAUACCGCAAAAUCUUGACCGAACCUUGAUUAGAACACCCACAAAUUUUUGUAGGUAGUUUGUGAUGGUAUAUAUGUUGUGUUUAAAUAAAAAUAGUAAUGAAAAGGGAAGAAAAGAUGUGAAUGUGUUGGUAAAUUUUUUAUGAUCACCCCCUUUGGUGUGCAGCGUGUGCGUGUGCGUGUGUGUUGUGUAUUUUGUUUUUGUAGUCUUUUUCUUCUUUUCGUUUUUCUGUACGUUUUUUGGUAUGUAGGAAAGAUUGUGUAGUGUCUGUAUAGGUAUGUGUGGGUAUUGUAGUAUGUAUAUAGGUGUAAGGGAGGGGCCGUACGUGUGUGGAGAGGGAAAAUGGUGGGGUGGUGAGUGUAGUGGGGUGUAGUAUAGGGAUAGUGGGGUUGUGGUGGGUAGGGGUGUUCAUGGUUUGGUUUGGGUCGGUUAUUGGUCAAAACCAAAAUCAAACCAACUUAAUCGGUUUUAAAAUUAUCAAAACCAAACCAAACCAAAUAUAAUAUACAUUUAUCGGUUUGGUUGUUUUCGGUUUUGGUUUGGUUUGGUUCGGUUAUUCGGUUAUUAACCAUACAUAAAAAUAAAAUAAACAAUUCAUUCAAAACAUGAAAAAAGUGACAACAAUCCAUUCAAACAAAAAAAUAGUUAGAAUGACUGGCAUUACAGAACUUUCGAUUAUAGAAUUUACUGAAUAAAACUUCAAAAUUCACUAUUUUGGCAUUGAAGGAAGAGACAUGACAUUUUUAGUCCCACAAAGAAUGUUCAUAGACACUCAUAUAUAUGAAACCAAUAAGAACCAAACCAAAACCCAAAUUAAAUCGGUUCAUUUAAUCGGUUUGGUUUGAUUUUUUCGAUUUGGAUCGGUUUUUAUCCAAACCAUGAACACCCCUAGUGGUGGGUAUUGUGCAGGUUACUUAGAUUAUUAUUUUUUAUUUUUUAAAAGAAAGGAAUAAUAAUUAACUAUAUAUAUAAAUAAUAUAUUAUAAUAAAAUAUCAAUUAAUUAUUUUAAAUUAAUAUAAAUCUAAAAAAAAGUCAAAUAGCUAGUAAAAAAAUAUAAUUAAAAAAUACUAGCUUAUUUAUAAAAACUUAAUUUUAAAAUAAUAUAUAUUUUUUGUAAUCUUUCAUUUAUUUUUUAAAAAUUGAAAAUAAAACCUACCUUAAAGUGUGACUCUAUUUUUUUGUAGUUUUCAAAUCUUUUAAAAUAAACUUAAUAAAAUAAGGUAAAAUUCAAAAUAUUUAAUUUAGAUUUUUAUAAAAUAUUUGAGCUCUAAAAAUGGUGUUAAACUUAAGUUCAGUCAAAAAUUACGUGUCUAUAACUAUUUUAACAAAUAAUUAAAGGGAAAUUUAGCAAUCUAGUCAACAUACCUAACAUAAUUAGUCAAAAUGACUACAGUUUAAAAUAUUUAUUUGAAGGUUUGACCAAAAUAAUAUAAAUAUAAAACAAAUGAACAAAAGUAAUACAUAUUCUUAAAAAGUAACCAAAAUAGUAUAAACUCUACCAUGAGUAACGUUUUAUCUAUUAUUUUAUUCAUAAAAAUUAACGGAUAGAAAACAGAGAAACCAACUACCAUUAACAUAAAUCGUUACUGUUGAUAACGUAAUUUGGGAAACUACAUUUUUGAAAAAGAGAUUGCAGUUGUACUUGUAAUAUUUAAUUCACAAUAUGUUUUAAAUAGUAUUAAUUGAAUAUUUUAAAUUUUUUAUUUAAAAUUAUUUAUAUAUAUAUUUGUGUGGUAAUAAAUCAUUUGAAUAAUUGUAAAAAUGAAUAUUUGAUAAAUGUUUUAUCAAUAUUGAUAAAUUUUAAGUGGUGUUGAUUAAAUAAUUUAUUUAUUUAUUAUCCAAAAUAUCUCUAUAUUUAUGAAUUAAGAUAAAGGUGAAAACAAACAACUAACUAUACCUUGAUUUUUUUUUUUUAAAUGACAACUAUUUUGAACCAAUUAUUUUUCACAAAGACAACAAGUAAAGUGAAUGGAAUAAAAUACAGUGUAAUUUUUAUUAUUUUAAACAAGCAAGUCAGUGUAAUCAAAAUCUUGGUAAUUAGGUCAAAUCUAAAACUACAAAAUUUACCUUGAAUUAAUUUUUUAUUUACACCAUUUUAAACAUAGAGAAACUGAUAAUAUUUUCACAAUUCUAACAUAUGCCAACAAGCAUAAACAUCGAAGAAAUGACAUUAUUCAUAUCCAUGCUAAAAGUAAACGAAUAAAGAAAAAGGAUAAAUUUAAUUAAAAGAAAAAUUAGAAUGCAAGCAACUGACAUAAGUUGAAAGCAAAUUCGCUACUGCUACUAAUGUUUUAUGUUAACGUCCGUUCUUUUUUCACUUUCUGUUCAUCAAUUUUUUAUGAAUAAAAUAAUAGGUAAAACGUUAUUGGUGAUAGCGUUUAUACUAUUUUGGUUAUUUUUUUUAAAUGUGUAUUACUUUUGUUCAUUUAUUUUAUAUUUGUAUUACUUUGAUCAAAACUUCUAUUUAUUUAAAAUGUCAAAAUGUCAAUACUUUACAAAAUAAUUGUAUUCAAAUAUUAGUAUUUAUUUUACCCUUUUUCCCCAAAACAGUCCAUCAUUGGACAAAUUCUAAACCAAUAACAGAUAAAAAAGGGAAAAAAAAAACUACCGAUUAAUCUUUUUCCCAUCAUUCACGUUUCUUUUCCCCCAUCAUUCAAGUUUUAUAUUUUCUCUUUCUUCAAAUUUCUUUGCAGGUCAAGAAAUACAAAUUAUGAAUGGUUCUUCUAAUUAAUAUCUCAAUUGUUAGAGGUAAUUUUGAUUAUUUAGUGAUAUUUAUGUUGAUUUUGUUUUUAAAAUUACCGAUUAUCUUGUAUUUCGGAUUUUAUAUAUUACGGAUUUUUUGUCAAUUUUUUUGAUUUUUAUGUGAGUUUGGUUAGAUAAGCAGGGCCCAUUCGGGGGUGGCGCUCCCAACGGGAUUUUCUCCAUAUCCAGGGCUCGAACCCGAGACCUCUAGUUAAGGGUGAAUCACUCCCACCAAUGCACCACAACUCAUGUUGGUCCUAAAGUUAUUAUUAUUAAGUAGGUAUGUACGUUCAAAAUAAUUCUUUAAAAAGUGAUCAUAUCCGAUCUUAAUCAAAUACAACUCUAACUCCAACUUAAAAUUUUAAAAUAAUACUCCCUCCUUGCCCUUUUAGUUGUUAUGCUGCACUUUUCAAAAAUUAUUUUGAAUUAUUUUCCAAUUUAAAUUAGAUUACAUUAAAGAUAUUUUAAAUUAAAAAGUUAGAUAUAUAUUUGAAAGGUAUACAUAAAGUACUAUAAAUUGCAAUUUUUGAAUAUCAGUAUGAUGAAAAAAUAUAUCGUAAAAUGUUACUCAAAGUUCUUAUUAUUUAAUUCUAAAAAAAGAAUCAUACAACUAAAAAAGGAUGAAGUGAAUAUAAAUAUAUUUAAUUUUCAUGAUCAAAUGCAUACUAAAAUAUAGUAUUAGUCAAGUUGCCAAUCGCCAUAAUGAUGAAAAGGAAACAGGUGAAUGCAGCUCAUAUCACUGAAAAUAUAGCGCUUUAUACUUCAUCUUUUCAGCACUACCAGCGUAUAAAAAAAUGAAAAUGUGUAAUUUUCAAGUUUAAUACUAAGAGCCGUAGAGAGUUUGUUUUCGAUAAACUUGAGGGAGGAAAGCAAAACUAAGGCAUUUACAAAUGAAUAAAGAUGAACUUAUAUGCUUUGGUUAUAAAAGUAGUCUGACAUUAUUUGUUUGUAAAAUUUGGAUGCAGUUAAACAUGGCUAUUAAAGAAUCACUUCGACUGUAUCCACCAGAUCCUAUCAUUGAACGAAUGCCUUGUGAAGAUAUGAUUUGUUAAACAUUUUAAUUUUUUAAUAAAAUAUGUUUUUUUUUCAAAAUAAGUAUUUUUGAUCUCAUAACAAUUAUGCGGCUUUUAACCAUGGUUAUAGUUAUACGGAUUGGGUUAUCUAUAGAAAAGUUAAAUAUAUGGAACAAAUCAAAUUCAAAUCAAACCUAUUAAUUAGCUAGCGAUUGAGACGUAAUAAUUUUUUAUAUGUACAUUGUGAAUCUCACGUACUCAAUGGUCCCGUAAAUCUUAAUCAUAUUUUGGAUAAAAGCCACCUAGCUGCUUAGAGAUUUAAUAAUUUUGGAUGUAUUUGAUAUUUUCCCUCCGAACACCUUAUCUUCAGUCUCACUUCUCGCAGUGUCUAUUUUCCUCACCCCCACACUUUUUAUUUUAUUAUUGUGUGUUUUAAUAUAUUUAUCUAGAUUAUAUAUAAAUAUUUUUAAAAUAAUAUUUUUUAUUUAUCUACUAAACAAAUAAGAAUUUUAUUUUCUUGAGGAACAUCUUUCAAAAAGAAUAUUUUCUUUCGUAACGAAUAUAUCCUGAACAACCACAAAGGUUAAUAUCAACAUUUUGAUUUUAAUUGAGUUGAAAUGUUUAGAAAGAAAAACAAAGCAGAAAUAAUUAAUUCUCUCCUAAUUUUAUAAAUUGACAAAUAAUUUAAGAAAAAUAUUUUUAAAAUAUGAACGACUAAUAUUGAAUGAACACUAAUCAUCAAAGAAAUAAAAGAAUAAUUAAGUAGCCAAAUUUUCCGUUCUUACCAUCAACUCUACUUGGAGUUGCACUGUUGCAGGCCAAUAAUGGAUAUAUAUAUUAUAUACUAAUGUGCCGAUGGGACCAUUAUUAGACCAUAGUUAAAACAUGAUAAUGAAGUACGAUGGUUAAUUAGUUUCUUUUCCCAGUUGCAGUAGGCCUAAUUAAUAUAUUGUAAAGUGAUUCUAUUACAAUAGUGAAGUAGAGAGGUGAUUUUAAAGCUAUCAAUAGUUCGAAAACGAAAUUAAUAAUUCAUAUCAAAUUCAGAAGUAUUUUCAAUAUUUUUGUCUAUAUAUCAUCUAUUCUCAACUUUUAAAUUUGAGAGUUCAUAAACAAUAUAUGUCCUCUCAGUUUUUAAAUUCGUUCAACUUCACCAUUAUUAACAUUGUGAAAUUAAUUCAAUGUCAAUUGUCCGUAUUAUGGACAAACCCUAAAUUACAUAAAUUAAAACAAAAGAUUAUACAAUAAAAUUAAUUUAGUACUAAAAAUAGCGUAAAAAUUGAGGGCUGAGACUAACGAACAUGGUUAAUUAAAAUUGAGGAACAUCGUAUCUUUUUGGCCUAAAAGAUAUUUGAAUACUAGACUAAUAUAUAUUCACCAUUGAAGAUAAAUACCAACGGGCUAACAACCAAGUUAUUUUCAUUUUUGUCAUGUAAUCUUAGUUUGUUAAAGCCAAAAAUGAAUAUUAAUGUCUUGACGGGACCGCAUGUGUUACUAUCCCAUUAUUAAAAUGGAGUCCGAAAUUAAAAGGGCAAUAAAAUUUUUCGAAAAUUUCAAAAGGACAACUAAAUUAUUUAUGAAAUCAAAAUGGCAAUAAUUUUUAACGGCGUCUAAAUCAGAAUUUUCACCGCAAGACACAAAUCCAUAAACCUUACACGGUGCAUCAGCUUUUAGCCUUGUAAGACUCAUCCCCGCGAGCCUUACAAGGCGCAAGGCAGGCUAUUUUUUUCAAAAAAAAAGUUUUUAUUGUGUUCGGUCCUUAAGGCUACACGUUGCAAACUCGACCGCUCAUUUUUUUUGUUAGAUAAUUAAAAAAAUCUGACUAUUUAGUUGAGAUGUUAAAUCAUCCAACUUUAAAUUUAUCGAAAAUGCAGUACCUUUUUUUUUUUACAAAAAUACAAUCUAUUUUAGUCGGUUAUUUUUUUAAAAAAAAUUUAUGCCUUUUGAGUAGGGGUGUACAUGAUCGGAUUGGUUCGUGUUUUUCAAAUAUUAAAUCAAAUUAUUUGUGUCGAAUUUUUAAAUCUAUAAACCAAACCAAUAAAACUCGGGUUUUUUCAGAUUUUUCGGGUUUUUUUCGGUAAAGUAUUCAUACAAACAUAUAAUUUACUUGUACUUUAAAUAUAUAUUUCUUUUAGUCCUAACAAAAUACAACUAUCUAAGGUGUUUCUUAAGAAAAUAACACAAAAUACGAUAUGAGUAAUGACACUAAAAUGUCCAAUUAAAAAAUAAUAAUAAUGAAAUCACGUAAAACAAAUAUUACAAAUUAACAAGUCAUAAUGAAGAUGAUCAUAAUUUAAAAGUACUAAAUCAUGCUAAAAUAAGUUUAAUAAGUAUUAGUUACAUGACUAAAUAUUAAAGAAAAAUUAAAAUUAGAUUAUGUAUUUGAAUUGUCUAAACCAAUGUAAAACCAAAGAACAAAAUAUUACAAUAUUAUUGUCAUUCUUAGUGUUGAAUUGAUUUUCUUUUUGCAUUAGUAUUAAUUUCAUUUUUGAUUUAAGCUUUAUUAUAAUUACCAACAUUUGUGGACUAUAAUCUUUAUUGAACCAUUCAGAAUUAUAAGUUUCAAACUUGAAAUAAUAUACUAAAAGAUAAAAACUAUGAAAAAGUAUAAGAAAUAUUUAAAAAUUAUAUCAAAGUAAAUAUUUUUAUGUAAAAGUAAAUUUAAAAUUAUAUAUAUAAUGUCGGGUUGGUUUGGUCUCGGGUUGAUUUUUUUUAGUUAAAAUCAAACCAAUCCAAAUAUAGUCGAGCUUUUUAUUCAAUACCAAACCAAGUCAAACCAACCAUUAAUCGUGUUUUUUUUCUCAAUUUGACUCGAUUUAUAAUUUAAUUCGAUUUUUGAUUCGAUUUUAUACCCCUACUUUGAGUUAUCAAAAUAGGAUUUCUAUUGACCGUAAGUUUAAUUUGAUAAUGCAAAAAAAUUUAAAAUAAAUAAAUUGUAUAUUGUAAGUAAUGCACAUUUCAACACACGUAUGACGUAUGCAUAUUAGGGGUGAAGCUAUAUAGUUCUUAUGACACUUGUUUAAGCUUGGUUUUCUAAAAGAAUGACACUUGUUUAAGUUUGGUUUUCUAAAAGAAUGUUUGGAUGUGUCGUUUGUUUAAAUAUAAUGUUUAUUUUGAUGAUUAGUUAAAUUUAAUUUAUAUUAUUAAAUUUAUUGUUAGGUAAUAACGUGAUUUUUCAUUUUAUGUAAUGGCUGAUUUAGUAUGAAUGUAUGGUCAUAAUUUAUUUUUUUUGUUUUACUUACUAUUUAAUAAUUGUAUUUUAUUAUUUACUUUUUUUUUUAUAAUAAAUCUACUCCGCACUCUAUUUUUCUGGUGUGUUCAUCUUUUUGAUUUUUUGACAUUAUGUAAUUAUCGAAAAAAAUACAACUUAAUAUCGUACGAUACAAUUUAAUAUAACAUAAUAUAAUAUAUAUUAUAAAAUGACAUGUAACAACCAUCCAAACAAAGUAUAAAUAUAUAGUUUCAUCAAAAGUUAUAGUGAUAAAGUGGUAAAUUUCGUAGUGAGGUUUAGAUUCGAAUUAUAACAACGAAGUGAUCACUUUUUAAUAAAUAAUAUUUUAUACCUUUAACAUGAGUUUUUUAAAGAAAAUUGAACUCAAAUUAGCGGAAUCUCAGUACGAAUAUUGAGCCUAAAAAGUACUCUAUAAAAGAAGCUCAUAAAUAAAUAGUCCAUUUAAUGGCAAAUUUUAUCCUUUUGUCAAUACAAAAAAGUCCAUGAAUAAUCUUUUCCGAUAUUUGGUAUUGCAUUUUAGUUCUAAAUUAAACACCUUUUACCUGAUUUGAUUACAAAUAUAUAAUAAAUUAGGAAAUUAAGUCGCGCUACGUGCAGUAUAAAAAAUAUUAAAUUAUAAAAUACUUUUAAUAUUGUUUUGUUUUCUUAAAUAAAAUUAUAAUAUUAUUAAUGUUUUUAAUGAUUUUUUCGAUCUUCAAAUCCAAAUAAAUUAUAUUACAAAUUCAAAUACUUAUAUUUGUAAUUUUGAGUUAAAUUCACGGGAUAUUGAUUUUAUCAACAAAAAAAACAAAAGAAUCCUUUGGCACCAUCUAAUAUACCUAUUCUUUUAUGUUAGAGUUAUUAUAAUUGAAAAAAAUUAUGAAUUUAGUAUCCAUUUGAAUGUGUUCUUUUAUAGAGUUAUGACAUGAUAAUAAAAAUUAAAAUAAUAGAUUUAACAGAAAAAAAGAAAAAAAAUGAAGGAAUAUAUACAUUUUAUAGUAGAUAAAUAAAACAACGGUUUACUCAUUGGUGCAAGGAUGAGCUUAAAGUUUGCUUUCACUAAAAUUAUGUUAUUCUCUAAGAUAAAUGCAUAAAAUGUAGAACUAACAUGCAAUUAGCAUAAAAUAUAAUAGAUCUAUGAAUGAAAAAGGGGAUAAUUUCAUACACUUUUCUUUGAAUUUGACUUUUUAAAAUGGUUCGAAUUUGACUUAUAACACUCGCCUCUUAAAAUUUAUGAUAUUAUACUUCUCUUAUUUUAGUUUUAUUGUUAUACUUCUUUUAACCUAUUAAAUAUCUCAAUUAUAUGUUUGGACUUAUCUGUCUGUCACUCCCCGAGCCUACACCCUGGGCGGAACUGGCACUCGAAGACCAUUGCUGGCCUCAAGUGAACUCUUGGCCUGGCUACUUAACUCAGCGGAAGACUUAACUCAACACAAUAUAAGUUCAUAAAACAACCUAAAUGAUAAAAUCUGGCCAAAAUGGCAACUUAUGUCUCAAAAUAGAAUAUCUGUAAAUACAUAGAUGAGAGACUCAUAACUACUGUCUAACUGUCUAUGAAGCCUCUAUAAUACUGAGAUGGAUGUUGGGACAGCCCCACAACAUCCUAAUAAAGAAAAACUAGAAAAGCGAAUAAAAGAGUCCUCCGGAAUGCAAGGAGGCUCACCACUGACUCUAGAGUGCUCGACUAGAUCAACGGCACACUGGAUGCUGAUCCUGGUUACCUGCGUCUGCAUCAUAAUAAGAUGCAAGCCAACUGGCAUCAGAACAUUGAAUGUACGAGUAUGCGAGUUGGAAUGCUAAACAACAACUUAAGCUUGAAAGGAGUAAGAAGGAACACUUACNNNNNNNNNNNNNNNNNNNNNNNNNNNNNNNNNNNNNNNNNNNNNNNNNNNNNNNNNNNNNNNNNNNNNNNNNNNNNNNNNNNNNNNNNNNNNNNNNNNNNNNNNNNNNNNNNNNNNNNNNNNNNNNNNNNNNNNNNNNNNNNNNNNNNNNNNNNNNNNNNNNNNNNNNNNNNNNNNNNNNNNNNNNNNNNNNNNNNNNNNNNNNNNNNNNNNNNNNNNNNNNNNNNNNNNNNNNNNNNNNNNNNNNNNNNNNNNNNNNNNNNNNNNNNNNNNNNNNNNNNNNNNNNNNNNNNNNNNNNNNNNNNNNNNNNNNNNNNNNNNNNNNNNNNNNNNNNNNNNNNNNNNNNNNNNNNNNNNNNNNNNNNNNNNNNNNNNNNNNNNNNNNNNNNNNNNNNNNNNNNNNNNNNNNNNNNNNNNNNNNNNNNNNNNNNNNNNNNNNNNNNNNNNNNNNNNNNNNNNNNNNNNNNNNNNNNNNNNNNNNNNNNNNNNNNNNNNNNNNNNNNNNNNNNNNNNNNNNNNNNNNNNNNNNNNNNNNNNNNNNNNNNNNNNNNNNNNNNNNNNNNNNNNNNNNNNNNNNNNNNNNNNNNNNNNNNNNNNNNNNNNNNNNNNNNNNNNNNNNNNNNNNNNNNNNNNNNNNNNNNNNNNNNNNNNNNNNNNNNNNNNNNNNNNNNNNNNNNNNNNNNNNNNNNNNNNNNNNNNNNNNNNNNNNNNNNNNNNNNNNNNNNNNNNNNNNNNNNNNNNNNNNNNNNNNNNNNNNNNNNNNNNNNNNNNNNNNNNNNNNNNNNNNNNNNNNNNNNNNNNNNNNNNNNNNNNNNNNNNNNNNNNNNNNNNNNNNNNNNNNNNNNNNNNNNNNNNNNNNNNNNNNNNNNNNNNNNNNNNNNNNNNNNNNNNNNNNNNNNNNNNNNNNNNNNNNNNNNNNNNNNNNNNNNNNNNNNNNNNNNNNNGGGGCGCCAGCCCUCAAACUUCAGAGGACCAGCUGGGGCGCGCUGGCUGGCGCUUCGCCCCAAGGGGUGCACUUUACAGCCCCUUUUGGGGCACGCUGGCUGGCGCGACGCCCCACCCCUUUCCCCAGGUCUUUGGCAAUUUUCUUCUCCGUUUUUCAUCUCUAAACCCUCCUAACUUCCAUGGUUCUUUCCCCAAACAUUUAGGAUCAAAAGUACUCUCAACUUACAACAGAUCUAACUCGAAAAUCCACCCGGAAACAUGAAUCAAAUCAACAAGAAACUUCAACAACACAACCAAUCAAGAACUUAACGACGUCCUUCAAGAACUUCACUUUUUAACAUGUAAACAACCUAAAUUCGCUGAAUUGAAACAAGUUGGUAUGUGGGUGAGCUAACCCAUCACUAAAAGAUCUCACAUACCUUAAUACGGAUCACCCCCGACGAAUUUCACUCCAAAAGCUUGACGUUCUUGGCGAAAUCUUGGCUUUUCUCCCUUUCUUUCUUCUUCUCUCUUCUCCAAGCCCUAAGCGUAUUUCUCAAUUCUCCAAACUGACUAAGUAAUAUUUUUACCCCAAUAGAUCCCUAAAAAAGAAUUAGGAAAUUAAUUAGAGAAAAGACGACUUUGCCCUUCCCUAAAUCCGGAUUGGAACUUUUCUCAAUCCAACAUCCCAACUUACGAAAGACCUAUCUCACUCAUACGAUGUCAAAAUCGUGCAAACUCAACGUCGUUGGAAAGAUCUCUCCAAGGGAUUUCCAACCAUAUCAAGAGCUGCUCCUAACUCAUCCUGAGCUAGGAGUUAUGGCCGUUUGAAAAUGGCCAAAACUCACUUUCUUAACUUAGACAAUUUCCAGAUUUCCUUAUUCUUUCCAAAAAUCAAUAUUUUCAUAUUUUAAACUCUUUAUAGUCGUUUCUAGGUGCGAGAUGUUACAUUGUCCCUUAAAGAAACUCAAUAAUCUCGUUCAAAGAAUCUUCUAAGUAGCAUUACACAUAUGGAUGAAAUUUUCAUCUAAUUUCUUAAAUAUUAAAUGAAAUGUUUGAUAAAGUGAAUAGACAAAAAAUCAUUCAUCUCCCUAAAGAGAGUACUAUUAAAACCCUUUCAUGAAUUGGUUUCAAUCUAUUUCAUUAGCUGCAAUUGAUCAACAACAUAAAGAUGAAAAAGAUAAUAAACUAAACUACAAUUUCUUAUCUUUGUAAACAAACAUAUAUGUAAGGAUGAAAAAAUGGAAUACAAAUUGACGGAAUAGUUACAAGAGUGGUAUUAAAAUUAAUGGCAGUACAAUAAUAAAAUUGAAAAUUCAAUAAUCGUUCCCUUAUUAUAUAACUUAUAACUACUGCUAAAUUAAGAUUACAACGAACUCUUCAAGAACCCAAAUUAAGUGAAAAUAGUGAGUAAGAAAGUAAAGAUAUAUGCACUAAUAAGAACAUAGUUAGGAAUACUUAUCGACACACUUUUUCAUUUGAAGCAAAAACACAUGAAAUUUAUUAAUUUGUUUGAUAAUUAAAAUAAAUUAUAAUAUUUAUUAUAUCUCAUAAAUUACAAAAACCUCCAUCUAUUCAUAUUUUCUACUUAAAUGACAUAUCUCCUCAACUCCUUUCUAUGAUUCUCUUCAUUACCUAUACAUUUAGUUUUUCCAAAAUAUAAUGACUUUAAAUUUUAGUUCAAAUUUAUAAUAUAGAAAGUUCAUUAUAAAAAAAAUGUAGUGCCUUUAUAAAAAAAAAAGAACUUUCAAAACUCGAACUCUAUAUAUAUUUGUUAAAGAUAGAUAAAUUUUUAUUCACAUUUUGAGAAGUACCUAAAACUCAUUGAAUAGAAGGGCACCUUUUUAAUUAUUUCUUUGUAGGCUUUAGAUAUUGUGCAUCACAUUAAGUGCAAGUGCUAUUCUAAUCCAUAUUAUGAAAGGACAUUUUAUCUAUAGCUUUAUCUUCCAAAAAAUUUAUUCUCUUAUGUGUGUCAUUUGCCUUUUCAAGAAAACGUUUGGCAUUUAUUUUGGUUAGGUACUUUUGCAGUUGAAGAGGCAUGAUAGUAGUAAUAAAAAGGGAUAAGGGUCUGGAAAAUAUCCUAACUUUGGUCGAAUUUGUUGUUGCGAUACUAAACUUUCAUGAGGACCUAUUACCUCCCUAGACUAUUUAAUANNNNNNNNNNNNNNNNNNNNNNNNNNNNNNNNNNNNNNNNNNNNNNNNNNNNNNNNNNNNNNNNNNNNNNNNNNNNNNNNNNNNNNNNNNNNNNNNNNNNNNNNNNNNNNNNNNNNNNNNNNNNNNNNNNNNNNNNNNNNNNNNNNNNNNNNNNNNNNNNNNNNNNNNNNNNNNNNNNNNNNNNNNNNNNNNNUAUUAAAUAGUCUAGGGAGGUAAUAGGUCCUCAUGAAAAUUUAGUAUCGCAACAGCAAAUUCGACUAAAGUUGGGAUAUUUUUCAGACCCUUAUCCCUAAUAAAAAUGAUUUAGUAAGUCUUGCAAUAUGAUUUUAGUUAAAAGGCUUUUAUUGAAAUAAAAUUUGAAGACAAAAGUUAUUGAAACAAAAGCCAAAAAUCUCACAAUUAAAUAAAGAUAUAUAAUAUAAUAAAAAAAAACCUACGCUAGCAUCUUCUCACACCAGGCGACUCCUAUGGAGUUUUAGGCCUCUAUGGCCGAAACAGUCUCUCCCCAGCCUCGAGCUGUGGACGAAACGCCAGAAAAACCUAGUUAUGCAUCUAUUUCUAAUCCAUCGACUUACACUCAAAAAUCUGAUGGAAAACUUCCACUAAAAUUAAAACCUGUGAUCUAUGUUCAUGGGGAACCUACUAUGAGUUUCAACUUUUUGGAUUUGGAAUCGUAUAUCCAAGAAGAAAACUUGCAAUAUGCUCUUGUUGCUAAGUUUUCUUAUGGGAGACCCGAUAAGAUUGAUCUUAGAAAGAGUUUUACACGACACUUUGCAAUCAAAGGAGAUUGCAAUUUAGGUUUACUAGAUCAUCGUCAUGUUCUGGUAAGAUUAUCAAAUCAGGAAGACUUUAGGGAGGUGUACUCUAGGGCAGUAUCAUUCAUCACAAUAAAAGAAAAGGGCGUGAAUAAUCAAUACCAAUGUCGGAUUCAACGCUAGACACCAUUGUUUAAUCCAAAAGAUGAGACAUCAAUUGCUUUAGCUUGGAUUUCUUUUCCGAGUUUGUCAACACAGAUGUUUGCUCGUGAAGCCUUGUUUUCACUUGCAUCAGCCGUUGGGACACCCCUACAAGUUGAUAAGGCAACAACGGGUAAGUUAAGGCCUAGUGUAGCUAGGGUAAAAAUGGAGGUUAAUCUAUUAUCAUUGCUUCCGAAUAGAGUUAGAAUGUUUUUUAAAGAUGAAAAAAAUGGUGUCGUUAAAGAGGUGUUGCAAAAAAUUGUCUAUGACAAAUUGCCUUUGUACUGCACAAUAUGUAAACAUCAGGGUCACAAGGAGGAAGAAUGCAGACUGACUAUGGAGGUAGAAGGUGGACUAAUUGAUGAAACAAAAAUUAAUGGGGCAAAGUUCAAAGGAGAUUUGCGAUCAAUUUUGGAUGAGAAAAAGAAAGUUCUUUCUCUUCAACAAACUGGAAAAGAGCAACAUCUGGAAACAAAGAAGAUACAGAAACUAUGUUACCUGGGACAUUGACUUCGAAGAUUAGUGAGCAACUUGGUACGACCACAACGAGUUCGUCCACUCCUAUCCAUAUUGAUGUUGAGGCACAAAAUAAUGUAGAUAAUAACUCAAGGCAGUUGAUCGUUACAUCACAAGUCGCUAUAGAGUAGUUAUCGUCUAGAUUUGUGAAAGAUAGAGAGUUGGAUUCACCUAAUGCAGUCGUGAUUACUAAAUCAAGGCAAGAUGAAGCCAAAAAAAGGUAACACUACCGCAGAAAAAUCCAGUAAUCAAUGGACUUUGGUCUCACAUAAAAAAAUGGUUGGCCCUACGUCAUCAAAUAAUCACAUUUUGCACCAAAACAAUUCUACACAUGUUGAGUUUGAUAUGAGUAAUAGUGUCGUUGAAUGUACUCAAUUUGAUGUGUUGCGAGAUGAGAAGUUUGGACAAUAUGAAGGGCUACAUGUUACAGAUGAAUUAUCUGCUGAAUCUGGGAAUACUUUAGACUUGGACAAGCAGAUUGAGCAAAUAGGACAGUUGAAACAAUGUUGUCACGAUGAGCAUACUAAUCAACAAGCUCUUGUGACACAUGAAAAGGAGUUCAUUGCUACAGAGAAGAUAGAUGGCAAGGAAAUCAAUCUAAAUACACCUACCAUGUUUAUUUUAGAUCAAGAGGUGGCUACAAACAAUUUGAAUGAAUAUAAAGAAAAAUGAGGGGUGGGGAGUGCUUCAAGAUGGGCAGAUUUAGUUGAGGAAGAGAAUCAUACUCCUUCACCUAGUAGGAGUAAGUUAAGCCCUCAAGCACUUGAAUUUGUGCUUACAAGUAAAACAAUCCAUCGAUGGCAGUCAUAGGUACAUCAUCUAACUUGAGUGCUACAAAAGUAAACGUGGCAGAUAGAGAUAAUCUUUAUGACUUGGACAAUGACAUGUCUGAUGGAGACGAUGAAGAUCAUGAAGAUGAUGAAGAAGAAAUGUUGGAUAUAUGCUUUGAUAAGGUGGCUAAGGAGGGGGACCUUUCGCCUAGACAACAAAGAAGUGGAAGCACCAAAUGCAAAAAGAAGACACAUGGAAGACAACAUAGUUGGGAUGGUAAGGUGAGUGGGGAUUUUGUCCCAAGGCGCCUACCGAUGCGACUAGCAAAGCAAAAUCAUAUGACAGUGUCAACAACUUUAUCAAGAUCCAACAAAUUCAAAAAGUGAUGAACUAUCAAUUAUUUUUUAACAGAUUUGAAGAAGAAGACAAGAUGCAAAUACUUCAGAUUACUUUAGACUGGCAAACUAUUUGUUUUAGUUCAUACAUAUAUCAAAUGAACUUUGAGGUGGCUAACUCAUCUUUAUUCUUUGAUUUUAUAUUCUUGCAUUACUUAAGCAUCUUCAUUUGUAAUAUCAUCAUAAAGAGUAUUAUAAACUUUAUGAUAAUCAUAGAAUACCUAGUUUUCUCUAGUUCUUUUUUCUUCAUGCUUGUUAAUUAGUAGAGAUUUGUUGUCUCAUUAGGAUUAGUAAGGUAAGGCCUAGCCCCCCUUACUUGUACUUAUCUCUAUUUAUAUCUUUUAAUUUAAAAAUAAAUAAAUAAAAAUAAAUAGAAAUGUUAGCCAUAGAGAAGUAUCAAAAUGUUAAGACUUUGAGAGAGAUUAGACAAUAUAAAACAACCAAAAUAAAAAAAUACUCACGCACAAAAGUAAGCAUACUGUUUGAAGCCAUGUUAUCAUUCUAUGUAUCAGAAGUAUAGAAUUACAAUGUUAAAAAAGAUCAAUAUUAUUCCUACUUAAUAUUGAUACUUAGCAACCAAAAAUGAAAGUGUAACAAAUUUUGUUAUAGUAAAAGAGAUUGGCGAAAAGUUGUAUGUUAAAACAUAAGGCAAAUCAUAGAAAAAAAAGAACUAAUAUAUAAAUUACUUGAAAAUUGCAAAUUUUUCACCCUCACAGAUUCGCACUUGGCCGACAUCAACAUGUACUUAGCCGAUAGCUAGAUACUCUUCUGCUUCUUUUUUUUUCCACCAAUAAUGUGUAUCCUGCCUUAACAUAAAACAAAACAAAUUAAAAUCAACUAUCUAAAGAAAAAGGAAAAUGAAUUAAAAAUUUUGGUACUAUAAAGAUUAUAUAAAAAUAAAAAUGCAAAGAAAGUGUUAAAAACUGUACCUGAUUUUUUUUUUCACAAUUAAGCAAAAAAAGUAGUAAUAUAAUUUGUAUAACAUUGAAGUACCCAAAUGGUUAAAAAGCAGUAAUAUAACCUGUAGUGGAUGAUAUGCCAUGACUGGCAUCUCUACUAUUAUUUAUGCUAUAAUAGGGCAUAAAUGAAAUUUAAUUAAUAGGAUGUCGUUUGGAAUAUUUCGUGCGAGGGUGAAGGGCUGCAUUAAUUAACUGUAAUUUUUUUCUUUAAUGACGUAUAAGCUGUUAAAUAUUAAAUUAAAUUAAAUUAGAUAAAUAGAAAAAUGAGAGGAAAAAAGUAAAAAAAAUCCAAAAAAAAAAAGAUAAAUGUGAUUCCUGACCUAUAAAGGGUGCCACAUUAGCGGGCUUAUGUUCCUGCUUUAUAUUAAUAUAUAGAUUACUUAAAUCAUCAAAGAAGAAUUUGCACAUUAAUUAAUCAGAACCGACAGACUUAGGAAAGAUAUUAUUAGUCAUAGACUCAUAGGACUUGGAUCUUGUUCCAUAAUUACUAGUUAUAAUAACUACGGUAACAUUUAUAUAUUUAAUUAAGCCAAAUAAAUAUAAUUUUUUCCGAUUUUUUUUUUUUAAAAAUAACCUUGCGCCUUGUAAGACUCAUGGUGGCUGAGCCUUACAAGGCUAAAAGCUGCGACGCCUUGUAAGGCUCAUGGGUUUCUGUGCCUUGCGGCGGAAACCCUGAUUUAGACGCCGUUACAAAUUAUUGCCCUUUUGAUUUCAUAAAUAAUUCAGUUGCUCUUUUGGAAUUUUCAAAAUAUUUUGUUGUCCUUUUGAUUCCGGACUCGUGUUUGAAUAGCUCCUAGAUUGGACAACUAACCUGAAUAAUAGUUAAUCCUGUGAGCACCUUGUACCAAACAUAAAUUGUAUCCUUUUCAUACGGAAUAUUGUAUUUAUGGCUUCUUUUUCAUUGGCCUAAAGGGUAUUGAGUUUAACUAAUAUUCAUUGUCGGUGGAAAUUUUAUUUUUUACGAAUAGUGAAUAGUACAUUAUUGUUUUUAAAAAUCAUUUCCUUAAUUAUUACUCCUUUUUCUUUUCACUCUUUUAAUCUUCAGACUUAUAUAUAUAUAUAUAUAUUAUAGUAUUUUUCAAAUGUGUAAACUUAUUUCGAAAAAAAUUAAAAAUUUAAUGUCAAAACUAAAAAGUUUAAAGAUCAUGGAGUGAAAAGUAUCAUAUAAAUUGAGAUAUUAAAAAUACUAUGUCAUAGAAGGGUGACGGUGAUUACUUGGAUUUGUUUUGCAGAAUGCUGCAAAGGUUGAUACUGUAAUUUAUUUAACUUUGAUGGUGAUAAACAUCAAUAAAGUAGAAAUUGACAUCAAUGAAAAGCAAUACAAUAAAUUUUUAAAAAUUGUACAUUAUUUUACUUAGUUUUGAUUUGUUAAGAAAACCCGAAGAAACACCAGUACCAUUCGUAAAAAAAUUUAACCAAAAUAUAUAACAAAAUUUUUUCAAAAUAUAUAUAAAAAAAUUACUAUUAAUUUAAUCAUUCCUAAGACUAUUUUUAAUUAAUUAAAUCUAAAUUACUCAUUCUAGGAAAGUGAAAUUUUUUAUUAUGAAAUAGAGAGUAGUUGAAUUCAAAAGCAAUAACUUAAAUUCCUGCUUGAUCAUAAUUUUGAACUUGAAAUAUAAACAUUUAAAUUUGAAAGUAAUUUUUAAAAUUUGAAGUUGUAUUUGAAUAAACUUUUUUAAAGUUUUGUGAAUGAAAGUUUCAAAAAUUCGAAAACUUAUCCAAAUUAACUUUUAAAACCUAGUAUUUUUGUGAAGAUCGAUUUUUAAAAUUUAAUUCAAAAUUUAUGACUAAUCUCUAGCUAAAUAAUUGAUUAAACGGAAAAGACAAGUCCUUUACUUGUCAUUGAUCAAUCAACUCCGCCUUGCAAUAAUGAUGUGUAUUUUUUGUUUUAUUUUAAGGUGGGUCCAAUAAUGAUGAAAUUUAAAUUUAGAUAAAAUAGUUCAAAUCACCUUCAUCCCAAACUCAAAACACAAUUUUUCUUAUGUGUAUUUUUGAAAAUCCCUAAAACUACUCGCUCAAAAUUAUAAUCCCUCCGUCCCAUUUUAUGUGAGGUAGUUUGACUCGACACAAAAUUUAAGAAAAAAAGGAAGACUUUUAUAACUUGUGGUCCAAAAUGAAUCCUAGAAAUUUGUAUGGCUGUAAAUCAUUUCAUUAAGGGUAAAAUAAAUAUUUUAUAGUUAAAUUGUUACUUAUUCUAGAAAUGUGUCAUUUUUUUGGGACUGACUAAAAAGGAAAGUAAGUCACAUUAAUUGGGACAGAGGGAGUAGCAUUAAUUUUCAAAUUAAAGAAAAUGUUAGAUUUUUUAAAUUACAUUAUGUCCAACACAUUAAGAAGUAAAAUUCAUAGUGACUAAUGUUAGUGAAAAAUUACAAUAUAAUAAAAUUGCAAGAUUACAAUUGAAAAUAAAAUGAAGAAAAUAAAUCAAGCUGAAGCGCGAAUUUCUCGCUCUUUUUUAAGGAGAUUCAAGUCCACUGCAACAAAUAUUUUUCACCGGUGCAGCAAUAGUCCUUCUUGACUUGAUACAACAGCCUUACACAAAGUAUAACUCAACAACUCUGACAAAGAGUUGAGUCCAAAGCUCCACAAAAAGAAUACCUCCCUUCAAUUAAUAAGAACUUUCUUUUUCGACUAACUCUUUCACUCUAUAUUUUUUUUGUGUAUUGUGUGUUCUAAACCAAAUGAAGACCACCACUAUUUAUAAUUGGGGAUGUCUUCCUAGCAAUGAAUAAGAAGAUAAUGGGGUAGUAAAUGGUAAAAAUAAAUGACUUUAGGAGUUACAUAGGUUACAAGGUAUAAUAGAGAAAGAAUAAUGAAGAAUGAAUGGCAAAGGCCACCAACGGCUAAGAGUGCUAACAAGUAAUGUUGUAACAUAACAAACAAUAACUCCAAAUGGAGUAAUGCAACAAAUAAGUGCCACAAACGGUCAAUGUCAGAAACGUCAAGUAAUGGGCAAUUAAGCCUCAAAACAUUGAUUCCAAAAUACAAUCAAAGUGGCCACUAACAUUCUGAUAGGAAUAGCUGCAAGAUGAAUGGGAAAUAUGCACCUUAACCAUUAUUUACGAAUAUUAAAAUGCUCCCAAACCAAUAAUCCCCCACUCAUUAUAAUAUUAAUCAAGAGAGUCUAUCAGCUGAAGGAAGACUAAUAUACAUAAUGAAGGUGUGCUCUGCAUUGAACCUCCACUUAGUGAAAUAAUAACUUUUUACUCCAGAGUCGUAGUGGUCUCAGACUUGAACUAUGACUGCUUAGGGAAAAUAAAAUAUAAUUGUCCACACAUAAUAAUCAAGGUGUUGACAUGAGCUUUAACAGCCAGCACAUUAUGGCCUUGUGCUAUCCCAGUUUCAUGAGUGCUUUUGAGAAUAAGCCAAAUUCUCAUAAAAAGCGACCUACCUCCAUAUAUCACAUAGGUGAAAUCUGUCGAGAGUGCUCAUGUAAACUUAACACUCCACCCAUACGAGCUAUAGAUAUUCAUUAAGAGUUUUAUCAACUCAACCUUCACAAACUACAGGAAACAAUGCACUCACAUCAUAGGGAGGGAAUAAAAAGAUAGUGCAUUUUUCACAACAAGUCAUCAUAUGAUUAGUUUUUCCCCUUGAACCUGGUAAUAGGAUCUAUUGUCCCCAAGUUGGGUUUCCUCAUAUAUGACUCAAGGAUUUAUAGGCUUCAAUUCCAUCCCCCUCAAUGUGCUCCAGACCUUUUCUCUCGUUAAGGCCUUAGGAAAAGGAUGUGCAAGAUUAUCACAAGAUUUGACAUAAUCAACAUUAAUAGUACCAUUUGUCAAAUAUGAUCUUACAUUAUUGUGUUUCCUCUUUAUAGGUCUGGAUUUACCGUUGUAAUAACGGUUUUGAACUCUAACAAUCGCAACAAUGAUAUCACAAUGAAUUAAAAUAGGAGGAAUUGGUUUUUCAAAAUAAGGAAUUUGAAACAAUAAAUAUCUUAAUCAAUUCGCUUCCUCACUAGCUGAAGCUAAAGCAAUUAGUUCAGCCUCCAUGGUAGAGUUAACAAUUAUAGUUUACUUUUUUAAUCUCCAACAAAUAGCACCACCACCCAAAGUAAAGACAUAAUCAGUGGUAGAACAAGAAUCACCUGAUAAAGUGUUCCAAUCUGCACCACAAAAGCCUUCAAGUACAACAUGAUAUUUUUUAUAAAACAAACCACAAUUUUUCAUUUCAAUUAAAUAUCUCAUAACUCUUGUUAUAACAUGCUAAUGUUCAUUACCUGGUUAGUACUCCUACUGCAUAUGCAAUAUCAGGCCUAGUGCAAUCAGUCACAUAUCUCAAACUUCCGAUUAUGUUAGCAUAUUCCUUUUGAUUUAUUACAUCAUUUUCACUUUACAACAGGAAAUAAGUGAACACUUGAAUCAAAAAGGAGUAGCAACAUGCUUGCAAUCAAGAAAGUUAUAUUUUUCAAAAUUUUCUCAACAUAAUGUGACUGGUCAAGGAAAAUUCUAUCACAUGUUCUUGCUAUUUUUAUUCCAAGAAUAAAAUUUGGUUCACCAAGAUCUUUCAUAUCAAAAUGGCUUAUAAGAAUAUUCUUAGCUUCAUCAAUAACAUUCAUGUUAGAGCCAAAGACCAACAAAUCAUCAACAUAUAGGCAAAUAAUCACAUGUGAAUUAUUUCAAGACUUGUGAUAUAUGCACUUAUCACACUCAUUUGUUGUAAAACCAUUUCCAAUCAUGUUGGAAUCAAACUUUUCAUGCCAUUAUUUUGGUGCCUGUUUCAAGCCAUAUAUGGAUUUAAUAAGUUUACAUACUUUGCUUUCUUGGCCUGCUUCAACAAAAGACUCGGGUUGUUCCAUAUAAAUUUUCUCAUUUAGGUCUCCAUUUAAAAAGAAAGUUUUUACAUCCAUUUGAUGAUUUUGCUAAGCAAAAAUUGCAGUCAUAGCAAUUAAAAGGCUUGUGGAUGUAAUUCUUGUUAUAGGUGAAAAAAUAUCAAAAUAUUCUAGGCCUUCUAGUGUUUAAAACCUUUUGCAACUAGUCUAGCCUUAUAUUUAUCAAUAGAUCCAUCCGGUUUCAACUUUUUUCUAAAAAUCCAUUUGCAACCAAUAGUUUUACAACCCAGUGGUAAAUCAACUAACUUCCAAGUUUUAUUAGAAAUUAGUGAUUCCAUUUCAUCAUUUAAUUUACAGCCUCUUUCCAAAUAAUGGAAUCAUGUGAAGAUGAAGCUUCUUUUAAAGAAAGAAGGUCAUCUCCAACAUUAAACACAUAAAAAUCAGGACCAAAAUCUUUUUCUACUCUAGCUCUUUUACUUCUUCUUAACUCAAAAUCAUCAACUUUUUUAUUUUUCAAAGUGAGAGUAAAAGAAUUAGGUAGUGACAAAAUAUUUUGUUCAAUUCUUUGACCCCCACUAUUUUUAGAAUCAAAAGGAAAUUUAUUCUCAUGAAAAAUAGCAUCACCCGAUUCUAUCACAAUAUUAUCUUCAAGAUUAAAAUAUCUAUAGGCUGUACUAUUUGAAUCAUAACCAAGAAAAACACAAGUAGUAACUUUCUUACCCAAUUUUGUGAUCUUGGGAUCCAUUAGCCUCACAAAGGCUAGACAACCCCAAACUCUUAGAUAUCCCAAACUUGGCUUGUAACCUUUUCCACAAUUCAAAAGGUGUCAAUUUAGACUUUUUAUGAGGCACACGAUUUAACACAUAACAAGCAGUCAAAAUAGCUUAACCCAAAAAUUUAAAGGUGCAUGUGACUCAAUAAACAUGACAUUAAUUAGUCAAUUCAACCAAAGUUCUAUUUUUUUCUUUCCGCUACACCAUUAGAUGAGGGAGAAUAAGGAGGAGUAGUUUCAUGAAUUAUUCCCAAUGAUCUAACAAAAGAAUUAAACUCAUUUGACUCAUAUUCACGGCCUCUAUCACUUCUAAUUCUUUUAUUUUCUUUCAAAUUGAUUUUCAACCUCAUGGAGAUAAGUUUUGAAAUUUUCAAAAGCAUCACUUUAUUUUUCAUCAAGUAAACAUAUGUAAACUUAGAAAAAUCAUCAAUGAAAAGUGAUAAAAUAUCUAUUACCUCCACGAGUUAAAAUUCCACCAAGUUCACAAAUAUCAAUAUGAACUAAUUCUAACAAAUCAGUUUUUCUUUCAACUUGAAAAUGAGACAUUUUAGUGAUUUUGUCUUUACUACAAGCCUCACACUAUUCAAAAUUCUUUUUAAUCAUUGGAAUUAAUCCUAAACUACUCAUGAUUCCACCAUAACGAUCAUUAAUAUGACACAAACGAGCAUGCCAAAAAUUAGUAGAAGAAAACAUAUAAACAGAAGUAGAAGCUUUAUUCACUUCUACAUUCAAUUUGACCAUCCCAUUACAAACAUAUCCCUUUUCCACAACAAUAUCCUUCUUCACAAUUACAUAUCGAUCAGAUUCAAUAAUCUGUUUAAAACCUGCUUUAUUAAGAAGAAAACUAGACAUCAAAUUUUUUCUCAUGGAAGGAAUAUAGAGUACAUCUUUCAAAGUUAAUACUCUUACAGAAGUAAAACACAAUUCGACAUCUCCCGUUCCAAGCAUUUGAGUUUUGUGAGAAUCACCAAGCAUGAUGGUUUUGGGCUCCUCAAAAUGAGUAUAUUUUUUAGGACAAAUUACAGAAAUCGCAUACUUUUAAGGCAAAAUUACAAUACAUCACUUAAAAGUUUAUAAUUACAGAAAUCCCUCAAACGGAUAUAAUAAGAUAAGCGCUGAUACAUUAAUUUGAUACGCGAGAUACAAUAAUAUAAGUGAUGAUACAUGCGCGAGAUACAAUAAUAUAAGCGCUAAUACAUUAAUCCUAUGCGCGAGAUACACUAAUAUAAGCACUGAUACACUAAUCUGAUGCACGAAAAUGAGGAAUUUUGGAGAUUUGUAAAACUUAUAGGGGAUAAUGGUAAUAAGUAAACUAAAAGGUGGGAUUUCUGUAAUUUUUCCUAUUUUUUAAACCAGUCUUUGUCAUUACAGACUUGACGGUUUGCACCAGAAUCAACCCACCAUCCAUCAACAAUCUCAACCAUGUUUAUGUCGAUAAUCACCCCCCAAAAGGUUCUUCGGUAACGUUUGCCUGAGGGUUAGGACCACGUUUUCAGAAUCUGCAAAAUCGAGCAAUAUGCCCACUCUUGCCACAAACAAAGCACGGUCCCUUAUCUUGAACUUGUUGAUUUUGUGCUUGGUUAUUUUCACCAUUAUUUUUCUUAGGAGGUCUACUAUUAUUUUUCUUAAAUUUUUUCUUCUUAGUUCAAAGAAGUAUUUUUGUGAGUUUCAAGAGUAGCAUUAUUUGAAGUAAUUAAAUUUACCUUCGUUGUGAUGUUGCUCUCUUCUUUUUGUAAAAGUGCAUCUUGGCCCCUUGCCUCUACACCAUCGUGCUUUUCCACUUUCCCAUGAUGAGAAAUAAGUUCAUCAUCAUCUAUGGAGGUAUCAUCAACUUUAUUAGGAUUCUUUUCAGUUAACACAUAAGAAACACUGAGAAGAUUUAAGUAGAAAAGUACUUUACCCUUCCAUCUUUUGAAAUGGUUACCAUUGAACCGAUAUGGCUUGUUCAGGUCUACCAUCUUGACAUCUGCGGUUUUUUCAAUUAUAGCCAUUAUUGAAUCUCUUUAAAAUUGUUAGUGAAAAAUUACAAUAUAAUAAAAUUGCAAGAUUACAAUUGAAAAUAAAAUAAAGAAAAUAAAUCUCUUCAGGUUGAGGCGCGAAUUUCUCGCUAUCUUUAGGGAGAUUCGAGUCCACCGCAACAAAUAUUUUUCAUAGGUCCAGUAGUAGUCCUUCUUGACUUGUUCCCGAUACAACAACCUUACACAAAGUAUAACUCAACAGUACAACUCUGGACAAGAGUUGAGUCCAAAGCACCACAAAAAGAACACCUCCCUUCAACUAAUAAGAACUCUCUUUUUUUACUAACUCUUUCACUCUAUAUUUUUCUUGUGUAUUGUGUGUUCCAAACCAAAUGAAGGCCACCACUAUUUAUAGUUGGGAUGUCUUCCUAGCAAUGAAUAGGAGGAUAAUGGGGUAGUAAAUAGUGAAGAUAAAUGACCUUAAGAGUUACAUAUAUUACAAGGUAUAAUGGAGAAAGAAUGAUGAAGAAUGAAUGGCAAAGGUCACCAACGGCUAAGUGUGCUAACAAGAAAUGUAGUAACAUAACAAACAAUAACUCCAAAUGGAGUAAUGCAGCAAAUAAGUGCCACCAACGGUCAAUGUCAGAAACGUCAAGUAAUGGGCAAUUAAGCUUCAAAACAUUGAUUCCAAAAUACAAUCAAAGUGGCCACUAACAUUCUGAUAGGAAUAGCUGCAAGAGGAAUCACUACAAAAGGAACUCCAAUUACCAAUAAAAAAAAUCGCUGGUAAAUUGAGUUAUCAACCAAAUGCCAACUUAUAUUAAUCCGCUGCUAAAAGGCUCAUCGGUAAAUAUUACCAACUGAUUUUAAUUUAUUGAUAAACUUAUCAACCAAAAAUCAAUUGGCAAACACCCAAAGAUGUUGUUACAGAACUUUGAAACAUGGUCCUGAAAUUUCUGAUAGGAAACUUUUCCAGAUACAUUGGUAAUUGGUUGGCAAUUUUAAUAAUAUAAAAUUUAUGUUGGUAAUUUACCAAUAAAUUUGUAAUACUUUUUUUUUUGGUUUCCCAUCCGGUGUUCGGUAUCCACAUUGGAGCCCGACUGAAUCCGGAUUCACGCCGGGAAGUCCCACAUUGGGUAGUAAAGCGCUCUCUAACAAAGGCGACUCCAUACCUAAGGGGAAUCGAACCUGAGACCUCUUGGUUAAUGAUGAAGGAGUACUUAUCACUCCACCACAACCCUUGUUGGUAAUAAAUUUUAAAUAGCGUUAGUAUUAUUAUUUGUUUUUCUAAUAAAUUUACUAAGUGAUUGUUAGUUUGUUGGUAAUACAUCAUUCAAGGCGACUCUGUAUCCAAGGGGAAUCGAACCUAAGAUCUCUUGGUUAAGGAUGCAGGAGUACUUACCACUCCACCACAACCCUUGUUGGUAAUAAAUUUUAAAUACGUUAAUAUGAUUAUUUGUUUUUCGAAUAAAUCUACUAAUUGAUUGUUAGUUUGUUGGUAAUAUAUCAUUCAAGUUCAAUGUUAGGUUAGUAAUUGAUUGACAAUAUGCUCAAAAUAUUAUUAAAUGAAUGAUUAUCCAAUAGUAAAAUAUUUAUUAAUUUAUUGCAUUUAGAAAUCUAAGAGCACGAAUAUAAAUCCAAAAAUAUUAAUAUCAAUUUUAUAAAUCAUAUUUGAAUGAAACAAUGUAAAAUCUAUGAUAACAAGUUAAAUUAAUCUCAAUAUGUCACAUAUCAUUAUAUCAAAUUUUUUAAUUUGAGCAUGUUUACCAAAAAUAUUGACCAAAUCUAAAUUUUGGCCAAAACUUAAAAGAUAAAACACCUAACAACACAAACUAAAAAUGGAACCCUCAAAACCUGAACCAACCAUCAUAUUAGAUAUAAAAAUGACCUUUCGAAGCUAAUCACACUGACAGAAUUCUCAUCAGAGCACGUUUACAAAAAAUGUUACGCAAAGUCAAAUCUUGGCCAAAAGUUAAAAUUUAAAACGCCUAACGGUACAAACGAAAUAUGAAAACCUCAAAAUCCAAACCAACCAUCCUAUAAGACGAAAAAUGACCUUCUAGAUCUAACCGCGUUGACAAAAUUCAAAUUUGAGCAUAUUUCCCAAAAAAAAUUGACCUAAUUCAAAUUUUAGCCAAAAGUUAAAACGCUUAACGACACAAACUGAAAAUAAAAGUCUCAAAACCCAAACCAACCAUCCUAUGAGACCAAAAUUGAACUUAUAUGGCUAACUGCAGUGACAAAAUUUCAAUUCGAGCACGAUUACUAAAAAUAUUGACUAAAGUAAAAUUUUGGCCAAAACUUAAAAGUUAAAAUGCCUAACGGCACAAACUAAAAAUGGAAGCCUCAAAACCCGAACCCUCUAUCUUAUUACAUCAAAAAUGACCUUCCGCAUCUAACUGCACUGACGAAAUUCUCAUCUGAGCACGUUUAUCAAAUAUAUUGACCGAAGUUAAAUUUUGGCCAAAAUUUAUCAGUUAAAACACCUAAGGCACACACUAAAAAUGAAAGCCUCAAAACCCGAACCAACCAUCUUAUUAGAUAAAAAAUGACCUUUGGAGUUAAUUACGCUGACGGAAUUCUCAUCUGAGCACGUUCACAAAAAUAUUGACCAAAGUCAAAUUUUGGCCAAAACACAAGAUUUAAAACACCUAACGGCACAAACAAAAAACGGAAGAGUCAAAACUUGAACCAACCUUCCUGUUAGAUAAAAAAUGACCUUUCGAGGCUAAUGACACCGAUAAAGUUCUAAUAUGAGCACGUUUACCAAAAAUAUCGACCAAAGUAAUCAAGUUUUGGCUAAAAUUUAAAAGUUAAAACGCCUAACAACACAAACUGAAAAUGGAAGCCUCAAAACCUGAACCAACCAUCCUAUUAGAUAUAAAAAUGACCUUCCAAAGCUAAUCGCGCUGACGAAAUUCUCAUCAGAGCACGUUUACAAAAAAUGUAAAGCAAAGUCAAAUUUUGGCCAAAAGUUAAAAGUUAAAACGCCUAACGGUAUAAACUGAAUAUGAAAACCUCAAAAUCCAAACCAACCAUCCUANNNNNNNNNNNNNNNNNNNNNNNNNNNNNNNNNNNNNNNNNNNNNNNNNNNNNNNNNNNNNNNNNNNNNNNNNNNNNNNNNNNNNNNNNNNNNNNNNNNNNNNNNNNNNNNNNNNNNNNNNNNNNNNNNNNNNNNNNNNNNNNNNNNNNNNNNNNNNNNNNNNNNNNNNNNNNNNNNNNNNNNNNNNNNNNNNNNNNNNNNNNNNNNNNNNNNNNNNNNNNNNNNNNNNNNNNNNNNNNNNNNNNNNNNNNNNNNNNNNNNNNNNNNNNNNNNNNNNNNNNNNNNNNNNNNNNNNNNNNNNNNNNNNNNNNNUGGUUGGUAAUCUGUUAGAAUUUCGUUGUUAAGUUUUAAAAUAUAAUUUAGUCAGAAUAUGUUGGUAAUUUGUUAGUAGAAUACUAACCAACUUAAGUUGUUAGUAAAAUCUGUUGACAAUUUGGGUUUUUUUUUGUAGUGAAUGGGAAAUAUGCACCUUAACCAUUAUUACUAAUAUUAAAAUGCUCCCAAACCAACAACUAAUGCUAAGAAAAGUCUUAUUCAUAUCAUUGAUCAAUCAAUUUUUAUUUUUUAUGUAUUAUUAUAUAAACAUUUUGUCUUAAUUGGAGAAGGAGUUUACUGAUUGGAAUCUAAAAUUGUUAAGAUUGUUUUUAACAAGGCUAAAAAUAGAAGGUGUCCUUCUAAGGAAAUUGGGAGAGGUACUAUCAAUAUAGCAUAGGCCAUAGCAGCUUAUUUUGGAAAAUGACUAUUCAAACUUUAUUUUAGAAUGUGAUUUCCUGAUUAUAAUUAAUAUGAUCAAGGAUAUAUCUCAAAUGGCCUGAAAAUUGCUGCAAAAGAAAGAAUAUAUUCUGAGUAACUAGCUAUGAUUUGUCUUUCUUUAGUUUUUGUUGGACCUGUUUUCAAGGUAGUAUAUUAAUGCUUAUUAACGGAAGUUUACGCUAUCGUCCCUCUCUACUUAUUCUCUGUAUAAAUUUUGGAUUAAAUAAAAGGAUUACACAGCUAAAGACAUAAAAUUUUACAUUAAAAAAAUGCAAAUUCAUGAAGUUUGGGGGGUGGGGGUGGGGGUUAAUGUUUCAUUUAUUAAUUAAUUCUAUUUUUAAUUCACUCAAUUUACUCCAUGUAAGAGAGUUGCACUAAUUCAAGCUAAAUAGGUAGUCGAUCUAGAUUGACUCACGACUUGGCCGACUCUUACUUUAAAAAAAUCAAGGCAUAUGCCUUAGGCUCUUAAUUUUGGAGGGAUUAAUUUUUUUACUAAGAAUAAAUGAUGUGUUAAUUUUUUUAUUUAUAGAAAAAUGAUAGUUAUUUUAUUCUCGGGUUUGAGCCCUGGAUAUGGAGAAAAUCCGGUUGGGAGCGCCACACCCGAAUGAGCCCUGCAGAGCGCGAUCCAAAUUUAGUCGGAGCUCUAAUGUGGAUUCCAAACAUCGAGUGAGAAAAAAAAACAUUUAGACUUAGUAAGAGUUGGAUGGGCAGCUCGUUUCAUGGCCCAUAAUUUAGCUAUCUUAAACCCAAUUCAUUUCCUUAGGUCCAAGUAAUAUUUAGAUUGGAUCAUAAACUUAUUCAUUUAGCAUCUCAUUAUAAUUCAAUCCGUCCCAUAUCUGACACCCUUCUUAAGCAUGAAAGUAUGUAUGGAUCACACAUUCAAACACAAAUUAAAUGUAUCGGAUAUGCAUGACAAUUAAAGGACAUGCAUAUUCGAACAUAGCUAGCUAGCUAGCUUGUUUUAUUCAUAACUCAUAAGCAUACAUUAAUUAAAAUUACAUAGAGCCUGGAGACGCAUCCACUUUAAUUUAUUCCUUAACGAAGACAAUGGGAAGAUGGUUUUCACCGGAAGCCACGAGAGGAUAUAAUCCGUAAUCAAAAGUCAAGUUCACACAAUUAAGUUGAGGGGAAUCCGUACAAUACAUUAAGUUGUAUGCAUUUUCCAAUUCUUGUUCCUCCGUCGUCUCAUAUUUCAAAAUCUUGAACAAGUUGCUUUCAGUUCCUAUGGUACCACCAGUCACCACGAACUGAUCUUUAUCAUCACUAACUUUCCAAAUAGUUUCGUUAAAACUGGGACUAGAUAUAUCAAGUGUUGAGAACAUGAUAUCAAUGCCAUCCGUUUCACGCACCACAUCAUCAUCAUUAUCAACCUUAAGAACGAAUUUCACGGGGGUGCCUUUUCCUAUCAAACCGGGAAUCGGUACGUGCUGCAACACGGUGUUUGGGCAUUCAAGGUGUCCAAUAUUGGCCAAGUAUACGGAUUCCGCCUCCAAUGAGAGGAUUAUGAAUAAUGUACUUUUCACCAAUGUACGUAGUGUGGUAGGCGGUCCAUGUCCAACACUUGAGGGGCUACAUCAUCAUCAUCAUCAUUAUUAUUAUUAUUAUUAUGAGUAGUUGUGGGAAGGACAAUGGGAUUGUUGGAAGUGAAAGAUCGACAAAAGGCAACAAAGGGAAACAAAGAGAGUAAGAGGAAACUCAAAAUAUUAAUCAACUUCAUCUUUAAUUUGAGUGUGUUGUGUGUAUAUUUUGCUUACUCUAUCUCCAAUUUAUAGACCACCACAUGUAUGUAACAACAUUUUUGAGAAACAAAAAAUGCCUACCUUUUAGGUUAGGUUAGUGACAUGAUUUAUUAACUAGAUCUAAUUAUAAGUAGUAUAAAGACUUUCUAUUUUAACAAUGAAUUAAAAAUAUUUAUAUAUAUAUAUAUAUAUAUUGUUAGAAAACAUAAGCAAUGUGGAGAAAUUUUCUGUGUAUUUCUUCAUGAAAAAACUCACUGUACAGCCUUCUAGUAUAUAUACAAAUUCUAUUCUAUCCUAAAUUGUGUGAACUAUGAAAUUAAUGCAAUAUGUAUUUACACUUGUCAUUUCAUUAUUGGUCUUCUUCUAACAAACUCCAAACGGCUGUCAUGUGCCAUAUGUGUGCUAUGGUUGAGAAAUAUCUAGAAUUGUACAACUGUAGCAUACAGCUGGAUGGCUCUGAUUAAUUUGAUUCAAUAAGAGAUCUUUGCCCCUGAUGUUGCCACGCAUCCUUUGGACCUUUUGUAUGCCUAUGUUGUUUUUGUUUGAAACUAGGAGAACUUUGAACAUUGUUUCCUUUCAUCUCCUUCUUUUCUUUUUCUGUAAAAUCACCAUGGCCAUAAUCAUGAUGUUCUUGAUUCUCAACACCCCCCUUCAAGGUGGAGGGGAGAGAAACGACACCCAACUUGGAAAGAAUCGAGAAGUGUGAAGGACCGGAGAGGGCCUUUGUGAACAGAUCAGCCAACUGAGCAGAGGAUGGAACAAAAGAUAGAGAGAUCAACCCGGAAAGGAACUGUUGUCUCACGAAGUGGCAAUCAAGCUCAACAUGCUUGGUUCGUUCGUGAAACACUGGAUUCUUCGCAAUAUGAAUAGCAGCUUGGCUAUCAGAGUGAAGAGGCACAAACAAUGAUGGAGAAAUGGACAGAUCUAGAAGAAGUCGGGUUAACUAGGUAAGUUCCGCAGUAACUCUCCUCAUAGACCUGUAUUCUGAUUCAGCGGAAGAUAGUGAAAUAAAGGCUUGUUUCUUGGACUUCCAAGAAAUUGGUGAGCCACCAAUGCUAAUAAAGAAACCACUAAUAGAUCUCUGACUAUCUCGACAAGAUGCCCAAUCAGCAUCACAUAGCAAUCAGGGAAGAUGAUGAUGUAGGAUUGAAGAAUUGACCUUGGUUUGGAUUGAGUCGUAGAUAUCUCAACACUCGAAGUGCAGCAUCAAAAUGGCCCUGACACGGCUGUUGCAUAAAUUGACUAAGAGUGAGGACUAAGAAUGAAAGGCCUGGCCGUGUAUGUGUGAGAUAGUUCAAUUUACCUACUAAUCUCCUGUAAAUGGAAGGAUCUGCAAGUAAAGGACCUGAUGAACUAGUGAGCUUAGAACAAGUGUCAAGUGGAGAGGAGACUGUAAAUAGAGAUGUGCAAUCAAAUUCUUGUAACAAAUCUAGUGUGAAUUUUCGUUGACUGAUAAUACAACCAUGUUCUCCCCUUAAAAUUUCCAUGCCAAGAAAAUAAUGAAGCUCCCCUAAGUCCUUGAUUUGGAAUUCAGAGUUGAGAAAAUCCUUCAUAGUGACAGUUUCAAUAAGAUCAUCCCCGGUAAUCAAAAUAUCAUCAACGUAGACAGCAAUAAUUGAAAUCAGAUCCCCUGUUUUCUUGAAAAACAAAUAAUAGUCAUUAAGAGAUGUUGUAUAUCCUUUAAAAGUUAGGGCUCCUGCAAGCUUGGCAUACCAUUGCCUUGAAGCUUGUUUGAGCCCAUAUAGUGACUUUUGAAGCCAGCAAACAUGAUUGGGACUGAGUGAUGCCAUUCCUGAAGGAAACUUCAUGUAGACUUCCUCUUGAAGGUCUCCAUGAAGAAAAACAUUAUUAACAUCAAAUUGUGAAAUGGACCAACCUUUCUUGACUACAAUGGCAAUGAGACACCUAAUGGUUGUCAUUUUGACAACUGGGGAAAAAGUCUCAGUGUAGUCUAUGCCUUCCCUUUGUAUGUCAUCUCUUAUCACAAGUCGUGCCUUAUAUCAUUCAAUUGAUCCAUCAAAAUGUUGUUUAAUUUUGUAUACCCAUUUGCAAGGUAAAGCCUUCUUGCCAGUAGGUAACAACAUGACCUUUCAUGUAUUGUUUUCUUCCAAAGAUGUAAUCUCUUUUUGCAUUGCAAGCUGCCAAUUAGGAUCCAAACUAGCUUGUUUGAAACUAGUAGGUUCUGAGUGAGCACUAAUAGAACCAAGGAGAUGUUGAUUCUGUAAGGAUAAAGCUCCAAAAGAAAAAGUAGAUGAGUGUGCAGGUUGUGCUAAACAAGUGUCUGAAAUGUUAGUGAGAAACAUAUGAUUAUAGACAAAAUCAUUUAGCUAUGCAGGCCUCUUACUUUCCCUGUUAGAUUUUCGGAUAACAGGUGUGGAAGGAGGAGGAGAUACAAGGAGAAAAGAAGGGGAAAACGAAGGAUAGGAUUGAGAAGAUGAGCUAGAGGAGGAUGAAAGAAUAUGUAGGGUUGAAGAGUCAAUAGAGGAGUCAGGAGUGAGGGAAGAAAUAGGAAAAAUUGGCUCAGAAUCUGAUUGAAGAUUUGAGAAAGGGAAAAUGUGCUCACAAAAUUGAAUAUCUCUAGAUAUAAAGAUCUUUUUAGAUGAUAUGUCAAGAAGCUUGUAUCCUUUUUGGCCCUGUGGGUAGCCCAAAAAUAAACAAGCAAUGGCCCUGGGAUCAAACUUGUUUCGAUUACUGUGCAAAGUAGAGGCAUAACAUAGACAAUCGAAAGCUCGCAAAACUUAUAAUCAGGACAUUUCUGAAAAAGAAUCUCAUAAGGGGUUUUCCCAUGAAGUACUCUGGAAGGAAUUCGAUUAAUAAGAAAAGUAGCAGUCAAUAAACAAUCCCCCCAGUAGCAUUAAGGAAGUUUGGAUUGAAAAAGUAAAGCCCUUGCAAUUUCUAAUAAAUGUCUAUGUUUCCUCUCAACAGCCCCAUUUUGUUGAGGUGUAGCAACACAAGAUGUUUGAUGAAUAAUCCCUUUUGACCUCAAAAAUUCUGCUUCAUGUACCCCUUUCCCCAACUCUAGAGCGUUAUCAGAUCGAAGCGUUUUCACCUUAAGGUCAAAUUGUCUCUCAACCAUGAAUAAAAAAUGUUUCAAAACAGAUAAAACAUUACUCUUAGUAGUUAAUGUGUAUGUCCAAGUACCCCUACUAAAAUCAUCAACAAGAGUAAGAAAAUACUUAUAUCCAUGGUAAGUAGGAACUUUGAAAGGUCCCCAAGUGUCCAUAUGAACCAGUUCAAACACCCUUUUAGAAGUAACAUGAUUAAUGGAGAAGGGUAAUCUGGUUUGUCUAGAAAGGGGACAUAUGUCACACACAAGAAUAAUUAGAAGGAAAAGAAAUGAAACUGAAUUUUUUCAUAGCUGAAUAAAGCAAAUGGCCUAGUUUGGCAUGCCAAAGAGCUACAUCAGAAACAACACUAGCAAAAAAAGGAGAACAAACAGGAACAGUUUUGGAAUCACUUCCUUUUGGUAAAGAAACUACAUUACAUGGAGAUUAAAUACUAGCACUAGAAAUGACAGAUUCUAAAAAUAAAGACCCUCUUCAGCUUCACCAAAAUCUUGUUUCCUCAUCAUUGAACGGUUCUGCAUGACACACUUUUAAGGAUUAAAUAAGAGAAAACAACCAAACUGGCUACAUAACCUAUGAACAGACAACAAAUUAUAUCUGAAAGAAGGAACAAAAAGAACAUUCUAUAGAAUAAGAGUAGGAAAAAUGGCUAUGCUAUCAGUGUGUGUGACCUUAAUCCUGUAAGAAUUAGGUAAAUUUAUAGUGACAGGUGCUGGAAGAGAGACAAGAUUGAGAAAGGAAGUAUGCUUAUAACACAUGUGUUCAGAAGCCCCUGAGUCUAUGAUCCAAGUAUGAGAGUUAAAAACAGAGAAACAUGAACUAGAAUAUUGAGUAAUAGUACCAGCCACAUCAUUUGCAUUAAUCUCUGAGCUAGUACCAGCUCCAGGAGUGGUCUGUCCUUGUUUGAACAUCUGUUUCAUAUGUGAAAUUUGACUCUUACUCAGAAUCUUCAUAUACAAUGGGUGAAUGUCCAUAAUUGUCCUCAAUAAGUGCUUCAUUCCCCUUGAUAAGUGUUUGAAAUCCUUUAGUGAACUAAAAAUCUUCUGGGUACCCAAUCAAUCUAUAACAGUCAUCUUCUACAUGCCCAGUCUUUAGACAAUGAGUACAACUCACAUUAGGAUUGUAUUUCUUCCUUCUUACUUUUCUUGGAUUCUGGGGUGUAAAAUUCCUUUGAGGAUUUGCUGAAGGCCUUUGUCCCUGAGGUUGCCCACCAGAAUGUUGAAAUUGUCCUCCAGACCUCUGUGAAGACUGACCUGGAUGACCAGGCUUCUGCAUUUGGUUUCCAAGUUUCAUUUGGGAAUUGUGGAUUAAUAUAAACUUUUCUCUGAUUCUCAUCCUGAAACAAGAGAGAGUAAGCAUGGUUGAUUCCUGGCAAAGGAUUCAACAUGAGAAUAUUACCCCUUGCCUGAGCAUAAAGAUCAUUCAAUCCCAUAAGAAAUUGAAUUAGCCGAUAAUCUUCAACAAAUUUAGUCAUCUUUUGCUUCCCUGUACACACACAAGGACAUGUACAACCAACAUGAGAGUUGAGAAAAUCCAACUCAUCCCACAACCUUUUUAAUUUAGUGAAAUACCCUGCUAUAUCAUUGGAUCCUUUUACUAACCCAGUCAUUUAUUUUUGCAGGUGGUAUAAUUUAGCACCAUUCAACUAGCCAAAUCUCUGUUCUAGAUCUGUCCAGAGGUCCUUGGCAGUCCUGGAGUAGAUGGCAGAGUGAGCUAUAUCCAUGGACAACGAGUUAAGUAGCCAAAAAGUUACCAUGUCAUUGCAUUUAUGCCAAGAAGAAAAAGUGGGUGUUGUGUUCAAAGGCUCUACACAACUACUAUCAAUAAAACCCAGCUUGUUCUUAGCCGACAAAGCAAUUAGGACAAAUCUCAUCCAUCCCUGGUAAUCCCUCACAUCGAAGGUGCUAUUAACAAGAUUCAUACCUGGUGCAUCUGAAGCAUGAAGAAAAAGAGUAUUACUAAAAUAAAAAAUACUGCCCAUUGCAGUUUGACCUACAACAAUAGGAGCUAUAGCAGUAGGAAUGACCUCUUCUGUAUCCAUGAUUCAAAAAGGGAGGAUGAACACAUAAAUUUGUAGAAGAGCAAAAAAAUGUGGAUUUUAAUGCUCUGAUACCAUGUUAGAAAACAUAAGCAAUGUGGAGAAAUUUUCUGUGUAUUUCUUCAUGAAAAAAAUUACUGUACAGUCUUCUAGUAUAUAUACAUAUUCUAUUCUAUCCUAAAUUGUGUGAACUAUGAAAUUAAUGCAAUAUGUAUUUACACUUGUCAUUUUAUCAUUGGUCUUCUUCUAACAAACUCCAAACGGCUGUCAUAUGCCAUACAUGUGCUAUGGUUGAGAAAUAUCUAGAAUUGUACAACUGUAGCAUACAUAUGGAUGGCUCUGAAUAAUUUGAUUCAAUAAAAGAUCUUUGCCCCUGAUGUUGCCACGCGUCCUUUGGACCUUUUGUAUGCCUAUGUUGUUUUUGUCCGAAACUAGGAGAACUUUGAACAUUGUUUCCUUUCAUCUCAUUCUUUUGUUUUUCUGUAAAAUCACCAUGUCACGACCCAAAAUGAGUCGUGAGUGGCACCCACACUUAACCUCCUAAGUGGGCGAACCAAGGAAUCUAAAACCUAACAUAUAUCAAUAAUUCAACUAUGAAUAACAAUAAGGUACGGAAGCUCAAAACUUGUUAAAGUAACCAAUCAAAUAAAUUUCAAAGGUCUAUUACAUAUUAUCCCCAAAAACUGAAAGUCAUCACAUCAAGGACAUCUAAUCUUCAAAUACUAAGUCUAAGAGUAUUGAGGACACAAAAAUAAAUGAAUAAAAUAGUUUAUGUCCGAAAACUUAGGACAUCAUGCCAUGACCAAGAGAAUCUAACACGAGUCGGAAUGAAUAGCUCACACUAGAACCUAAUGUGCUGGAGACUGGAUAGAGCUGAGGGCGAAUCAAAGUCACUGAUACACUCGCUGCACUCCACAAAAGAAAAUAAAGAAAAAAUACAAGUAGGGUCAGUAUAGGGCAACAUGUACUGAGUAAAUAUUAUCGGUCAACCCAAAAUAGAAACUAACAUGUAAUGAAUAAUAGUAUAAAAUCAACUAUGACACUUAGAAGGUGGCAAGCAACAAACACAUGAACCAGUGUCAACCACACUAAAGUAAGUACGUAAUCAAUCAACAAUAUCAAUAUCACACAUGAGGACUCAUGCCUCCAAACCAAACUAAUUUGGGAAUUGAGUUCUUUGAAAUUGAGUACAUUAAGUUAAUUCAAUAUAUUUUUCCUUUAAUGUUACCGUGUCGGAACGUGACACUCCGAUCAAAUUAUACUGUGUCGAAACGUGACACUCCGAUCCAAUUAUGCCGUGUCGGAAUANNNNNNNNNNNNNNNNNNNNNNNNNNNNNNNNNNNNNNNNNNNNNNNNNNNNNNNNNNNNNNNNNNNNNNNNNNNNNNNNNNNNNNNNNNNNNNNNNNNNNNNNNNNNNNNNNNNNNNNNNNNNNNNNNNNNNNNNNNNNNNNNNNNNNNNNNNNNNNNNNNNNNNNNNNNNNNNNNNNAUCCAAUUAUAUCAUUAAUUUAUUUCAUCAAGCCUUCUUUAUUCAAGGCAUCACUUCGAUAGAGAGAGUUUCAGAUUAUAAAUUUCAUGGUCUCAGGAUUUUAGACCAAUCACAAACCAUACAACCCAACCACACAAAACCACACAAUCCACUACAUAGAGAACUUCACAAUAUCACUCAAUACAUAUUAGUCACUAUUAAGAGUCUAACUAUCGAAAUAGAAUAAACCAUAACCUACCUCCACCGAAGAACUGACGUCAGACAAGCUACUUCUCCAAUGACUUUCCUUUCCGCAAUGCCUCUGAACCUUUCCAAUCUAUCAAGUAUAUAUGCAUAAUUUGUAAGUUAACAGGCCUAUAAACACUCAUAUUAGUCUAUGUCCAGCCUAUACCCAAAAACUCCCCUAAUUCUAUAAUCAACUUCCUAAAGUUCAAACCUAAGAGUAAGUCUUAAUUCCUCCCAUUAGCAUAACUUUAAUGUAAUUCAUAUAAUAUACUACACCUUGUAUUUUAUUACCUCUAUCUCAAUAUAUCAAAUUUUAGUUUAUAAUAUGGUAAAACUGAAGCCACUAGUCACGAUAUCAGUGGCAGCCAACACAUGAAACCACAAAAUAAACUAACCAAAGAAAACAAAUGUAACACGGAGACCUAGGAAACCCAUCCAAAAUAUGGACAUAACAAUGACAAUUCAAUUCUAUAAACUUUCACCUGCAAUCCACUCUUUAACUCAAUAAACAAUAAUUUACCACUUAUUGUUUUAGUACUUCAUAAUAAUUUAAUCAAACCAAUUAACCAGCAACUAACCAUUGGCACCAAUUACUUUAGUUCCUGAUUAUUUUCUCCAUUAGUCAUAUCAAUAUGCACACACUUAUAAAUUGCAGACUAUCUCACUUAUGACAAUACACUAUACACCUCAUUCCUAACUCAAUUAAAUAAUCUCACUGGAAAUCAGCCAAUCCGUGGGAGACAAAUUUGUCUCCAACAAUCCCACCCUAACGCCAUUAAUCACCAAAAUUCAACCUAGCACUACUACUAAAAAUUUGUUCUUUUCAAUUUCCCGUCUAAUAACAAUAAUAUAAUAAUAAUCAUAAAGCCUUUGCUCAUAUUCACAAAAUACAUAUUGGAUUUUACCUGAAGCACUCGUCGGCCUAUCUUCAAAUUGUAUCACCGUAGUUGAAGUUCUCUUGAGUUAGAAUGGGAACUUGAUAAAAAGGAAACAUACUUACCUCUUCUAAAACUUACUCAACUCAAGGAAUAUUCAAAUUAAAACUACUCAACUUACUCAACUAAGAAGUAUGCAAGGAUAAGAUACUCAACUCAAAGAUAUGAUAUUUUUGGGAGUGGUAGAAGUGACCCACUAUUAAUUCUAAUUCUAUUUUUCUUAACCACCAACUAAAUAAAUUAUUAAAACUACCCUAUAAAUUUUAUAAUUGUAGUUACGAAUAGUCGAAAACACUCAUUUAAAAUCUAGCGAAAGAGUAUUUUAUACAAUAAAAGCUCUAAUACUCAAAACGAUCAAAUGGGCCGUUACAUUAGAUAUCAAUUUAGCCAUCGUUCGUCCUCGAAUGAUCAAAAGAAGGCGAGGGUAAUGAAGGGUAUCUGAAUCGAUAAAAAGGUGUGGAUAUCUUUCAUGCAUAUCAGCCUCACUCUCCCAACUGGACUCUUCAAAUGGAUGAUUCUUCCACUGAACCUUGACACAACCAUCAAGACAAAUAUUUUCUAACAUAACCAUGAUACAAUCCUGAAUCAUUAUUGGCUACAACCAUGAGUGAACCAGAACCAGCCACCACACACUCAUAAUGUGAAAAGGAUUCAUCUAAAAAGUAUUACCCUUUUCUACCCAUAAUGGCUACAUGGUUUUCAUGGAGACUUGAGUUAAUAAUCUUAUCAAGAUUACAUCCUCACAACAAAAUAUUUCCUUGAGCUUAAGCUAUAAAAAUAUGAAUCUUUAGACAGCAAGUAAUCAUCUAGGAGAAUCGAACUCAUCUGAUCCAAAGAUGGAAAUGAUCAAGUAACCUCCAUCGAGUGAUACGCCCAAGCAUACAAAACCUCUAACAACACUGUCGAAAUGCUAGAUUAGUAGCUAUUAUAGACAAACCUUAAGAAUGACAAAACUAGACACAAUGGUCCCUACAUUCAUUCACACAUAGCCAAAACAUGAUACCGAUGAUGAGAUAAAUCUUAAGUCUAUCAAAAAAUUGUAAAUUUUCAUGGUAGCUCUCUUAUAAAUUCUCAUAAGCAAAGUUGUGCAUGUAGAAUCACUAGUAUACUUUAACUAUCCCAAACAACACCAAAUCUUCCAGAACUGGGAUGAACAAGUCUAACCGAGGAUGCCACCCUACCAGGAGGACAAUCACGAAAUCGGUACACACAAUCCACUACUAGGGACUCACCCAUAGAAGCGAAAACACCCACGGAAGAAGAAAGUAAAUUAUACUCUAAACCUUAUUUCAUCUACAGUUUUACAGCUUUCCAUAUAUUGCUUCUUUUAUUGUUGCUUUAUUCUUGAGUAUCUUGAGUUGAAUUGUGCUUCAUCAAGUCGAGUACCUUAUUGUUGAGUUGAGCCUUAUUUCCCUGAGUUAAAUAUCUUAUCCUUUGAGUUGCAUAUCAUAUUCUUAAGUUGAGUCGAGUAAGUGAGUUAAGAAGAGGUAUGUAUGUUUUAUUUUUAUUAAUUUCAAGCUUGUAUUUAUGCUUUAAAAUUCCCCUUACAUGCUCGUACAUUUCACGUAUUGAGCCAUCGGACUGCAUCCUUUCAUGAUGCAAACACAUUUAUAUUCAGGGUCAUCAAUAGUGUAACAACCCGAGGCUACACCCUGUACGUUGCCAGCACUCGAGAACCAUUGAUGGUCCCCAAGUGAACUCUUAUCCUGGCUAACUACAAGCGGAAAACUGAUUCAAGCAUACAAAGCUUAAAAACUGAAUAAAAUCAAAAACUCAAAUACAAAAGCUUUAACUCAAAAGAAAACUCUGAAUAAAAAUAAGAUAUUCAACUCGCCAUAAAAUAGGCAACUUAAGUCUUUAAAACAUUUAAUAAAAUAAAUGAAUAAUACAGACUUCUCAACUAUACUAACUAUCUAUGAAGCCUCUAACUGAUAAAGAUGGAAGUCGGGACAAGACCCACGACAUCCUGACUAAACUUAAAAGUAAAUGAAAUCUUAUGGAAACAAGGAGGCUCACCAUAGCUAACUCAAACUACCAGAUGUAUCAACGAAUCUCCUGUUGAUAAUCCUGAAUACCUGUGUCUGCAUCAUGAGAAGAUGUAGGCCAAAUGGCUCAGUACGUGGAAUGUACGAGCAUAUAUGGGGAAUUCUAAAAAAUAAACAUAAGUUUGAAACUUGAUAAAAAGGAAACAUAAACAUAAGCUUCAAACUUAUUCAACUCAAGGAUACUAAAAACUACUCAACUUACUCAACUCAGAAGUAUUCAAGGAUAAGAUACUCAACUCAGAGAUUAGAUACUCAACUCAAAUAUAUGAUAUUUGACUCUGGAUACUCAACUCAAUCUAAAGCAACAAUACACAUGCAAUAUAUGGAAAGCUUUAAAAAACAAUAAAACAACUUAGUUCGUUAAAGAAAAUGCAAUAACAAACUCAACUUUACUUAUAUAAUAAAGUAAUAUAGUUUCUAUAAGAGUUUCUCUAACCGACAACCAUCACUUAAGAGCUAUAGUGAUGAUACAACACUUUACCUCAUGCUGCCAAGGACCAUCCUAUAUCUUGCCAUCAGUAUAAGACCUAACUUAUCCUAGUAGAUCCACUAGUCUAUGCGAAAAUGAUUCAUCUAAAAAGUAUUACCCUUUUCUACCCAUGAUGGCUACAUAGUUUUCAUGGAGACUUGAAUUAAUAGGAAACUCGCAUCCCCACAUCGGUGCUCAAUAAUACUCCCAAAAAUAUAAUACUAGCUCUUUAUGUUUAAAACAUACUUCUUUCUUUAGUUUGAGAUAAUUACUCAAAACUUAGCUUAAAAGUUGUCUUGGAAUCGAUGUUCCCUUUCUUGCUCAAACUCUUUUGGAAAUCUCAGUUUCCUUUCAUCUUAAAUGUGAAAACAAUUACUCUUGGCAAUACUUAGUUCCCAUAUAUCAAUUUUAAAGAAAAUGAACUUUACUCUUACUCUUUACUCAACUUCAAAGCUUAAGUCUUAAAACAAAGUUUAAACAUUUGUAAAAGAUUUCUAAAAAUAUGGUUCAUGUCGAUUUAUUGACGUGAAUGACUCAAUGCAAGGUUUUCAAUAACCAUAGAUAGAACUCAAUGCAUGGAACUCAAGAAUUUCAACAAUACUACUCACUUCAAGAAUGCUCAACUAAGAGGGUUCAUGCGGAAUUUAUCAGCAUGAACUACUCAACUCAAGGACUCGAAGAUACUUCUCGUUCCAAGACUGCUCGACUUAUAGGGUUCAUGCGGAAUUAUGGACAUGAAUAACCCAACUCAAGGACUUCAUGGGUAGCAUGUAAUAGUCCCAUGAUUAAGAAUGUAAUUCAAAUGGGUUAGAAACUCAAUACUUAAGACUUAGGACAUAGGGACAUUACUCCUCUCAUAGAUACUCAACUUAUGGAGUUCAUGCGGAAUUUAUGGGCAUGAACGACAUGACUCGUAGGUUCACAUAACAUUAUGGAACUCAUGAUACAACUCUUCUCAUUCUCAUACUUACUUUCUCAAAAUUUAGUUCAAAUCAAUAGUUGAUCUCAAAAGGUUCACAAUCGAACUCAAAGGCUUUUUUGAACUCUACUCUUAACUCUCUUUUGAAUGUGAAUUAUGAAUUCAAGAGUUAUGGUUCAUGCUAUGAAAGAUCUCAUGAUGACAAAGUAUACUCAAGAAUACAUUCUCCUCACUCUCAUGCUCACUUACUCGAAUCUUGAAACAGUUACUAGAAGUUGUAGAAGACUCCACAAAAGGACUCAAAAGGGACUUUCUUAGAAUGUUUAAAAAAAUCUCAAAACUUAAUCUUAGCUCUACCUUGAAUUUGAAUUAUGAAUUCAAGGUUAUGAUCAUGUUAUGAAUGAUUUCUAGGUGUUUAGAAGUAGUUUAAAGAGUUUAGAAUCAAACUGGAGUAAAGGUACCCUUUUAAAGAACUCAAACGGACGAAACGAUGGACAACGGGUGGGGGCAGACGACCCUGGCGCUCUGAGUGGCGUGGGCGCCAGCCCCUAAAAUUCAGAGAGGUGGUUGGGGCGCUCUGGCUGGCACGCCAGGCCCCAACCCAGAAACUUUCGAUGACUUUCCUUGCUCGUUUUCUCACCCAGAAAAUUCAGCAAGUUUCUUUUCUCGUUUUCUCACCCUAUUUCGAAUGGUUUCUUCCCCAAUCACUUAGAAUUGAUUACUUAACAUAAGUACACUCUAAUCUACUCAAUACAUCCCUUAAAACACUCACUUUAAUCCAAAGAAAAACAUCAAAACCCAACACAACAAGAUUUAGAAUGAACUUCAAGAACACUCAUCAAGAACUCAUCAAGAACUCUAAUAUUUCAACUUUAAGAAUAGAAAUUUGCGACUAGAAAAUAACAUGAGUUGGCGUGUGGGUGAACUAAACUAAUACUAUGGAAGCUUAAAUACCUCUUAGGGAUCAAACCCAUGGCGAAAAUCCGCUACAACACGCAAGAAUCUCGACGAACGCUUAAUCCUCUCCUCUUUUCUCCUCUUCUCUCUUCUUUUCUCUUCUUGAACUCUCAACUAAAACCCUAGGCUAAUUUUAGGAUUAUAAAACUGAACCUAGUAGGAUUAGACCCUCAAAAUAUUACUAAAAAUGAAUUGAAUCUGAUUGGGUAAGGAAAAGACCAAAAUACCCCUCUCUAUUUUCGGCAAACUUUCCUUAACUGAACAGCCUAUCUUCAAAAGGCCAUAUCUCACUCAUCCGACCUCGAAACUUAGCAAACUCAGCGGCGUUGGAAAGAUAAUUCAAAGAUAUUUCCUACGGUAUCUAAUAGAACACCUAACUCAUCUUGAUCUAGGAGUUAUUAUCAUUUGAAGUUGACCCAAAACUCAUACUUAGCUUAACUUGCAAAAUUUCAGAUUUUCCUAUUUCCAAUUUAAUUCUUUUUGGAACUCAAGGUGCUACAUCUAGUGACCUUAACCCUUAAGAAAUUUUAAUUCCUCGAUAAAAUCCUACUCACAACGAAGGAUGGUUCAAGUCUCAGUUCGAAAUUUUUUUGGGGCAUUACAAUAUCUCCCCCUUGGGAUCAUUCGUCCUCGAAUGACGACUGAACUGGGUAUGGAAUGAGUUACUCUUACUAAGGUCUGCGUCUAAUGGUACACUCUCACUAUAUUCAAGCUUAACCCAAAUCCUUAGGUUCAGGUUCUAUACCUCUCUAUAGGGAAUCUCAUCCCAAUACCAUUACUCCUUACCACCACAAUCAAGCUUAGUACUCUAGCAACUCCAUGGACUCCUACUAACAAACUCCUUCAGAGCCAACUAAGGGCUCUCAUUUAAAUAUUUCUCAUAGUAAAACCUCAUUCUAAUUUUCCUCAUUAUUUACAACCUUAGAUGGAACUAUCACACCAUCAUCAUCACGAUAUGAUCAUUAACCUCCUCUUUCUAACAUCACUUCAUUACUAAAAGGACAUCUAAAAAGAUAUCCCCCAAGCUCUUUGGAAUUCAUUACUAUCUUACUCUCAAGCACUUGACUUGAUUUCUCAUCUUAUCAUUUCCCCUUAGGUCUAAAGUUAACACUUGAAAGCUAUGGACAUAUUCCAUCAUCUCUAAAUGGUCUACCUCUUCUUUUAAUCCAACACUUGGGGGAAGUUUAUCUCAUGCCUACCAAACUCUCUAUAAGCGGUACUAAGACCUCUUUCUAAGGUGUUUCCCUUAACCUCUUCUGGUUACAUACCCUCUCAGUACACCUCUUAACGCUCUUAUUACUUUUGUGACUUAGCCACACUUCACUGCCCUUAUCUAAAUGUUAGGGUCUCUCACUUGUACCACUUAUACUAUUGUAGCUAAUCACCUAAAUUCCUCAUCUACUUUAUGUCAAGUCUUCUAGAUCAAAUAUCAAGACUAACAUCAUCACCCUCAUGUUGUCAUUCUUUUGAUCAUGACAGUCAUCUCCAAUUCAAGCUUAAUAUUUAUGACUAAACCCGAAUAUCAAUAUGAUUGCCCGCUUACUAUACUAACUUAUAGCUACUUAAUUAGUUCUAUAACCUUCUAUACAUCAUGACCCUCUCAGACAUAUCAUAAGCCUAGUUUAUAUCUAUAACCUCAUGGAUACUUUUUCUCUUCAAUUCACCACUUACACUUAGUCAUUUCCUACACAAUGACACUUCAUCACCAACUCCUUUCUAGCUACAAUACACUCUACCUCCUAUGAUGGAAUCUUCACAACUCAUCACUUCUUAGUCUACCCGUAAGGGAAAACUCCUCAUUAAUAACUUACUAGGUGUAUGACUAUAAUAACAUAGCUUGCCUCAUCACUAUCUCCCUUUCUAGGAUUACUAAACCUCUCCAUACUUUCCUCUAACUCUGGGCUCUAUCACUACUACUGCUCAUGAUCUCGUAGCUCAUGUUACCUUUUAAGAUGCAAAUACUACCCAAGCUCUAAACAUACUUUCUCAUGAUGAAACAGGACUUAAAGAAGAGAGUACAAAUCAAAUUUAGCUCAAACGCACGAUUCAUAUAAUUAUGGGUGCAUUCCUUUGAAACUGAACACUUAACUUACUCUUUGGGCUACUCUCAUCCCCCUCUGGAGUCUCGUGACUUUCUCAAGACUCUUGCUAAGAACAAAUCAUCGACAAAGAACAGACUCAGUUUUUCAACCACAUCUAGUAUGAUGGGUAGUCGAAUGAUUCUGAGAAACGCACGAGUUAAAAUAAGUCUCUAUGACAUAACUCUAAUUGCACGAUUAAGAGUAUGAAAGAAGGGAAACUUUUCUUAAAUGUCUGUAGUCCCUCAUUUAUAGAAGUGGGGCCCUCACAACCAUAAACAAGAUCCUACUUGACACAGCUUCAUAGACACCCUGGGACUCUUGAACUCUGUGCUCUGAUACCAAGUUUAUCACAACCCGAGCCUAUACCUUGGACAUGGCCGGCACUCGAGAAUCAUUACUAGUCCCCAAGCGAACCCUCAUCCUAGCUGACUACAAGCGAAAAACUGAUUCAAGCAUACAAAGCUUAAAAACUGAAAUAAAAGUUCAUAAACUUAAAUACAAACUUUAAGUCCAAAGAAAACUCUGUAUAAUAAAAUAUAUACAACUCGCCAUAAAAAAGGCAACUUUAGUCUUUAAAACAUUUAAUAAAAUGAAUGNNNNNNNNNNNNNNNNNNNNNNNNNNNNNNNNNNNNNNNNNNNNNNNNNNNNNNNNNNNNNNNNNNNNNNNNNNNNNNNNNNNNNNNNNNNNNNNNNNNNNNNNNNNNNNNNNNNNNNNNNNNNNNNNNNNNNNNNNNNNNNNNNNNNNNNNNNNNNNNNNNNNNNNNNNNNNNNNNNNNNNNNNNNNNNNNNNNNNNNNNNNNNNNNNNNNNNNNNNNNNNNNNNNNNNNNNNNNNNNNNNNNNNNNNNNNNNNNNNNNNNNNNNNNNNNNNNNNNNNNNNNNNNNNNNNNNNNNNNNNNNNNNNNNNNNNNNNNNNNNNNNNNNNNNNNNNNNNNNNNNNNNNNNNNNNNNNNNNNNNNNNNNNNNNNNNNNNNNNNNNNNNNNNNNNNNNNNNNNNNNNNNNNNNNNNNNNNNNNNNNNNNNNNNNNNNNNNNNNNNNNNNNNNNNNNNNNNNNNNNNNNNNNNNNNNNNNNNNNNNNNNNNNNNNNNNNNNNNNNNNNNNNNNNNNNNNNNNNNNNNNNNNNNNNNNNNNNNNNNNNNNNNNNNNNNNNNNNNNNNNNNNNNNNNNNNNNNNNNNNNNNNNNNNNNNNNNNNNNNNNNNNNNNNNNNNNNNNNNNNNNNNNNNNNNNNNNNNNNNNNNNNNNNNNNNNNNNNNNNNNNNNNNNNNNNNNNNNNNNNNNNNNNNNNNNNNNNNNNNNNNNNNNNNNNNNNNNNNNNNNNNNNNNNNNNNNNNNNNNNNNNNNNNNNNNNNNNNNNNNNNNNNNNNNNNNNNNNNNNNNNNNNNNNNNNNNNNNNNNNNNNNNNNNNNNNNNNNNNNNNNNNNNNNNNNNNNNNNNNNNNNNNNNNNNNNNNNNNNNNNNNNNNNNNNNNNNNNNNNNNNNNNNNNNNNNNNNNNNNNNNNNNNNNNNNNNNNNNNNNNNNNNNNNNNNNNNNNNNNNNNNNNNNNNNNNNNNNNNNNNNNNNNNNNNNNNNNNNNNNNNNNNNNNNNNNNNNNNNNNNNNNNNNNNNNNNNNNNNNNNNNNNNNNNNNNNNNNNNNNNNNNNNNNNNNNNNNNNNNNNNNNNNNNNNNNNNNNNNNNNNNNNNNNNNNNNNNNNNNNNNNNNNNNNNNNNNNNNNNNNNNNNNNNNNNNNNNNNNNNNNNNNNNNNNNNNNNNNNNNNNNNNNNNNNNNNNNNNNNNNNNNNNNNNNNNNNNNNNNNNNNNNNNNNNNNNNNNNNNNNNNNNNNNNNNNNNNNNNNNNNNNNNNNNNNNNNNNNNNNNNNNNNNNNNNNNNNNNNNNNNNNNNNNNNNNNNNNNNNNNNNNNNNNNNNNNNNNNNNNNNNNNNNNNNNNNNNNNNNNNNNNNNNNNNNNNNNNNNNNNNNNNNNNNNNNNNNNNNNNNNNNNNNNNNNNNNNNNNNNNNNNNNNNNNNNNNNNNNNNNNNNNNNNNNNNNNNNNNNNNNNNNNNNNNNNNNNNNNNNNNNNNNNNNNNNNNNNNNNNNNNNNNNNNNNNNNNNNNNNNNNNNNNNNNNNNNNNNNNNNNNNNNNNNNNNNNNNNNNNNNNNNNNNNNNNNNNNNNNNNNNNNNNNNNNNNNNNNNNNNNNNNNNNNNNNNNNNNNNNNNNNNNNNNNNNNNNNNNNNNNNNNNNNNNNNNNNNNNNNNNNNNNNNNNNNNNNNNNNNNNNNNNNNNNNNNNNNNNNNNNNNNNNNNNNNNNNNNNNNNNNNNNNNNNNNNNNNNNNNNNNNNNNNNNNNNNNNNNNNNNNNNNNNNNNNNNNNNNNNNNNNNNNNNNNNNNNNNNNNNNNNNNNNNNNNNNNNNNNNNNNNNNNNNNNNNNNNNNNNNNNNNNNNNNNNNNNNNNNNNNNNNNNNNNNNNNNNNNNNNNNNNNNNNNNNNNNNNNNNNNNNNNNNNNNNNNNNNNNNNNNNNNNNNNNNNNNNNNNNNNNNNNNNNNNNNNNNNNNNNNNNNNNNNNNNNNNNNNNNNNNNNNNNNNNNNNNNNNNNNNNNNNNNNNNNNNNNNNNNNNNNNNNNNNNNNNNNNNNNNNNNNNNNNNNNNNNNNNNNNNNNNNNNNNNNNNNNNNNNNNNNNNNNNNNNNNNNNNNNNNNNNNNNNNNNNNNNNNNNNNNNNNNNNNNNNNNNNNNNNNNNNNNNNNNNNNNNNNNNNNNNNNNNNNNNNNNNNNNNNNNNNNNNNNNNNNNNNNNNNNNNNNNNNNNNNNNNNNNNNNNNNNNNNNNNNNNNNNNNNNNNNNNNNNNNNNNNNNNNNNNNNNNNNNNNNNNNNNNNNNNNNNNNNNNNNNNNNNNNNNNNNNNNNNNNNNNNNNNNNNNNNNNNNNNNNNNNNNNNNNNNNNNNNNNNNNNNNNNNNNNNNNNNNNNNNNNNNNNNNNNNNNNNNNNNNNNNNNNNNNNNNNNNNNNNNNNNNNNNNNNNNNNNNNNNNNNNNNNNNNNNNNNNNNNNNNNNNNNNNNNNNNNNNNNNNNNNNNNNNNNNNNNNNNNNNNNNNNNNNNNNNNNNNNNNNNNNNNNNNNNNNNNNNNNNNNNNNNNNNNNNNNNNNNNNNNNNNNNNNNNNNNNNNNNNNNNNNNNNNNNNNNNNNNNNNNNNNNNNNNNNNNNNNNNNNNNNNNNNNNNNNNNNNNNNNNNNNNNNNNNNNNNNNNNNNNNNNNNNNNNNNNNNNNNNNNNNNNNNNNNNNNNNNNNNNNNNNNNNNNNNNNNNNNNNNNNNNNNNNNNNNNNNNNNNNNNNNNNNNNNNNNNNNNNNNNNNNNNNNNNNNNNNNNNNNNNNNNNNNNNNNNNNNNNNNNNNNNNNNNNNNNNUUUUCUUCUUUUCUCUUCUUGAACUCUCAACUAAAACCCUAGGCUAAUUUUUAGGAUUAUAAAACUGAACCUAAUAGUAUUAGACCCUUAAAAUAUUACUAAAAAUGAAUUAAAUCUGAUUGGGUAAGGAAAAUACCAAAAUACCCCUCUCUAUUUUCGGCUAAUUUUCCUUAACUGAACAACCUAUCUUCAAAAGGCCAUAUCUCACUCAUCCGACCUCGAAACUUAGCAAACUCAGCGGCGUUGGAAAGAUAAUUCAAAGAUAUUUCCUAUGGAAUCUAAUAGAACACCUAAAUCAUCCUGAUCUAGGAGUUAUGAUCGUUUGAAGUCAACCCAAAACUCAUACUUAGCUUAACUUGCAAAAUUUCAGAUUUUGCUAUUUCCAAUUUAAUUCUUUUUGGAACUCAAGGUGCUAUAUCUAGUGACCUUAACACUUAAGAAAUUUUAAUUCCUCGGUAAAAUCCUACUCACAACGAAGGAUGGUUCAAGUCUCAGUUCGAAAUUUUUUUUGGGGUAUUACAAACAGGAGCUUCGUUGAUACCACAUGGAGUUCGAGUUAGCUAUGGUGAGCCUUCUUGCUUUCAGAGGAUUUCAUUUACUUAUCAGUUGUUAGGAUGUCGUGGAUCUUGUCCUGACUUCCAUCUUUGUCAUUUAGAGGCUUCAUAGAUAUACAAUAGAGUUUCAAAAGUCUGUUAAUUUAUUUUGUUAAAUGUUUUAAAGACUUAAGUUGCUUAUUUUCGGGAGAGUUGAAUAUAUUAUAUUAUUCAUAGUUUUGUAUUGAUUUAAAGCUUUGUAUUUAAGUUUCAUGAAUUUUUAUUCAGUUUUUAAUCUUUUGCAUGCUUAAGUUUGUCUUCCGCUUGUAGUCAACCAAGGAUGAGGGUUCGCUUGGGGACCAACAAUGGUUCUUGAGUGCCGGUCACGUCCAGGGUGUAGGCUUGGAUCGUGACACCAAAACCGAACUAAAAUAAAUUCAGUUCAGUUCGAUUCAAUUUUUCGAUUUGAAUAUAAUCGGGCCCUUUUCUUAUCAUCAUUCAUCAGUUAACUUUUCUAAUACUAGGCAUUUGCAUUUGGUCUAAUUGAUAUGAGCCAACUGUUAGCUUAGGAAUAUCCCUCCAGUCAUGAUACAUAUGAGCUUCAUUAGAAAUAACGUGUUUAGCUAAUGCAUCUGCAAUUUGGUUAACUUCUCUAUGACAAUGAUUUACUUCAUAAUUGAUCUUUGCAACAACUUGUAAGAUGUCUUCCACAACACCUUUGAUCUUCAAUUGAGGCUUGUCCAUUCCUUACCAUAUCAACCACCAUUUUUUAGUCUAAUUCAAGAUAGCAAUCGUGAAAUCCUUGUUGUGGAUGAUGAUAACUAAAAUAAUAUAAUUCAUUACUAGUUAGUAUCUAAACUCAUAGCUCGUCUCAUCCCAAUAUUACUUUGGGCAGAUCAUUUUCCUACUCGAUCAUCUAAACUCCUAGGUUUUUUUCCCUUAUAUAUAUGAUGAUGCGAUCUCCUUUUGUAUUACUAUUAAUUGUGUAACAAGUAACGAUAUCGAGACCUUGAUUAACAACAAAUACAAAAGUAACCCUAACUUAAAAAGAAACCACAAACUAAAGAAAUUUAUGUAUUUUUGAAUGAAGAAGGUAAGGUAAGGUAAUAGGCUAAUUGCUAGCUUGUUUAUUUAUUGAUAAGCAUACAUUAAUUUACAUGGAGCGAUAGAAGGAUAUAUCCACUUUAUUUAGAAAGCUGCAAGCUAGCCAGCUAAUUAGCAUUCUACGCCUUGAUGAACACAAAUGGAAUAAAUUCCUUAUCGUCAUCGACAGUCACCAGACGAGGAUAUCCAUUUUUAAAGUUGCCGCCGAUAUUUUUGCACUGAAGAUGAGAGGGACAAUGCAGUAACUUGUAUACAUUUUUGGAACCUCCUGGUGUCACCAAGUCAGUUUUCCUAAUUUUGAAGAUGUCGUUUUCAUUUCCUACCUUACCACCAGUUUGGUCAACACACAACUUUGUUGUUUUAACAAAGAACUUGAUAUAAACACCAGUCAUUAUACGCACCACAUCACCAUAAUCCGACUCCGACUUACGAACGAACAUGACGGGCGUGCCUUCUCCCAAAAAUUGGGGAAUCGACAUGUGCUGCAACAUGGCGUUUGGGCAUUGAAGGUUUCCAAUAUUGUACAAGUAUACGGCUCCGGCCCCGAGGAGAGGAUUGUUAAUAAUGUACCUCUCACCAAUCCUCAGCGGAUUGCCAUCUUGGUCAUAAACUUCAGGGAGUACAAGAUUAUCAUCAUCAUGACAAGUUGUGGGGAGGACAAUUGGAUUUUCAGAAGUGAAAGAUCGAGCAAAGGCAACCAAAGAGAGGUACUUGAAAGCAAGAGGAAACUCAAAAUAUUAAUCGACUUCAUCUUUCUUUGUGUGUUGUGCUUGCUAUGAGUCUAUGUCCAAUUUAUAGACCUGCUAAGGGCAUUUUUGACAAACAAAAAAUGAAUACCUACUACCGCCUUAGACACCUCAAAUAAGUUUUAUCCAUUUUAAAUAACUAAUAUCAAGCUUCAAUAUUAAGUCACUCUGAACACUUUUUUUUUUUUACUAUCAACAAAAAUAUAUAGUACAUAAUAUGUGUUACACUGAAUAAUAUGUAAAGUAUCAAAUUAAAUAAAGACAUUUAUUAUUUGUCUCCAAAAUAAAUCUUAAAUAAUAAAUUUUGAGUAAAAAUAAAAAACGGCCAAUAAUUCAAUUUGUAGGAUAUUUAUUAUUUAAUGUGGCUUUAACUAGAGAAGUUGGUAAAAUUAAUAAAUAUUACUUGAGAAUAUUGUCCAUUGUGCUUAAAGGACUCUUGAAACUUGACAUCUAGUGGAGAACCAUUCAUGGGAUUAUUGCACUAAUAAAAUUAAGUUGCAACACCUAAUUUUACUUACCAUACUCAUGUACAUAAUUAUUAAGGAUAAAAAAAAUUAUCCGUAUAUAAUGUAUACACUAACCUAAUAUAUGAAUGACAUGUGUUUGAAUUUAUGGUUCAUUUUAUAUAAUUUUAAUUAAAUAACAUUUGUUUUGCUUCAUUUUAAUAAUUUAUAUUCACCACUGAAUACAAAUAACAGGCUAAUAAUUCUAAAAAUUGAUAUUAAUGUGCUACCUGGCAUGGAAUUAUUCCACAAGUAAAAUAUGUCACUGAAGUACGAUCGAGAUUUAUACCACUGAUUAUUUUGUUACCUAUCAAGAAUGGAUCUUAAAAAUAAUGGCAAAUCAUUAUUAUGAAAAAUGAUUUUUUUUUUAGAUUCUUUUUUUUGACAAAUUAAUAAUUGAAGGAUAGGAUUUGCGUUAUAUGAUAUAUAGAACUUAGUUUUGAAUUUGAGUAAAUUGAGUGUUGAAACUCAAGAAUAAUUAGGCAAAAUAAAAAUUGCACUUCAAAUACAUAUAACUGAAGUUUUAGUCAAUUUUUAUACACUUCAAUCAUAUGUACAUUCAAUAAAAUUAAAAUAAUGUUAAAUGAGUUUGUUAAAUUUAUUGUUAUUUUGAUAAAUUGUUGAUUCAAGUUUGUUUCAUACGAUUGUAGAUCUGAUCUUCGACUAAAUUCGGAUCGGGCUCUGCAAGGCCCAUUAGAAGGUGACACUCCCAACAGGAUUUUCUCCAUACCCAGGGCUCGAACCCGAGACCUCUGGUUAAGGGUGAAGCACUCCCACCAGUGCACCACAACCCAUGUUGGUCCUAAAGUCAUUAUUAUUAAUUAGGUAGGUACGUUCAAAAUAAUUCUUUAAAAAGUGAUCAUAUCCGAUCUUAAUCAAAUACAACUCUAACUCCAAUUUUAAAUUUUAAAUAAUACUCCCUCCGUCCCCUUUUAGUUGUCAUGCUGCACUUUUCAAAAAUCAUUUUGAAUUAUUUUUCAAUUUUAAUUAGAUUACAUUAAAGAUAUUUUAAAUUAAAAAUUUAGAUAUAUAUUUAAAAGCUAUACAAAAAGUACUAUAAAUUGUAAUUUUUUGCAUAUCAAUAUGAUGAAAAAAUACAUCGUAAAAAAUUGUCAAAGUUCUUAUUGUUUAACUCUAAAAAAAAGUCAUACAACUAAAAAAGAAUAAAGUGAAUAUAAAUAUAUUUAAUUUUCAUGAUCAAAUGCAUACUAAAAUAUAUUAGUCAAGUUGCCAAUCGCCGUAAUGAUGAAAGGAAACAGGUGAAUGCAGCUCAUAUCACUGAAAAUAAAGCACUUUAUACUUCAUCUUUUCAGCACUACCAGCGUAUAAAAAAAAUGAAAAUGUGUAAUUUUCAAGUUUAAUACUAAGCCGUAGAGAGUUUGUUUUGAUAAACUUGAGGGGGGAAAGCAAAAUUAAGGCAUUAACAAAUGAAUAAAGAUGAACUUAUAUGCUUUGAUUAUAAAAGUAGUCUAACAUUAUUUGUUUGUAAAAUUUGGAUGCAGUUAAACAUGGUUAUUAAAGAAUCACUUCGACUGUAUCCACCAGAUCCUAUCAUUGAACGAAUGGCUUGUGAAGAUAUGAUUUGUUAAACAUCUUAAUUUUUCAAUAAAAUAUUUAUUUUUUUCAAAAUAAGCACUUUUGAUCUCAUAACAAUAAUGCGGCUUUUAACCAUGCCGGUUAUAGUUAUACGGGUUGGGUUAUCUAUAGAAAAGUUAAAUGUACGGAACAAACCAAAUUCAAAUUAAACCUAUUAAUAAGCGAUUGAGACGUAAUUAUUUUUAAUAUGUACAUUGUGAAUCACACGUACUCAAUGGUCCCGUAAAUCUUAAUCGUAUUUUGGAUAAAAGCCACCUGACUGCUUAGAGAUUUAAUUAUUUUGGAUGUAUUUGAUAUUUUCCCACCGAACACCUUAUCUUCAGUCUCACUUCUUGUAGUGUCUAUCUUCACCAUCCCACACUUUUAUUUUUAUCAUUGUGUGUUUUAAUAUAUUUAUCUAGAUUAUAUAUAAAUAUUUUUUAUUUACCUACUAAACACAUAAAAAUUUUAUUUUCUUGAGAAACAUCUUUCAAAAAGAAUAUUUUCUUUCAUAACGAAUAUACCCUAAACAACCACAAAUGUUAAUAUCAACAUUUUGGUUUUAAUUGAGUUGAAAUGUUUAGAAAGAAGAACAAAAAAGAAAUGAAAACUAUUAGGCAUAUAAAAGUACAAAAUAGUUAACCAAACAACAAUAAUUAAGAUACCAAAAAUGCAAAUAAUUUUCUAGUCAUGAUUUUGUGCUGAAAGUUUUUAGAUAACUUUUAUAUGUACUUCAGUCAUUUUGUCUUGGUUUUAAUAACCUUAGUUAAAAAUGUUUGAAGGUAAAAGUUCUGUAAAAUGCUUGAAAUUUUGUCUUUAUCUAAUUUACAACUUCAAUAAAAAUUGUCUGAAUUUUUUUUUUAUGAUGACCUUCACAAAGGCACACCUUAGACAAAUAUGUUUAUAGGUCUAGGUUUUAAGUUGUAAAAUUUCUGUUCCAUAUUAGUUGUUCAUCUUUUAAAAAAAUAAUUUACCCAUAAUUUUUUUAAAAAAAAACUUUACAAACUUAUUUACAGUUUUUAAAAAGAAUUAAUUAUUAUAAGGAUAAAAAGAGAAAAUAAUAAUUAAUUCUCUCCUGAUUUUAUAAAUUGACAAAUAAUUUAAAAAACAUAUAUUUUUAAAAUAUGAACGACUAAUAUUGAAUGAACACUAAACAUCAAAGAAAUUAAAGAAUAAUUAAGUAGCCAAAUGUUCCGUUCCUAUCAUCAACUCUACUUGGAGUUGCACUGUUGCAGGCCAAUAAUGGAUAUAUAUUAUAUACUAAUGUGCCGAUGGGACCAUUAUUAGACCAUAGUUAUAACCAAUAAAGUGAUUCUAUUAAAAUAGUGAAGUAGAGAGGUGUUUUUAAAGCUAUCAAUAGUUCGAAAAUAAAAUUAAUAAUUCAUAUCAAAUUCAGAAGUGUUUUUAAUAUUUUUGUCUAUCAUCUAUUCUCAACUUUUAAAUUUGAGAGUUCAUAAACAAUAUAUGUCCUCUCAGUUUUUAAAUUCGUUCAACUUCACCAUUAUUAACAUUGUGAAAUUAAUUCAAUGUCAAUUGUUCAUACUAUGGACAAACCCUAAAUUACAUAAAUUGAAACAAAAGAUUAUACAAUAAAAUUAAUUUAGUACUAAAAAUAGCGUAAAGGGCUGAAACUAACGAACAUGGUUAAUUAAAAUUGAGGAACAUCGUAUCUUUUUGGCCUAAAAGAUAUUUGAAUACUAUACUAAUAUAUAUCCACCAUUGAAGAUAAAUACCAACAGGCUAACAACCAAGUUAUUUUCAUUUUCGUCAUGUAAUCUUAGCUUGUUAAAGCCAAAAAUGAAUAUAAUGUCUUGACGGGACCGCACGUGUUACUAUCCCAUAACUAAAACGGAGUUCAGAACUAAAAGGGUAAUAAUUUUUUUUCAAAAAUUUCAAAAAGAUAACUAAAUUAUAUAUGAAACCAAAAUGACAAUAAUUUAUAAUGACGUCUAAAUUAGAGUUUUUGCCGCAAGAUACAAAAACCCAUGAGCGAUGCAACAACUUUUAGCCUUGUAAAGCUCAGCUGGCGUGAGCCUUACAAGGCGCAAGGCAGGCUAUUUUUUUCAAAUAAAAAAGUUUUUAUGGUGUACGGUCCUUAAGGCUACACGUUUGCAAACUCGACCGCCCAUUUUUUUGUUAGAUAAAUAAAAAAAUCUGACUAUUUUGUUGAGAUGUUAAAUCAUCCAACUUUAAAUUUAUCUAAAAUGCAGUACCUUUUUUACAAAAAUACAAUGUAUUUUAGUCGGUUAUUUUUUAAAAAAAAAUUAUGCCUUUUUGAGUUAUCAAAAUAGGAUUUCUAUUGACCGUAAGCUUAAUUUGAUAAUGCAAAAAAAUUUAAAAUAAAUAAAUUGUAUAUUGUAAGUAAUGCACAUUUUCAACACACGUAUGCAUAUUAGGGGUGAAGCUAUAUAGUUCUUAUGACACUUUUUUAAGCUUGGUUUUCUAAAGAAUGUUUGGAUGUGUCGUUUACUUAAAUAUAAUGUUUAUUUUGAUGAUUAGUUAAAUUUAAUUUAUAUCAUUAAAUUUAUUAUUAGGUAAUAAUGUGAUUUUUUAUUUUGUGUAAUGGUUGAUUUAGUAUGAAUGUAUGGUCAUAAUAUAUAUAUUUUUUAUUUUGUUUCACUUACUAUUUAAUAAUUGUAUUUUAUUAUUUACUCUUUCUUUUUAUAGUAAAUCUACUCCGUACUCUAUUUUUCUGGUGUGUUUAUCUUUUUAAUUUUUUUUGAUAUUAUGUAAUUAUCGAAAAAGAUACAAUUUAAUAUAACAUAAUAUAAUAUAUUAUAAAAUGACAUGUAACAGCCAUCCAAACAAAGUAUAAAUAUAUAGUUUCAUCAAAAGUUAUGGUGAUAAAAUGAUAAAUUUCGUAGUGAGGUUUAGGUUCGAAUUAUAACAACGAAGUCACUUUUUAAUAAAUAAUAUUUUAUACCUUUAACAUGAGUUUUUAAAAAAAAAUUGAACUCAGAUGCGGAAUCUCAAUACGAAUAUUGAGCCUAAAAAGCACUCUAUAAAAGAAGGUCAUAAAUAAAUAGUCCAUUUAAUGGUAAAUUUUAUCCUUUUGUCAAUAAAAAAAAAGUCCAUGAUUAAUCUUUUCCGAUAUUUGGUAUUGCAUUUUAGUUCUAAAUUAAACACCUUUUACCUGAUUUGAUUACAAAUAUAUAAUAAAUUACUUGAAUCAUCAAAGAAAAAUGUGUACAUUAAUUAAUCAGAACCGACAGACUUAGGAAAUAUAUUAUUAGUCAUAGGCUCAUAGGACAUGGAUCUUGUUCCAUAUUUACUAGUUAUAAUAACUACUGUAACAUUUAUAUAUUUAAUUAAGCCAAAUAAAUAUAAUCUUUUCAGAUUUUUUUUUUUUUUAAAUAGCCUUGCGCCUUGUAAGGCUCAUGGCGGUUGAGCCUUACAAGGCUAAAAGUUGUUGCGCCUUGUAAGGCUCAUGGGUUUCUGUGCCUUGCGGCAGAAACUCUAUUUGAGACGCCGUUACAAAUUGUUACCCUUUUGAUUUCAUAAAUAAUUCAGUUGCCCUUUUGAAAUUUUUGAAAAAUUUUGUUGCCCUUUUGGUUCCGAAGGCCCCCUCAUUUUGAAGUUUUGGUUUCUUAAAUCUUGUUAUCCUUGAAUUUUUCUAGCACUUAAAGUUUUGGUUUCUUAAAUUUUUUUAUUUCUUUCAAUGUAUUAAGUUUCUUUCUAUUUCAUUCUGAUUAAAUAAAAAAAAACUUUAUUUUACUAUCUUUGUUGUGGUUAAAACUUAAAAAUAAUUAAAUGAAUUGAUCACGUAUUUGAAACAUAAUGACAUGUUUUUCUCAUAUAUUAUUGGAAAAAAUAAUAAUUUUCAUACCGAAUAAAUUAAAUUAAUAUUAUUUUAAUCCAGUAACUUGAACUUAAUGAUGAUUGUGUUUUGAUUGUAGUUGCAUUAGUAAUGAAAUAACUUGGUGAUAUCGAAGAGACAGAGUGAUUGAUUGAAAACAUAUAUAAUAAAAAUAAUAUAUCCUCGGGGAUAUUGGAAAAUUGUUAUACAAAUGAAUUUCUACAACAACAAUAAACAAUGAAACUUCUACUUCAAUUCAAUAUACGAUAAAAUUAACUCCUAGUCAAAGCAACAUAUAAUACACAUUUGCAUUCAUUACAAUAGUAUUUCUUGAGCUUUUUCUUUUUUCCAUCCUUAAACCUAAUUUAAGUCUACUGGGCAUGUCUAAUUAAAAUUAAUAUGCAAUUGAUUAAACAUAAAAGGACCUUAUCCAUGAAAUCCACAUCACGUAAUCAAUAACAAUGCAUAUUACAACUUGGAUUUAGUCGUAACUCCAAUGCAAACUGAUCAAUAAUGAAUAUUAAUGUCGUGAUGGUACCGGAUGGGAUUAUCCAUAAGUAAUUAAUACGUAGCACUUAUUAAUUACUAAAACAUAUGUUGGGUUUAGUAAGGUGUGAAUGGGAAAUAAAAAGAGAAAAUGGAAAGUGGAAGAACCAAUAAAAAUGGGGGAACCAAUUUGGAGGGAAAAUGAAAAAUCAUUGCAAAAGUGCAAAUGAAUAGUCAUUUUUACCAUAUUGGUAGAAGAGAGAAAAUCGUUGUCCUUAUAUUAGGAAACACUUCCUUUAGUUCUUAAAGGGUUAAGAAGAAGGUGCCCCUCGCGACAUCGUCGUCGCUCGCUCGGCUUUGGCAAUUGAUUGAUAAUAUUUUUUGGACAAAAUUUAUUUAAUAAAUUUUGUUAAAUCAUUUCCUUUCUCUUAUAAAUUAAUUCAGAAAGUUAGUUAACUAACAGAUUUAAUUUGGCGCAACUGAAUUUAUUGAAAUUCACAUGUAACGGUAAUCCUUCCGAAAAGUUGUUACUUUCCGAAAGGUCGUUACUUUUCCCAAACGGUAAUCCUUCCGAAAAAUCGUUAUUUUCCCAAAAGACACAAUGUUCUGGAAGAAACGGGUCUGGAUAGAUUUUUCUGAACAGACGCGUUCCUUGCUGCAAAUGGCUAUAAAUAAGAGGUCUUUUUCGUUUUUUAAAACACUGAAAAUUUUUCCUCUCUGCAUUCAUUUUCUUGCAUAAAUAAAAUUGUCGAUCGACUAAGUCUGUGUGUGCUCUUGUUGUUGUUCUUGCGUUCGCUGAAGUUAUUAAAGUUUGAGGUACCGCUACUUCUUUAACAGGUUAAUCCGUUUUAUCUUGGGAGGGAUUAAUCUGCAGCCUCGGAUACAGUGAGGGGAUUAAAUUUCUUAAGGAAACACAGUGGUUUCUGUGGACUCGGAUUAAAAAAUUCAUUCUGUCUAUUUCAUCUUUUUUCUGUUUCUGUAUUUUUGACUAACCUGAAUACAGGAGAUAACAACAUAUUUGUUUGAAAGCAGAAAUUAAUAAAUAAAGAACCUAGCUUUUUUAUUCAUCAUAAGCAUAAAUAUUACAUAGAGUGGGCUAGAAGCAUGCUCCACAUUAUUUUAGAAAGCGAUCGAGCUAGGUUAUAAUAAGCAUAGAUAAUUAACUAUGCAUCAUUCUUGUUUACUUUGGUGAAGCCAAAGGGAUAAGGCUUGUUAUUGAGAGCCAGACGGUAGUAACCACUAUUGUAGGUCAAUCCGACAUCUGCACAAUCAAAGUUACAUGUUGGACAAAUAUAUUGACUAGGACAAUACCUUAACUUGUAAGAAUAAGGUCUCCCCGUCUCAUAUUUCUCAAUCUUGAACCAGUUCUCUAUGUUAUUAGGCCCUGGAAAUCCUAAGGUACCACCAGUUAUAACAAACCUAAGUGGUGAAUGCGUCGGCCCUACGAUGGAAUAACCAACUUUCCAAACAGUUUCGUUAACACAUGACUUAGUUGAAGAAGAAGAAGUUGAGAACUUUAUACUAACAUCUUGAUUUUCAUAAACGAAAUGACUUCCAAGUUUCAUAGUAUAAAACAACAGAGGUGUGCUGUUAUCAAAUUCACCAGAACUGUCCUGCACAACGCCAUUUGGGCAUUUGGUGUUUCCAAGAUCAGUUAAGUAUAUGUUUCCACCGCCAUAGGGAAUACUGAUAACGGAGUACUCCUCGUUUAUCUUGAGUGGUUCGCCCUCCAUGUCCAGCACGGGAGGGAAUACAACAUUCCCAUUAUUAUCAGAAAUGGAAAAUUCAUGAGAAAAGGCAACCAAACUUGAAACCAAUAGGAAACUCAAAAUAGUACUAAUACACUUCUUCAUCUUUAAUUUGUUUGUGUGUUUUACUUGCUAUGACUCUAUCUCCAAUUUAUAGAGCUGCUAAGGGCAUUUUUGACAAACAAAAAAUGACCUUUUAUUUUAGGUUAUAAUAACCUAAAGAAAAUAAGUAGUACAUAACAUAUUUUUUUUAUUUUUAACAAAUAAAUAAUGAUCACAAAGAAUUGAAAAUGGGAAGGUUAAUGUUCUAUUUAUUCAAUCUAUGUUAAUUUUUAUAUAUAGUACCUUUUUUUUUAUAACUUUGAAGCAAAAAUAUUUAUUUAUAUAUAUAGGCUAUAGCUAUAAGAUUUUGUUUUCAAAUAAUUUUAUUAUGGUUAUGGGUCCUAUAUUCAUCCCUCCCACUGUCAAAGUUUGCGUCAAACAACUAUAUAUAUAUAUUUUAUUUUAUUUUUUUCUUGUAAAUUCGAAACUCAACUUAAAAUAAUAAUUAAAUAUUCCAUUGCAAAACUACAUAAAGUUCCCAGUUUUAUUUUCUCAAUUUUUAUUGUAGUAAAAAAGUUGAGAAAUUAACAUUGUCAAUUUAAUUUUUGUAGUUAAGGAAUUUUAUGAUUUCGUGGAUAGUCAUAAGUUCGAACUUUUGUAGCUAUUACUAGAUAUUAGCCCUGACUAGCUUUUAAAUUCAUAGCUAAAUCUUAGUAGUAAAGUUCCCAUUUUUAUUUUCUGAACUUCAAUUAUAUAGUAAUGAAGUUGAGAAAUAACGGUCACAUUAAUUUUUAUAGGUAAGAAAGUUAAUAAAAUUGUGGAUAGUCAUGAAACUCGAAUUUUUGUAGCUUUUACAAGAUCAUCCUUAAAAGUUCUUUUUUAUUAAAUUUGAAAGAACUUAAAAUAAGUUAUUCAAACAUAUUCUAACUUAUAAUUAAAUUCUAACUUAUAUUAUUGUAAUUUAUGACGCUUAUAAUUAUAUUCUACCUUAUAAUAUUUUAAUUUAUACAUCAUAAGUUAAAGCGAAAUUAAAUAGGCUCUUGGUUAACUAUAUACUAGUACAAGGAGUCCGUGCUAGCACGAGCUCAAUAUCUUAAUAUUUUUUUAUUUUAAUUUAUAUGAUAUAGAUAGAAUUUAGAAAGUUGAUUAAAUUUUAAUGUGAUUUUUAGAUAUUUAAGUUGUUAAUUACUUUUUGUUUGCGCAAAUUUACUGUGAAGAGUUUCAUUAAGAUGUCCAUAAUUAAUGUACUUUUCGUCAUCAAUCGUUGAUUUUUCUUAUUUUUUAAUAAUUAGUUUACAAAUUACAUAACUACAUAGGAAAAAUUCACCACAAAAAUAAAUAAUAUCUUAUUUUUUUCCCUAAUCUUGCAAAAGUAUUGUUUUUACCUUUCUUCUAAUCCUACAAAAAAUACAUAAAAUUUAAAAUGUAAUAUGUAAUCACAAAAUUAAAAAAAUAGUACAUAAAAAUAAAACAUAUUUUUUUAAAAAUGAAACUUAGCAAAACUUAUGAGAUGUGUUAAUUGAUUAAUAAGAUAUAUUUAAACCCAUUAAUUAGCGAUUGAGACAUAAUAAUUUUUUAUAUGUACAUUGUGAAUCACACGUACUCAAUGGUCCCGUAAAUCUUAAUGAUAUUUUGGAUAAACACCACAUGGCUGCUUAGAGAUUUAAUGAUUUUGGAUGUAUUUGAUAUUUUCCCACCGAACACUUUAUCUUCAAUCUCACUUUUUGUACGUAGUGUAUAAGAAUUUUAUUUUCUUGAGAAACAUCUUUCAAAGAGAAUAUUUUUUUUCGUAAUUAUUAUACCCUGAACAACCACAAAUGUUAAUAUCAACAUUUUGGUUUUUGAGUUGAAAUGUUAGAAAGAAAAACAAAGCAGAAAUGAGAAUUAUUAGGCAUACAAAAGUACAAAAUAGUUAACCAAACAACAAUAAUUAAGAUACCAAAAAUGCAAAUAAUGUUCUAGUCAUUCCGCACCAGAGACCUUUCUAAUGAGUGCUGAAAGUUUUAGAUAACUUUUAUAUGUACUUCAGUCAUUAAUUUUGUCUUGGUUUUAAUAACCUUAGUUUAAAAUGUUUGAAGUUUAUCAUUGUUAAGGCUACAAUUUUUUGUCAAAAAUGUUUGAAGUUAGAUAGUCUUCGCAACAAGGUAAGUUCUGUAAAAUGCUUGAAAUUUUGCCUUUACCUAAUAUAAAACUUCAGUAAAAAUUGUCUGAAUUUUUUUUUUAUGAUGACCUUCACAAAGGCACACCUUAGACAAAAAUGUUUAUAGAUCUAGGUUUUAAAUUGUAAAAUUUCUGCUCCAUAUUAGUUGUUUAUUUUUUUAAAAAAAUAAUUUAUCCAUAACCUUUUUUUAAAAUUUUUUUACAAACUUAUUUACACUUUUUAAAAAGAAUUAAUUAUUAUAAGGUUAAAAAGAGAAAAUAAUAAUAAUUAAUUCACUUUUAAUUUUAUAAAUUGACAAAUAAUUUGAGAAAAGUGUUUUUAAAAUAUGAACAACUAAUAUUGAAUGAAGGGAUCCGAGUAAAAUUAAGCUAUAACACCUUAAUUAGUUUUACUUAUCAUACGUUUGUGUUAGGGUUUUGCCCUAAUUUUCUUACCUUAUUUGAAGUUUAUAUUUUCCUAAAAGAAAAGACAAAACAUCACCAUAAAUGUUUUUACUUUUUGAAAGGAAAAUAUAAUUUUCUUCCAUAUUUGGGUUAUUUCUUCCUUAGAGGAAAUGUUUGGAAUCCUAUAAAUCGAAGACCUCUCCUCUCAUAUCAAGAACAACAAGAGCAUCCACAAUGUAGGGGAGAUUUUCUCAUAAACAUAUUUAUGAUUUUUUAAUAUUAGUUUUCAAUAUGUAGGUCGCUUGACCAAACCAUAUUAAUAAUAUGUCUUUAGUAUUUUCUUUAUUUGUCGUCUGAUUUCUCAACCAUAUGAUUUGCAAUUAUAUUUCUGUUUAUUAUCAAUUCUCAUUGUGAAUGUUUUUUUUUGGUUUCCCAUCCAGUGUUCGGAGCCCACAUUGGAGCUCCGACUAAAUUCAGAUCACGCUCUGCAAGGCCCAUUUGGGGUGGGAGCAAAUUCGUUCAACCUCAUAGUUACUGACAUUGUGAAAUUAAUUCAAUGUUUUUUUUUUUUGAUUUUCCACCCGGUGUCCGGAGCUCACAUUGGAGCUUCGACUAAAUCCGGAUUGCGCUCUGCAGGGUCCAUUCGGGGGUGGCGCUUCCAACAGGAUUUUCUCCAUACCCAGGGCUCGAAUCCGAGACCUCUGGUUAAGGGUGAAACACUCCCACCAAUGCACCACAACCCAUGUUGGUUAAUUCAAUGUUAAUUGUAUGUACUAUGGACGAACCCUAAAUUACAUAAACUGAAACAAAUGAUUAUACAAUAAAUUAUUUUAGUGCUAAAAACAGCGUAAAAAAUUGAGGGAUAUCGUAUCUUUUUGACCUAAAAGAUAUUUGAAUACAUCACCAUUGAAGAUAGAUACCAACAGGCUAACAACCAAGUUAUUUUCAUUUUUGUCAUGUAAUCUUAGCUAGUUAAAGGCCAAAAAUGAAUAUUAAUGUCUUGAAGGGACCGCAUGUGUUACUAUCCCAUAACUAAAACGUGCCAAACAAAUAUGUCAAAUUAUUUGGAGUCCGGAGCCAAAUGGACAAAAAAAAUUGUCAAAAAUUUCAAAAGGUCAACAAAAUUGAUUUUAGAACCAAAAGGGCAAACAUUGCAACACCCAAACUAACGCUGUUGAAAUCAGGGUACAGUUUACAAAGCGUAGCCGUCUUGAGUCCUACAAGGCGCUGAGAGCUUGCGCCUUGUGAGGCGCAUCGAGUGUGCGCUUCUCCUUAAAUUGAAAAAAAAAGAAAUGCAUUUUCAUUUGGGGANNNNNNNNNNNNNNNNNNNNNNNNNNNNNNNNNNNNNNNNNNNNNNNNNNNNNNNNNNNNNNNNNNNNNNNNNNNNNNNNNNNNNNNNNNNNNNNNNNNNNNNNNNNAAGUGCAGUAUCAGUACACAAAUCACAGUGUACUGAUAGGAUCACGCGGCUAUUCCAAUAGGGAAAUACAAGCAAGUAGUUACAACAUAGUAAACAUACAUAUACAUAUUGUAUCAUUCAAUUAUCAUUUAGGAACAACAUACAAUUUCCCGAUAUCAAUGAUAGGUAAACAUGAACGUAAUAAUCACUAGUGGUCCUCUCAUGGAACCCACGCCCAAAUUGUUAGUGUGUCGGAACGUGACACCCGCUACAAUAUACAUGUGUCGGAACGUGAAAUCCGGUUCAAUAUAUAUUUCGGAACGUGAUACCCAAUCCAUUGUAUGUGUCGAAACUUGACACCCGAUCUAGUCAGCACAACCGCAAUCACAAUCACCCAUAAUGAACAGUGCACAUAGUCACACAGUCAAGUAACAAGUUCAUGGCAUGCAUGUAAUGGUUCGCACAUAAUCAUUUCAUUAGAUUUGAUUCACAUUUUCCAAUUCACAUACAUGCAUGCAUACAAUGAAGCAAUUAGCCGGCAUAUAUCACACAAACAGGAAAUUGAAUCAUCACCUACCUUGAAAUCAAGCCUGAAUACUCCUAAGACAUGUGUGCCUUCCCUUUCCGAGUCUUUCAGCUCGUUCUUGAUCUAAAACAAGCAAUUAAUGCAAGGAUCACUAAACAAUGUCUAAUUUACUCGGAUAAUAACAAAAUUAUUAACCCAAGACCAAACGGAUGAUCCUAAUGUUCAACCAGGGCUUUUCCCCACCAUUAACUUCAGGCCAACCCCCCCUCCCCUCAACGAUGAUUACCCAAGAUUCUAAGUUCUAAGAAUCGAAAUACGGAUUAGGGGAGUAAUAAUCUUACCUUUAGCGCUAGAAAUCGUGGAAAACUGUCAAGAAACUGCCCUGGUUGUCCCUUAGCUCUCAAGAACGAAGUUUGCAGAAAAAUAACGAAUUUGGGGUUUUUCUCCGACUUAAUUCGCGACUAGCCCGCCAUGGCAGACCCCAUCCCACCACAGUGUCCCCACCCUGACGGGAAUAAUCCUGUCCCCGUGGCUUUCACAGAGAUAGAAGUUCAAAAUUUGAGUACCAAGCUCCUAUUUCACAACACACAUUUAAACCUGGAUGUUUUAAAACUACCAUUUCACGCCAAGAUCAGUUUCAGGAGUUCUACUCACCCGAAUUCGAUUCUGUAGAGUCGUACAUGCUCCUUAACAUCUUGGCUAUCCACUCAUGUGAUCCAAUUAUUAAUUAAAUCCACAUUCAUUACCAGAUUUCCCUAGACCUCACCUGACUCGAAUUUCGUCCAAGUCUGGCCUAGGGUAGAAAUUUCCAAGUCACUACUCAGAAGUUUUCUGGCCCAAAUUCUUUCCUCAUUGGCUUUUCAAUAACGACAGAAAUAGGUCAUUACACAAGGCAAUGAUUUUUUUUUAAUUUACAGCCAAGUCAUGAAUUUCCUGCGCCUUACAAGGCGCAAGUCGUCUGCAUCUUGUAAGACGCAAGGCGGCUGCGCCUUGUAAGGCGCAUUGCGGCUGCUCCCUAAUUUGGACGACGUUAAUUUGAUCGUUACAAAGUUGUCCUUUUGGUUCUAAGAUUAAUUUUGUUGUCCUUUUGAAUGUUUUGACAACUUUUCUUGCCCUUUCGGCUCCGGACUCCCCUCCUAUGUCUCCUAGGGGUGGGUGGGCAAAUUAAUUUAUUUUAGAACAUUAUUUUAUUUUGUUUAUUAAAUAGACUUUAAAAUAUAUAUUUUUAAUUAGGUGUUUGUUAUAUCAUCAACAAAUGUAUUAAACUCUUCUUUAAGGUUUUUGCUGGUUGUCAAAAAGGUGACAAAAUUAUAUAACAAAAUCCUACUACAAAUAUUUAAAAUGGACAAAAUCUACCGAAGGUUUAUAUGUGUGUGGAUUAUAUAGAUUACCCAAUCCGUUUAUUCGCAUCCUAAAUUGGACUGCACCAAUAUAAAAAUAUCACUUUCAUAUUGAUUAAUGUAUUUAUUGCUCCAUAUAUUAUUGGCCUAAAUGAUACUAAUGUAAUUGUCCAUAACUAAAACAUGCCAAUGAAGUAGGAUUUGAAAAAAAGAAACGUAGUUGUCAUGCAAGCAAAUCAAUUUGCUAUGUACCCUUUUAUUAUUUUUCCAGCUAUCAAGAAUGCAAGGCUAGAUUUGAGAAUUUCAACAAAAUAUUAAUAAAAUAAUAUAUCCUCCAUGCCCUAACAAGUAGGGAUAUUGGAAAAUUGUUGUACAAAUAAAUUUCUACAACAAUAAACAAUGAGACUUCUACGUCAAUUCAAUAUACAAUAAAAUUCACUUCUAGUCAAACCAACAUACAAUACACAUUUGCAUCCAUUACAAUAGUGUUUCUUAUUUUUUAAAGAUUUCCCCCUUUGAACCAAAUUUAAGUCUACUGGGCAUGACUAAUCAAAAUUAAUAUGCAAUUGAUUAAACAUCUUAUCAAUGAAAUUCACAUCACGUAAUCAAUAACAAUGCAUAUUAUAACUUGGACUUAGUCGUAACUCCAAUGCAAACAGAUCAAUAAUGAAUAGUACUAAUGUCGUGACGGUACCAUAAGUAAUAGGUAGCACUUAUUAAUUACUAAAACUAAUUUGUUUGAAAGCAGAAAUUAAUAAAUAAAGAACCUAGCUUUUUUAUUCAUCAUAAGCAUUAAUUAAUAUUACAUAGAGUGGAAUAGAAGCAUGAUCCACAUUAUUUUAGAAAAGCGAUCGAGCUAGGUUAUAAUAUAAUAAGCAUAGAUAAUUAACUAACUAUGCAUCAUUCUUCUUUACUUUGCUAAAGCCAAAGGGAUAAGGCUUGUUAUUGAGAGCCAGACGGGUGUAUCCCCUAUCUUCGUACAAUCCGACAUCUGCACAAUCAAAUUGGCAUGUUGGACACAUAUAUUUACUAGGACAAUACCUUAACUUGUAAGAAUGAGGUCUCCCAUCCUUAAACCUAAUUUAAGUCUACUGGGCAUGUCUAAUCAAAAUUAAUAUGCAAUUGAUUAAACAUAAAAGGAUCUUAUCCAUGAAAUCCACAUCACGUAAUCAAUAACAAUGCAUAUUAUAACUUGGACUUAGUCGUAACUCCAAUGCAAACAGAUCAAUAAUGAAUAGUACUAAUGUCGUGACGGUACCAUAAGUAAUAGCUAAUAUUGUGACGGUACCGGAUAUGGAAUUAUCCAUAAGUAAUACGUAGCACUUAUUAAUUACUAAAACUUAUUUGUUUGAAAGCAGAAAUUAAUAAAUAAAGAACCUAGCUUUUUUAUUCAUCAUAAGCAUUAAUAUUACAUAGAAGUAUGAUCCACAUUAUUUUAGAAAGCUAGGUUAUAAUAAGCAUAGAUAAUUAACUAACUAUGCAUCAUUCUUCUUUACUUUGCUAAAGCCAAAGGGAUAAGGCAUGUUAUUGAGAGCCAGACGGGUGUAUUCCAUAUCUUUGUACAAUCCGACAUCUGCACAAUCAAAUUGGCAUGUUGGACACAUAUAUUGACUAGGACAAUACCUUAACUUGUAAGAAUGAGGACUCUCCGUCUCAUAUUUCUCAAUUUUGAACCAGUUGUUUAAGGUAUUAGGUCCUGGAAUUCCUAAGGUACCACCAGUUAUAACAAACCUAGGUGGUGGAUGCACCGGCCCUAGAAAGUAAUAACCAGCUUUCCAAACAGUUUCGUUAAAACAUGACUUAGUUGAAGAAGAAGUUGAGAACAUUAUACUAACAUCUUGGUUUUCAUAAACGAAAUGAUCUCUUCCAAGUUGCAUAGUAUAAAACAACACGGGUGUGCUGUGAUCAAAAUCACCAGACCUGUCCUUCACAACGUCAUUUGGGCAUUCGGUAAGGUUAUCAAUAUCAGCUAAGUAUACGCUUCCACCUCCCGGGAGAACACUCAGAAUGGAGUACUCCUCGUUUAUCUUGAGUGGUUCGCCGUCCAUGUCCAGCACGUGAGGGAAUACAAUAUUCCCAUUAUUAUCAGAAAUGGAAAAUUCAUGAGAAAAGGCAACCAAACUUGAAACCAAUAUAUUACUAAUACUCUUCUUCAUCUUUAAUUUGUUUNNNNNNNNNNNNNNNNNNNNNNNNNNNNNNNNNNNNNNNNNNNNNNNNNNNNNNNNNNNNNNNNNNNNNNNNNNNNNNNNNNNNNNNNNNNNNNNNNNNNNNNNNNNNNNNNNNNNNNNNNNNNNNNNNNNNNNNNNNNNNNNNNNNNNNNNNNNNNNNNNNNNNNNNNNNUAAAGUUCCCAGUUUUAUUUUCUCAAUUUUUAUUGUAGUAAAAAAGUUGAGAAAUUAACAUUGUCAAUUUAAUUUUUGUAGUUAAGAAAUUUUAUGAUUUCGUGGAUAGUCAUAAGUUCGAACUUUUGUAGCUAUUGCUAGAUAUUAGCCCUGACUAGCUUUUAAAUUCAUAGCUAAAAUUUAGUAGUAAAGUUCCCAGUUUUAUUUUCUCAAUUUUUAUUGUAGUAAAAAAGUUGAGAAAUUAACAUUGUCAAUUUAAUUUUUGUAGUUAAGAAAUUUUAUGAUUUCGUGGAUAGUCAUAAGUUCGAACUUUUGUAGCUAUUGCUAGAUAUUAGCCCUGACUAGCUUUUAAAUUCAUAGCUAAAAUUUAGUAGUAAAGUUCCCAGUUUUAUUUUCUCAAUUUUUAUUGUAGUAAAAAAGUUGAGAAAUUAACAUUGUCAAUUUAAUUUUUGUAGUUAAGAAAUUUUAUGAUUUCGUGGAUAGUCAUAAGUUCGAACUUUUGUAGCUAUUGCUAGAUAUUAGCCCUGACUAGCUUUUAAAUUCAUAGCUAAAAUUUAGUAGUAAAGUUCCCAGUUUUAUUUUCUCAACUUCAAUUAUAUAGUAAUAAAGUUGAGAAAUAACGGUCACAUUAAUUUUUAUAGCUAAGAAAGUUAAUGAAAUUGUGGAUAGUCAUGAAACUCGAAUUUUUGUAGCUUUUACAAGACCAUCCUUAGAAGUGUUUUUUUAUUAAAUUUGAAAGAACUUAAAAUAAGUUAUUCAAACAUAUUCUAACUUGUAAUAUUUUAAUUUAUGAUGCUUACAAUUAAAUUCUAACUUAUAAUAUUUUAAUUUAUACAUCAUAAGUUAAAGCUAAAUUUUUUGGAAACUGUAAUAUUUUAUUACCAGAUUUGCAAUAUGUACAAAAUUGGAAACUCCGGAUGUGGACAGUUUCCACUCUCAGAGUCCAUCUAAUUCAAAAGAGUUCCUCCUUGCUAGUACUAUUCUAAGGAUAGAAGUUUAGCUUUUGCGUAAAACCUAUAAAAAGUUAAAGCUAAAUUAAAUAGGCUCUUGGUUAACUAUAUACUAGUAAAAGGUGUCCGUGCUAGCACGGGUUCAAUAUCUUAAUAUUUUUUAUUCUAAUAGACUUCUUCAUCUUUGAUCUUUGUUUGUGUGUUUUACUUGCUACGAGUCUAUCUCCAAUUUAUAGACCUGCUAAGGGCAUUUUUGACAAACAAAAAAUGACCUUUUAUUUUAGGUUAUAAUAACCUAAAGAAAAGUAACAUAUUUUUUUUUAAUUUAAAAGUAAGGACUAUAUAUAUACUGUGUUGUAACGUCUAAAUUGGAUCAGACCACCAAUAUGAAUAGUAUUGAGCAAAUUUUAUCUUGAUAUUUUAAUUAUAUAUUCACCGUUCAAUAUAUAUAUAUAUUAACUCCAACCACCAAGGAUACAAGUUUCCUAAAUGGUGGAGGAUUGGACAUAGAUCCCUACCAUGUAUAUUACUAAGCAAUAACACCGUUCAAUAUAGAUAACAGGCUAACAACCACAAAUGAAUAUUAAUGUCCCAGCGAAACCGCACAUGCAUGAGAUUAUCCCAUGACUGAGGGUGUGUUUGGUAGGGAGGAAAAGACCUGUAGGAAUGUUGGUAAAAAAAGGGUGCAGAAAUAAAAUAAAAAAGAUGUUUUGCCAAGAAAAAAAAAUGCGAAUGAAGAACAAACUAAAACUUGAGAAAAUGGAAGAGUGAGAGAAAAAAUGUGACAACGAAAAGGACCCACAAAUACACUUGUCAAAAAGAGAUUGUUCCCACAUACAACUAAUCUUCAUAUUUUAAUUAUAUAUUUAUAUUCACCAUUCAAUACCGACAACAGGCUAACGAUAACCACAAAUAAUGAAUAUUCGGGACCCAUGAGAUUAUCCCAUAACUAAAACGUGUCAAUGAAGUACAAUGACAAAUUUUACUUUAUGUGGGUUUUCUUCAAAAAAAACAAAAAAUCCAUUCUCUUCCGGCCCGUUUGACCAUGCGAUAUGAAAUCAUGAUAUGGUAUCAUAAUAUGGAAUCAUGAGAUGAAAUUGAAGUUUUAUUUGGACAUGCGAUAUGAAAUUUUUGUUUUAUAUAUUUUCUCAUACUCAUAAGAAUCUAUAAGUUGUAAAACUAUUAAAAUAGCCCAAAUUGUUUAUGCAAUCUUAGCAAAUAAACAAAAUUUUAUAAAAUUGCAUAAUAAAUUAUUAUAAAGCUAUUUGUUUCCCACUUAAGUAACUAUUAUAUCACUUUAAUUCAAUUAAAAAAAAUUGAACAUAAAUUGUAGUGAACAAGUCUUUAAUAUAAUCCUCCCACAUAAUACAGACAAUCUCCUCACGUUGAACUUGCAUUUCUCGAUCAUGUGAUCGAGAAGACAAACCAGCAUUGUUACUUUGAGCCAUUUUUUGGUCAAUAUCAUCUCAACUAUAUUUUCAUCAUCAUAGACCAUAAAUAUUUCAUUACUCCUUUUCACAAAUAAUUAUGUAACACUGCACAACCUAUGACAAUUUUCACUUGUGUGUCAAUAUCAUAAUGAUUCAUGCCUUGUUUCAGUAUCUUGAAUCUAUUUUUCAAGCUCCAAAAGUCUGUGGGGUUGUUUUAACAAAAUAUAAACUUGUGAAUCAAUUUUUGUGUUGGUGUCAAUAUCAUAAUGAUUCAUGCCUUGUUUCAGUAUCUUGAAUCUAUUUUUCAAGCUCCAAAAGUCUGUGGGGUUGUUUUAACAAAAUAUAAACUUGUGAAUCAAUUUUUGUGUUGAAAAAAUCUCAAAUCAUGAUAUGGAAUUCCCAUAUAAUUCCAUAUCAUGAUUUUUGGUGAAUAUGGUAUUCCAUCAGCGUAAAAUCGCAUGUCUAAACGUUGAUUCCAUCUCACGAUUUCAUAACGUGAUAUGGUAUCGCAUGGCCAAAUGCCUACUUAUUAAUUGAGAGGGAGUUUGCGUUGCACGAGAUUUGUUUAUGUAUUUUAUAGAAAAAAAGGGUAAAAAAUAUCCUUUAAUUUUGAUUUACUAGUUGAUUAUGUCAUUACCGUUAAAAUGAAGUUAUCUCUGUCGUUAUUAAUUUCAUCAUUUAUGUCCUUCAAUUGGAUGGAAAUCCCAAAUCAUUUAAAAUUGCCUAAUUUAACUUAAAUUAUCCAAUUUUAACCCGACCCGACCCACCUAAUAAUAUAACCCAUUUUGUUCAUCUUCAUUUCUGUACCCUCCCCUUUUUCUCAAUUUCCUCCUCCACGCCGGAAAUCACGAAACCCCCUAUCUCUUCCGACCUCUUUCACCACCAUACAACACUCAACCAGUCACCGUAAACCACUUGGAUAUAAUGUAUUUUGCAAAUUAUAUCUAAUUUUUAUCUCAUAUAUUUCGGUAUCCUGAGAUACAUGUAGUUGGAUGCAUCAAAAUUUAGUAAGAUUCGUAAAUAAGCAAAUUAAAAUAUAUCUAACUAAUUAGCUCCUAAACUAGUGAGAUUUAUGUAAGUUUCUUAUUAUUUAAUUGUAUGCUUGAUUAUGAAUAUUAGUAUUAAAAUUUCACAUUUUUACUAAAUUGGCGGGAUUAACUAUCCAUAAAAAAGAUAUGAUAGCUAAUUCCAAGAAAUAUGAUCCCUGUCUAUCUCAUCUCACCAACCAAACAAUCCCAUAAUGUUUUACAACUGUUUUUAACCAAGAAAGAAGUAUUGAAUGCAUUCCCUCUAUUUGACUAACUAGUAUUAACUAAUACUCAUUUUAAGUUUACUUUAAAGAACCACUUUCAUAUAUGAAAUGGUUUAUUAUCUUGAUUUAUAAAGAUUAAAUUUUUUUGAUGUUUUACUUUGGUAAAUACAUAAGGGUUUUAAAAUAGUAAAUGGGAGGUGGGGCUUCUUAAAAGGUUGAAUCCAUCAAUAGCCUCUUAAGAUUGACCCGAAAUUUUCACUUAGACACCUUAAAUAAGUUUUAUUCAUUUUAAAUACCUAAUAUCAAGCUAUCAUAUUAUGUCACUUUAACACCAUUUUUUUUUACAAUCAACAAAAAUAAAUAUGUAAUAUGAGUUACACUGAAUAACAUGUAAAGUAUCAAAUUAAAUAAAAAUAUUUAUUAUUUGUCUCCAAAAUAAUUCUUAAAUAAUAAGUUUUGAGUAAAAAUAAAAAAAUCAAUUUGUAGGAUUUAUUAUUUAAUUUGGCUUCAACUAGAGUAAUUGGUAAAAUUAAUAAAUAUUACCUGAGAAUAUUGUCCAUUGUUCUUAAAGGACUCUUGAAACUUGACAUCAGGUGGAGAACCAUUCAUGAGAUUAUUGCACUAAUAAAAUUAAGUUGCAACACCUAAUUUUACUUACCAUAAUUAUUAAGAGUAAAAUUUACCUGCAUAUGAUGUAUAUACCAAUCUAAUAUAUACAUAUCAUGUGUUUGAAUUUAUGGUUCAUUUUAUCUAACCUUAAUUAAAUAAGAUUUGUUUUACUUCAUUUUAAUAAUUUAUAUUCACCAUUGAAUAUAAAUAACAGGCUAACAAUUCCAAAAAUUGAUAUUAAUGUGCUAGGAUCGCACGGAGUUAUCAUUAUCCCACAAGUAAAAUAUGUCAAUAAAGUACGAUCGAGAUUUAUACCACUAAUUAUUUUGGUACCAAUCAAGAAUGGAUCUUAAAAAUAAUGGCAAAUCACUAUUAUGCAAAAUGAUUUUUUUAGAUUAUUUUUUUUGACAAAUUAAUGAUUGAAGGAUAGGGUUUGCGUUAUAUGAUAUAUAAAACUUAGUUUUGAAUUUGAGUAAAUUGAGUGUUGAAACUCAAAGAAUAAUUGGGCAAAAUAAAAAAUAAAAAUUGCACUUCAAACACAUAUAACUGAGGUUUUAAUCAAUUUUUAUACACUUCAAUCAAUCAUAUGUACAUUAAAUAAAAAAUAAAAAUAAUGUUAAAUGAGCUUGUUAAAUUUAUUGUUAUUUUGAUAAAUUGAUGAUUUGAGUUUGUUUCAUACGAUUAUAAACCUUAUAAUUUAAAUUCAAACAUAUCUGAAUCAGAUUUGAGUAUUAAAUCAAUUGUUUGGAAGUAGAAACUAAUAAAUAAAGAACCUUGAUUUUUCUUAUUCAUAAUCACAUUAAUAUUACAUCGAGUGGAAUAUAAGCGAUAGAGCACCACAUUGCUACUUGCACUCUGUUUGGAUCAUUGUUAACCAUUGUAUUGUAUUAUAUUGUUACUAUACCUACAAUGUUUGUUUUGAUUGUUACUUAAACUGUAUUGUAUUGUACUGUUAAAUUUCGUUGUUACAUAACAAUGAAAACCCCUAUUUUAUGGAACAACCGAUUUGGUGUGUUCCCAUCGUUACUUAAUUUCUUUUUCCAAUUAUAUCUUUACAUAAUAUUUCAAAAUACUAUUUUACCCUUUACCUUAUAUUAUUUAAUUCUAGUCAAACCUCCUACCCUAGAAUAAUUAAGGAUAUUUUAGUAAAUUUAUAAAUCCUAUCCUAGAAUAAUUAAGGAUAUUUUAGUAAAUUUAUAAAUUACAAUACAGUAUGAUACAAUCAAACCAAACAAUUAAAAUGUUAUUAAACAACAACAAACAAUACGAUCUAGCCAAACAUUGUAUCUACCAUACAAUACAUUACAAUAGAGUACAAUACAAUACAAUAUAUUAUGAAACAAUGGGUAACAAUGAUCCAAACACAGUGUUAGUGGCAUGGGUUCAUUUGCACGUUUUUGUUACAUGAAUAAUAGUAUCUAUUGUCCUUCAAUGUGUGAGACAUAUAAUUAGUAUAGAGACUUGCUAUUUUAACAAAUAAUUAAAAGGUAAGGUUGGUAGACGUUAGCAGAGUAAAUUUCAUCCAAUUUUGUGUUCAUUACCUAAAGUCAUCAUGUAGGAGGUACGUUCAAAAUAAUUAUUCUUUUAAAAGUGAUCAUAUUUUAUCUUAAUCAAAUACAACUUUAACUCCAAUUUUAAAUUUUUGUAAAUAAUACUUCCUCCAUCCAUUUUUAGUUGUUAUGUUGCACUUUUCAAAAAUUAAUUUGAAUUAUUUUCAAAGUUAAAUAGAUUACAUUGAACAUAUUUUAAAUUAAAAAUUUAGAUAUUCAAAAACUAUACGAAAAGUACUAUAAAUUGCAAUUUUUUGCAUAUCAAUCUGAUAAAAAAAAUACAUCGUAAAAUAUUAGUCAAAGUUCUUAUCAUUUAACUCUAAAAAAGAAAACCAUGACAACUAAACAAAGAUGGAGUGAAUAUAAAUAUAUUUAAUUUAACAAACGAAUAAAGAUGAACUUAUAUGCUUUGAUUAUAAAAGUAGUCUAACAUUAUUUGUUUGUAAAAUUUGGAUGCAGUUAAACAUGGUUAUUAAAGAAUCACUUCGACUGUAAUUUAUUAAACGAAUGGCUUGUGAAUAUAUGAUUUGUUAAACACUUUAAUUUAUUAAAAAAAAAUUAUUAUUUUUCGAAAGAAGUACUUUUGAUCUUUUAACAACAAUGCGGCUUUUAUCCAUGGUUAUAGUUAGACGGUUUAGGUUCUCUAUAGAAAAGUUAAAUGUAUGGAACAAAUCAAAUUUAAAUUAAACCUAUUAUUUAGCGAUUGAGACGUAAAAAAUUUUUAUAUGUACAUUGUGAAUCACACAUACUCAAUGAUCCCGUAAAUCUUAAUGAUAAUUUGGAUAAAAGCCACCUAGCUGCUUAGAGGUUUAAUGAUAUAUUUUGGAUGCAUUUGAUAUUCUCUCUAAACACCUUAUCUCUAUUCCCACUUUCUAUAGUUUUCAUCUUCACCAUCCUACACUUUUACUAAUAUUCAUGAUAUGUCUUUUAAUAUUACUUGUUUAAAUUAUAUAGGGAAAAUGCAUAAGUACCCCCAACCUAUGCUCGAAAUCCCAGAGACACUUAUACUAUACUAAGGUCCUAUUACCCUCCCCCCCCCCUCCUAACUUAUUUUAUAAAUAAUUUUCUACCCCUUUUCGGCCUAUGUGGCACUAUCAACCAGAUAGCUUGAAAAAAUUGUCAACACGCGUUGGGCCCAGAAGAUAGUGCCACGUAGGCCAAAAAGGGGUAGAAAAUUAUUUAAUAUAUAUGAUGUAUGUAAUUUUUUAAAUUGUUCAAAGGGUAAAGGGUCAAAUAUGCCCCUAAACUAUUCAAAAAGGUCCAGUUAUACCCUCUGUUUAAAGUUUGGCUCACUCAUGCCCUCGUCGUCCAACUUUUCGUCUAAAUAUGCCCUUAUGGGCGUUAGUUGGCAUGCUGGACAUAUCCAGCUCAUUUUCCAUUUCUUUAACUACCACAUGGAAUUGCCAUGUCAUUUUGACUUUACCACAUGACAUUUAUAUAAAAAUGGAAAGGGAUCAAUUAUGCUCCUAAAAAAUUCGAACCCAUUAACACCUAAUCCGACCCAUAAAUCAACCCCCCCCCCCUCUUUUAAAUAAACUACCCGACCCGUUUUCAACAAUUUUGUUUAAAUUUUUAUUUUUUUCGGUAAAUCCUGAAAAUUAGUAAUUGAUAAUAAAAAAUAGGAAAAAUAUAAAAUUAACACCAAAAAUUCACAAAUAAAUAUUGUAACCUUAAAUUCAACAAUUUUUAAAAUUUUGUUUUUUUUUGGUACAUUCCAAAAAUGAGUAAUUGAUUAAUAAAAAAUAUGAAAAAUAUGAAAAAAAAAAAUAAAAUUAACGCCAAAAAAUCACAAAUAAAUAUUGUAACCUUAAAUUCAAAAAUUUCAACAAUUUUUUUUAAUUUUUAUUUUUUUUAAUAAAAUACUCAUUUUCGGAAUUUGUNNNNNNNNNNNNNNNNNNNNNNNNNNNNNNNNNNNNNNNNNNNNNNNNNNNNNNNNNNNNNNNNNNNNNNNNNNNNNNNNNNNNNNNNNNNNNNNNNNNNNNNNNNNNNNNNNNNNNNNNNNNNNNNNNNNNNNNNNNNNNNNNNNNNNNNNNNNNNNNNNNNNNNNNNNNNNNNNNNNNNNNNNNNNNNNNNNNNNNNNNNNNNNNNNNNNNNNNNNNNNNNNNNNNNNNNNNNNNNNNNNNNNNNNNNNNNNNNNNNNNNNNNNNNNNNNNNNNNNNNNNNNNNNNNNUAUUUUUUUCAUAUUUUUCCUAUUUUUUAUUAAUCAAUUACUAAUUUUCGAGAUUUAUCAAAAAAACAAAAAUUUAAACAAAAUUGUUGAAAACAAGUCGGGUAGUUUAUUUAAAAGGGGGGUUGAUUUAUGGGUCGGAUUAGGUGUUUAUGGGUUUGAAUUUUUUUAGGGGCAUAAUUGAUCCCUUUCCAUUUUUCAUAUAAAUGUCAUGUGGUAAAGUCAAAAUGGCAUGGCAAUUCCAUGUGACAUUUAAAGAAAUGAAAAAUGAGUUGGAUAUGUCCAGCAGACCAACUAACGCCCAUAAGGGCAGAUUUAGACGAAAAGUUGGAUGGCGAGGGCAUGAGUGAGCCAAACUUUAAACGGAGGGUAUAUCUAGACCUUUCCGAAUAGUUUAGGGGCAAUUUGACCCUUUACCCUUGUUCAAAAUACAAAUAAUUAGAAAACCACGCAAAUAUAUAUAUAUAUAUAUAUAUAUAUAAUACAUUCAAUUAAAAUCACAAACGUCAUAUACAAAUAAACGACUCACAUUUCAAAUUGUAUUGAUUUGUAUUGGAUUUAUUUAGUAACAAAACUCUCUCUAAAUAAUUUGUAAGCUAAUUUAUUUAAAUAAAUUUACUAGUACAAACAUAAAUCAUAAAAUCAAGAAAAUAAACAAAAUAAUUAAAAUAGAUUUGAGGGAUAUUUUUGUUCUUUACAUAGACUUAUCCCAUGGUAUUAUAUCCUAUAAUACCAUGUAGGAGGUAUAACUAAUCCAUGGAUUAGUUAUACAUAGGCUCAAAAUCCUACCAAAUAUAGUACUAAAUAAUACCUUACAUAAUACAUGGACUAUUUCUUCUAAUGUGGCCUACCAAACGACCCCUAAAAGGAUUACACAGCUAAAGACAUAAAAUUUACAUUAAAAAAUGCAAAUUCAUGAAGUUUGGGAGGUGGGGGUUAAUGUUUCAAUUAUUAAUUAAUUCUAUUUUAAUUCACUCAAUUUACUCCAUGCACUACAAAAAAUACGGGUUUUAGCAACACGUAAAACCGUGGCUAACACGACUUUGCCAUAGUCAUUUAGCCACCGUGGCUAUAACGGGUGCCACCAACAAAUUUGCCACGGUUUAGGCGACCGUGGUAACAUUUUGUUAGCCACGAUUUGAUGUGAAAAUAGUCACGGUUGAUCGUGGCGAAAUAUCACCAAUGAAAAUGUUCAUAAUAUAUAUUUACCAUGGUUGAACCGUGGCUAAAUACACUUUUUUAAUUAAAAAAAAAUUUCAAUUAUUUCCCAGCAAUACCCUGCAACCAAUGCAUUAUUUGAUAGGCAUCCACUAAUACACUGACCAUAAUACACAAAUCCUAUGCUCAAGAUGGUAUUUUUUAUUAACUGGACACAUAUCAAUUCAACGAGAAUCUAAGGUGCUUAUUGAAGGAACUAAAUAUACAUUGGCAUCCAUAAAUAUUUGAAGUGCCAAGGCAUAUGGUAUCUCUUUCAGGGUCUGUUUUCCUUCAUUUGCCUUAAGCUCAACAAUUCUCCUAAAAGAUUCGAAAGUAACGAUGCAAUAAGUUAGACCUCACAACAGUGAUAAACCUCAAUCAUACAACGCAUGUUAGAUUCCUUAUUUAUGCCAACAAUUAGAUAAACUAAUUUAAAUAGAUAGUUUUUUCCAAGGGAAACUCUUUAUUAACUGAAUAUGAUGUUUCAUUUGUCAUAUCCAAGUGGAUACAUGGAUUACAAAGAAAAUGGGAUUACAUAGGUCAAUCAAUGUUGAGGUGCCUCUUAAUUUAAAAAAUCAGCUGCAGCAGGAUGUAGACACACAUUUACAAAAUUGAAUAAUUGCACAUUAAAGGCAUAAAAUUUGUAGGCUAUCAUAUACGAUGAAAACAUAUGUCAAACGAACAAAGAAAUAUCAGCAAGAACCCAGUACAUACUCAACAAAUUCCACAGAGAAAUCCAAGAUCAACAGUUUGACAAAUGUCAAGAGGUAGUAUCAGAUAUACAUUUAGAAUAAAGGAGAAAAAAAGAUAUGAGUAGGCAUACAUCUUUAUUUUUUUUAAUAAGAUAGGCAUACAUCAAUUUUUCUCAAUUUGGACGGAGAGGGCACUUUCUGUUCUCAUCAGUCCCAUCAAAUGAGUGGAAGAUAUUGGUAAAAUCAUUCCGGAGGGCUGAAAUUUUAGUUAUGUUUAUUGUUAUCAAAGGUUAAAAGCACCAAAAGAAUAGUUGUUUUGUGAGAUGCCAAACAAUAUGCAACACAAUUGAUAAGCAUUGUACCUUGAAGAAAUCAUAUACAUGAUACUUGAACACCGAAUGAUAUGAUGAGUAACGAUCUGUAACAAAUUCUUUUAGCUGAAAUUAAGCUCCCAAGAACUACAAACCAGCAAAUAAAACAGAUUAGGAUUAUAGGAGAGCACACACAAUCAGUUCAUAUGUUAGAGACAUAACACAUAUUUUCAAAACAAGUAAGAUGAGAGAAUUACAAGUAAAACAAAGUGAAAAAAAGUUAAAUCCACCAAAUAUUUAGUGAAUAAGGAAAGCAACCUUGUAAUCAUAUGUGUUUUAGAUAAGCAUGAUUAGAGAAAUAUGCAAAAAAAAUUGAUAAUGUAUUUUUAGGAGAUUUAUUGCAGGCAUGAACCACAAUUGCAAUAACAUUGCAUUUCAAGGAAAAGUUUUGCUUAAAAUACCUUCAACCAACCUUUAACUAAAUGAUGGGAACAAGUAGAAGGAUGAUCUAGUCAUGAAACAAGAAUAAAAGAAAAGAGAGAAAAAUACUUUUAGAAUAACUAUAGAAUCGGCACUAUAAUAUACUACUCCCUCUGUUUUUAUUUUAUGUAACUUAGUUUGACGGGCCACAAAGUUAAAGGUGUGUAUAACAUAUCAAAAGUACCCUAUGAAUCUUAUGGUCUUAAAUAACCAGAAAGCUCUAGUGACCAAUUCUAAGAAUUGACAACAUCAAUGGUACUUAGAUAAUGUUCUUAGAGAUUAUACAUUUUCAAGGUGACUGCUAAAACAAAAUAUAAUCAUGAGGCAGAACACUAGAGCAAUCAAGUGGUAUACUCCCAAAUUCAUCUCAUUGUUUUAACAAGUAGAUUUGAUCAAAAGGCUCAAAUUUAAGCUUCAAAGUAUCCAACAAGAUGUUAAAUGCUAAGAACUUGUUUUCAUCUUCAUUUCCACAAACAUGAGCUCACACUUCACAGACAUACACAAACAAAAAAAAUGCAAUAUAAGUCCAUAGAGCCAAAUCAAAAUAAUCAUAUCUGGGCUAGAUUUCAUAUUUACUCAACUUGCUUAUUGAGAAGCAAUAUACUACGUGAAACAAAAUAAAAACAAAGAACUAUAAUCGAGGAUGAAACAUGGGAACAACAUGACACUUAACACAAAUGCAAUUCAAUAGUCGUACCAAUUCAAGAUAUUGUUGGAAAAUGGUCAUGCUGUGUAAAUACAGGGAAAAUGCUUCUCACUCAAUUCCUGUUAUAUUGUUAUAAGAUAUACACAUUUUUUUAUCCUUAUGUAUUCAAGUGUCACAUUGAUAAUUUACACUAUUGCAUCGUAGGAUGCAAUUCAUAUCAAAUGAGGAAACAAACCUAAACAAAUAUGUCCAGUGCUUAAAUGUGAGGAUGCGAUGGAGCUGGAGGGAUGAAAACAACCUAUCAAGUCAACAGAUAAAAUGCUAUACUGAAGAUAAAAUAAACUUUUAAAGAAAAGAAUACUAUAGAUAGGCAAGCUAAUGUUUUAUACGAUUAAAUCAUUCUAGACAUAAAACAAGAAGUUAGGUCAACGAAAAAACACAUAUAUAUUAAUGUAUUUCAUAAUUUUCUGAAGUGUUUCCCAAAAGACAAUCGUACAUUAUACAACCAAUACUAGUGGUGUCACCUACUCAAUAGACCGAGAAAUAUGAGGCUCUAAAACUCUUAAUUAUAUUCAAAGUCUUCCUAUACUUGGCAAGCUGAUUUUCAAUAAACAUUGAACAAUUAACAUUUAUUUACCUUAGUGGAGCUUGAGAAACCAAUCUCCUUUACGGUAUUUUUAGAGAAUCAUAACAGAGCUUCAGAACUGGACCCAAGUCAUAACAGAGCAAAAGUUGAAAAUUAACAAUCAAGAAACCUAAAUUAGUAAAAAUAUUCAAAAAAAAAAAACAUGCAGAAAUUUGAACAAUAAAACAUCAAAAGUUAUAGAAAUUUUAGAGAUUACAAAACAUUAAUUUUCUUUUGUAUUCAUGCAUGGGUUGGGGUGAAAGGGGGAAUUUGGGUUACCAAACAGUUUCUUUACUCGAGAUUUUUCAAAUUUUUGUACUAAAAAAACCUCAAAGAAACCAUUGAAUAUUGAACAAACUAUUGACUUGAAACUCCUGGAUAGCAAAGAUUUGUUACAUGAAAAAAGUGAAUUUACCAUUUCCGCUACUAUUCGAAGCAAGGCUACAAUAUUCUGCUAUUGUUCGAACCAUUCAAAAAAAUUUGGAGUGAAGCAAAUUAGUGUGAUUUUGGAUGAAGCUAAUUUUGGGUGAAGAAUUUUUUUGGGUAAAACAGAUUUGUGUGAUUUUGGAUGAAGUAGGAUUUUGGGUGAAGUAGAUUUGGGUGAUUCUCGAUGAAAAAAAGUUUUGGCUGAUUUUGGUUGAAAAGAAAUAGGGGCAAAUGAAAUAAAAAGUGAGGGAAUGAAAUUAUAUUACCUGCCUAAUUUGCCCACGUUAUUUUAGCAUCGUUCUCUUAUUCGUAGGAAACAUUAACACUUCCUAUUAAUUUUGCCACGGUUUUUAGAACUGUGGCUAAUAAACCGUAGCUAGAACUCAUUUUUUGGUAGUGAUGUAAGAGAGUUGCACUAAUUCGAGCUAAAUAGGUAGUCGAUCUAGAUUGACUCACGACUGGGCUGACUCUUACUUUAAAAUAAUUAAGGCAUAUGCCUUAGGUUCUUAAUUAGAGGUGUACAAAAUCGAACCAAAAACUGAAUCAAACCGCAAAUUGAGUCAAACCGGAAAAAAAACCCGACUAGUGGUUUGGUUUGAGUUGGUUUGGUAUUGGAAAAAAACAACCCGAUUAUAUUUGGGUUGGUUUGAUUUUAACUAAAAAAAACCAACCCGACAUUAUAUAUGCAAUUUUAAAAUUUUAUUUUAUACAUAAAAAUAUUUAUUUUGAUAUAAUUUUAAAAUAUUUCUUAUACUAUUUCAUAGUUUUUAUCUUUUAAUAUAUUAUUUCAAAUUUAAAACUUAGAAUUUGGAAUGGUCCAAUAGAGAUUAUAGUUGAUAGAUGUUAAUAAUUAUAAUAAAACUUAAAUCAAAAUCAAAUUAAUACUAAUGCAAAAAAUAAUCAAUUCAACACUAGAAUGACAAUAAUAUUGAAUAUUUGUUCUUUAGUUUUACAUUGGUUUAGACAAUUAAAUUACAUAAUCUAAUUUUAAUUUUACUUAAAUAUUCAGUAAUGUAACUAUUACUUAUUAAACUAAUUUUAGCAUGAUUUAGUACUUUUAAAUUAUGAUCAUUUUCAUUAUGACUUUGCAAUAUUUAUUUUAUAUGAUGAUUUCAUUAUUAUUUUUAUUGAAUAUUCGCAUCUCAUAUUUGUGUUAUUUUCUUAAGAAAUACCUUAGAUAAUUGUAUUUUGGUUGUACUAAAUAAAGAAAUAUUUGGAGCACAAGUUAAUUAUAUGUUUGUAUGCAAACUUUACCGAAAAAAAUCCAAAAAUCUGAAAAAAAUUCAAGGUUUAUUAGUUUGGUUUGAUUUAUAAAUUUAAAAAUUUGACACAAUGAUUUGGUUUGAUAUUUGGAAAACCCGAACGAACCCGAGGUUAAAAAACCCAAAAAAAUCUGAAUUUUAUUAGUUUGGUUUGGUUUAAAAAUUUAAAAAUUUUACAAAAAUGGUUUGGUUUGAUAUUUGAAAAACCCGAACCAACCCGGUCUUGUACACCCCUUCUCUUAAUUUUGGAGGGAUUAAUUUUUUACUAAGAAUAAAUGAUGUGCUAGUUUUUUUAUUUAUAGAAAAAUGAUAGUUAUUUUAUUCUCUUAACCCUAUAAAAAUAGAAGAAAUCAAGAAAAUGUUAACAUAACUACUAUAAAAACAACUUUUAGUGGAAAUGAAUAGAUCACAUUAAUAAAGAGUGCUAAAGUAUUUACCGGCAUUAGUUAAGUGUCAUUAGAUCCAAUGUCGCUAAAGACUUUAGGGACAUAUACAAAGAGUGCUAAUUGUCGCUAAAAAUACAUAUUUAGCGGCAAUUGAGCUAUUGCCGUUAGUUGCCACUAAAGAUCAUUUUUCAUGUAGUGUCCGUCCAACAAUAGUUAUCCAUUAUACUAUUUUGGAAUGUCAAACAAUACUUGUUCACUCUAUGAAAUCAAUGGAUAAUUUUACACUUAGUUACUAAUUUACCCUUAUCUUUAAUUAUAGUAAUUUUCUCUAUUACAUUUUUUAAGACACUAUAUUUAUUAUAUUCAAAGGGUGAUAUAGUAAAAUCAUCCUACUAUUUAUAGUUUCUUAAGAAGUGUACAAUGUCAGUAGUGGACAACUAUUAUUGGACAGGGAGAAUAAUAAUAUGUUUCAAACUUGUUUUACACAAAUUUAAAAAGCAUUUAUAUUUUUAAAAAAUAGGGUCUUUGGCUAGGGUGCUUCUCUGACUCAUAAUUAAUGGCAUACACAACAUUCAUAGCUAUGACAGUCUUCGGUCUUCCGCCCAAGUAACAUUUAGACUUACCAGGGUUGUGGUGCACUGGUAGGAGUGUUUCACCCUUAAUCAUAGGUCUUGGAUUCGAGCUUUGAGUAUAGAGAAAAUUUUGUUGAGAGCGUCACAUUCGAAUAGGCCCUGCAGAGCGCAAUCCAAAUUUAGUCGGAGGUGAAUUUCGAACAUCGAGUGAGAAAAAAAAACAUUUAGACUUAGUAAGAGUUGGAUGGACAGCUCGUUUCAUGGCCCAUAAUUUAGCUAUCUUAAACCCAAUUCAUUUCCUUCCGUCCAAGUAAUAUUUAGAUUGAAUCAUAAACUUAUUCAUUUAUCAUAUCAUUAUAAUUCAAUCCGUCCCCAUAUCUGACACCCACCCUUUAUUAUAUGGUUAAGCAUGAAAAUAUGUAUGGAUCACAAUUCACACAUAGAAACACAAAUUAAAUGUAUAUAUAGGAUAUGCAUGAUAAUUAAAGGAGAUGCAUAUUCGAACAUAGCUAGCUAGCUAGCUUGUUUUAUUCAUAACUCAUAAGCAUGCAUUAAUUAAAAUUACCUAGAGCCUGGAGACGCAUCCACUUUAAUUUAUUCCUUAACGAAGACAAUGGGAAGAGCUAGGGUUUUCACCGGAAGCCACGAGAGGAUAUAAUCCGUAAUCAAAAGUCAAGCUCACACAAUUAAGUUGAGGGGAAUCCGUACAAUACAUUAACUUGUAUGCAUUUUCCAAUUCUUGUUCCUCCGACGUCUCAUAUUUCAAAAUCAUUGUUUAGAGGCUUCAUAGACGGAUAGUUAUAGUUCUUUAGUCUUAUUCAUUUCAGAUAUUGUUUAAAAACUUGAGUUUGCCUUAUUGGCUAGUUGAAUGCUUUCUUAUUAACAUUCUUAAGUUAUAUGGGUUUAUCUCUGUUAAGUUAAACUGAGUAAGUAAGUCAGGCCAAGGAUUCGCUUGGGGUCAGCAAUGGUUAUCUAGUGCCAGUCCUGCCGCGUGACACAAACACAAAUUAAAUGUAUUGCAUAUGAUAAUUAAAGGACGUAUUCGAAGAUAGUAGCUUGUUUUAUUCAUAACUCAUAAGCAUACAUUAAUUAAAAUUACAUGGAGCGUGGAAACGCGAUUGAACGAUCCACAUUAAUUUAUUCCUUAAGGAAGACAACGGGAAGAGGGUUUUUACCGUCAGCCACCAGACGAUGUAAUCCAUUAUGAAAAGUCAAGCUGACAUGUUUACACAUUAUAAGUUGAGGGGGAUCCGGACAAUACAUUAACUUGUAUACAUUUUCCAAUUCUUGUACCUCAUGUUUCAUAAUCUUGAACAAGUAAUUGCUUUCAUUUCCUAUGGUACCACCAGUCACCACGAACUGAUCUUUAUCAUCACUAACUUUCCAAAUAGCUAGUUUCGUUAAAACACGGACUAGAUAGAUAUAUCAAGUGUUGAGAACAUGAUAUCAAUGUCAUCCGUUUCACGCACCACAUCAUCAUCAUUAUCAACCAUAAGAACGAAUUUCACGGGGGUGCCUUUUCCUAUCAAACCGGGAAUCGGUACGUGCUGCAACAUGGUGUUAGGGCAUUCAAGGUGUCCAAUAUUGGCCAAGUAUACGGAUCCGCCUCCAAUGAGAGGAUUAUGAAUAAUGUACUUUUCACCAAUGUACGUAGUGUGGUAGGCGGUCCAUGUCCAACACUUGAGGAGCUACAUCAUCAUCAUCAUCAUCAUUAAUAUUAUUAUUAUUAUGAGUAGUUGUGGGGAGGACAAUGGGAUUGUUGGAAGUGAAAGAUCGACAAAAGGCAACAAAGGGAAACAAAGAGAGUAAGAGGAAACUCAAAAUAUUAAUCAACUUCAUCUUUAAUUUGAGUGUGUUGUGUGUAUAUUUUGCUUACUCUAUCUCCAAUUUAUAGACCACCACAUGUAUGUAACAACAUUUUUGAGAAACAAAAAAUGCCUACCUUUUAGGUUAGGUUAGUGACAUGAUUUAUUAACUAGAUCUAAUUAUAAGUAGUAUAAAGACUUUCUAUUUUAACAAUGAAUUAAAAUAUAUAUAUAUAUUGUUAGAAAACAUAAGCAAUGUGGAGAAAUUUUCUGUGUAUUUCUUCAUGAAAAAAAUCACUGUGCAGCCUUCUAGUAUAUAUACAAAUUCUAUUCUAUCCUAAAUUGUGUGAACUAUGAAAUUAAUGCAAUAUGUAUUUACACUUGUCAUUUCAUUAUUGGUCUUCUUCUAACAAACUCCAAACGGCUGUCAUGUGCCAUACAUGUGCUAUGGUUGAGAAAUAUCUAGAAUUAUACAUUUGUACCAUACAGCUGGAUGGCUCUGAUUAAUUUGAUUCAAUAAGAGAUCUUUGCCCCUGAUGUUGCCACGCGUCCUUUAGACCUUUUUGUAUGCCUAUGUUGUUUUUGUCCGAAACUAGGAGAACUUUGAACAUUGUUUCCUUUCAUCAUCUCCUUAUUUUUACUUUUUCUGUAAACUCACCAUGGCCAUAAUCAUGAUGUUCUUGAUUAUCGACACCCCUUCAAGGUGAAGGGAAAGAAACGACACCCAACUUGGAAAGAAUCGAGAAGUGUGAAGGACCAGAGAGAGCCUUUGUGAACAGAUUAGCCAACUGAGCAGAGGAUGGAACAAAAGAUAGAGAGAUCAACCCGGAAAGGAAUUGUUGUCUCACGAAGUGGCAAUCAACCUCAACAUGCUUGGUUCGUUCGUGAAACAUCGAAUUUUUUGCAAUAUAAAUAGCAGCUUGGCUGUCAGAGUGAAGAGGCACAUGCAAUGAUGGAUAAAUGGAUAGAUCUACAAGAAGUCAGGUUAACCAGGUAAGUACCGCAAUAACUCUCCUCAUAGACCUGUAUUCUAAUUCAGCGGAAGAUAGUGAAAUAAAGGCUUGUUUCUUGGACUUCCAAGAAACUGGUGAGCCACCAAGGCUAAUAAAGAAACCACUAAUAGAUCUCCGACUAUCUCGACAAGAUGCCCAGUCAGCAUCACAUAAAGCAAUCAGGAAAAAUGAUGAUGUAGGAUUGAAGAACUGACCUUGGUCUGGAUUGAGUCGUAGAUAUCUCAACACUCGAAGUGCAGUAUCAAAAUGGCCCUGACACGGCUGUUGCAUAAAUUGACUAAGAGUGAUGACUAAGAAUGAAAGGUCUGGCCGUGUAUGUGUGAGAUAGUUCAAUUUAUCCACUAAUCUCCUGUAAAUGGAAGGAUCUGCAAGUAAAGGACAUGAUGAACUAGUGAGCUUAGAACAAGGGUCAAGUGGAGAGGAGACUGUAGGUAGAGAUGUGCAAUCAAAUUCUUGUAACAAAUCUAGUGUGAAUUUUCGCUAACCAAUAAUACAACCAUGUUCUCCUCUUAAAAUUUCCAUGCCAAGAAAAUAAUGAAGCUCCCCUAAGUCCUUGAUUUGGAAUUUAGAGUUGAGAAAAUCCUUCAUAGUGGCAGUUUCAAUAGGAUCAUCCCCGGUAAUCAAAAUAUCAUUAACGUAGACAACAAUAAUUGAAAUCAGAUCCCCUGUUUUGUUGAAAAACAAAGAAUAGUCAUUAAGAGAUAUUGUAUAUCCUUUAAAAGUCAGGGCUCCUGCAAGCUUGACAUGCCAUUGCCUUGAAGCUUGUUUGAGCCCAUAUAGUGACUUUUGAAGCUGGCAAACAUGAUUGGGACUGGGUGAUGCCAUUCCUGAAGGAAACUUCAUGUAGACUUCCUCUUGAAGGUCGCCAUGAAGAAAAGCAUUAUUAACAUCAAAUUGUGAAAUAGACCAACCUUUCUUGACUGCAAUGGCAAUGAGACACCUAAUGGUUGUCAUUUUGACAACUGGGGAAAAAGUCUCAGUGUAGUCUAUGCCUUUCCUUUGUAUGUCAUCUCUUUUCACAUGUCGUGCCUUAUAUCUUUCAAUUAAUCCAUCAGAAUGUUAUUUAAUUUUGUAUACCCAUUUGCAAGGUAAAGCCUUCUUGCCAGUAGGUAACAACAUGACCUUUCAUGUAUUGUUUUCUUCCAAAGCUAUAAUCUCUUUUUGCAUUGCAAACUGCCAAUUAGGAUCCAAACUAGCUUGUUUGAAACUAGUAGGUUCUGAGUAAGCACUAAUAGAACCAAGGAGAUAUUGAUUCUGUAAGGAUAAAGCUCCAAAAGAAAAAGUAGAUGAGUGCACAGGUUGUGCUAAACAAGUGUCUGAAAUGUUAGUGAGAAACACAUGAUUAUAGACAAAAUCAUUUAGAUAUGCAAGCCUCUUACUUUCCCUGUUAGAUUUUCGGAUAAUAGGUGUGGAAGGGGGUGGAGAUACAAGGAGAAAAGAAGGGGAAAAUGAAGCAUAUGAUUGAGGAGAUGUGCUAGAGGAGGAUGAAGGAAUAUGGAGGGUUGCAGAGUCAAUAGAGGAGUCAGGAGUGAAGGAAGAAAUAGGAAAAAUUGGCUCAGAAUCUGAUUGAAGAUUUGAGAAAGGGCAAAUGUGCUCACAAAAUUGAACAUCUCUAGAUAUAAAGAUCAUUUUAAAUGAUAUGUCAGGAAGUUAGUAUCCUUUUUGGCCCUGUGGGUAGCCCAAAAAUACACAAGCAAUAGCCCUGGGAUCAAACUUGUUUCGAUUACUGCGCAAAGUAGAGGCAUAACAUAGACAACCAAAAGCUUGCAAAAACUUAUAAUCAGGACAUUUCUGAAAAAGAAUCUCAUAAGGGGUUUUCCCAUGAAGUACUCUGGAAGGAAUUUGAUUAAUAAGAAAAGUAGCAGUCAAUAAACAAUCCCCCCCCCCCAGUAGCAUUUAGGAAGUUUGAAUUGAAAAAGUAAAGACUUUGCAAUUUCUAAUAAAUGUCUAUGUUUCCUCUCAACAACCCCAUUUUGUUGAAGUGUAGCAACACAAGAUGUUUGAUGAAUGAUCCCUUUUGACCUCAAAAAUUUUGCUUCAUGUACCCCUUUCCCCAAUUCUAGAGCGUUAUCGGAUCGAAGCUUUUUCACCUUAAGGUCAAAUUGUCUCUCAACCAUGGAUAAAAAAUGUUUCAAAACGGAGAAAGCAUUAAUCUUAGUAGUUAAUAAGUAUGUCCAAGUACCCCUACUAAAAUCAUCAACAAAAGUAAGAAAAUACUUAUAUCCAUGGUAAGUAAGAACUUUGAAAGGUCCCCAAGUGUCCAUAUGAACCAGUUCAAACACCCUUUUAGAAGAAACAUGACUAAUGGAAAAGGGUAAUCUGGUUUGUCUAGCAAGGGGACAUAUGUCACACACACAAGAAUAAUUAGAAGGAAAAGAAAUGAAACUGAAAUUUUUUAUAGCUGAAUAAGGCAAAUCGCCUAGUCUGGCAUGCCAAAGAGCUACAUCAGAAACAACACUAGCAGAAAAAGAAAAACAAAGAUGGACAUUUUUGGAAUCACUUCCUUCUAGUAAAGAAACUACAUUACAUAGAGAUUGAAUACUAGUACUAGAAAUGACAGAUUCUAAAAGAUAAAAAUCCUCUUUAGCUUCACCAAAAUCUUGUUUCAUCUUCAUUGAACGGUCCUGCAUGACACACUUUUCAGGAUUAAAUAAGAGAAAACAACCAAAUUGACUACAGAACCUAUGAACAGACAACAAACUAUAUCUGAAAGAAGGAACAAAAAGAACAUUUUGUAGAACAAGAGUAGGAAAAAUGGCUAUGUUGCCAGUGUGUGUGACCUUAAUCCUGUAAGAAUUAGGUAAAUUUAUAGUGACAGGUGCUGGAUGAGGGACAAGAUUGAGAAAGGAAGUAGGUUCAUAACAUAUGUCUUCAGAAGCCCCUGAGUCUAUGAUCCAAGUCUAAGAGUUAAAAACAGAGAAACAAGAAGUAGAAUAUUAAGUAAUAGUACCAGCCACAACAUUUGCAUUAAUCUCUGAGCUAGUACCAGCUCUAGAAGUGGUCUGUCCUUGUUUGAAAAUCUGUUUCAUAUGUGAAAUUUGACUCUUACUCAGGGAUUGCAGGAAAUGCUCAUCAGAAUCUUCAUAUCCAAUAGGUGAAUGCCCAUAACUAUCCUUAAUAAGUUCUCUAUUCCCAUUGAUAGGUGUUUGAAAUCCUUUAGUGAACUGAAAAUCUUCUUGGUACCCCAUCAAUCUAUAACAGUCAUCUUCUACAUGCCCAGUCUUUAGACAAUGAGUACAACUCACAUUAGGAUUGUAUUUCUUCCUUCUUACUUUUCUUGGAUUCUAAGGUGUAAAAUUCCUUUGAGGAUUUGCUGAAGGCCUUUGUCCCUGAGAUUGCCCACCAGAAUGUUGAAAUCAUCCUCCAGACCUUUGUGAAGACUGACCUGGGUGACCAGGCUUCUGCAUUUGGUUUCCAAGUUUCAUUUGGGAGUUGAAAUUCUUAGCCAUAAAUGAAGAGUUGUUAGGGGAAAAUUGUGGAUUAAUAUAAACUUCUCUCUGAUUGUCAUCCUGAAGCAAGAGAGAGUAAGCAUGGUUGAUUCCUGGCAAAGGAUUCAACAUGAGAAUAUUACCCCUUGCUUGAGCAUAAAGAUCAUUCAACCCCAUAAGAAAUUGAAUUAGCCGCUAAUCUUCAACAAAUUUAGUCAUCUUUUGCUUCCCUGUACACACACAAGGACAUGUACAACCAACAUGAGAGUUGAGAGAAUCCAACUCAUCCCACAGCCUUUUUAAUUUAGUGAAAUACCCUGCUAUAUCAUUGGAUCCUUGCACUAACCCAGUCAUUUCUUUUUGCAUGUGGUAUAAUUUAGCACCAUUCGACUAGCCAAAUCUCUGUUCUACAUCUGUCCAGAGGUCCUUGGCAGUCCUGGAGUAGAUGACAGAGUGAGCUAUAUCCAUGGAUAACGAGUUAAGUAGCCAAGAAGUUACCAUGGCAUUGCAUCUAUACCAAGAAGAAAAAGUGGGUGUUGUGUUCAAAGGCUCUACACAACUACCUUCAAUAAAACUCAGUUUGUUCUUAGCUGACAAAGCAAUUAGGGCAGAUCUCCUCCAUCCCUGGUAACCCCUCACAUCGAAGGUGCUAUUAACAAGAUUCAUACCUGGUACAUCUGAAGCAUGAAGAAAAGAGGAUUACUAAAAUAAAAAAUACUCCCUAUUGCUGUUUGACCUACAGCAAAUAGGAGCUAUAGCAGUAGGAAUGACCCAUUCUGUAUCCAUUAUUUAAAAAGGGGGGAUGAACACAGAAAUUUGUAUAAGAGCAAAAAAUUGUGGAUCUUAAUGCUCUAUACCAUGUUAGAAAACAUAAGCGAUGUGGAGAAAUUUUUUGUGUAUUUCUUCAUGAAAAAAUCACUGUACAUCCUUCUAGUAUAUAUACAAAUUCUAUUCUAUCCUAAAUUGUGUGAACUAUGAAAUUAAUGCAAUAUGUAUUUACACUUGUCAUUUCAUCAUUGGUCUUCUUCUAACAAACUCCAAAUGGUUGUCAUGUGCCAUACGUGUGCUAUGGUUGAGAAAUAUCUAGAAUUGUACAGUUGUACCAUACAGCUGGAUGGCUCUGAUUAAUUUGAUUCAAUAAGAGAUCUUUGCCCCUGAUGUUGCCACGCGUCCUUUGGACCUUUUGUAUGCCUAUGUUGAUUUUGUCCGAAACUAGGAGAACUUUGAACAUUGUUUCCUUUCAUCUCCUUCUUUUCUUUUUCUGUAAAAUCACCAUGGCCAUAAUCAUGAUGUUCUUGAUUCUCAACAUAUAUAUAUAUAUAUAUAUAUAUAGUAUAGCUAAAAGAUUUUGUUUUCAAAUAAUUUAUUAUGAUUAAAAAUUAAUUACUAUUGUUACACUAACUUUUAUUGCGUGACUAAAAUUUCCAAUAGGUCAUAGACUCAUAGACUAUAGUUGUGUGAAAGUCGCGACAGACAACUGUAUAUUCAGUUUUUAUUAUUUUCCUUGUUUUUUCUUGUAAAUUCUUAACUCAACCUAAAAAUGAAAAAUUAAAUAUUUCAUUGCAAAUCUAUAUAAAGUUCCCAGUUUUAUUUUCUCAACUUUUAUUGUAGUAAAGAAGUUGAGAAAUUAGCUUUGUUAUUUUAAUUUCUGUAGCUAAGAUAUUUUAUGAAUUUGGACCACAUAUUAAAUAUGAAUUUAAUUUUUUUAGCUAAGAAAAUUCAUAUAUAAAUAUUUACAGCCUAAUUUGGACACAGUUAUUCAGAGUAGCUCGUACAAAAACAUUGGAAUGUCUCUUUCGGAAUAUUGUAAUUAUGGCUCCAUGGACCACUUAAUAUCACAUAAAAUAAAUCAAUUGAAAUAGAUUCUAGUUUAUAUUUUUUAACUUACAAGUGAUAAGCCAAAAAUUAAGCUAAACACACCCUUUGUCUCUUAUUUUUCUUUUUUAAUUUGUCUAAAAACAAAUUAUUUUAUAUUUAAAUAUAAUUUAACUUUUAAAUUCUCAUAUAUAUUUAAUGAGAUAAUUUAUAAUGACAUAAAUAUUUAAUAUAAUAAUUUUGUACCAAAAAUUUCAUGAAUGAUCACCUAAAACACACCACCUACCGGAACUAAGACAUCCACACACGCAGUGGCGGAUGUAGAGUGUGUCCAGGGGGGUCAUCCGACCCCCCUCGAAAAAAAAUUACACUAUAUAUAUAAGAUUAAUUUUUUGUGUACGUGUAUAUAUUUAAAAUUGAACCCCCUGAGCAUAUGUCAAAGGAGUAGCUCAAUGGUUUAUGGGGUUCAGGAUUUCGCCUAUGUUUUAUUUGAACCCCCUCGAUAGAAUUCCUGCCUCCGCCACUGCACACACGAUAAAUAUAUAAAACUGGUAGAAUACCGACGUGGUAUAAUUCAAUCAAUCCACGUACAAAAUUUUAACCAGGGAGAUGUUUGGAUACUGUAGUGGAACAUCAAAAUAUAAUGCAAAUUAUUUUGUGGAUAUCUGAACUAAAACUAUGAUAUGGAUCAUUCUUUGAAAUUUGAUCACAUAUAAUCUAAUCUCGAUAAUUUGUCAGAAUUGGUUAUAAAUUUUUGAUAGAUUAUUAUAAUUUAUUGUGUGAAAAUUUCACCAGUAUGAUCAUGCUUCAACGUAAAUCUUCAAAAAUAAAUAGAUUUACUUUAUCUUUGAUCCUCAACAUUUAAAGCUCAUUAAAAUCAAACAAUGAUGCUCUUCAAUUUCUUCAACCAAUUGAAACCAAAUAAUGAGAAGGUGGAGAGGAAGACUCUAAAAAAUCGCCAGGAAUUUGAUCAUAAUCUUGACAAGUUGCUGGAAUUUGUUUGGUCCUUCGUUUCGUUGACACAAAGUUUAAAAAUAAAAAGAAAAUGUUUGAAUUUGUUGAUCUAAAAAAAUAUGUCGAAUGUAUUAAAAUGCCCUUUAAUCUUUGUUGUUUUAAACAUGUCACAUGGAAAAUUUUAAUUAAGGAUUUGUUGGAAAGGGUAAUUUUUUAAUAGACUAAAACAAAAAGUAGGUCAAACAAAUUAAAAUCGAGGAAAUAUAAAAUUUUGAUGGAUUGUUAUAAUUUGUUGUGUAAAAAUUUAACCAAUACAUUUUUUGUUUCAAAAUCGGUCCGAAUCAACUUCUAAUUACUCCAAAUUUGAUAUACAACCUUCUCAUAUAAAUCACAACAAAUUUUCAAUUAUUAGAUUCUUUGUAAACCUUCAAAAAUAAAUAGAUACCGUUGAUCUUCCACAAUUUUUCUUAAGCUCAAUAAGAUCCAACAAUUUUUUCAACCAAAUGAAACCAAAUCAUUAAGGAUAACAAUAUAAAUUCAAUGGAACAUUACAUAUAUAAUUCCAAUCACAAAUUAAUAAGCAACGAGAAGGAGAAGAAGAGAAAUAGGAGUUUCCUUGCAUUUCAUGAAGUUUGGGUGAGUUAUUUUGAUUCAAUUAAUUUAGUCUUUCUAAAAGUUGGAAUUAUUCGAGUUAAAUAUAUAAUCUAGAUUGACUUAUAAAUUUUUCCGUACCGAACACACCCUUUGUCUCUUAUUUUUCUUUUAAUUUGACUAUAAACUUAUAUUUUAUAUUUAAAUAUAAUUAAAUUUUAAAAUUUUCAUAUAUCUAUAAUGAGAUAAUUUAUAAUCACAUAAUUAUCUAAAUUUAUUAUUUCUGCACCAUAAAUUUAAAAAAUAUUACUCAAUUUUUUUUAUGUGUAAUCAACUACGAUAUAAAUUAUGACGAAAGGGGUAGCUUUUUAAACUCAAGCAUUUAUGGACCACAAUAUGCAAUGGUCGCCUAACAACAACACCUAUCUGAAUUAAGAUGUCUACAUAUUUAUUUAUUUGUAUUGUUAAGCAAUGACUCUUAGUUUUGAUGUUUUAGAUAGAAAAAUUGUAAACAUUUUGAAUUGGAUGUGAAUUAUUAAUUUCAUACUCAAAUUAUUGAUAGCCUUAAAAAUAUUCAUCUACUUAACUAACUGAACCUAAAAACACCCUUUCAUCCUAUAAACAUACAUGUACGCGUACGUACAUUGGAGCCUCGAUUAAAUCUGGAUCGCCCACCGUAGGGCCAUUUGGGGAUAGCGCUCCCAACAAAAAUUUCUCCAUAUCCAGAGCUCGAACCCAAGAUCUCUGAUUAAGGGUGAAACAGUCUCACCACUGUACCACAACCCAUGUUGGUGGUAGGUUGGGUGAAUUAAUGAGCCCUUAUGUUAAUUUAGUUUAUUUUGAUCUAUUUUAUUUAAAAUUUAGCAAGGAUCGAACAAAUUACCUUUCUAAAUUAUGCAAAAAUUAAUACAAAAAAAUCAAUCACUAUGUUUCUAUUUUUAAAAUAAAAUAAAAUUAUACCACUAAACAAAGUGUCUAUCAAUUUUUUAUUAAAAUAAAAAACUUCAAUAGACAAGUAUUGCCUUUGCCCUUAAUUUGCUAUUAUAAUAUUGUUACCGGAGAAGAUGCAGAUAAGAAAAUUUAUUCCGGCGACCUUAGAGCCCUUACAAAAAGUAGCCAUUGUUUUUAGGGAAAAUUGUAUAUAAUAGCAAACUAUUAAUUCAAAUUAAAUGCUAUAAAUAUACUUUGAUUUAAUUGUACCCUAUAGCAAAUUAUUGCUAUUUUCGCCACUCUCCCUGGUGGAAUCUCGCUCGCCACUCUCGUUUGGCAGUAGUCUUGCUCGCCUCUUUCGCUUUUAUACAAAUACAAAUAUAUAAAAUGUGUUUGUGUUUUAUAAAGCGAGAGAAAAUUGUAUAUAUACAUAUAUUUUUGUUCCCCUCUCUCAGAUCUCGCUUGCCACUCUCCCAAAUCUCGCUCGCCACCCUCGCCUCUCUCGCUUAUACAAACAGAAACGAAAUGUAUAAAUUGCGCUUCUAUUUAUAUAAAGCGAGAGAAAAUUGUAUAUACACAUGCAAUUACAUAUAUCUUCGUCCUAUACACUUAUAAUUAUACAAUACAAAUAUUUCCCUGCCCAGUUUUCUUUUGCCUUUUUCUCUUUCUCGUUUUAUACAUACACAGAUUAUACAAUUGAUCUUUUGUAUACAACUGCUUUCUUUUGUAUAUGUAUAGCGAAUUAUACAACUGCCUUCUUUGUAUAUGUAUAACAAAUUAUACAACUGUUUUUUUGUAUAUGUAUAGCGAAUUAUACAUUUAUAUGUUUGCUAUGGAGCGAAAUUAUGCAAACUUUGCUAUAACAUACAAAUAUGAAUUUUAUGUUUCCUACGUGAAAGUUGCUCUUGUUUUUAUGGAUAAAUCUAUCUCUAUUUUGCUUGCUAUUAAUGAUUAGUCUAUCUCCAAUUUAUACAGCUGCUAAGGGCAUUUUUGACAAACAAAAAAUAGCUACCGACCGCCACCUUUUAGGUUAGUGACAUUAUUUCAUUUAUAAAUUAUAAUGAUUUAAAGAAAAUAAGUACUCUAGUAUAAAGCAUGUAUUUGGCUUAAUUAAUUCUCUUAAAAUUAUCCCCUUAAUUUAUCUAGACAUUUAAAUUCAGACUUGUACCUAUUGAACACUUCUAUUCUUUUAAAUUUGAGCCAUUCUAACAUUUUUUUAACAAUCAACUAAAAAUAUAAGAAAGAGUGAAAUGUACUAGCGGUGACAUGACAAUUUGACAAAUUAAAUAAGUAAAAUUUACAUAAAUCUCAUAGUGUUAAGAACUAAUUAUAUCAUAUCUCUACUCUUUUUCAAAUUACAAAAAUCAUUUAAAUUUAUAGGAUCUUGGAUAUAUUUGAAAAUAUGUAAAUACAUAGUUCAUGGAUUGCGAAUGAUACAUUACUUAAUGGAAGGGAUGUAUUCGAAGGGGAGGGAUGUAUUCGAGAGGGGAUAGGAUGUAUAUGAGAGGGGAUUGAUAUUAGUAAAAAAGUUGAAAAAUUUACAUUGUCAAUUUAAUUUUUGUAGUUAGUACUAGAUAUUAGCCAUGACUAGCUUUUAAAUUCAUAGCUAAAAUUUCCUAAUUUAAUGUCUGAUUUAAAAGUAAAAAUUUAAAAUAAGCCAAUUCAAACAAAAUCUGUACUUACCAAAAAAAAAAAAAUCCAAGCAUUCCAUUCUAGGCGAUAAGAAAAAGGGAACAAGAACACUAUGUCUGCGACUGAUCAACAACAAUUCAGUAAGCCACACGUCCAAACACUAAAGGCAUACUCAAAAACAUAGGAAAAAGUACUUAUAGAGGUUUCUAACAUUAUUCAAUUUGGAGGGCUUGUUUAUGGAUUCUAUUGUGAUUAUUCUACUGUGUUGUAUUAGUCUCCUUGGAUGUUCAUUUUGCUAGAAUAAUCUGAAAGCCACUCGCCUUAAUAUAUUAACAACCACACGCCUUCGCCUUUGUGUAAUAGCCAGACACCUUAAUGUAAGCCAGAGAUCACAAACACAAAACGAUACAUUUAUGAAUCUCAAAUCACUUGGAAAUCACAUGUAAUACCUAAAUAUUGAUUAGUUCUUCAAGUGUAUUUUCUGUUUUUUCUUCCGGUUAAUGUGUAAAUGUAAUGAACAUAACGAAAAAUAAACUAUAGGGUUAAAUUAUCAACGACAAUGGGUAAUAAAACACGAUAGAAACAGAGGAGUGGAGGGGAGCGACGAACCAACCUGAAAGUUUCUUUGUUCUUGGACGUAGUUGCUGCGAUUCAAUUAUAGAUGCUGGAACCACACGCCUUAAUAUAACCUUAAUAUAUAUUAACAGAGGAAUCGAUAAUCAAUUACAUUCAAAAUAGUAGCAGCCAGAGAUCACAAACAUAAAAAUGAUACUUUUAGGAAUCUCAAAUAACUUGGAAAUCACAGAUAAUACCUAAAUAUUGAUCAGUUUAUCAAGUGUAUUUUUUGUUUUUCUUCCAAUUAAUGCAUAAAUAUAAUGAACAUAAUGGAAAAUAGGUUAAGUUCUCAACGACAGAGCAACAGGGGUAAUAAAACAUGAUAGAAAUAGAGGAGUGGAAGAGCGACGAACCAACCUGAAAGUUUCGUUGUUCUUGGAUGUAGUUACUGCGAUUGAAUUAUAGCUGCUGGAAGUAGUUCUUCGAUUCAAUAUAUGUUGCUGGAAGGUCUCUGCUGCUAACGAAUGAAUAUAUGUUGCUUGACGUUGCAGCUCUAAUCGAUUUAGGAUGAUGAAUCCUAAUGUGUGUGGAAGAUCUUUUUAGGAAUACUUUCCUUAUUAGAAGCAUAUAGAGGGUUUUUUUGUUACUAAUGUUUUCCUUAUUGACCAGGAGUUCUUUUUUUCCAGAAAUAAGAGAAUCGCGGGAAAAAAUAUUAAAGGGAAAGCAGGAGUUCUAAUUUUCAGAAAAAGAAGAAGAAGAAGGCUUUUAGUGACUAUUUUUAGAAUUGCUUCUAAAAGUGUACAUAUUGCAUUAAACAUUAGCCGUUAAUAUUUUGCCUCACAUGAAUAUAUUAGCGGCAAUUUGCUUAUUGCCGCAAACCAAUUGUCGCUAAAGUUCAUUUUUGUAGUAGUGUAUUUUUCAACACAUUGAGUUGCUAUCUACAGUUUUACAGCUUUCCAUAUAUUGCAUCUUUUAUUGUUGCUUUAUUCUUGAGUAUCUUGAGUUGAACUGUGCUUCAUCGAGUCGAGUACAUUAUUGUUGAGUUGAGCCUUAUUUCACUGAGUUGAAUAUCUUAUCCCUUGAGUUGAGUAUCAUAUUCUUGAGUUGAGUCGAGUAAGUGAGUUGAGAAGAGGGAAGUAUGUUUCAUUUUUAUUAAGUUCAAGCUUGUGUUUAUGCUUUAGAAUUUCCCUUACAUGCUCGUACAUUUCACGUACUAAGCCAUUUGGCCUGCAUCCUUUCAUGAUGCAGACACAUUUAUAUUCAGGGUCAUCAACAGUGUCACAACCCGAGCCUACACCCUGGACGUGGCCGGCACUCGAGAACCAUUGCUGGUCCCCAAACAAACUCUCAUCCUGGCUGACUACAAGCGAAAAACUGAUUCAAGCAUACAAAGCUUAAAAACUGAAUAAAAUCAAUAACUCAAAUACAAAGCUUUAACUCAAAAUAAAACUCUGAAUAAAAAUAAGAUAUUCAACUCGCCAAAAAAUAGGCAACUUAAGUCUUUAAAAUAUUUAAUAAAAUAAAUGAAUAAUACAGACUUCUCAACUAUACUGACUAUCUAUGAAGCCUCUAACUGAUAAAAAUGGAAGUCGGGACAAGACCCACGACAUCCUGACUAAACUGAAAAGUAAAUGAAAUUCUCCGAAAACAAUGAGGCUCACCAUAGAUAACUCGAACUCCUGGAUGUAUCAACGAAUCUUCUGUUGAUGAUCCUGAAUACCUGUGUCUGCAUCAUGAGAAGAUGCAGGCCAAAUGGCUCAGUAUGUGGAAUGUACGAGCAUGUAAGGGGUAUUCUAAAACAUAAACAUAAGCUUGAAACUUGAUAAAAAGGAAACAUACUUACCUCUUCUCAAACUUACUCAACUCAAGGUAUACUCAAGGAUACUCAAAACUACUCAACUUACUCAAUUCAUAAGUAUUCAAGGAUAAGAUACUCAACUCAGAGAUUAGAUACUCAACUCAAAGAUAUGAUAUUUGACUCAGGUACUCAACUCAAUAUAAAACAACAAUACACAUGCAAUAUAUGGAAAACUUUAUAAAAACAGUAAAACAACUUAGUUCGUUAAAGAAAAUGCAAUAACAAACUCAAUUUUACUUAUAUAAUAAAGAAAUAUAGUUUAUGUGGGAGUUUCUCUAACUGACAACUAUCACUUUAAGAGCUAUAGUGAUGAUACAACACUUUUACCUCACGCUGCCAAGGACCAUUCUAUACCUUGCCAUCAGUAUAGGGACCUAACUUAACUUAGUGGAUCCACUAGUCUAUGCGAAAAGGAUUCAUCUAAAAAGUAUUACCCUUUUCUACCUAUGAUGGCUACAUGGUUUUCAUCAAGACUUGAGUUAAUAGGAAACUCGCAUCCCCAUAUCGGUGCUCAAUACUACUCUCACAAUAUAACUAGCUCAUAUGUUUAGAAACAUAACUCUUUCUGUGUUUUGAGAUUAUUACUCAAANNNNNNNNNNNNNNNNNNNNNNNNNNNNNNNNNNNNNNNNNNNNNNNNNNNNNNNNNNNNNNNNNNNNNNNNNNNNNNNNNNNNNNNNNNNNNNNNNNNNNNNNNNNNNNNNNNNNNNNNNNNNNNNNNNNNNNNNNNNNNNNNNNNNNNNNNNNNNNNNNNNNNNNNNNNNNNNNNNNNNNNNNNNNNNNNNNNNNNNNNNNNNNNNNNNNNNNNNNNNNNNNNNNNNNNNNNNNNNNNNNNNNNNNNNNNNNNNNNNNNNNNNNNNNNNNNNNNNNNNNNNNNNNNNNNNNNNNNNNNNNNNNNNNNNNNNNNNNNNNNNNNNNNNNNNNNNNNNNNNNNNNNNNNNNNNNNNNNNNNNNNNNNNNNNNNNNNNNNNNNNNNNNNNNNNNNNNNNNNNNNNNNNNNNNNNNNNNNNNNNNNNNNNNNNNNNNNNNNNNNNNNNNNNNNNNNNNNNNNNNNNNNNNNNNNNNNNNNNNNNNNNNNNNNNNNNNNNNNNNNNNNNNNNNNNNNNNNNNNNNNNNNNNNNUUCAUGGGUAAUAGGUAAUAGUCCCAUGAUUAGGAUUAUAAUCUCGGAAGGGUUAGAAACUCAAUACUUAAGACUUAGGACAUGGGGACAUUAAUCCUCUCAUAGAUACUAAACUUAUGGAGUUCAUGCGGAAUUUAUGGGCAUGAACGACUUGACUCGUAGGUCUACANNNNNNNNNNNNNNNNNNNGUAUACAACUCUUCUCAUUCUCAUACUUACUUUCUCAAAAUUUAGUUCAAAUCAAUAGUUGAUCUCAAAUGGUUCACAACCGAACUCAAAGGCUUUCUUGAACUCUACUCUUAACUCGAUCUCUUAAAUGUGAAUUAUGAAUUCAAGAGUUAUGGUUCAUGCUAUGAAAGAUUUCAUGAUGACAAAGUAUACUCAUGAAUACAUUCUCCUCACUCUCAUGCUCACUUACUCGAAUCUUGAAACAAGUUACUAGAAGUUGUAGAAGACUCCACAAAAGGACUCAAAGGGACUUUCUUAGAAUGUUUUAAAAAAAUCUCAAAACUUAACUCUUAGCUCUACCUUGAAUUUGAAUUAUGAAUUCAAGGUUAUGAUCAUGUUAUGAAUGAUUUCUAGGUGUGUAGAAGUAGUUUAAAGUGUUUAGAAUCAAAGGGGAGUAAAGGUACCCUUUGAAAUAACUCAAACGGACGAAACGAUGGACAACGGGUGGGGGCAGGCGACCCUGGUGCUCUGAGUGGCGUGGGGUGCCAGCCCCUAAAGUUCAGAGAGGUGGUUGGGGCGCUCUGCUUGGCGUGACACGCCAGGCCCCAACCCAUAAAACUUUGACGACUUUCCAUGCUCGUUUUCUCACCCUAACUCGCCUAAAAUUGAACGAUUUCCUCCCCAAACACUUGGAUUUGAUUACUUAACAUUAUUACACUCUCAUAUACUCAAAAAAACACUCAAAUUACUAAAUUUCAUCUGAAGAAAUCAUCAAAACCCCAACACAACAAUAUUUAGAAUGAACUUUAAGAACACUUAUCAAGAACUCAUCAAAAACUCUAAUCUGUCAACUUUAAGAAUGAAAUUUGCGCUGAAAAUAACAUGAUUGGCAUGUGGGUGAACUAACCCAACACUAUGGAAGCUUACAUACCUCUUAGGGAUCAAACCCAUGGCGAAAAUCCGCUACAACACGCAAGAAUCUCGACGAACGCUUGAUCCUCUCCUCUUUUCUCCUCUUCUCUCUUCUUUUCUCUUCUUGAACUCUCAACUAAAAUCCUAGGCUAAUUUUAGGAUUAUAAAACUGAACCUAAUAGGAUUAGACCCUUAAAAUAUUACUAAAAAUGAAUUAAAUCAGAGUUGGUAAGGAAAAGACCAAAAUACCCUUCUCUAUUUUCGGCUAACUUUCCUUAACUAAAUAGCCUAUCUUCAAAAGGUCAUAUCUCACUCAUCCGACCUCAAAACUUAGCAAACUCGGCUGUGUUGGAAAGAUAAUUCAAAGAUCUUUCCUACGGUAUCUAGUUGAACACAUAAAUCAUCCUGAGAUAGGAGUUAUGAUCGUUUGAAGUCGACCCAAAACUCAUACUUAGCUUAACUUGCAAAAUUUCAGAUUUUUCUAUUUCCAAUUUAAUUCUUUUUGGAACUCAAGGUGCUACAUCUAGUGACCUUAACACUUAAGAAAUUUUAAUUCCUCGGUAAAAUCCUACUCACAACGAAGGAUGGUUUCAAGUCUCAGUUCGAAAAAAAUUCUGGGGUAUUACAAUAUCUCCCCCUUGGGAUCAUUCGUCCUCGAAUAACGACUGGACUGUGUAUGGAAUGGGUUACUCUUACUAAGGUCUGCGUCUAAUGCUAGGCAUUUGCAUUUGGUUUAAUUGAUAUGAGCCGACUGUUAGCUUAGGAAUUUCCCUCCAGUCAUGAUACAUAUGAGCUUCGUUAGAAUUAACGUGUUUAGCUAAUGCAUCUGCAAUUUGAUUAACUUCUCUAUGACAAUGAUUUACUUCAAAAUUCAUCUUCGCAACAACUUGUAAGAUGUCUUCCACAACACCUUUGAUCUUCAAUUGACGCUUGUCCAUUCCUUACCAUAUCAACCACCAUUUUUUAGUCUAAUUCAAGAUAGCAAUCGUGAAAUCCUUGUUGUGGAUGAUGAUAUCUAAAUAUAGAUACCCUUAAUUACAUCAAGCACGUUGCCAUAAAAUAAACAUAAAGUAAGUAUUGUACACCAAAUAAAAAAAUAUUCAGCGCAAGUAGAAUCCAAAAUGGCUUAUUUUGGCUUGACACGGAGUUUAAAAAAAUAUUUGAAUCAUGUGAUCUAAAAAAAAGAUAUGUCGAAUCAUGAAUGUAUCAAAAUGACCUUUUAAUUUUGUGGUCUUAAAAUGUCAUGUAGAAAGUUGAAAUUAAAGAAUUGCUAAAAAGGAAAAAGGUCAUGUUUAUUUUAAAUGAAUUAAAAAAGAAAAUAGCUCAAAUAAAUUGAAACAUAGAGAAUAUAAAAUUUUGACGGAUUGUUGUAAUUUGUUGUGUAAAAAUUUAACCAAUACGUUUUUUGUUUCCAAGUUGGUCCAAAAUCCAAAUCAACUUCGAAUUGCUCCGAAAUUUGAUAUGCAACCUUCUCAUAUAAAUCACAACAACUCUUCAAUUAUUAGAUUCAAUCUAAAUCUUCAAAAAUACAUAAAUGUCUUCAAUAUUCAACAAAACAAAUUGUUAGAGUUAUCUUAUCAAUAAUAUAAUUCAUUACUAUUUAGUAUCUAAACUCUUAGCUCGUCUCAUCCCAAUAUUACUUUGGGCAGAUCAUUUUCCUACUCGAUCAUCUAAACUCCUAGGUUUUUUUCCCUUAUAUAUAUGAUGAUGCGAUCUCCUUUUGUAUUACUAUUAAUUUUGUAACAAGUAACUAUAUCGAGACGAUUGGUUAACAACAAAAACAAAAGUAACCCAAACUUAAAAAGAAACCACAAACUGAAGAAAUUUAUGUAUUUUUGAAUGAAGAAGGUAAGGUAAGGUAAUAGGCUAAUUGCUAGCUUGUUUAUUUAUUGAUAAGCAUACAUUAAUUUACAUGGAGCGAUAGAAGGAUAUAUCCACUUUAUUUAGAAAGCUGCAAGCUAGCCAGCUAAUUAGCAUUCUACGCCUUGAUGAACACAAAUGGAAUAAAGUCCUUAUCGUCAUCGACAGUCACCAGACGAGGAUAUCCAUUUUUAAAGUUGCCGCCGAUAUUUUUGCACUGAAGAUGAGAGGGACAAUGCAGUAACUUGUAUACAUUUUUGGAACUUCCUGGUGUCACCAAGUCAAUUUUCCUAAUCUUGAAGAUGUCGUUUUCAUUUCCUACCUUACCACCAGUUACCACCAACUGUUCAUCAUCAACUUUCCAAACAGUUUGGUCAACACACAACUUUGUUGUUUUAACAAAGAACUUGAUAUAAACAGCAGUCAUUUGACGCACCACAUCACCAUAAUCCGACUCCGACUUACGAACGAAUACGACGGGCGUGCCUUUUCCCAAAAAUUGGGGAAUUGACAUGUGCUGCAACACGGCGUUUGGGCAUUGAAGGUUUCCAAUAUUGUACAAGUAUACGGCUCCGGCCCCGAUGAGAGGAUUGUUAAUAAUGUACCUCUCGCCAAUCCUCAGCGGAUCGCCGUCUUGGUCAUAAACUUCAGGGAGUACAAGAUUAUCAUCAUCAUGACAAGUUGUGGGGAGGACAAUUGGAUUCUCAGAAGUGAAAGAUCGAGCAAAGGCAACCAAAGAGAGGGUACUUGAAAGCAAGAGGAAACUCAAAAUAUUAAUCGACUUCAUCUUUCUUUGUGUGUUUUGCCUGCUAUGAGUCUAUGUCCAAUUUAUAGACCUGCUAAGGGCAUUUUUGACAAACAAAAAAUGAAUACCUACUACCGCCUUAGACACCUCAAAUAAGUUUUAUUCAUUUUAAAUAACUAAUAUUAAGUCACUCUUAACACUUUUCUUUUUUUACUAUCAACAAAAAUAUAUAGUACAUAAUAUGUGUUACACAGAAUAAUAUGUAAAGUAUCAAAUUAAAUAAAGACAUUUCUUAUUUGUCUCCAAAAUAAAUCUUAAAUAAUAAAUUUUUAGUAAAAAUAAAAAAUGGCCAAUAAUUCAAUUUGUAGGAUAUUUAUUAUUUAAUUUGGCUUCAACUAGAGUAGUCGGUAAAAUUAAUAAAUAUUACUUGAGAAUAUUGUCCAUUGUGCUUAAAGGACUCUUGAAACUUGACAUCCAGUGGAGAACCAUUCAUGGGAUUAUUGCACUAAUAAAAUUAAGUUGCAACACCUAAUUUUACUUACCAGACUCAUGUACAUAAUUAUUAAGGAUAAAAAAUUUUAUCCGUAUAUAAUGUAUAUACUAACCUAAUAUAUAAAUGACAUGUGUUUGAAUUUAUGGUUCAUUUUACAUAAUUUUAAUUAAAUAACAUUUGUUUUGCUUCAUUUUAAUAAUUUAUAUUCACCACUGAAUACAAAUAACAGGCUAACAAUUCCAAAAAUUGAUAUUAAUAUGCUAGCUGGCAUGGAAUUAUUCCACAAGUAAAAUAUAUCACUGAAGUACGAUUGAGAUUUAUACCACUGAUUAUUUUGUUACCUAUCACGAAUGGAUCUUAAAAAUAAUGGCAAAUCAUUAUUAUGCAAGAUGAUUUUUUUUUUAAUUAUUUUUUUGACAAAUUAAUAAUUGAAGGAUAGGGUUUGCGUUAUCUGAUACAUAGAACUUAGUUUUGAAUUUGAGUAAAUUGAGUGUUGAAACUCAAGAAUAAUUAGGCAAAAUAAAAAUUGCACUUCAAAUACAUAUAACUGAAGUUUUAGUCAUUUUUUAUACACUUCAAUCAUAGGUACAUUCAAUAAAAUUAAAAUAAUGUUAAAUGAGUUUGUUAAAUGUAUUGUUAUUUUGAUAAAUUGAUGAUUCAAGUUUGUUUCAUACGAUUGUAGAUCUGAUCUUCGACUAAAUUCGGAUCGGACUUUGCAGGGCCCAUUCGAAAGGGACACUCCCAACAGGAUUUUUUCCAUACCCAGGGCUCGAACCCGAGACCUCUGGUUAAGGGUGAAGCACUCCCACCAGUGCACCACAACCCAUGUUGGUCCUAAAGUCAUUAUUAUUAAUUAGGUAGGUAUGUUCAAAAUAAUUCUUUAAAAGUGAUCAUAUCCGAUCUUAAUCAAAUACAACUCUAACUCCAAUUUUUAAAUUUUUAAAUAAUACUCCCUCCGUCCCCUUUUAGUUGUUAUGCUGCACUUUUCAAAAAAUCAUUUUUGAAUUAUUUUUCAAUUUUAAUUAGAUUACAUUAAAGAUAUUUUAAAUUAAAAAUUUAGAUAUAUAUUUAAAAGCUAUACGAAAAGUACUAUAAAUUGUAAUUUUUUGCAUAUCAAUAUGAUGAAAAAAUACAUCGUAAAAUAUUAGUCAAAGUUCUUAUUGUUUAACUCUAAAAGAAAGUCAUACAACUAAAAAAAAAUGAAGUGAAUAUAAAUAUAUUUAAUUUUCAUGAUCAAACGCAUACUAAAAUAUAUUAAUCAAGUUGCCAAUCGCCAUAAUGAUGAAAGGAAACAGGUGAAUGCAGCUCAUAUCACUGAAAAUAAAGCACUUUAUACUUCAUCUUUUCAGCACUACCAGCGUAUAAAAAAAAUGAAAAUGUGUAGUUUUCAAGUUUAAUACUAAGAGCCGUAGAGAGUUUAUUUUCGAUAAACUUGAGGGGGAAAAGCAAAAUUAAGGCAUUAACAAAUGAAUAAAGAUGAACUUAUAUGCUUUGAUUAUAAAAGUAGUCUAACAUUAUUUGUUUGUAAAAUUUGGAUGCAGUUAAACAUGGUUAUUAAAGAAUCACUUCGACUGUAUCCACCAGAUCCUAUCAUUGAACGAAUGGCUUGUGAAGAUAUGAUUUGUUAAACAUCUUAAUUUUUCAAUAAAAUAUUUUUUUUUUCAAAAUAAGUACUUUUGAUCUCAUAACAAUAAUGCGGCUUUUAACCAUGCCAGUUAUAGUUAUAUGGGUUGGGUUAUUUAUAGAAAAGUUAAAUGUACGGAACAAACCAAAUUCAAAUUAAACCUAUUAAUUAGCGAUUGAGACGUAAUUAGUUUUAAUAUGUACAUUGUGAAUUACACGUACUCAAUGGUCCCGUAAAUCUUAAUCGUAUUUUGGAUAAAAGCCACCUGGCUGCUUAGAGAUUUAAUAAUUUUGGAUGUAUUUGAUAUUUUCCCUCCGAAGACCUUAUCUUCAGUCUCACUUCUUGUAGUGUCUAUCUUCACCAUCCCACACUUUUUACUUUUAUUAUUGUGUGUUUUAAUAUAUUUAUCUAGAUUAUAUAUAAAUAUUUUUUAUUUACCUACUAUUAUUUAUCUACUAAACAAAUAAGAAUUUUAUUUUCUUGAGGAACAUCUUUCAAAAAGAAUAUUUUCUUUCGUAACGAAUAUAUCCUGAACAACCACAAAUGUUAAUAUCAACAUUUUGGUUUUAAUUGAGUUGAAAUGUUUAGAAAGAAAAACAAAGAAGAAAUGAAAACUAUUAGGCAUACAAAAGUACAAAAUAGUUAACCAAACAACAAUAAUUAAGAUACCAAAAAUGCAAAUAAUAUUCUAGUCAUGGUUUUGUGCUGAAAGUUUUUAGAUAACUUUUAUAUGUACUUCAGUCAUUUUGUCUUGGUUUUAAUAACCUUAGUUAAAAAUGUUUGAAGGUAAAAGUUCUGUAAAAUGCUUGAAAUUUUGCCUUUAUCUAAUUUACAACUUCAGUAAAAAUUGUCUGAAUUUUUUUUUAUGAUGACCUUCACAAAGGCACACCUUAGACAAAAAUGUUUAUAGGUCUAGGUUUUAAAUUGUAAAAUUUCUGCUCCAUAUUAGUUGUUUUAUCUUUUUAAAAAAUAAUUUAUCCAAAAAAAAACUUUCUAAAAAAACUUUACAAACUUAUUUACAGUUUUUAAAAAGAAUUAAUUAUUAUAAGGUUAAAAAGAGAAAAUAAUAAUUAAUUCUCUCCUGAUUUUAUAAAUUAACAAAUAAUUUAAGAAAAAUAAUUUUUAAAAAUAAUGAACGACUAAUAUUGAAUGAACACUAAUCAUCAAAGAAAUUAAAGAAUAAUUAAGUAGCCAAAUUUUCCGUUCUUAUCAUCAACUCUACUUGGAGUUGCACUGUUGCAGGCCAAUAAUGGAUAUAUAUUAUAUACUAAUGUGCCGAUGGGACCAUUAUUAGACCAUAGUUAAAACCGAUAAAGUGAUCCUAUUAAAAUAGUGAAGUAGAGAGGUGUUUUUAAAGUUAUCAAUAGUUCGAAAAUAAAAUUAAUAAUUCAUAUCAAAUUCAGAAGUGUUUUCAUUAUUUUUGUCUAUCAUCUAUUCUCGACUUUUAAAUUUGAGAGUUCAUAAACAAUAUAUGUCCUCUCAGUUUUUAAAUUCGUUCAACUUCACCAUUAUUAACAUUGUGAAAAUUAAUUCAAUGUCAAUUGUCCGUACUAUGGACAAACCCUAAAUUAUUGAAACAAAAGAUUAUACAAUAAAAUUAAUUUAGUACUAAAAAUAGCGUAAAGGGCUGAAACUAACGAACAUGGUUAAAUUAAAAUUGAGGAACAUCGUAUCUUUUUGGCCUAAAAGAUAUUUGAAUACUAUACUAAUAUAUAUCCACCAUUGAAGAUAAAUACCAACAGGCUAACAACCAAGUUAUUUUCAUUUUUGUCAUGCAAUCUUAGCUUGUUAAAGCCAAAAAUGAAUAUUAAUGUCUUGACGGGACCGCACGUGUUACUAUCCCAUAACUAAAAUGGAGUCCGAAACUAAAAGGGGAACAAUUUUUUUCGAAAAUCUCAAAAGGGCAAAUAAAUUAUUUAUGAAACCAAAAUGACAAUAAUUUGUAAUGACAUCUAAAUCAGGGUUUUCGCCGCAAGGCACAGAAAUCCAUGAGCGGUACAACAACUUUUAACCCUGUAAGGCUCAGCCGGCGUGAGCCUUACAAGGCGCAAGGCAGGCUAUUUUUUUUCAAAAAAAAAAGUUUUUAUGGUGUACGGUCCUUAAGGCUACACGUUUGCAAACUCGACCGCCCAUUUUUGUUUGUUAGAUAAAUAAAAAAAUCUGACUAUGUAGUUGAGAUGUUAAAUCAUCCAACUUUAAAUUUAUCUAAAAUGCAGUACCUUUUUUACAAAAUACAAUGUAUUUUAGUCGGUUAUUUUUUUUAAAAAAAAUUAUGCCUUUUGAGUUAUCAAAAUAGGAUUUCUAUUGACCGUAAGCUUAAUUUGAUAAUGCAAAAAAAUUUAAAAUAAAUAAAUUGUAUAUUGUAAGUAAUGCACAUUUCAACACACGUAUGACGCAUGCAUAUUAGGGGUGAAGCUAUAUAGUUCUUAUGACACUUGUUUAAGCUUGGUUUUCUAAAGAAUGUUUGGAUGUAUCGUUUGCUUAAAUAUAAUAUUUAUUUUGAUGAUUAGUUAAAUUUAAUUUAUAUCAUUAAAUUUAUGGAAAAGGGUUAAAAUUGCUCCUAAACUAUGUGAAAUAGAUCACUUAUACCCUCCAUUAUAUUUUGGGAUCAAAAAUAUCCCCGCCGUUAUCCUAGGAGACCACAAAUACCCUCAAGAGUUAAUACCCCAAAUUAUUAGUGAUGUGGCAAGCCACAUGGGACUAAUCCCUCCACCUAAGCAUUGCCAACUAAGAUUCACUACAAAAGAAUUUGACCUUUAGCGGCGACAAUAGUCGCCACAAAAGCCCAGAAAUCGUCACUAAAAGUUUUUAACAUUAAAUUCUAAUUUUGUGUUUUUUUCUUCAUUGUUUUUAAAAAACCAAAAAUGAUAUCGAUUAAGUAGGAGUUUUAAGACACUGUAUGUUUUAUUUUUAUGUCAUAUGUAAAUGUAUAAAAUGUACAAUGAUGCAUUAUAUAGUAGGAGAUUUGAAUCGAGAAGUAAUUUUGAUGAUUUUUCGUAAUAAUAUUGGAUAUUUUUAAUAUUGAUAUUUCAAAGUUAUUUAUUUUAGAAAAUUAGGUUGCAAUCAAAAAUUAAUUAUCAUAUUUUUUUGUUGAAAAAAUAGGUUUUACUAGCGAAUGGUUGUUGGAGCCUUAGUCGCCACUAAAAAUCACUAAUAACCUUUAGUGACAAUAUUUUGGGAUUUUGUGGCAACUUUGUCGCCACUAAAGGUCAAAUUCUUUUGUAGUGAAUCUUAGUUGGCAAUGCUUAGGUGGAGGGAUUAGUCCCAUGUGGCUUGCCACAUCACUAAUAAUUUGGGGUGUUAACUCUUGAGGGUAUUUGUGGUCUCCUAGGAUAACGGUGGGAAUAUUUUUGAUCCCAAAAUGUAAUGGAGGGUAUAAGUGGUCUAUUUCACAUAGUUUAUUUAGGGGCAAUUUUGAUCCUUUUCCGUUAAAUUUAUUAUUAGGUAAUAAUGUGAUUUUUCAUUUUGUGUAAUGGUUGAUUUAGUAUGAAUGUAUGGUCAUAAUAUUUUUUUUUGUUUUGUUUUACUUACUAUUUAAUAAUUGUAUUUUAUUGUUUUUUUAUAGUAAAUCUACUCCGUACUUUAUUUUUCUGGUGUGUUUAUCUUUUUAAUUUUUUUGACAUUAUGUAAUUAUCGAAAAAGAUACAAUUUAAUAUAACAUAAUAUAAUAUAUUAUAAAAUGACAUGUAACAACCAUCCAAACAAAGUAUAAAUAUAUAGUUUCAUCAAAAGUUAUGGUGAUAAAAUGGUAAAUUUCGUAGUGAGGUUUAGAUUCGAAUUAUAACAACGAAGUCACUUUCUAAUAAAUAAUAUUUUAUACCUUUAACAUGAGUUUUUUUUUAAAAAAAAUUGAACUCAGAUGCGGAAUCUCAAUACGAAUAUUGAGCCUAAAAAGUACUCUAUAAAAGAAGUUCAUAAAUAAAUAGUCCAUUUAAUGGCAAAUUUUUAUCCUUUUGUCAAUAAAAAAAAGUCCAUGAAUAAUCUUUUCCCAUAUUUGGUAUUGCAUUUUAGUUCUAAAUUAAACACCUUUUUACCUGAUUUGAUUACAAAUAUAUAAUAAAUUACUUGAAUCAUCAAAGAAAAAUUUGCACAUUAAUUAAUCAGAACCGACAUACUUAGGAAAGAUAUUAUUAGUCAUAGACUCAUAGGACAUGGAUCUUGUUCCAUAAUUACUAGUUAUAAUAACUACUGUAACAUUUAUAUAUUUAAUUAAGCCAAAUAAAUAUAAUCUUUUCCGAUUAUUUUUUAAAAAAAAAAUAGCCUUGCGCCUUGUAAGGCUCAUGGCGGUUGAGCCUUACAAGGCUAAAAGUUGUUGCGCCUUGUAAGGCUCAUGGGUUUCUGUGUCCUUGCGGCGGAAACUCUAAUUGAGACGCCGUUACAAAUUGUUACCCUUUUGAUUUCAUAAAUAAUUCAGUUGCCCUUUUGAAAUUUUUGAAAAUUUCUAUUGCCCUUUUGGUUCUGAAGCCCCCUCAUUUUGAAGUUUUGGUUUCUUAAAUCUUGUUAUCCUUGAAUUUUUCUAGCACUUAAAGUUUUGGUUUCUUAAUUUUUUUUAUUUCUUUCAAUGUAUUAAGUUUCUUUCUAUUUCAUUCUGAUUAAAUUAAAAAAAAACUUUAUUUUACUAUCUUUGUUGUGGUUAAAACUUAAAAAUAAUUAAAUGAAUUCACCUAUUUGAAACAUAAUGACAUGUUUUUCUCAUAUAUUAUUGGAAAAAAUAAUAAUUUUCUUACCGAAUAAAUUAAAUUAUUAUUAUUUUAAUCCAGUAACUUGAACUUAAUGAUGAUUGUGUUUUGAUUGUAUUUGCAUUAGUAAUGAAAUAACUUGGUGAUAUCGAAGAAACAGAGUGAUUGAUUGAAAACAUAUAUAAUAAAAAUAAUAUAUCCUCGGGGAUAUUGGAAAAUUGUUAUACAAAUAAAUUUCUACAACAACAAUAAACAAUGAAACUUCUAGUUCAAUUGAACAUACGAUAAAAUUAACUCCUUGUCAAAGCAACAUAUAAUACACAUUUGCAUUCAUUACAACAGUAUUUUUUGAGCUUUUUCUUUUUUCCAUCCUUAAACCUAAUUUAAGUCUACUGGGCAUGUCUAAUCAAAAUUAAUAUGCAAUUGAUUAAACAUAAAAGGAUCUUAUCCAUGAAAUCCACAUCACGUAAUCAAUAACAAUGCAUAUUACAACUUGGACUUAGUCGUAACUCCAAUACAAACUGAUCAAUAAUGAAUACUAAUGUCGUGACGGUACCGGAUGGGAUUAUCCAUAAGUAAUUAAUACGUAGCACUUAUUAAUUACUAAAACUUAUUUGUUUGAAAGCAGAAAUUAAUAAAUAAAGAACCUAGCUUUUUUAUUCAUCAUAAGCAUUAAUAUUACAUAGAAGCAUGCUCCACAUUAUUUUAGAAAGCGAUCGAGCUAGGUUAUAAUAAGCAUAGAUAAUUAACUAACUAUGCAUCAUUCUUGUUUACUUUGCUAAAGCCAAAGGGAUAAGGCUUGUUAUUGAGAGCCAGACGGGCGUAUCCCUUAUUUUCGUAUAGUCCGACAUCUGCACAAUCAAAUUGGCAUGUUGGACAAAUAUAUUUGACUAGGACAAUACCUUAACUUGUAAGAAUGAGGUCUCCCUGUCUCAUAUUUCUCAAUCUUGAACCAGUUCUCUAUGUUAUUAGGUCCUGGAAAUCCAAAGGUGCCACCAGUUAUAACAAACCUAAGUGGUGAAUGCGUCGGCCCUACGAUGGAAUAAGCAACUUUCCAAACAGUUUCGUUAAUACAUGACUUAGUUGAAGAAGAAGAAGUUGAGAACUUUAUACUAACAUCUUGGUUUUCAGAAACGAAAUGACUUCCAAGUUUCAUAGUAUAAAACAACACAGGUGUGUUGUUAUCAAAUUCACCAGAACUGUCCUGCACAACGCCAUUUGGGCAUUUGGUGUUUCCAAGAUUAGCUAAGUAUACGCUUCCACCGCCAAAGGGAAUACUUAUAAUGGAGUACUCCUCGUCUAUCUUGAGUGGUUCGCCGUCCAUGUCCAGCACGGGAGGGGAUACAACAUUCCCAUUAUUAUCAGAAAUGGAAAAUUCAUGAGAAAAGGCAACCAAACUUGAAACCAACAGGAAACUCAAAAUAUUACUAAUACACUUCUUCAUCUUUAAUUUGUUUGUGUGCUAUGACUCUAUCUCCAAUUUAUAGAGCUGCUAAGGGCAUUUUUGACAAACAAAAAUGACCUUUUAUUUUAGGUUAUAAUAACCUAAAGAAAAUAAGUACAUAACCUUUUUUUUUUUUUAACAAAUAAAUAAUGAUCACAAAGAAUUGAAAUGGCAAGGUUAAUGUUCUAUUUAUUCAAUCUAUGUUAAUUUUUUUUUUUUUUUAUAUAUAUAUAUAUAUAGUACCUUUUUUUUUAUAACUUUGAAGCAAAAAUAUUUAUUUAUAUAUAUAGGCUAUAGCUAUAAGAUUUUGUUUUCAAAUAAUUUUAUUAUGGUUAUGGGUCCUAUAUUCAUCCCUCCCACUGUCAAAGUUUGCGUCAAACAACUAUAUAUUUAUUUAUUUUUUUCUUGUAAAUUCCAAACUCAACUUAAAAAUAAUAAUUAAAUAUUCCAUUGCAAAACUACAUAAAGUUCCUGGUUUUAUUUUCUCAAUUUUUAUUGUAGUAAAAAAGUUGAGAAAUUAACAUUGUCAAUUUAAAUUUUGUAGUUAAGAAAUUUUAUGAUUUCGUGGAUGGUCAUAAGUUCGAACUUUUGUAGCUAUUACUAGAUAUUAGCCCUGACUAGCUUUUAAAUUCAUAGCUAAAAUUUAGUAGUAAAGUUCCCAUUUUUAUUUUCUCAACUUCAAUUAUAUAGUAAUGAAGUUGAGAAAUAACGGUCACAUUAAUUUUUAUAGCUAAGAAAGUUAAUGAAAUUGUGGAUAGUCAUGAAGCUCGCGUUUUUGUAGCUUUUAUAAGAUACAAUUAUUCUUGGACACUUUUAAUUAAAUUUUUGACUCCGCCAUUAUUAGAAUAGUUGGUAAAAUUAAUAAAUAUUACUUGAGAAUAUUGUCCAUUGUGCUUAAAGGACUCUUGAAACUUGACAUCCGGUGGAGAACCAUUCAUGAGAUCAUUGCACUAAUAAAAUUAAGGGUAAAAUUUAUCCGUAUAUGAUGUAUAUACGAAUUCAAUAUUUGAAAACAUGUGUUUGAAUUUGUGGUUCAUUUUACAUAAUUUUAAUUAAAUAAUAUUUGUUUUGCUUGAUUUUAAUAAUUUAUAUUCACCGCUGAAUAUAAAUAACAGUCUAACAAUUCCAAAAAUUGAUAUUAAUGUGCUAGCUGGCAUGGAAUUAUCCCACAAGUAAAAUAUGUCACUGAAGUACGAUCAAGAUUUAUACCACUAAUUAUUUUGGUACCAAUCAAGAAUGAAUCUUAAAAUAAUGGCAAAUCACUAUUAUGCAAAAUGAUUUUUUUUUAGAUUAUUUUUUUUGACAAAUUAAUAAUUGAAGGAUAGGGUUUGCGUUAUAUGAUAUAUAGAACUUAGUUUUGAAUUUGAGUAAAUUGAGUGUUGAAACUCAAAGAAUAAUUGGGCAAAAUAAAAAAUUGCACUUCAAACACAUAUAACUGAAAUUUUAGUUAAUUUUUACACACUUCAAUCAUAUGUACAUUCAUUAAAAUUAUAAUAAUGUUAAAUGAGUUUGUUAAAUUUAUUGUUAUUUUGAUAAAUUGAUCAUUCAAGUUUGUUUUAUACGGUUAUAAACCUUAUAAUUUAAAUUGAAACAUAUUUACAUUAGACUUGAGUAUUAAAUCGAUUGUUUGGAAGCAUAAAUUAAUAAAUAAAGACCUAGUUUUUUUUUUUUUGGUUCAAAACAGAGUAAUAUAUAUGUUACGUAAUAUGCAUCGUUACAUUGUUACCAGCAAGUGGCAAAACAGGACACCUACUAUUGAUGUUCUGAGGAAGGGGCAUACUAUUACUAUUACUAUUACAUGAGUUGCUUGUAAAAGAUUUCUUAGAUAGUCUAACAAAUGGAGUUCCUUCUUUGUCUGCUUCUAGUUUGUUGGAUACAAACACCGGAGGAACUUCCAUGCACAAAAAGAGUUGAUUUGAUCCAUUUUAGCGCCUUCCUUUGCUAGAGCGUCUGCCACUUGGUUUGUUUCUCUAAAGAUAUGGUGUAUUAGGGGGUUCCCCAGGCGGUGAAGUAGAUCCCUGCAAUCAGAAAGAAUAAUUUCGUCAGUGGGGUGUUCUCCUCGAAUGAGGGUCUUAAUUUCCUUGCAAUCGACGUUAACUUCCAAUGGUACUAAUCCUCUUUCUAGUGCUAUUCGAAGUCCCUGCAAAAGUGCUAUCAAUUCAACUUUCAUGUUAUUUGCCAUAUACAAGUUUCCCAUAUAUCCCAAAACCCAAUCGCCCUUGCUAUUCCUAAUGACUCCACCUGUUCCGCCUUGUCUUGUGCUUCCCAUGAACAAUCCUUCGCUAUUGAGCUUGUAACCCUGGCAGGGUGUUGUCCAUUUAAGGUAGUUGAUAAUAUUUUUAUCUUCCGUGUGUGUAUUGUUUGUAAGAGCAUAGUAUUCAACAACAUGAUACAAAGCGUUCUUUGAUGAAAUAUUUUUUUUCUCAUUAUUAUGGUAUUUUUUGUUUCUUGUUAACCAUAUGUUCCAUUUAUAGAAGGGAAAAACUUCCUUCCAAGUUGUAUGACUUUUUAUGUUAAUGUUGAGGCUUUUUAGUAGUGUUAACCAGUCAGAACCUUGGUUAUUUGUGAACUGAUUUAUGGUGUAAAUUACCCCCAGUUCCCUCCACAACUGCCUUACAUUCGUGCAUUCCACGAAAAUAUGUUUGAUUGUUUCUGGUUUUUGCAUAGAUUGCAUAGGUCGCUGACAUCAAUCCCUAUAGAUUUGAGGUAGCUUUAGUUGGUAAUCUGUUGUGGUGACAGAGCCAAAGGAAAAAUUUAAUCUUAUUUGGUUCAUAAGCAUUAAUAUUACAAACAAAUUGGCAUAUGUUGGACACAUAUAUUGACUAGGACAAUACCUUAGCUUGUAAGAAUUAUGUCCUGUAUUUUGGUUGCUAUUAAUCUCUGUCCAAUUUAUAGAGCCUACUUAAUUAGUUGCAUGGCUUCAUUUGCACGGUUUUGUUACAUAAAUAAUAUCUAUUUUGUCCUUGAAUGUGUGAGACAUAUAAUAGUAAUAAUUAGUAUAGAGACUUGCUAUUUUGACAAAUAAUUACAAGGUAAGGUUGGUAGAUGUUAGCAGAGUAAAUUUCAUGGAUGGUCAUCCAAUUUUGUGUUCAUUACCUAAAAUCAUUAUUAUUAAGUAGGUAGGUACGUUCAAAAUAAUUCUUUAAAAAGUGAUCAUAUCCGAUCUUAAUCAAAUACAACUCUAACUUCAAUUUUAAAAUUUUAAAACUUUUAAAUAAUACUCCCUCCUUCCCCUUUUAGUUGUUAUGCUGCACUUUUCAAAAAUCAUUUUGAAUUAUUUUCCAAUUUAAAUUAGAUUACAUUAAAGAUAUUUUAAAUUAAAAAGUUAGAUAGAUAUUUGAAAGGUAUACGAAAAGUAUUAUAAAUUGUAAUUUUUUGCAUAUCAAUAUGAUGAAAAAAUACAUCGUAAAAUGUUUGUCAAAAUUCUUAUCGUUUAACUCUAAUAAAAAGCCAGACAAUUAAAAAAGGACGAAGUGAAUAUAAAUAUAUUUAACUUUCAUGACCAAACGCAUACUAAAAUAUAUUAGCCAAGUUGCCAAUCGCCAUGAUGAUGAAAGGAAACAGGUGAAUGCAACUCAUAUCACACAAAAUAAAGCACUUUAUACUUCAUCUUUUCAGCACUAUCAGCGUAUAAAAAAAUGAAAAUGUGUAAUUUUCAAGUUUAAUACUAAGAGCUAUAGAGUUUGUUUUCGAUAAACUUGUGGGGAGCAAAAUUAAGGUAUUAACAAAUGAAUAAAGAUGAACUUAUAUGCUUUGAUUAUAAAAGUAGUCUAACAUUAUUUGUUUGUAAAAUUUGGAUGCAGUUAAACAUGGUUAUUAAAGAAUUACUUCGACUGUAUCCACCAGAUCCUAUCAUUGAACGAAUGGCUUGUGAAGAUAUGAUUUGCUAAACAUCUUAAUUUUUCAAUAAAUUUUUAUUUUUUUUCAAAAAUAAGUACUUUUGAUCUCAUAACAACAAUGUAGCUUUUAACCAUGGUUAUAGUUAUACGGAUUGGGUUAUCUAUAGAAAAGUGAACUGUAUGGAACAAAUCAAAUUCAAAUUAAACCUAUUAAUUAACAAUUGAGACGUAAUUAUUUUUUAUAUGUACAUUGUGAUUUGUGAAUCGCACGUAUUCAAUGGUCUCUUAUCUUCACUCACUUCUCGUAGUGUCCAUCUUCACCACCUCACACUUUUACUUUUAUUAUUGUGUGUUCUAAUAUAUUUGUCUAUAUUAUAUAUAAAUAUUUUUAAAAUAAUAUUUUUUAUUUACCUACUAAACACAUAAGAAUUUUAUUUUCUUGAGAAACAUCUUUCCCUGAACAACCACAAAAGUUAAUAUCAACAUUUUGGUUUUAAUUGAGUUGAAAUGUUUAGAAAGAGAAACAAAGUAGAAAUGAAAACUAUUAGGCAUACAAAAGUACAAAAUAGUUAACCAAACAACAAUAAUUAAGAUACCAAAAAUGCAAAUAAUAUUCUAGUCAUGGUUUUGUGCUGAAAGUUUUUAGAUAACUUUUAUAUGUACUUCAGUCAUUUUGUCUUGGUUUUAAUAACCCUAGUUAAAAAUGUUUGAAGUUAAUUAGUCUUGGCAACAAGGUAAAAGUUCUGUAAAAUGCUUCAAAUUUUGCCUUUAUCUAAUUUACAACUUCAGUAAAAAUUGUCUGAAUUUUUUUUUAUGAUGACCUUCGCAAAGGCACACCUUAGACAAAAAUGUUUAUAGGUCUAGGUUUUAAAUUGUAAAAUUUCUGCUCCAUAUUAGUUGUUCAUCUUUUUAAAAAAUAAUUUAUUCAUAAUUUUUUUAAAAAAAAAAAAUUUACAAACUUAUUUACAUUUUUUUAAAAGAAUUAAUUAUUAUAAGAUUAAAAAGAGAAAAUAAUAAUUAAUUCUCUCCUGAUUUUAUAAAUUAGAACAAAUAAAUAAGAAAAAUUAUUUUUAAAAUAUGAACGACUAAUAUUGAAUGAACACUAAUCAUCAAAGAAAUUAAAGAAUAAUUAAGUAGCCAAAUUUUCCGUUCUUAUCAUCAAACUCUACUUGGAGUUGCACUGUUGCAGGCCAAUAAUGGAUAUAUAUUAUAUACUAAUGUGCCGAUGGGACCAUUAUUAGACCAUAGUUAAAAUAUGAUAAUGAAGUACGAUGGUUAAUUAGUUUUUUUUCCCAGUUGCAGUAGGCCUAAUUAAUAUAUCGAUAUCUCUUUAAAUUUGGAAUACAUUUAAUUUAGAUACUAGAAUCAGGGCAUGUAACAUUUGAACACAUGAACAACCGAUAAAGUGAUCCUAUUACAAUAGUGAAGUAGAGAGGUGUUUUUAAAGCUAUCAAUAGUUCGAAAACGAAAUUAAUAAUUCAUACCAAAUUGAGAAAUAUUUUCAAUAUUUUUGUCUAUAUAUUAUCUAUUCUCAACUUUUAAAUUUGAGAGUUCAUAAACAAUAUAUGUCCUCUCAGUUUUUAAAUUCGUUCAACUUCACCAUUAUUAACAUUGUAAAAUUAAUUCAAUGUCAAUUGUCCAUACUAUGGACAAAUCCUAAAUUACAUAAAUUGAAACAAAAGAUUAUACAAUAAAAUUAAUUUAGUACUAAAAAUAGCGUAAAAAUUGAGGGCUGAAACUAACGAAAAUGGUUAAUUAAAAUUGAGGAACAUCGUAUCUUUUUGGCCUAAAAGAUAUUUGAAUACUAUACUAAUAUAUAUCCACCAUUGAAGAUAAAUACCAACAGGCUAACAACAAAGUUAUUUUCAUUUUUGUCAUGUAAUCUUCGCUUGUUAAAGCUAAAAAUGAAUAUUAAUCUCUUGACGGGACCGCAUGUGUUACUAUCCCAUAACUAAAACGGAGUUUGAAAUCAAAAGGGCAAUAAAAAUUUUCGAAAAUUUCAAAAGGGCAACUAAAUUAUUUAUGAAAUCAAAAUGGCAAUAAUUGUAACGACGUCUAAAUCAGGGUUUCUGCCACAAGACACAGAAACCCAUGAGCCUUACAAGGCGCAUCAGCUUUUAGUCUUAUAAGGCUCAGUCGGCGUGAGCCGUACAAGGUGCAAGGCAGACUGUUUUUUUCAAUUUUUUUUUUUUAUGGUGUUCGGUCCUUAAGGCUACACGUUUGCAAACUCGACUGCUCAUUUUUUUUUUUUGUUAGAUAAAUAAAAAAAUCUGACUAUUUAGUUGAGAUGUUAAAUCAUCCAACUUUAAAUUUAUCUAAAAUGCAGUACCUUUUUUUACAAAAAUAUAAUGUAUUUUAGUCGGUUAUUUUCUUUAAAAAAAUUAUGCCUUCUGAGUAGGGGUGUACAUGAUCGGGUUGAUUCGAAUUUUUCAAAUAUCAAACCAAAGCAUUUGUGUCGGAUUUUUAAAUCUAUAAACCAAACCAAACCAAUAAAACUCGAGUUUUUCAACCUCGGAUUUUUUUCGGAUUUUCGGGUUUUUUCGGUAAAGUAUUCAUACAAACAUAUCAUUUACUUGUACUUCAAAUGUUUCUUUAGUUCUACUAAAAUACAACUAUCUAAGGUGUUUGUUAAGAAAAUAACACAAAAUACGAUAUGAGUAAUAACACUAAAAUAUCCAACAAAAUAAAAUAAAAUAAUUAAAUUGUGUAAAACAAAUAUUGCAAAUUAACAAGUUGUAAUGAAGAUGAUCAUAAUUUAAAAGUACUAAAUCAUGCUAAAAUAAGUAUUAGUUACAUGACUAAAUAUUCUCCUCUGUUGACCAAGUCCGGUGGUGGCAAGCAGAAGAAGAAGAAGUGGAGCAAGGGAAAGCAAAAGGAGAAGGUAAAUCUAUUUCGUACUCUAUUUUUCUGGUGUGUUUAUCUUUUUGAUUUUUUUGACAUUAUUAUCGAAAAAGAUACAAUUUAAUAUCGUAUGAUACAAUUUAAUAUAACAUAAUAUAAUAUAUUAUAAAAUGACAUGUAACAACCAUCCAAACAAAGUAUAAAUAUAUAAUUUCAUCAAAAGUUGUGGUGAUAAAGUGGUAAAUUUCAUAGUAAGAUUUAGAUUCGAAUUAUAACAACGAAGUCACUUUUUAAUAAAUAAUAUUUUAUACCUUUAACAUGAGUUUUUUUUUAAAAAAAUUGAACUCAGGUUAGCGGAAUCUCAGUACGAAUAUUGAGCCUAAAAAGUACUCUAUAAAAGAAGUUCAUAAAUAAAUAGUCCAUUUAAUGGAAAUUUUUAUCCUUUUGUCAAUAUAAAAAAGUCCAUGAAUAAUCUUUUCCGAUAUUUGGUAUUGCAUUUUAGUUCUAAAUUAAACACCUUUUACCUUAUUUGAUUACAAAUCAUAUAUUAUUACUAUAUAAGAAGAGGGAAUAACCAACUACCACAAGUCAACAUGUGUUCCAAUAAGAAGAGGGAAUAACCAAUCUAUAUAAUAAUAUAAAGCUGAAUGAAAGGGUUGCUGAUGUGGCAUGUGUUGACACCCAAUUUUGACCCUCCACAAUAUAAAUUAAUCAUUUCGAGCUUCUCCAAUUUCAAACGAUUUAAAAUAAUUAGUUUUAUAAAGUUUCAAAAAAUAAUAAUAUAGUUUGCAAGAUUUUUUUUAAUAGUUUUGUCACUUUUUAUAAUUUUUAGAUAAUAUAUAUGUUUUACAUAAUUAUGUAUAUAAUUAUUAUAUUUUAUGAUUAUUCGAAAACCGUCUCAAAAAGAUUUUAUUUUAACUAAAUAUUUGGUUAAUUAGUUUAGUUAUAUAAUAGUUUAUAUUUUUAAUUAAUUAGUCUAUAAUUAAGCUAAUUAUUUUAUUUUGUUGAAAUCAAGAAGCUUAUUAAUUAAUUUAUUUUAAUUCGUCUUAUUUAAAUUACUAGUCAAACUUGUCCUAAUUAAUUAAGUAUGGUUACAUCUGUAAUUUCCAAUUGGCCAUAAUUUAAAUUUAUAUGGCCAAAGCCUAGUCCAAUUCUGACCAAGUCUAUUUCAUUCUCAAAACCCACUCCAAUUUAAUUUCCAACAAUUUCCAGCAAAUUCCAGCAACAAAUAACCCAUUCCCAGCCCACUACUUUCAACAGAAACCCGGCCCAACCCAUUUUCAACACCAAAGAAACCCAUCAGCAAAGCCUCUCCAGCAACAAAAACCAAAUGACCCCUGCGUUCUCUAUCUUCUUCACCAUCACGUGAAUACACUGGAAAAAAAAAUCAGAAACGUCAAUAGAAGCUUGCAAACGUCAACAAUAGCUGCCCUCACCAAACCAUUCCAGCAGCUCCCACACCCUGCUCUGCAACAACCGCCCAUUUUGAUCUUUUCCAUCCGGAUUUUAGGGGAUUUUGGUUGAAUUUCCAUACAACAACAGCCUUCCCUUACCCUUGGGGAAAAAUUUGAUUUGAUUUGAUUGGGGAAUUCCGACUUUGCCCCAAGUUCCUAUCCGUUUUCUUCCCCCUAAAUCUGCCUUGAUUUCUUGGCUAUAUAUAUUAUUCACUGUAAGGGGGCGAGCAGGGAGUUGGUUCCGGAGUUCGAUUCUUUGACAAUAGUCGUUUUACACUUGAGAAAUUCCAAAACGAUUUUCUCAUUCUAAGUUCCAAGAAAAGCUUUGAUCAAAGGUUGGUUCAAAUUUCCUUGUCUAUUGCUCUGAGUCUAAACCGGUGUAAGAAGUCGUCGCUCUCUUUGGCUCGUUUGUUCUCAGUUCGCUGCUCCAAACAAGGUAACACGUCCUCCUUUAUACUAUUUCCUUCCCUCUUUGUCUGUUUCAAAAAGAAAAAUAUUUUUUUGUAUGUCGGAAAAGCCUCAUUAAGUGACCGGUUCACUGUUAGUUGUUGAGUUGGUGAUAUAUUGACGCGGUUUUGAUGUCAAAUUAAUGUUAUGUUCUGUAUUAGCAUUAUUGCUCUUCUGCUCCUUUGUUUGGAUUCACUUUUGCUAUUUUACCUCUUAUAUGUCUGCCUUAAAGUCUUUGAGUCUGUAUCUUUUAUUCUUGCUGUCUUUUAACGUCAAUAGUUUCAUUCAAUGUUGCUACUGCGAAUGAUGAUUUUCUUUUCAAAAUGACAUCAGAAUGUCAAAGCUAACUAAUGUGGAAUUUAUAUGUUGUUUUAUCUAUUAUUUGUUGUUGUAGUAACUCAUUUUUGUCAUUUUCUUAUGUUCCAUGUUGUUUUACUGCCAAGCUAAACAUGUUUGACUCGAGUUUACGUCUUCGUUUUGCUUAAAAUCUAAUCGAAAAUACUCACUACUUGUAGCAAGUUUACAAAAAAUGUGGAAUGUUGUUUCUUCCCAAUUUUCUCUUUACUUCUAGUUCUUGUUUCCUUCCCCAAUUGUUAGUGUUAUUUGAUGUCUUAUUAUAUCUUAGUCCGCAGCCUAUUGUUCUAAGAAAAAGAUUUGUUCAUUAAUGUGGUCAUGUUUUGCAUCAAAUUAGCAUUCGCCUGACGACUAGUAAGCUUUAUGUGUCCGCCGAUUAUGAGCACAAAAGUGUUAAUGUAUUAGCAUGUUCUGUUGUGUUUAUUAAAGUAUUAUAGGUUUGCUUUUGAUUUUGCCUUAUUUGAUAGCUACUAAUCUAUCUUUUCCUUUCCUUAAAUUGGUCACUUGUUUGUUAGCAUAUAAUUUCCUAAAGCUAUUACCAUUUAAGAUCGAAGCUUGUCCAAGUAAAAGUGACCCAAUGAAAUGUAAUUCCUGCCUGAUAUGUAGCAUGUCCUCUACCUCUUUUAUGUUGUGAAUUUCAUUGUUUACCAAUCACCUAUUCAUUGAAUAAGUUUGCCUUUAUUGGACCCAUUUUUACUCCCUUAGGAUCUUGCUGUUAGGCCUAUGCACGUAUGCAUUUUUUUUUUUUUUUUUUUUUUUUUUUUUUUUUUUUUUUUUCUUAGAACUUUCUUAUGCUCCAAAGUUUGAUAGUCUAGCUUUUAGAUUUAUUUACUCCAUGUAAUGUAGUGAGUUUGGUGAUAUAUUGUUGUAGAUUGCACGGGUUUACUUUAUUUAAUUAAGUCAUGUCUUAUUUGUGUUUUGUUUUCGCCUCAAAUGCUAAUCAUUAUUAUUAUUAUUUUUGUUGCAUGUGAAACUCCUUCCGAGACCUCACGGACUUUAUUUCCUCUCCUCGCAUUUUCUUGUUGAGCCACGAAGGCUCAAACCCUUCCCUUCGAGUCAGCCGGCUUUUGAAACUGACGGACAGGUUGAAUGCACUUAAAAGGGAGCUGGAAAUUGAACUUUCAGGUCUUAAAAAACCAAAAGAAGGCAGUAUACAUGACCUAUACAGCUGUAUACACAAGUAUACACGGAAAAAAUAGCGAUAUACAGGUCCAAAAAUUGAAACAGGUGUUCUGGAAGUUGAAUUAGGUUGUAUACAUUUGGUAUACAGCCUUAUAUAACAAGAAAAAUGGGCUGGAUUCAUACGAUAUACACUGAUAUACAACCAGUGUAUACAAAAACGGGAUUGAGCCUAAGCCCCCAAAUUUUCAGCGAAUUUGGCCCAAAAGGAGGCCCAAAUUCAAUUUCUCCCUACUCUUUGAUUAUUUAAUUAUGAUUAUCUAUUGUUUAUUGCGUGUUGACUCUAACUUUUAAAUUGUUAACUAACCUAAUUAAAUUCCCAAACGAUAAGUUAAUUUCUUUACGUUGGCUUACCUUUAAUACAUUCUUAUAUUUGUUUUUGUUUUAUCUUACUAAUCAAAUGUAUUGGCCAUUUUUCAUUUUUAUUAAAUCUUUUGUUUUUAAAAGGACAUGUUUUGAAUGCCACUUCCUUUAAUCAUUUUGCUUAUUUAAAUGGUUUUAAAGUUAACACUUUUCUCAAAUGAACUAAAAUAAAAUAAAAUUGUGCGUGUUCUCUUUUUAUCAAUUGAUUUAAAAUGGUCUCAUGCUUUAAUUGGUUCAAAUUAUUAUCUUAAAAAAUGAAGUAAAUAAACUUUAAUUAAUCUAGUUUUUAUUGAAAUUCUAAUUACUCGUAUCACAAGUCCAAUGUGUCGUUUUGAAUUCUUUUCUCUAAAAAAAAAAAAAAACGAAAAAUGUGUCGUUUAUCUAAUUAUUUUCUCAAAAUUAAUUAAAUAUUGUAAAUUAUCAUAUUUUCCUUUUAUGUUAAACCAUUUUUUCUAAAAAUAGUCAAAAAUAUAUUUUAGUCAAGUCGCAGGUCAACCGCAUGUUAGCGGACACUUCGAGUGCUUACACCCUUCUCGAAGUGUAAAUUGAACCCCGAACCCUCUUUGGUAUUUUCAAAUGUAUUUUUUUUUCUGUUUAAAAUCUUUGGAAAUUAUAAGUUUUCUUAAUUUCUUUAAAAAUUAAGUGGCGACUCUUUUCUAAGUAUUUUUCUCAAAAAUGUUUUAUACUUAGAACAUUUCAAAAAGUGAUUUUUCUAGAAAUAGUUAAAUUACGACACAACAGCAUGCCUUAUUGAUCAGUAUUACUAUUUAUCUAUUUUUCUCUUAAUUUUGAUUUUUUUUCUUCAUGUAUUUAUUAAUAUUUUUAAAAAAAUAACUUACUUCCUCAUAAUUAGCAUAAUGGGCAGUUAAAUUAGGAAAAUAAUUAAUGCUCCACCUCACGUAGCAUCAGUUACUUUUAUGCUUUUAAUCACCAAUAAUUAAUUGGCUUCAUUGCUUUGCUUAUUCCUACUCUAUUUUCGAAUAUAUAUAUACUGCUUGUACUUUUUCUUUUGAGGUCUAAGGUAAGUGUUUUUCUCUGUUCUUUUAUUUUUUCUUUUUAUUUUAUUCUUGAUCCUUCAUUUUUAAUCUAUAUAUGUUAUCAUCAUCUUAUAACAUGCUAACUAAUAUGGAGUUCUUUUUUUACUUGAAGAGGUACAUUUUUAAUUAGUAUCAUUGUUAUUCAAAUUUUUACAAGAUUUUAUUGUAAUUUUUGUGAUUUAAGUGUGAUUUUUUUGAAGUCGUCAAUAUAUAUGAAUAUGUCUCUCUUUCUUUCUCUCUCUAUAUGAAGUCGUCAAAAUAUAUGAAUACGUCUAUAUAUAUAGUAUUAUAAUUAAAUUUUUGCAAGAUUUUAUUGUAAUUUUUGUGAUUUAAGUGUACUUUUUUUUUAAAUCGUUAAUAAUAAUGAAUAUGUCUCUCUAUUUACGUAACUAUAAUUUCGUAUUCAUAUAUUUUUUUUGUAUUACGUCACAAUUAUAUAUAUAUAAAAGAAGUGAAAUGUCACAAUCUUUUUCUCAAUUUUUUUAGACAUUUUUCUAGAUUUUUUAGAAAACGUAAAAAAAAACGUCUGUUUCUUAAAUUUGCAGGAAACGGGUCAUUUAUUGCUCAUUAUUGCCAUCUAUUAUUUUGUCACAUUAUUACUUUUUCUACCUCUAACAUCUCCUUAAUUCUCUCUUAAUUUUAUGUUUUAGUUAUUUUUAAUUGAUAGUAGUAAUUACCUUAAUAAAUGUCAAAAAAUAUUUCAAGACUUAUACAUCCACAUUUCAACACACAAAUCACAAUUGCAAGAUUUAAAUUUUUACUUUUUAUCUCUUGAUUAUCAAUAGACAUAAUGUAAAAUAUUAAUAUCAUUAUAUAUGAUUCGUAUUUAAUAAAGUUUGUAUGAUUUUUUAACGUUUUCGAUUGAUAAAAACAUUGUUUCAAUGCCUUUCAAAAAAUAAUAGCAUUUCUAUUGAUACCGCUCAAAACUAAUUGAUAAUGAGAUCGAUGACUAAAGAUGAACAUGGCACAAUAAUGAAUAUUAUCAUAAGAGAGGCUUAAGAAUUGACGGUUAGAUGAAAUUAGUAGGAGAUUAGAAAUGACAAAUUUGAAGAAAAUAAGAAGGAAAAAAGAAAGAUAUAUUUGAUUUGUAAUAUUAUUCUUUUUUAAUUUUUUUUCAAUUUCAAUUUUGUAAAAGAAAGGUAAAUGAAAUGGCAAAGGAAGGUAGCAUGUAGACGAGAUUGUUAGACAAGUUCAGAUAUUUAUAUUGUAAUCAAUUUUUUAGAUUUAAAUUUAAAAUAUGAACAUAUGCAUGUAAAGAGAUCAUUUUUUCUUCAAAUUCUACUACAAUUUUACAAAUGAUGAUUUUUAAAAAAAAGCAAGUAUUACUUAUAAAUUAGAUCAAAACUCAAAUUUUAAUGUAUAUAGAUAUAUAAGGUUUAAAAUAUUUUAAUCAUUCACAUGUUAUAAACAAAUUAUUAAAAAAAUUUAUUACCGUGCGAAGCACGGCUCAGUUCACUAGUAUAUUUAUAAAAAGAGAUGACAUAUAAAAUGAAAUGGAGAGUAUUAGUUUUUGAAAAUGGAAAAGGACAAGACACAUAUAAAAUUAAAAGGCAUAUAAAAAAAACAUAAAAAGUAACAUAUGUUAUUAAAAACUUUAAUAAAAAGUACUGUAAUUUACAAUAAAUAAUAACUUAAAAUAUCUACAAGACAACAAAAAAAAACACUAAUUUUUGUACUGCUUGUGUCACAUAAAUUAGGAUUGGGAUGAUUUUAAAAUUUUAAUUUUGGUUAUACAUUAUAAAAUAGCCGAAAAAAUGAAUGAUAUAAUUUUUUUAAAAAUAACCGAAUGAAUCGUCCUAUAGAUAACCCUAAUGUUUCUUCUACUCUGUUUAUUUUUACUUAAAUUUAGAAAGAUAUGCUUCAUUUCUACCCUCAAUCUUAUCGCUACAUUUAUUUGCUANNNNNNNNNNNNNNNNNNNNNNNNNNNNNNNNNNNNNNNNNNNNNNNNNNNNNNNNNNNNNNNNNNNNNNNNNNNNNNNNNNNNNNNNNNNNNNNNNNNNNNNNNNNNNNNNNNNNNNNNNNNNNNNNNNNNNNNNNNNNNNNNNNNNNNNNNNNNNNNNNNNNNNNNNNNNNNNNNNNNNNNNNNNNNNNNNNNNNNNNNNNNNNNNNNNNNNNNNNNNNNNNNNNNNNNNNNNNNNNNNNNNNNNNNNNNNNNNNNNNNNNNNNNNNNNNNNNNNNNNNNNNNNNNNNNNNNNNNNNNNNNNNNNNNNNNNNNNNNNNNNNNNNNNNNNNNNNNNNNNNNNNNNNNNNNNNNNNNNNNNNNNNNNNNNNNNNNNNNNNNNNNNNNNNNNNNNNNNNNNNNNNNNNNNNNNNNNNNNNNNNNNNNNNNNNNNNNNNNNNNNNNNNNNNNNNNNNNNNNNNNNNNNNNNNNNNNNNNNNNNNNNNNNNNNNNNNNNNNNNNNNNNNNNNNNNNNNNNNNNNNNNNNNNNNNNNNNNNNNNNNNNNNNNNNNNNNNNNNNNNNNNNNNNNNNNNNNNNNNNNNNNNNNNNNNNNNNNNNNNNNNNNNNNNNNNNNNNNNNNNNNNNNNNNNNNNNNNNNNNNNNNNNNNNNNNNNNNNNNNNNNNNNNNNNNNNNNNNNNNNNNNNNNNNNNNNNNNNNNNNNNNNNNNNNNNNNNNNNNNNNNNNNNNNNNNNNNNNNNNNNNNNNNNNNNNNNNNNNNNNNNNNNNNNNNNNNNNNNNNNNNNNNNNNNNNNNNNNNNNNNNNNNNNNNNNNNNNNNNNNNNNNNNNNNNNNNNNNNNNNNNNNNNNNNNNNNNNNNNNNNNNNNNNNNNNNNNNNNNNNNNNNNNNNNNNNNNNNNNNNNNNNNNNNNNNNNNNNNNNNNNNNGGUGAUUAAGAAAUCAUUAAUACAUUGGAAGACUUCACCAUUUUGCCCUUUGUUUAUAUCAAUGCAGAUUGAAAUGAGUUACAAAAAAUACACAUACAAUAUAGGAAUGGUCAUAUUUAUUGUAGGGGUAAAAUGGAAAAGAAUUAAUUAAUUCUAUCCUAAUUUAAUAAGUGCUCAAAUAAUAUAAAAAAAAUAUUUUUAGUAAGAGUCUCAUCUAUGGGACGGAGAGAGUAACAAUAUAACUUUAUUAAUGUUGGGCAGGGCAGCGCCCGGGCUUUCUUUACUAGUAUAUAUAUAAAGGAGAAACAUAAAAGAGGUGAUGUGGCACCUCUCUAUGACCUCCAUUUCUAUUUAUUUAUUUUGUCCUUUUUUUGGACAUUUUUUCAUUUUUNNNNNNNNNNNNNNNNNNNNNNNNNNNNNNNNNNNNNNNNNNNNNNNNNNNNNNNNNNNNNNNNNNNNNNNNNNNNNNNNNNNNNNNNNNNNNNNNNNNNNNNNNNNNNNNNNNNNNNNNNNNNNNNNNNNNNNNNNNNNNNNNNNNNNNNNNNNNNNNNNNNNNNNNNNNNNNNNNNNNNNNNNNNNNNNNNNNNNNNNNNNNNNNNNNNNNNNNNNNNNNNNNNNNNNNNNNNNNNNNNNNNNNNNNNNNNNNNNNNNNNNNNNNNNNNNNNNNNNNNNNNNNNNNNNNNNNNNNNNNNNNNNNNNNNNNNNNNNNNNNNNNNNNNNNNNNNNNNNNNNNNNNNNNNNNNNNNNNNNNNNNNNNNNNNNNNNNNNNNNUCACUUAUAUUAUUACUCUUUUUAGUUUUGUUUUACUACAUCUUUUCAUUCUUGAAAACUUAAAAUGUUACAUCUAAUUGUAUUUAUCUUCACAAAAUAAAUGUAUUGAUACUUGUAUACCUAUCUUAAGAUACUUGUAUGCCUACAUUUCCAUCUUUUGAUAUAUUUUGUCUUCUUUUUAUAUUUUAUUCAUAAUAUUUAUUUUCAAUUAAAUUCUUAAAAAUUAGAUGAUAUAAUCACAAAAAAUAUCCAAAAGAUAAAUACUUGAAAUAUAUCUACCUAUAGAUUUUAUCGUUUGUCUGCAAAUAAUUUCCUUAAUUCAAUAUAGUACAUUUCACUAAAAGACUAAAAGUGCUUAAGAAUAUUAAUUAUUAGAAAUAAAAAAAUAUAUACACAAGAAAAAGAAAAAAAAAUCACCACAAAUAUAUGACACUCACAUUUCAACUAAUUAAAUAUCUAAAAGAAUCAUAGUUCGAUAUAAAAUUCAAUUGAGAGAAAAAAAAAUUGAAUUUUAUGCAUAUGAGUUUCCUUAGUUCAUGCCUUCAUGGUAUUUAAGCAUGAUUAUAGGAAUUGUUAAAAUAGCUAUAUUUUGUGAGACUUAAAUAUUUUUUCAUUGCUCCAUACUCAUUAAGAUAUUUAAUAUUUCUAUUGUCAUUGGAAGGAAAAAAUUAAGAGUUAAUGAAGCAUAGAUAUCUUGCCCGUUAGCCUUUUCUAUAAAUACUCAAAUAGAUUGAACAUAUUAUUUUCUUUUUAGUACUACUUUAUGCAUUUAAGAAUCUUGAAAACUUAAAAAACUUCAUAACUUGAUUUAAAUUUUUUGAAUACCAUUAUAUUUAUACCUACUCACCAAAUGAAUAUCAACAUUAUUUUUAUUUAGUAGAAAAAUGGAUGGGAAACCUUAUUUUUUGUGUUUUAUAUUUCUAACCUAUAUUAAUUGUGAAUAUAUAAUGAGAUGUGUUUUAAAAAGAAAUUUUCUGAUAUCAUGUUUUCAUUUAAUUAUUUCUUGAGUAGCAAAGAGUAAUUAAAUAAAUAGAUACUUAGUGAAGAAACACGUAGUCAAAGGUCUGCUAACAAGCUAUUUUUAUAUAUAUUUUUUCAUAUUUACUUAAAAAAAAUAUAGAUAAUGUUUUAUGUAACUUUUGAUUUAAAAUUUUAAAACUUAAACUUUGAAAAAGACUUUUAUGUAUCUUAUAAUUUAUUCUAUUUAGAUUAUACGUUUGAAAGAAAUAUUGAAAAUAAAAUUGAUUAUAUUUUUUGAUGAUUUUAAUAUUCGAAUAUUAGAAAGAACGAAAAAUAAAUCAUGAAUUUGGUGGGCAUUUGACCAUAUAUAAUUAGAAAUAAGGCAUUUGGCCAUAUAUAAUUAGAUUUUUUUUUUCAUUUUACUAGAAUUUUUAAAAUCAGAGUUGUGUUUUAUUAUAAUUUUUUCACAAAUAAGACAAAAUAACAUUUUAUUUGAAAUUCUAAACAUGGAGUGUAAUUUGAUUUUUUCAUAGUCAAAAUUAAUUUUUAAAUAAAGUAAAAAUUAUUUCAGAAAAAAGACGGAUAAUAUAGUUUAUUUCUUCACGCGAAAUGCGGAUAAAUUCACUAGUAUAUAAUAAAUUACUUGAAUCAUCAAAAAAGAAUUUGCACAUUAAUUAAUCAGAACCGAUAGACUUAGGAAAGAUAUUAUUAGUCAUAGACUCAUAGGACUUGGAUCUUGUUCCAUAAUUACUAGUUAUAAUAACUACUGUAACAUUUAUAUAUUUAAUUAAGUCAAAUAAAUAUAAUCUUUUCCGAUUUUUUUUUAAAAAAAUAGCCUUGCGCCUUGUAAGGCUCAUGGCGGCUGAGCCUUACAAGGCUAAAAGUUGUUGCGCCUUGUAAUGCUCAUGGAUUUUUGCGCCUUGCGGCGGAAACUCUGAUUUAGAUACCGUUACAAAUUAUUGCCCUUUUGACUUCAUAAAUAAUUCAGUUUCCCUUUUGAAAUUUUCAAAAAAAAUUAUUGCCCUUUUGAUUCCGGACUCGUGUUUGAAUAGCGCCUAGAUUGGACAACUAACCUGAAUAGUAGUUAAUUCUGUGAGCACCUUGUACCAAACAUAAAUUAUAUCCUUUUCAUACGGAAUAUUGUAUUUAUGGCUUCUUUCUCAUUGGCCUAAAGGAUAUUGAGUUUAACUAAUAUUCAUUGUCGGUGGAAAUUUUAUAUUUUUACGAAUAGUGAAUUACAAUAUUGUUUUUAAAAAUCAUUUCCUUAAUUAUUUACUUCUUUUUCUUUUCACUCUUUAAUCCUAAGACUUAUUUUUUUUCUUGCUACCGUCAAUUUUUCUCCCUAAAGCUUUGCAUCUCGGUGUUAAAAAGAUAAUUAUUAUACCUCUCUUUAUUUGAAAAAAUUCUACUAACAACUAUUCUACAAAAAUGUAGAGUUAUAUUUAACUAAUUUAAAAAGUUACUUUUUUCGUCUAAAUUUAUGUAAGAAUUUGAAUUUUGAUAGCUAAACGAGUUAAUUUAUAUAUAUAUAUUUUAAAAGUAUAACUUAUAUUAUAGUAUUUUUCAAAUGUGUAAACUUAUUUUUAAAAAAAUUAAAAAUUUAAUGUCAAAAUUAAAAAGUUUAAAUAUCAUGGAGUGAAAAGUAUCAUAUAAAUUGAGAUAUUAAAAAUACUAUGUCAUUGAAGGGUGACAGUGAUUACUUAGAUUUGUUUUGCAGAAUGCUGCAAAGGUUGAUACUGUAAUUUAUUUAACUUUGAUGGUGUUAAACAUCAAUAAAGUAGAAAUUGACAUCAAUGAAAAACAAUACAAUAAAUUUUUAAAAAUUAAUAUUAUUUUACUUAGUUUUGAUUUGUUAAUAAAACCCGAAGAAACAUCAGUACCAUUCGUAAAAAGGUUUAACCAAAAUAUAUAACAAAGUUUUUUCAAAAUAUAUAUAAAAAAAUUACUAUUAAUUUAACCAUUCCUAAGACUAUUUUUAAUUAAUUAAAUCUAAAUUACUCAUUCUAGGAAAGUGAAUUUUUUUAUUAUGAAAUAGAGAGUAGUUGAAUUCAAAAGCGAUAACUUAAAUUCCUGCUUGAUCAUAAUUUUGAACUUGAAAUAUAAAUAUUUAAAUUUGAAAGUAAUUUUUAAAAUUUGAAGUUGUAUUUAAAUAAAAAUUUUUAAAGUUUUGUGAAUGAAAGCUUAAAAAAUUUGAAAACUUAUCCGAAUUAACUUUUAAAACCUAGUAUUUUUGUGAAGAUCGAUUUUCAAAAUUUAAUUCAAAAUUUAUGACUAAUCUCUAGCUAAAUAAUUGAUUAAGCGGAAAAGACAAGUCCUUUUCUUGUCAUUGAUCAAUCAACUCCGCCUUGCAAUAAUGAUGUGUAUUUUUUGUUUUAUUUUAAGGUGGGUCCAAUAAUGAUGAAAUUUAAAUUUUGAUAAAAUAGUUCAAAUCACCUUCAUCCCAAACUCAAAACACAAUUUUUGUUAUGUGAUUUUUGAAAAUCCCUAAAACUACUCGCUCAAAAUUAUAGCUUCAAAUUAAAGAAAAUGUUAGAUUUUUUAAAUGACAUUACGUCCAACACAUUAAGAAGUAAAAUUCAUAGUGACUAAUGUUAGUGAAAAAUUACAAUAUAAUAAAAUUGCAAGAUUACAAUUAAAAAUAAAAUAAAGAAAAUAAAUUUCUUUAGACUGAGACACGGAUUUCUUGCUCUCUUUAAGGAGAUUCAAGUCCACUGCAGCAAAUGUUUUUCAUCGGUCCAGCAGUAGUCCUUCUUGACCUGUCCACAAGGAUACAACAGCCUUACACAAAGUAUAACUCAACAACUCUGGACAAGAGUUGAGUCCAAAGCUCCACAAAAAGAAUACAUCCCUUCAACUAAUAAGAACUCUCUUUUUUGACCAACUCUUUCACUCUAUAUUUUCUUGUGUAUUGUGUGUUCUAAACCAAAUGAAGACCACCACUAUUUAUAGUUGGGGAUGUCUUCCUAGCAAUGAAUAGGAAGAUAAUGAGAUAGUAAAUAGUGAAGAUAAAUGACCUUAGGAGUUACAUAGAUUACAGGGUAUAAUGGAGGAAGAAUAAUGAAGAAUGAAUGGCAAAGGCCACCAACGGCUAAGAGUGCUAACAAGAAAUGUUGUAACAUAACAAACAAUAACUCCAAAUGGAGUAAUGCAGCAAAUAAGUGCCACCAACGGUCAAUGUCAAAAACGUCAAGUAAUGGGCAAUUAAGCCUCAAAACAUUGAUUCCAAAAUACAAUUUAAGUGGCCACUAACAUUCUGAUAGGAAUAGCUGCAAGAGGAAUGGGAAAUAUGCACCUUAACCAUUAUUUACUAAUAUUAAAAUGCUCCCAAAUCAACAAUCCCCACUCAUUAUAAUAUUAAUCAAGUGAGUCUAUUAGCUGAAGGAAGACUAAUAUGCAUAAUGAAUGUGUGCUCUGCAUUGAACCUUCACUUAGUUAAACAACAAUUUUUUACUCCAGAGUCGUAAUGGUCUCAGACUUGAACUAUGAUUGCUUAGUGAAAAUAAAAUAUCAUUAUCCACACAUAAUAAUCAAGGUGCUGACAAGAGCUUUAACAGCCAGCACAUUAUGGCCUUGUGCUAUCCCGGUUUCAUGAGUGCUUUUGAGAAUAAGCCAAAUUCUCAUAGGAAGCGACCUACUUCCACACAUCACAUUUGUGAAAUCUGUCGAGAAUGCUCCUGUAAUCUUAACACUCCACCCAUAUGAGCUACAUAUAUUCAUUAAGAGUUUUAUCAACUCAGCCUUCACAAACUACAGGAAACAAUGCACUCACAUCAUAGGGAGGGAAUAAAAAGAUAGUGCAUUUUUCACAACAAGUCAUCACCUGAUUAGUUUUUCCCUUUGAACUUGGUUAUAUGAUCUCUAGUCCCCAAGUUGGGUUUCCUCAUAUAUGACUCAAGGAUUUGUAGGCUUCAAUCACAUCCCCCUCGAUGUGCUCUAGACCUUUUCUCUCGUUAAGGCCUUAGUAAAAGAAUGUGCAAGAUUAUCACAAGAUUUGACAUAAUCAACAUUAAUGGUACCAUUUGUCAAAUAUGAUCUUACAUUAUUGUGUUUCCUCCUUAUAGGUCUGGAUUUACCGUUGUAAUAACAGUUUUGAACUCUAACAAUCGCAGCAAUGCUAUCACAAUGAAUUAAAAUAGGAGGAAUUGGUUUUUCAAAAUAAGGAAUUUGAAACAAUAAAUCUCUUAACCAAUUCGCUUCCUCACCAGCUAAAGCUAAAGCAAUUAGUUCAGUCCCCAUGGUAGAGUUAACAAUUAUAGUUUGUUUUUUUUAUCUCCAAUAAAUAGCACCACCACCCAAAGUAAAGACAUAAUCAGUGGUAGAACAAGAAUCACCUGAUAAAGUGUUCCAAUCUGCAUCACAAAAGCUUUCAAGUACAACAAGACAUUUUUAUAAAACAAAUCACAAUUUUUCGUUUCAAUUAAUUAUCCCGUAACUCUUGUCACAACAUGUCAAUGCUCAUUACCUAGCUAGUACUCUUACUGCAUAUGCAAUAUCAGGCCUAGUACAAUCAGUCACAUAUCUCAAACUUCCGAUUAUGCUAGCAUAUUCCUUUUGAUUUAUUAUCAUUUUCACUUUUAACAGGAAAUAAGUGAACACUUUAAUCAAAAGGAGUUGCAACAUGUUUGCAAUCAAGAAAGUUAUAUUUUUUCAAAAUUUUCUUAACAUAAUGUGACUGGUCAAGGAAAAUUCCAUCACAUGUUCUUGUUAUUUUUAUUCCAAGAAUAACAUUUGCCUCACCAAGAUCUUUCAUAUCAAAAUGAAUUCUAAGAAUAUUCUUAGCUUUAUCAAUAACAUUCAUGUUAGAGCCAAAGAUCAAUAAAUCAUCAACAUAUAGGCAAAUAAUCACAUGUGAAUUAUUCCAAGACUUAUGAUAUAUGCACUUAUCACACUCAUUUGUUUUAAAACCAUUUCCAAUCAUGCAAGAAUCAAACUUUUCAUGACAUUGUUUUGGUGCAUGUUUCAAGCCAUAUAGGGAUUAGUAAGUUUACAUACUUUGCUUUCUUGGCCUGCUUCAACAAAAGACUCGGGUUGUUCCAUAUAAAUUUUCUCAUUUAGGUCUCCAUUUAAAAAGACAGUUUUUACAUCCAUUGAUGAAUUUGCAAAUAAAAAAUUGCAGUCAUAGCAAUUAAAAGUCUUAUGGAUGUAAUUCUUGUUACUGGUAAAAAGUAAUCAAAAAAUUCUAGGCCUUCUAGUUGUUUAAAACCUUUUUGCAACUAGUCUAGCCUUAUAUUUAUCAAUAGAUCCAUCCAGUUUCAACUUUUUUCUAAAGUCCCAUUUGCAACCAAUAGUUUUACAACCUGGUGGUAAAUCAACUAACUUCCAAGUUUUAUUAGAAAUUAGUGAUUCCAUUUCAUCAUUUAGUUUACAGCCUCUUUCCAAAAAAAUGGAAUCAUGUGAAGAUAAAGCUUCUUUUAAAGUGAGAGGGUCAUCUCCAACAUUAAACACAAAAAAAUCAGGACCAAAAUCUUUUUCUACUCUAGCUCUUUUACUUCUUCUUAACUCAAAAUCAUCAACUUCUUUAUUUUUCAAAGUUAGAGUAGAAGAAUUAGGUAGUGACAAAAUAUUUUGUUUAAUUCUUUGACCCCCACUAUUUUUAGAAUCAAAAGGAAAUUUAUUCUCAUGAAAAAUAGCAUCACCCGAUUCUAUCACAAUAUUAUCUUUAAGAUUAAAAAAUCUAUAGAUUGUACUAUUUGAAGCAUAACCAAGAAAAACACAAGUAGUAACUUUCUUACCCAAUUUUGUGAUCUUGGGAUCCAUUAGCCUUACAAAGGCUAGACAAUCUCAAACUCUUAGAUAUCCCAAACUUGGCUUGUAACCUUUUCACCAUUCAAAAGGUGUUAAUUUAGACUUUUUAUGAGACACACCAACACAUAACAAGCAGUCAAAAUAGCUUCACCCCAAAAAUUUAAAGGUGCAUGUGACUCAAUAAGCAUGACAUUAGUCAAUUCAAAUAAAGUUCUAUAUUUUCUUUCCGCUACUCCAUUAGAUGAAGGAGAGUAAGGAGGAGUAGUUUCAUGAAUUAUUCCCAAUGAUCUAACAAAAGAAUUAAACUCAUUUGAUUCAUAUUCACAGCCUCUAUCACUUCUAAUUUUUUUUACUUUUCUUCCAAAUUGAUUUUCAACCUCAUGGAGAUAGUUUCGAAAUUUUCAAAAGUAUCACUUUUAAUUUUCAUUAGGUAAACAUACGUAAACUUAGAAAAAUCUUCAAUCAAAGUGAUAAAAUAUCUAUUAGCUCUAUAAGUUAAAAUUCCGCCAAGUUCACAAAUAUCAGUAUGAACUAAUUCUAACAAAUCAGUUUUUCUUUGAACUUGUAAAUGAGGCCUUUUAGUGAUUUUGGCUUUACUACAAGCCUCACACUUUUCAACAUUCUUUUUAACCAUUGGGAUCAAUCCUAAACUACUCAUGAUUCCAACAUAACGAUCAUUAAUAUGACACAAACGAGCAUGCCAAAAAUUAGUAGAGGAAAGCAUAUAAACAGAAGUAUAAGCUUAAUUCACUUCUACAUUCAAUUUGACCAUCCCAUCACAUGCAUACCCCUUUCCCAAAAAAAUAUCCUUCUUCACAAUUACAUAUUGAUCAGAUUCAAUGAUUUGUUUAAAGCCUGCUUUAUUAAGAAGAAAACUAGACAUCAGAUUUUUCUCAUGGAAGGAGUAUAGAGUACAUCUUUCAAAGUUAAUAUUCUUUCAAAAGUAAAACACAAUUCGACAUCUCCCGUUCCAAGCACUUGAGUUUUGUGAGAAUCACCAAGCAUGAUGGUUUUGGGCUCCUCAAAAUGAGUAUAUUUUUUUAAAUCAGUCUUUAUCAUAACAGACAUGACGGUUUGCACCAGAAUCAGCCCACUAUCCAUCAACACUCUCAACCAUGUUUAUGUCGAUAAUCACCGCCACAAAAGGUUCUUCGGUAACGUUUGCCUGAGGGUUAGGACCACAUUUCCGGAAUCUGCAAAAUCGAGCAAUAUGCCCACUCUUGCCACAAACAAAGCACGGUCCCUUAUCUUGAACUUGUUGAUUUUGUGCUUGGCUAUUUUGACCAUUAUUUUUCUUGGUAGGUCUACUAUUAUUUUUCUUAAAUUUUUUCUUCUUAGGCUUCAAAGAAGUAUUUUUGUGAGUUGAUGUUGCUCUCUUCUUUUUGUAAAAAGUUCAUCUUGGCCCCUUGCCUCUUCACCAUUGUACUUUUCCACUUUCUCAUGAUGAGAAAUAAGUUCAUCAUCAUCCAUGGAGGUGUCAUCAACUUUAUUAGGAUUCUUCUCAGUUAACACAUAAGAAACAUAGAGAAGAUUUAAGUAGAAAUGUACUUUACCCUUCCAUCUUUUGAAAUGGUUACCAUUGAACCGAAAUGACUUGUUCAGGUCUCCCAACUUGACAUCCGUGGUUUUUUCAAUUGUAGCCAUUACUAAAUCUCCUUAAAAUUGUUAGUGAAAAAUUAAAAAAUAAUAAAAUUGCAAGAUUUCAAUUGAAAAUAAAUCUCUUCAGGCUAAGACGCGGAUUUUUCGCUCUCUUUAAGGAGAUUCGAGUCCACUACAGCAAAUGUUUUUCAUCGGUCCAGCAGUAGUCCUUCUUGACUUGUCCCCUCAAGGAUACAACAACCUUACACAAAGUAUAACUCAACAACUUUGGACAAGAGUUGAGUCCAUAGCACCACAAAAACCCUUCAACUAAUAAGAACUCUCUUUUUUGACUGACUCUUUCACUCUAUAUUUUUCUUGUGUAUUGUGUGCUCCAAACCAAAUGAAGACCACCACUAUUUAUAGUUGGGGAUGUCUUCCUAGCAAUGAAUAGGAAGAUAAUGGAGUAGUAAAUAGUGAAGAUAAAUGGCCUUAAGAGUUACAUAUGUUACAAGGUAUAAUGGAGGAAGAAUAAUGAAGAAUGAAUGGCAAAGGCCACCAACGGCUAAGAGUUGGUAAAUUGAGUUACCAACCAAAUGUCAACUUAUAUUAAUCCGUUGCUAAAAGGUUCGUCGGUAAAUAUUACCAAUCGAUUUUAAUUUGUUGGUAAACUUAUCAACCAAAAAUCAGUUGGUAAACACCCAAAAAUGUUACAAAAUUUUGAAACAUGGUCCUGAAAUUUCAGUUGGUAAAUUCACCAACUAAUUUUUGGUUAGUAUAUCGUUAGUACCUUUACUAAUGAAUUGAAAAGGAGUUAGUAAAUUUUUUUCUGCAUUAUUCGAUUCCGUUAGUAAUACGUUUGAUAGUAAACUUUUCUAGAUACAUUGGUAAUUGGUUGACAAUUUUAGUAACAGAAAAUUUAUGUUGGUAAUUUACCAAUAAGUUUUAAAUACUUUUUUUUUUGUUUUCCAUCCGGUGUCCGGUAUCCACAUUGGAGCCCGACUAUGCGAAUCCGUACCCAAGGGGAAUCGAACCUGAGACCUCUUGGUUAAGGAUGGAGGAGUACUUACCACUCCACUACAACCCUUAUUGGUAAUAAAUUUUAAAUAUGUUAGUAUGAUUAUUUGUUUUUCUAAUAAAUCUACUAAUUGAUUGUUAGUUUGUUGGUAAUAUAUCAUUCCAGUUCAAUGUUAGGUUAGUAAUUGAUUGCAAUAUGCUCAAAAAAUUAUUAACUGAAUGAUUAUCCAAUAGUAAAAUAUUUAUUAAUUUAUUGCAUUUAGAAAUUUAAGAGCAUGAAUAUAAAUCCAAAAAUAUUAAUAUCAAUUUUAUAAAUCAUAUUUGAAUGAAACAAUGUAAACUCUAUGAUAACAACUUAAAUUAAUCUCAAUAUGACACAUAUCAUUAUAUCAAAAAUUUUAAUUUGAGCACGUUUACCAAAAAUAUUGACCAAAUCUAAAUUUUGGCCAAAAGCUUAAAAGUUAAAACGCCUAACAGCACAAACUAAAAAUGGAAGCCUCAAAAUCUGAACCAACCAUCCUAUUAGAUAUAAAAAUGACCUUUUGAAGCUAAUCGCGCUGACGGAAUUCUCAUCAGAGCAUGUUUACAAAAAAUGUUAAGCAAAGUCAAAUUUUGGCCAAAAGUUAAAAGUUAAAACGUUUAACGGUACAAACUGAAUAUGAAAACCUCAAAAUCUAAAGCAACCAUCCUAUAAGACGAAAAAUGACCUUCCAGAGCUAACCGCACUGACGAAAUUCAAAUUUGAGCAUGUUUCCCAAAAAAAUUGACCUAGUUCAAAUUUUAGCCAAAAGUUAAAAGUUAAAACUCUUGUUGACACCCAAUUUUGACCCUCCCCGAUAGGAAUUAAUUCACGAGCUUCUUAAUUCCCAAACAAUUUAGAAUAAUUAAUAAAAGUCAAAUACUUUACAAAGUAAUUUUAAGUGACCUUAGUCGAUUCUCAUAAUUUAUAAAUAAGUGGAUAUAUUUCAUAUAGUUUUAUAGAUAUGAUCGGUAUGUUUCAUGAAUAUUUGAAAAUCAUCUCAAAAAGAUUUUAUUUUAAAUAUUAUAUUAAAAUUAGUUUAGUUUAGAUUGUGGUUAAUUUUAAAAAUCAAUUGGUUUAUAGUUGAAUUAAUUAUUUUAUUUUGUUAAGAUGAGAAGCUCAUAAAUUAAUUAUACUAAUUCAUCUUAUUUAUGUUUAGCCGAAUUUGCAAAUGAGUUCAAUUUGGUUAAAGAUUCGUAAUCUUGAUUGGCCAAUUACAAUUCAACUUGGCUAAAUUAGUAAUUCACUUGGCCAUAUAAAAAACUAAAGUUUUGGGCCCUACUUCUAAUUCCUAGCAGCCCACACCUUUGUUCCCAUUUCCUAGCCCAUUUCCUCCUCUAAAUUUUCCAGCCCAAUCCCUAUUAUCCCUCAACCCGACCCAUCCAGACCAGCCCAAUAAAACCUGACCCGACCCCAUCCCCUUUUCCUUCUAAUUCCAGGUCAACGCUAACACAACAAUAUCAUAACAACGACAGCAUCUCACGGAAAACAACCAACAACGUCAAUUCCAAUAGACGGAAAACAGCGAUUCCAAUCGGCGAAAUACACGGCAAGUUCACGCCUUGGACGCGUGAAUCAAGUUCUCUACGAUUUAUUGUUGUCUUCCCCCAACGUCCCUUUCCGUAGUACUGUUCCAGCGCUUUUCCAGCCAAUGAAUCGUCCUUACAACUUGAGAUCGAGCCACGUAGCUCCUAAAGGACGAUGAGUUGAUCAUAGAGCGUCAAUUCACCCUUUUCUCUUUCGGAAUAGAGCGGAAUUUCAGAAAAAGGUUAUCUCUCCAGAAUUGUGAAUGAAUCUUUGAGUUUGAAUUCGAAAUAGGCCCUGAAAUCUGAGAUUUUUAUCCCUUUCCCCCCAUUUUUUGAACCCUAGUUCUCUUCUAUAUAUUCCCCCUUAUUCAUUGUAGAUGGGGGAGAUUUUUUUUGGGGUUGAAAAUUUGUAGAACAAAAAUACACAUAAUAGCUUAAGCGAAAAUAGCUAAAAUAUAUAUACUAAAUACUCCAAGAAAAAUAGAGAAAAUACUUAAUUUUGGUGUUUGAGUUUGAUAUCUCUACCCAAACAUUCUGAUUCGCUGUUCGUGUUUGAGUCUCGGUGUGGUGGAGGUCAUUGUUUUGCUCGUCUUGAUCCCUGCUCGCUGCCCUCAAGAAGGUAAAAAUCUCUCAUUUUAUUUCUGCUCAUUUGACCUCCAGUUAUUCUGCAUUUCUUCUGUUUAUGCGUUUAGCUGAGACCUUUCAAUCUGGAGUUGUGGUUAUUUUUUUGUGUAUUUUUUAAAUGCGUAAGCUUGUGCUAUUUAGCUGUCAUUUGUUUACUGCGGGGUUCAUUUGUGAAGCAUCUUGAAUAUUGACACUUUAUUUCUAUUUUUGUUGUACUUACUGGUUAAUCGAGUCAAUCUUAGCAUGUUCUAUUAUUGCCUUAUGCUCUAAUUUUUUAUGCGUAGCGUUUUCUACGGCUUGUCUCCCUGAUGUUAGUUUGGUUAAGUGAAAGUAUUAUAGUUUGAGUAAGUCUCUAAUAGCUUCCAUGCCAAAAGAUAUCCUUGUAUUUGAUAUAUAUUUGUUUUGAGUGAUUUUGCAUUGGUUUGCUGUUGAAAUUUUCUUUAGUGGAGCUCUAGUUAUUAGUAAGACUUUCGUCACUUUCAGUUUUGUAUAGUUGCUUAAUUCAUAUCGUAGAUUGUGUAUCUUCCUCGAAGAAAUGUCCCUUUGGCAUAAAAUAUUCAUAGAUGUUCUCUGUUCAACUAGUCAUUUAACAAAUGUGUACAUUUGGAAAGGACUGAUUAAUUUUUCUCAAAUCUGUUAUUAAUCUGAUCACUUAUAUUUGUUUAUUUUGAUAUCAUUGCACGCAAGUCGUGGUUGGUCCCUUUUACCUAUGGUAGUGGUUUAGUCCCUUGCUUAGUUUAUUCAUUUAUUUUGAGGGUGAAGUUCAAUAUAGUUUACGUGUAUUUUUUUUUUACUUGAAAGCAUGACAUAUUUUAUUUUUUCUAUUUUUAUUUUUUGUUUUAUUUUCUUCUUUUUAUUUUGUUGUUCAUGUAUACUGUUGUUAGUCACUAUUCUAAUUUAUUGAUUUAAAUAGUUAGUAUGCUCUUCUAAUUACUCCUUUAAGCUAGGGUGCUCCAUAUAAUGCGACUGAAUCUAAAAAUCUUGCUUUAAUUAUUAGCAUCCUUUAUUAGCAUGUCUGCCUAUUUAAUAAGUUGAAUAACAUUUGUUUGCUAUGGGUUUUAAGUGUCAAAUAGCAGCUUAAACGGUCUUUAUUUUAGCAUGACUUGGAUUUAGUGUCUUUGGAGUUUGUAUCCCUUUGUUCAGGUCCAUAUUGUUUAAGUUCAACCGAGUUAUUUACUUUGUAUUGAUUUAGGGGCUGUUAUGAUUCGCUUUAGAGAUGUUGUUGCUUUAUUAUUCUAUGGUACUAAUUCUUAUUAUCAUUUUGUUGCAUGUGAAAUUUUUCUGAGUUCACCAUGAACUCCUUUUUCCUCGCAUUUUGAGAAAGCCGUAAAGGCUUAAAUCUCUCAUUUCGAAUCAGCCAGUCGUGAAAUCAAAGAGCAGGUCCUAAAAAUUGACGAACAUGUGUUUGGAGCUAAUACAAGAUUGUAUACACUAGUAUACACCUAGUGUAUACAAAAUGGAAAUGGGCCAAAAGUGUCACGCCCCGAGCCUACACCCUGGGUGGGACUGGCACUCGAAGACCGUUGCUGGCCCCAAGUGAACUCUUGGUCUAACUUACUUAACUCAGCGGAAGACUUAACUCAUCGCAUAAACAUUUAUGAAGAAACUUGAAUGUCAUAAAGGAACAUUCAAUUGCCAUUUAGGCAAACUCAAGUCUUUAACAUAAGAAAUGAAAAGUAAAGACAAUUGAAAUAACUAACUAGUCUGUCUGUCUAUGAAGCCUCUAAAACAACUGAGAUAGAUGUUGGGACAAAACCCCCACAACAUCCUAAUGGACUAAACUAGAAAGCAAUGAAAAUAGAUCCUCCGGAAUGCAAGAAGGCUCAUCGACUGACUCUGAAUUGCUCACUGGAUCAAUGGUGCGCUGAAAUGCCGAUCCUAGUUACCUGUGUCUGCAUCAUAAGACAAUACAGGCCAACUGGCAUCAGUACAUUGAAUGUACGAGUAUGCGAGUUGGAAUGCUAAAACAACAUAGGCUUGAAAAGGAAUCUGAAAGAAACUGAAGAACUUACUUGGCUCAGCUCAACUCAACUCAACAUAAUUGAACUCAUUUCAAUAUAAAACAAUUUAAAACAAGUGCAAUAUAAAGAAAAGCUAUUUAAAANNNNNNNNNNNNNNNNNNNNNNNNNNNNNNNNNNNNNNNNNNNNNNNNNNNNNNNNNNNNNNNNNNNNNNNNNNNNNNNNNNNNNNNNNNNNNNNNNNNNNNNNNNNNNNNNNNNNNNNNNNNNNNNNNNNNNNNNNNNNNNNNNNNNNNNNNNNNNNNNNNNNNNNNNNNNNNNNNNNNNNNNNNNNNNNNNNNNNNNNNNNNNNNNNNNGCCAAAGGUAUAGGACCUGAACUACUAAUGGAUCCACAAGUAUAUGUGAAAAGGGUUCAUCUAAAAAGUAUGAACCUUUUCUAUCCAUGAUGGCUACAUGGUUUAUGGGGGGUGUGAGUUGUUUGAACUCUCCCCCAUAUUGGUGCUCAAUACUACUCCCAAAAUAUACUAGCUCUUAUGUUUUAAAACAUACUUCUUCUGUGAUUUGAGAUUAGUGCUCAAAAAACUUAGCUCAAAGGUUAUCUUGGAAAUCUCAGUUUCCCUGCUUUCUUCAUUUAGAAAGCUAAUACCCUUUUCUGAAACUAGCCCAAAUGUUCUUUGGAAAUCUCAGUUUCCGUUCUUAUUUAAAUGUGAAAAUAUUUUAAAUCUCUUUGGGAAUACUUAGUCCCCAUAUACUUUUGAAGAAAUGAACUUCAAACUUUACUCUUUACUCAUUACUCAACUUGAACUUUAAGUCUUAAAAACAAAGUUAAAAGCAUUUGCAAAAGACUUCUUGAAAAGACUCUAAGAACUUCUUAGACUUGGCUCUUGACUUUCCUUGAAUUUAAAUUUAGGAAUUCAAGGUUAUGGUUUAUGUUUCUGGAUGAUUUCUAGAUGUUUAGAAGUCAUUUAGAGUAGUUAGAAUCAAUGGAAAGUGUUAAUACACUUUAAAAUAACUUAAACGGACUGAAUGACAAAAACUGGGUGAAAAAUGACUAUUUGGGCGCAUCCGGGGCGCGCCGCGCCAGCCCUUACCUUUCUAGGGCUCUAUUCUGGCACGCCGCCCCUGCCUUCCUGGCGCAAUAGGGGCGCGUCGAGCCAGCCUUCCCACAGACACAAACUAACGAAUUUUUGACCUCAUUUUCUAAUCCUAAAUCAUUUUAAUCAUAUUCUUUUUCUCAAAUUUACUUUAGAUUCAUGUACUUAAAUUAUAUACACAAAAAUCUAACCCAAACAACUCAAGGAAACAACACUUUAACAUCAAGAAGAUCCUUAAUCCCAUCUCAUAUUCAAGAACGAAAUCAACUCAAGAACCACAUUCAUAUUACAUUCAAAAUCCAAUCUUUUGGAGAUGAAAUCACUGAAUCAAACAUGCUUGGCACGUGGGUGAACGAACCCAACGUUGAGAUAGACUCACAUACCUUAAUUGAUUGAAUCCUCAGCGAAAUUCGCAAGCAAUUCCUUAUGACGACGACGAAUCUAGCUUUUUCCUCCUUUCUCUUUUCUUGCGUUCUUCCUCCAAAACCCUAGCUCUAUUUGGUACUCCCUCCGUCCCUAUUUACUUGUCCAUAUUUCCUUUUUUGGUUGUCCCUAUUUAGUUGUCCAUUUUGACAAAUCAAGAAAGGACAACAAAUUUUUUCCUAUUAUACCCUUAUUUACACUUCUUGAAAAAUUGUAAAAAGUGUAUGUUGUUUCCCUCCAAUUUAUUUCACUUGAAUUCAAAUAAGUGGUUGUAAUUUUAAAGUGAAAAGUUGUCAUAAGGGUAAAAUUGUAACUUCACUGUGCUAAUCAUUGUUGCCUUAAUCUGUGUGCCAUUUCUAAAGUGGACAACUAAAAAGGGACGGAGGGAGUAAAUGUCUACCCCUAAACGAAAUAAAUUCGGAUAGAACAAUUGGGUAAGAAAAGGACCAAACUACCCUUUAAAAAUUCGGAUAGAACUUUCCUUAUUCCAACAACCCAACUUCCAAAGGGAAUAACUCACUCAUACAAACUCGGAAUCGCGCAAAAUUGGUGGCGUUGUAAAGUCGUUCCAAGAGCUUUCCAACCAUAUUUGAAAUUACACCUAAAUCAUCCUAAUCUAGGAGUUAUGGUCGUUUGAAGUUAACCAGAAACUCACUAUUUUCUAACUUAGCCAAUUCCCGGAUUUUUUUUAUUUCUUUCCAAAAAUGACUAUUCCCAAUUUUAACUUUUUUCUUAGUUAUUUCAAAUUGCGAGAUGUUACAAAAAGACCCCAAAUUCAGCAUUGUAUUUUGUUAUUUUGGGCCUAAGCUCACUUAUUUGCUAUUACUUGUUAGUUCUUAGGACAGGUGGAAAAUUGGGCCUAAGACCCAGAGAACCUUUUUUUUAUGUUAGUUUAGGACAGUUGCAGGCGACUCAAAUAGGCUAAAGGGCCAAAACAAAAAUGGGCCCAAAUACUGGCCCAGACGAACAGGAAAAUCAGAUUUGGGCCCAAGUCUCUUUCCCUCUUUGUUUUAUGGAAAAAUUACAGAAAUCUCACAUUUUAGUUUAUUUAUUACCAUUAUUCCCUAUAAGUUUUACAAAUUUCCAAAAUCCCUCAUUUUCGGGCAUCAGAUUAGUGUAUCAACACUUAUAUUAUUGUAUCUCAUACAUCAGAUUAAUGUAUCAACACAUAUAUUAUUGUAUCUCGCGCAUCAAAUUAAUGUAUCAACGCUUAUAUCAUUGUAUCUCGCGCAUGUAUCAGCGCUUAUAUUAUUGUAUCUGUUUGAGGGAUUUCUGUAAUCAUAAACUUUUAAGGGAUAGAUUGUAAUUUUGCUUUAAAAGUAUGUGAUUUCUGUAAUUUGCCCUUGUUUUAUUGUGUUCGUUUACUUGUCAAUAUCUGCUAUUUAACCUCAAGGUUUUAAAAAUUCAAAUCCCCGAAAGAUAUCCAUUUUGAAUUAAUUGCUUAACUAAAUUAUUCCUCUUUUACUUGACUUAAUACAUAAAUAAAUAAAUAAGUUUACAAAAUAUUUCACUUAGAUAAUAUUUCAAUAUUUUUCUUUUUCUCCCUUAAAAUGGUCCUAACUAUAAAAUAGUUCAGUUUUGCAAUUCAAGCUAAGUUAAAAUUAUUUUAGCCAAAUAAUUAACUGCCGGAUAACCGCGUAUUAGCGGGCAUUUCAGAUGCUUUCAAACCCUUCCUGAAAUGCUAAUAAGAACCCCGAACCCUUUUUAAGUUUUCAUUAGAUUUUCUGUUUUAGUCUUUUGAAAACAAUAGUUUUCUUAAUUUUACUUUAAAAAUUAAGUGGCGACUCUAAACCAGUCUAAUCAUAUUUUUAAAAUAAAAUAACUCUUAACGACACAAACUGAAAAUAAAAGUCUCAAAACCCAAACCAACCAUCCUAUGAGAUCAAAACUGAACUUAUAUGGCUAACCGCAGUGACAAAAUUUCAAUUCGAGCACGAUUAUCAAAAAUAUUGACUAAAGUAAAAUUUUGGCCAAAACUUAAAAGUUAAAAUACCUAACAACACAAACUAAAAAUGGAAGCCUCAAAACCCGAACCCUCUAUCUUAUUACAUAAAAAAUGACCUUCCGCAUCUAAUUGCAUUGACGAAAUUCUCAUCUGAGCACAUUUAUCAAAUAUAUUGACUGAAGUUAAAUUUUGGCCAAAAUUUACAAGUUAAAACAUCUAACGACACACAAUAAAAAUGAAAGCCUCAAAAUCCAAACUAACCAUCCUGUUAGAUAAAAAAUGACCUUUGGAGUUAAUUACGCUGACAUAAUUCACAUCUGAGCACGUUCACAAAAAUAUUGACCAAAGUCAAAUUUUGGCCCAAACAUAAGAUUUUAAACACCUAACGGCACAAACAAAAAACGGAAGUGUCAAAACUUGAACCAACCUUCAUGCUAGAUAAAAAAUGACCUUUCGAGGCUAAUGACACCGACACAGUUCUAAUCUGAGCACGUUUACCAAAAAUAUCGAUCAAAGUCAAGUUUUGGCUAAAAUUUAAAAGUUAAAACGCCUAACGACACAAACUGAAUAUGAAAGCCUCAACACUAGACACCGAUUUACCAAAAGUUUAACUUCAAUUGAUAAAUUUACCAACUAUUCAAAUAUAAGUUAGUAAUUAAUAAUUUACCAAUAAAUUUUAUCACAGUUGGUAAUAGUUAUUAUUCAACUAAACAUUUAUAUGUAAUAUUACCAACUAAUAAUUAAUAUGUUGGUAAAUUUUACCAAUGAAUUAAUGAUUGGUUGGUAUAUUACCAACUAUUUAAUGAUGUUAGUAAUUUACUAACUAAAAUCUUUAUUCGUCGGCAAACUUUUCAACUAAUUGGAUAUUGGUUGGCAAGUUUACCAACAAAUUACAUUUCGUUACUAAUUUACCAACACAUUUAUAUUUGGUUGGUAAAUUUAGCAACACAAUCUUGCCGUUGGUAAAUGUUUGGUUAGUAAUUCAUUGGUAAUAUGUUAAUAAAUUAUAUAAACAAUUUUUUGUCAUAUUUACCAAUCGAUAUAUACUUCGUUGGUAAUAUUACCAACAAAAGGUGUGCGUUAGUAAUAUUUCAGUUGGUAAUCCAUUGAUAGAAUGUUGCUAAAUUUGGCGCCAUUUUUUCCCGCCGUAUUUACCAACUAAAAUACUUAGUUAGUAAGAUUUUGGUUGGUAAUCUGUUAGAAUUUCGUUGUUAAGUUUUAAAAUAUAAUUCAGUUAGAAAUAUGUUGGUAAUUUGUUAGUAGAAUACUAACCAGCUUAAGUUGUUAGUAAAAUCUGUUGGCAAUUUGGGGUUUUUUUUUAGUGAAUGGGAAAUAUACACCUUAACCAUUAUUUACUAAUAUUAAUAUGCUCCCAAACCAACAACUAAUGCUAAGAAAAUUCUGAUUCAUAGCAUUGAUCAAUCAAUUUUAUUUUAUUUUUGUAUUAUUAUAUAAACAUUUUGUCUUAAUUGGAGGAGUUUACUGAUUGGAAUCUAAAAUUGUUAAGAUUGUUUUUAACAAGGCUAAAAAUAGAAGGUGUCCUAAGGAAAUUGGGAGAGGUACUAGCAAUAUAGCCUAGGCCAUAGCAGCUUAUUUUGGAACCAAAUGGUGGGUGAGAAAUGACUAUUCAAACUUUAUUUUAGAAUGUGAUUUCCUGAUUAUAAUUAAUAUGAUCAAGGAUAUAUCUCAAAUGGCCUGGAAAUUGCUGCAAAGAAAGAAUAUAUUCUGAGUCACUAGCUAUGAUUUGUCUUUUUUUAGUUUUUGUUAGACCUGUUUUCAAAGUAGUAUAUUAAUGCUUGUUAACGGAAGUUUACGCUAUCGUUCCUCACUACUUAUUUUCUGUAUAAAUUUUGGAUUAAAUAAAAGGAUUACACAGCUAAAGACAUAAAAUUUACAUUAAAAAAUGCAAAUUCAUGAAGUUUGGGGGUGGGGGUUAAUGUUUCAUUUAUUAAUUAAUUCUAUUUUAAUUCACUCAAUUUACUCCAUGUAAGAGAGUUGCACUAAUUCGAGCUAAAUAGGUAGUCGAUCUAGAUUGACUCACGACUUGGCCGACUCUUACUUUAAAAAAAUUAAGGCAUAUGCCUUAGGCUCUUAAUUUUGGAGGGAUUAAAUUUUUACUAAGAAUAAAUUUUGUGUUUUUUUUUUUUAUUUAUAGAAAAAUGAUAGUUAUUUUAUUCUCUUAACCCUAUACAAAUAGAAGAAAUCAAGAAAAUGUUAACAUAACUAUUUUCACGGCAACAAAAACAAUUUUUAGCGGAAAUGAAUAGAUACAUUAAUAAAGAGUGUUAAAGUAUUUAUUGGCAUUAGUUAAGUGUCAUUAGAUCCAAUGUCGCUAAAACUUUAGUGACAUAUACAAAAAGUGCUAAUUGUCGCUAAAAAUACAUAUUUAAUGGCAAUUGAGCUAUUGCCAUUAAUUAAUUGCCGCUAAAGAUCAUUUUUGAUGUAGUGUCCAUCCAACAAUAGUUGUCCAUUAUACUAUUUUGGAAUGUCAAAUAAUACUUGUUCACUCUAUGAAAUCAAUGGAUAAUUUUACACUUAGUUAUUAAUUUACCUUAUCUUUAAUUAUAAUAAUUUUCUCUAUUACAUUUUUUAAGACACUAUAUUUAUUAUAUUCAAAGGGUGAUAUAGUAAAAUCAUCCUACUAUUUAUAGUUUCUUAAGAAGUGUGCAAUGUCAAUAGUGGACAAUUUAGAAUAAUGAACUGUUUCAAACUUAUUUUUCACAAAUUUAAAAAGCAUUUAUUGUUAAAAAAAUAGGGUCUUUGGCUAGGGUGCUUCUCUGCCUCAUAAUUAAGGGCAUACACAACAUUCAUAUCUAUGACAGUCUUCGGUCUUCCGCCCAAAUAACAUUUAGACUUACUAGGGUUGUGGUGCACUGGUGAAAGUGCUUCACCCUUAACCAGAGGUCUUGGGUUCGAGCCCUGGGUAUGGAGAAAAUCCUGUUGGGAGCGUCACACCCGAAUGGCCCCUGCAGAGCGCGAUUCGAAUUUAGUCGGAGCUCCAAUGUGAAUUUCGAACACCGAGUGAGGAAAAAAAAAACAUUUAGACUUAGUAAGAGUUGAAUGGGCAGCUCGUUUCAUGGCCCAUAAUUUAGCUAUCUUAAACCCAAUUCAUUUCCUUCGGUCCAAGUAAUAUUUAGAUUGGAUCAUAAACUUAUUCAUUUAUCAUCUCAUUAUAAUUCAAUCCGUCCCCAUAUCUGACAUCCACCCUUUAUUAUAUGCUUAAGCAUGAAAAUAUGUAUGGAUCACACAUAGAAACACAAAUUAAAUGUAUGUAUAGGAUAUGCAUGAUAAUUAAAGGACAUGCAUAUUCGAACAUAGUUAGCUAGCUAGCUUGUUUUAUUCAUAACUCAUAAGCCUGCAUUAAUUAAAAUUACAUAGAGCCUGGAGACGCAUCCACUUUAAUUUAUUCCUUAACGACGACAAUGGGAAGAGCUAGGGUUUUGACCGGCAGCCACGAGAGGAUAUAUAUAUAAUCCGUAAUCAAAAGUGAAGCUCACAUCAUUACACAUAAUUAAUCCGUACAAUUAAUACAUUAACUUGUAUUCAUUUUCCAAUUCUUGUUCCUCCGUCGUCUCAUAUUUCAUUAUCUUGAACAAGUUGCUUUCAUUUCCACCAGUUACCACGAAUUGUUUAUCAUCACCAGCAACUUUCCAAACAGCUAGGUUUCGUUCAAACACGCGCGCCGGAGUAGAUAUAUCAAAAUCUGAGAACAUGCAUCCUUAACUUUCCAAACAAUUUCAUUUUCUAUUUUACCGGAAUUCGGUACGUGUUUGGGCAUCUUAAGUAAUAACUAGCUAGUACUGGACAAGUAUACGGUUCCGCCUCCCAUGACAGGAUUAUGAAUAAUGUACUUUACACCACUGUAGAGUGGUUGGCCGUCCUGUCCAAUUAACACUUGAGGGGAUACAUCGAUCAUCAUUAUUAUUAUUAGUAGUUGUGGGAAGGACAAUGGGAUUGUUGGAUCGACAAAAGGCAACAAAGAAAGCAAGAGGAAACUCAAAAUGUUAAUCCACUUCAUGUGUAUUUUGAUUGCGUCUAUAUAUCUAUCUCCAAUUUAUACACCACCACAUGUAUGUAAGGGCAUUUUUCAGAAACAAAAAAUGGCUACCUACUACUACUACUUUUUAGUUUAGUGACAUGAUUUAUUAAGUCGAUCAAUGCUUGAGAGAUCUAAUAAGUAGUAUAAAGACUUUCUAUUUUAACAAAGAAUCAAAAAUGGGAAGGUUAAUUUCUAUUUAUUUAUGGGAUAUGGUACGGGUACUCUAUAAACUAUGAUCGAAAUCUCAUAAACAUAUAUUAACUAAACUAAGGUCCUAUUACCCCCUCAAACCUAUUUUUUUCUUGUAAUUUUGUACACCUUUUUGACUUGAGUGGCAUCCAAACAAUUCCCACACGCCUCAACUAUGUGGAGUCACGCAGUGUGCCACGUAAGCCAAAAUGUGUACAAAAUUACAAUAAAAAUGAGUUCGAAGGGGGUAAUAAGACCUUAGUUAGUUAAAGUGUGUCUUUGAGAUUUCAGUUAAAUAUAAUUUAGGGGUACUUGUGCCUUCUCCAUUUAUUUAUCAAGUCAAUUUAUUUUGGUCUGAUUAGUUUAUUGAUAUAUAAAAAAAAAUUACAACUUGAAGCAAAAAUAUUUACAUAUAUAUAGCUACAAGAUUUUGUUUUCAAAUAAUUUAUUAUGUGUAAUCAUUUAAAAAUUAUUAAAUAUAAAUUUAUAAAAUGAUUUGGAUUAUAUUAAAUUCAUGAAUAUAUUAGUCCAAAUAAAUAUUAUGGAUUAAUAUAAUUGAAUUAAUUAUUUAAAUCUAAUAAAUAUGGAUUUAAUUAAAGCCUGCUCCAUAAAGCUCAUAUGUCAUGUCACUUAAAUCUGAUUGGCCGAAGGAAGUCCUUUUAAAUAGGGGUCCUCAUAAUUCAUAAUGGAGAACCAAAAAAUUUAACAAGAAGCUAGAGAAAACUCGUGGAUCAAAAGCCGCAGAUUUUUCAAGAACGAUAAAGAUAAAGACCGCCGGAUUCAAGAUCAAGCUCGAAGCCCUUAGAUUCAACUAGAAGUCAAGAUAAAGUUCAAGAUCAAGAUCAAGAUCCACCAAUUGAAACCGAAUAACGAAAGAUAACUAUAGAAGUUCAUAUGGAACAUUACAAAUAUAAUUCCAAUCACAAAUUAAUUAGCUACUCUACUUGAGGUAGCAGACCAAUAAUGUACCGAUGGGACCAUUAGAGAUUAUCCAUUACUAAAACGUGUCAAUGAAGUACGACGGUUGGUUGAGCAUAUAAUAUACAGUAGUAGGCUUAAUUGAUAUUAUGACUUGGCUCAAUUGAGUAUCUGAAUACGAUCAAAUGUUUCUAUUAGAUACUUCCAAUCCAAGUUUGGAGAAACUCUAGUUUUAUGUGUCUUUUCAAUUAGUGGCUAUAACGUAGAUAAAUUAACUAAUUAAAAUAUUUUAUACAUUUAAUUACACGGAUUAACCUUAAUAAGCUAUAAAACCUCAUAUUUGUUUCAAUAAACUUAAAAUACGCCAAUGGAAAGUGUUAUAAUAUGGGAUGGAUAUUAGUGGAAAGGAAAUAUGAAAUCAAGAACUCUAACAAAGAAGAGGAAUAUUCAUCUAUGGAAGAAGAAAAUAAUAGAAAUUCAAUAUCAAAAGCUAAACAAAAUAAUUUGUACAAACGGAUACAAAAUAGACGUAGUUAGUUAUAAACUUAUAUCUAUCUACCUUAACUCCGUCCAAUAAUAUUUGUCCACUAUACUAUUUUGGAAUGUGCAACAAUAUAUACUUGUUCAUUUUAUGAAAUCAAUGGAUAAACAAAUCAAUGGUCAAUCACACAUUCAAACACAAGCCUUAAAAAAUGUAUCGCAUAUGAUAAUUAAAUUAAAGGUCGUAUUCGAAGAUAGUAGCUUGUUUUAUUCAUAACUCAUAAGCAUACAUUAAUUAAAAUUACAUGGAGCGAUCCACAUUAAUUUAUUCCUUAACGAAGACAACGGGAAGAGGGUUUUUACCGUCAGCUACCAGAUGAUGUAAUCCAUUAUGAAAAGUCAAGCUGACAUGUUUACACAUUAUAAGUUGAGGGGGACAAUACAUUAGCUUGUAUAUCACUAAUUAGUCAAUUUCAUAAUCUUGAACAAGUUGCUUUCAUUUCCUAUGGUACCACCAGUCACCACGAACUGAUCUUUAUCAUCACUAACUUUCCAAAUAGUUUCGUUAAAACACGGACUAGAUAUAUCACUAAUUAGUCAAUUUCCAAUAGAUCAUAGGCUCAUAGAAUCAGCAGGUAGGUUGGGUGAGGCUUUUUUUUGGGUUUUUCAUCCUAUGAUGGGAUUUUAAAUUGGAGCCUCGAUUAAAUUUGGAUCGCGCACUGUAGGGUCCAUUUGGAGAUGACGCUCCCAAUAAAAUUUUCUCCAUAUCCAGAGCUCGAAUCUAAGAUCUUUGAUUAAGAGUGGAACAAUCUCACCACAACUCAUGUUGGUGGUAGGUUGGGUGAAUUAAUGAGCCCUUAUGUUAAUUUAGUUUAUUUUGAUCUAUUUUAUUUAAAAUUUAGCAACGAUCGAACGAAUUACCUUUCUAAAUUAUGCAAAAUAAAAAACUUCAAUAAACAAGUAUUGCCUUUGCCCUUAAUUUGCUAUUAUAAUAUUGUUACCGGAGAAGAUGCAGAUAAGAAAAUUUAUUCCGGCGACCUUAGAGCCCUUACAAAAAGGUAGCCAUUGUUUUUAUGGAUAAAUCUAUCUCUAUUUUGCUUGCUAUUAAUGAUUAGUCUAUCUCCAAUUUAUACAGCUGCUAAGGGCAUUUUUGACAAACAAAAAUAGCUACCCACCGCCACCUUUUAGGUUAGUGACAUUAUUUCAUUUAUAAAUUAUAAUGAUUUAAAGAAAAUAAGUACUCUAGUAUAAAGCCUGUUCUAUUAUUUUUGGCUUAAUUAAUUCUCUUAAACUUAUCCCCUUAAUUCAUCUAGACAUUUAAAUUCAGAUUUGUACCUAUUGAACACUUCUAGUCUUUUGAAUUUGAGCCAUUCUAACAUUUUUUUAACAAUCAACUAAAAAUAUAAGAAAGAGUGAAAUGUACUAGCGGUGACAUGACAAUUUGACAAAUUAAAUAAGUAAAAUUUACAUAAAUCUCAUAGUGUUAAGAACUAAUUACAUCACAUCUCUACUCUUUUUCAAAUUACAAAAAUCAUUUAAAUUUAUAGGAUCUCGGAUAUAUAUGAAAAUAUGUAGAUACAUAGUUCACGGAUUACGAAUGAUACAUUACUUAAUGGAAGGGAUGUAUUCGAAGGGGAGAGAUGUAUUCGAGAGGGUAUAGGAUGUAUAUGAGAGGGGAUUGAUAUUAGUAAAAAAGUUGAAAAAUCAACAUUGUCAAUUUAGUAUUUGUAGUUAUUACUAGAUAUUAGCCAUGACUAGCUUUUAAAUUCAUAGGAUAUUAGCCAUGACAAGCUUUUAAAUUCAUAGCUAAAAUUUCCUAAUUUAAUUUUUGAUUUAAAAGUAAAAAUUUAAAAUAAGCCAAUUCAAACAGUUUCUAAUUUAUGACUUUUGAUUUAGAAGUCAUAGUAUAUAUAUAGUAAUAAACUUGAGAAGUAACUUUGUAACAUUAAUUUUUAUAGCUAAGAAAGUUAAUGAAUUUGUGGAUAGUCAUGAAACUCGAAAUUUGGUAGCUUUUACAAGAUACCAUCCUGAAAAGUUUUUUUAUAAAUUUUUUUUUGAAAGAACUUAAAAUAAGUUAGUCAAACAUAUUCUAACUUAUAAAUAAACUCUAACAUGAAUUUUUAUUUAUACAUCAUAAGUCAAAAGCUAAAUUAAAUAGGCUCUUUGUUAACUAUCUUUUACUAUCUAAUAAAGAGGAAUAGCAGGCAGCAGACCGUCAACACGUCUGCUUGUGCUACCUGCUUAUUCCCCUUGGCAGCCUCUUCAUCAUUUAGUUAACUGCUAUAAGUUCUUUAUUAAAUGUAACAUCUCGCAACUAGAAAGAAUUAAAAGGAAGUUUAAAAUCUGGAAAUAGUUAUUUUUGAAAAGUGUAAGGAAAUCUGGAAAAUUUUAAGUUAAAGUGAGUUUUUUGUCAACUUCAAACGACAAUAACUCAUAGCUCAGGAUGAGUUAGGUGUAGUUCUAGAUAUGGUUGUAAAGCUCUUGGAAUGAUCUUUCCAACGCCGCUAAGUUUGCACCAUUCCGACUUUGUAUGAGUAAAUUAUCCCCUUUGGAAGUUGGGCUGUUGGAAUAAGGAAAUGUCUAAUCCGGAUUUUAGAAGGGCUAUUUAGUCUUUUCCUUACCUAAUUUCUCUGAUUCGUUUUAGGAGAUUAAUUGGGUAAAACCAGACUUUAUUCAGUUUAGAAAAAUUAGAAUUUACGCUAGGGCUUGGAGAGGAGAAGAAAGAAGAGAAAAGAGGAGAGAAAUCAAGAAAUCGCCAAGAACGUUCAAGCCUUGUGAGUGGAAUUCAUCGGGGGUGAUCCCUACAAGGUAUGUGAGAUCACAUAGUGUUGGGUUAGUUCACCCACACGCUAAACUUGUUUCAAUUCAGCAAAGUUGGAGUUGUUUGAAUGUUAAGAAAGUGAAGUUCUUGAAGAACAUUGUUGAAAAUUCGUUGCGUUCUUGAUGGUUGUGUUGUUGAAGUCUCUUGUUGAUUUGAUUCGUGUUUCCGAGUGGAUUUUCAAGUUAAAUCUGUUAUAUGUUGACGGUACUAUUGAUCCUAAAUGUUUGGCGAAAGAACCAUGGAAGUUAGGAGGGUUUAGAGAUGAAAAAUGGAGAAGAGAAAUCGUCAAAAACCUGGGGAAGGAGGUGGGGCGUCGCGCCAGCCAGCGCUCCCCAAAAGGGGCUCUGAAGUUCACCCCUUGGGGCGACGCGCUAGCCAGCGCGCCCCAGCAGCUUCUCUAACAUUUGAGGGCUGGAGCCCCGCACCUCUCAGAGCGCCAGGGACGCCAGUUCUCCCCAUUCUUCCCUCACCUUUUCGUACUAGUUCCUAAGUGAUGUACCUAUGUUUCCUAGUUGAUUCUAACACUCUAAGGUACAUAUAAACAUCAUGAAAUCAUCCAUAAACAUGAGAUCAUGAACCUUGAAUCCACAAUCCAAUUCGAGGAAAGUUAAGAUCAAAGUCAUAAAAGCUAAGAGUCAAAGUCUAGAAGGUAAGAAACAAGUCAAAGCAAAGUUUUUUAAAGUUUUCAAGAGUCUCUAUCAAACGUUUUACCUUCGUUUUAAGGCUCAAGUUUUAAGUUAAGCAAAGAGUAAACUUGAAGUUUUUUUCUUCAAAAGUAUAUGAGGACUAAGUAUUCCCAAAGGGAUUUAAAAUAUUCACAUUUAAAUAAGAACGGAAACUGAGAUUUCCAAAGAGCCUUGGGGCUAGUUUUCAGAAAAAGUAAUCUCUUUCUAAAUGAAGCAAGAUGGAAACUUGAUUUCCAAGAUAGCCUUUGAGCUAAAUUUUUGAGCACUAAUCUCAAAUCACAAAAGAAGUAUGUUUUUAAAACAUAAGAGCCAGUAUAUUUUGGGAGUAGUAUUGAGCACUGAAUUGGGGACAAGCAUGAGUUUAGAUAACUCACUUCACCAUAGAACCAUGUAGCCACCAUGGGUAGAAAAGGGUCAUACUUUUUAAAUGAAUCCUUUCCGCAAUAGACUAGUGGAUCCAUUAGGCAGUUCAGGUUCUAUACCUUUGGCCGGGUAUAGGAUGCGCUGGCAGUGUGAGGUAGAUCGCUGUAUCAUCACUAUAUCUCUUAUGUGAUGGUUGUCGGUUAUAGAAACUCCCACAUAAGUUAUUGUAUUUUUAUAUACAUCAGUUUAUUGUAUUUUUACAUACAUUUUAGAGUUAUGUUGUAUCCUUGUGUAUAAACAGAGUUGACAUCAUGUUUUUAAACAACUUUUGUUUAUAUUGCACUUGUUUAAACUGUUUUAUAUUGAAAUGAGUUCAGUUAAGUAUUCAUGAGUUGAAAAGAGCCAAGGUAAGUGUUUUUUUUCAGAUUCUCUUUCCAGUCUAUGUUGUUUUAGCAUUCCAACUCGCAUACUCGUACAUUCAAUGUACUGAUGCUAGUUGGUCUGGAUCUUAUUAUGAUGCAGACACAUGUAACUAGGAUCGAUAUUUCAGCGUACCGUUGAUCCAGUAAGCAGUUCAGAGUCGGUCGGUGAGCCUCCUUGCAUUCCGGAGGAUCUAUUUUCAUUUGUUUCUAAUUAGUUCAUUAGGAUGUUGUGGGGUUUGUCCCAACAUCCAUCUCAGUUGUUUUAGAGGCUUCAUAGACAGUCAAAUGUUAGUCCUUUGAGUCUUUUCAUUAUCAUUUCUUAUUGUUAAGCCUUGGGUUGCCACUUUUGGCCAAGUUGAAUGUUUAAUCUUUAAAACAUUCUCAGUUAUUUUAUUAUCCAGUUCAGUUAAGUUCAUUGAUCAUUAUAGAUAUGAAUAUUGUCUUCUGCUGAGUUAAGUAAGCCAGACCAAGGGUUCGCUUGGGGCCAGCAAUGGCUUUCGAGUGCCAGUACCGCCUAGAGUGUAGGCUCAGGGUGUGACAUUAAUUUUUUUAAAAAAAGUUGUUACAUGCUGCCACUUCUUCAUCCAAUGAAAAUGGAAAAAGAAAACUGUCUUCUUCAUCCAAUGAAAAAAAUGUGAAAAUCCAUUUAAAAUUUCAAUUGUAAACUUACUUUCUUAAGAUCCUUCAUAAGAUGGAGUCAUGAAAAUAUUUUAUGGGCUUCAUUUAUAUUUUAUAUUUAUCAUUUUUUAUGGGAAAAAGGACAAAUAUACCUUUGAACUAUCGUAAAUGGUAUGCAGAUACCCUUCAUCUUACUUUUGGGACAUUGGUGCCCCUGCCGUCCAAAAACUAAAGCAUAUAUACCCUUUAUACUAACAGACAUACACGUGUCAUGCUCUUAUCCGCCGAUUAAAUAUCGGAUCGACGGAUAAGAUUGCACCACGUGUCCCUAUUUAGUCUUCCGUUAGAGUGAAGGUCAUAUAGGCUCUAGUUUUUAGAUGGCAGUGGCAUCAAUGUCCCAAUAGUAUGACGGAGGAUAUCUGCAUACCAUUUACGAUAAUUUGGGGGUAUAUUUGUCUUUUUCCCUUUUUUUAUUAAUUAUUUUUAAUUUUAUUAGAGUUAAUUCUUGAAAUUCUAUCGGUGAAAUACCACAAAUAAUGGGAAAAUUACACGGUUAAGCAAACUUAUACUAUUUAAUUACUCAUCAUAGCUAUAGUUUGCUAUAACUAUCACUCGUGACUAACAUUAUACAUUAAUUACGUGGGCUGACUUCGAGUUUGUAUAAUUAGCUACAUUUGUAUAUGUAUAAUUCGCCAGAAUAUACAAAUACAUAUAUAUAAUAUACAAUUAUCUAACUGAUAUACAUAUACAAUUCACCUCUCUCGCUCGCCUCUCUCCUCCCUCUCCCAAUCUCGCUUGCCAUAUAUACAAAUACAUAUGUAUAAUAUACAAUUAUCUAACCGAUAUACAUAUACAAUUCACCUCUCUCCCCCAUUUUUCCCUCUUUCGCUCGUCUCUCUCCUCUCUCUUUCAGUCUCGCUCGCCUCUCUUCUCCCUAUAACAUGUAACUACGAAUUGUAAUUUUCAAACUAUAGCUAUGGAGAGUAAUUAGGCUAGUUUUGAGUGGCUAUAUGUGAAAGUUCCUCAAUAAACAUUACGAAUUUCAGAUAAUGAUAAUUGGGCCUGUGCAAAGCACGGGCUUCUCCUUAUAUAUACAUUGUAAUGUUGUAUUGUAGAGCCUAAGUUGGACCACUUAUAUGAAUAGUAAUUGAUCCCAUGAGCACCUCGUACCAAAACAUAAAGAAAAUCUUUUCGUACGGAAUAUAAUAUUUAUGGCUCCACAUAUAUCUCCUUGGCCUAAAAAAUAUUUAGCAAGCUCUAUUUUCAUAUUUUAUUUUUAAUUAUAUAUUGACAAGAUGCUAACGACAACCACAAACGAUGAAUAUACGGGUUUCGUGAGAGUAUCCCAUAACUAAAACGUGCCAAUGAAGUACAAUGACAAAAUUCUGGAAGAAGCUCCUCUCAGUACACUAAUCUCUCCAGUUGAUCCAGUGCAUAUUUAAUUUAAUGAUAUCUGUCAAUUUUAAAAUCUAAUGGUCCAUAUUUAUUUAAAUAAAACUGUCUUUAAAUCAUGGUCAAAUAUCAUUAACCAUGGUUAUUACUAUUUCUCUUUCUCUCUCCUUUCUCAUCUCUUUCUUUCUCACUUAAUUCUGCAACAAACCUUUUCUCAAUCAACAAAGAAUUUUCUUUGUUAACAACAAAUCGCUAUUUCUUUCCAUUAUUUUCACACAGUGAUAAAAGAAGACAAAAUUCAAAGGAUGAACUUGGGUUAUAAAUUUAAAAAAUACCAACCCAUGAGACUACUUCUUUGAAGCUUGGUUCGGUCACAAUUAGGAGUGUUCACGGUUUGGAAAAAAACCGAUCCAAACCGAACCAAGUCAAUAAAAUAAAACCGAUUUUAUUUGGGUUUGAUUUGGUUUGGUUUUAAAUUUUUGCCAAUCAAUAGUAUUUGGUUUGGUUAUGGUUUUAUUCGAAAAAACCGAAGAAAUAACCGAACGAACCGAUGAAUUAUACAUAUAUUUUUAUUAAUAUACAUACUUAAUAUAUUAUUUUUAUAAACAAUUUUAAAGAUCUUAUAUAUGUUUUCAUUAAAAUUUCUUUAUAAUUUACUUAUUGAAAGCAAAAAUGCCUAAGAUGAAAAUAUUUAUCUUAUUGAUUUCAUGUAUAUGAGUGUCUAUGACAAUUCUUUGUGGGACUGAAAAUAUUAUUGUCUCUUCCUUCUAGGUCAAUAUAGUGAAUUUUAAGCUUAUUGAUAGUAAAUUUAGUGAUCGAAAAAUUCAGUAAUUUAAGUCAUUCUAACUAUUUUUCGUUUUGAAUGGUUUGUUGUCACUUUUUCACAUUUUGAAUGAAUUGUUUCUUUUAUUUUUGUGUAUGGUUAAUAACCGAAUAACCGAAACCGAUAAAUGUAUAUUAUAUUUGGUUUGGUUUGGUUUUGAUAAUUUUAAAACUGAUUAAGUUGAUUUGGUUUUGAUUUUGUACCAAUAACCGAUCCAAACCGACCCGUGAACACCCCUAGUCACAAUGGUGAUCCACAAAACUCUGUCGUCUUCUUCGUUACAUCAAUUUUUUCAAUUUGGAGUUUCUGCAAAAGCCAACUAAAAGAUCUGGAAAGGGCACGAAAAAUGGGUUGGAAAAUAUUUUUUCAUAUACUUUUUUUUUUCUUGUGAAAUUUUCCAUUUAUUUUUUGGGUCUUCUUUUCUUGUGGUAUUUAUAACUGUAAUCUUUAAUUGGGGCUAAUCACUCCAUUCCAAUCUUUCUCUUUUGAGACUCUCCCUAGUUGUUCAUAUGUAAAUGUAAAAACAUCAAAAUAUUGAUGUUAUUUUAAUUAUCAAUUGUUUGAUUGCUCUGUUUUUCAGAGAGUUUUGGAGGAGGAAGAAGUGUUUCUUUGCUGAUUGAGAAAGGAAUGAGAGGAGAGAGAAUUACUAAUAACCAUGGUUAAUGAUAUUUGGUUAAGAAAAUUAAUUUGGUCCAUUAAAAAUUAAAUGGACACGUGUCAACUAUAUGAAAUAGCACUGGGGGAAACUGGAGAAAUCAUCACUGGAGAGGAGCCUCUUCCCGAAAUUCCAUUCUCUUAUUAAAAAAAAUAUUUCCAUUUCUCUUAUUAAUUGAGAGCAUGACGCACGUGAUUUGUUUUUCUAUUUCAUAUAAAUGUAAAUUUACUUAGAUAUAGUGUAUUUAGAAAACUAUACAUAAUUUUAAUUUUAUGUAUCUCGAAAUAAAUGUAACUAAAUGCAUCAAAAUCUUGUAACAUCCGUAAUAUAGCAAACUAAAGAAUAUAUAAAUAAUUAACUCUUAAACUAGUGAGAUUUCUGUAAAUUUCUCAUUAUUUUAUGAGAUAAGCGACAAAAACACACCUUAACUAUCAUUUUUUUUUUGAGUUUCAUACCUAAAUUAUCGAGAGUGUGAGUUUUAUACCUAAAUCAUCACUUAUUUGAAAAAUAAUAAGAUUACCCAAUCCGUUUAUUUAAAAUGAACAAAAUCUACUCGAGGUUUAUAUGUGUGCGUGGAUUAUAUAGAUUACCCAAUCCGUUUAUUCGCAUCCUAAAUUGGACCACCAAUAUAAAAAUAAUAUCACUUUCAUAUAUUGAUUAUUGUAUUUAUCGCUCCAUGUAUUGUUGCCCAAAUAAUAACUAAUGUAAUUGUCCAUAACUAAAACAUGCCAAUGAAGUAGGAUUUGAAAAGAAAUAAAAACGUAGUUGUAAUGCUGGCAAAUCAAUUUGCUACGUACCCCCUUAUUAUUUUUUGCAGCGAUCAAGAAUGCAAGGCUAGAUUUGAGAAUUUCAACAAAAUAUUGAUAAAAUAAUAAAAAUCCUCAGGGAUAUUGGAAAAUUGUUAUACAAAUAAAUUUCUACAACAAUAAACAAUGAGUAUACAAUAAAAUUCACUCCUAGUCAAACCAACAUAUAAUACACAUUUGCAUUCAUUACAAUAGUAUUUCUUGAGGUUUCUUUUAUUUUCUUUUUAGAUUUUCCUUCCUUAAACAUAAUUUAAGUCUACUGGGCAUGACUAAUCAAAAUUAAUAUGCAACUGAUUAAACAUAAAAAGGAUUGUAUCCAUGAAUAUCCAUGUCGUAUUCAAUAAUGAAUACUAUCAGUGUUUUAAAAGACUUUUUUGGGACUCGCCCUGGGGCGGGACUCAAGCAAAACUCUCUGAAACUCAACAGUGGGACUUAGUUCUGUAAGACUUACACCCUAAGCGCCCGAUUGUACGGCCUAAGCACGCCCAACGCCCAAUGCUUGGGGCUCGCCUAAUAGAUCUUACACAAAUUAUGUGUUAAAAUCUUUAGUUAAUAUUGUUGGCCCUCGUACACUACUAAAAAAAUGUCAAAAAACGACGGACUGCGUCGCUUUUUUGGUCAAAAUCGACGGAAAAGCGACGCGGUCACCUCCGUCGCUUUUUAGCCCGAUGCUUUUCAAAAAGUGACGGACAGCGUCACUUUUCAAAAAGUGACGGAUUGCAUCGCUAAAAAAGUAACGAAUAGCGUCGCUUUUUGACUUUUUUUUAACAAAAGCGACAGAUUCCAUUGCUUUAUUUUAAUUUUAAAUUUUUUUAUUUCUAAAAAGCGACACAGUCCAUCGCUUUUCUGGAAAUUUUAUUUUUGAAAAUCCCUGAAAACGACGGACAAAACCAUAUUGUCCGUCGCUUUUUUGAGAUUUUUUAAAAAAAAAAACCCAAAAAAGCGAUGGAUAAAACCACGCUGUCCGUCGCUUUUCUGGGACUUUUAAAAAAAUAAAACCUAGAAAAGCGUCGGACAAAACCACGCUGUCCGUCGCUUUUCCUGGAAUAUUUUUGAAAGCAGAACCUGGCAAUUUCUACUGCCCACCUGCAAAUGCAAUUCAAUUCAAUUCUACACUAUUCAGCCCAAUCAAACACACACAAUUAUAAACAAUCUAAACAAAACAUAAAACAACAAACUUAAAAUAGCAUUAAAUAGUAUCUAAAUCACAAAUUAAAGACUUAUAAAGUCUUUCAAAUUUCAUUUCAAAAUUACAAAAAGCUCAAAAAUGUCUAGAGAUCUAAACUAGGGAGUGGGUUCUACAUAAUCAUCAUCAUCACUCUCGUCGUCGGUGUCAUCGGGAGCCGAAGUAGUAGGUCGACGAGCGAGGUUCAUCACUUGUUCUUUGAUUUGCUGAACGGUUUCACGCAUGCUUUCUUGUUCAGCUACUCUUCUCCGCUCCAAAUCUGCUAGUGACGCUGUAAGCUUAGUUAUUUGAGCCGACAUAGCAGCAAUCUGAACACCAUCAAAUGCCUCGGAUUGACGUGACAAUCCAAUUCCUUCUAAGCUUGAUUGGAGUCGUCUUACAUCGUUUCGAGAGCCUAGACCAUAGACUCUACCCUUGUGUGUCCCCCCUACCACUUUUUCUUUCCAAAUCUGAGUGGAAAGUUCAGGUGUCGAUUGGACCGAACUAUCUAGAUUCUCAGCGAUGUACUGAUGAAAGUCAUUCUGCAUAUUAAAUAUAAAAAUUGACAUCAGUAUAUAUACAUAUCAUAAAUAUAUUCUCUAUUAAUAUAUAUUACUCAUAUUAAAUAACUUACAAAAGUCAUUGUAUGUUCAAUAAAAUUUCUANNNNNNNNNNNNNNNNNNNNNNNNNNNNNNNNNNNNNNNNNNNNNNNNNNNNNNNNNNNNNNNNNNNNNNNNNNNNNNNNNNNNNNNNNNNNNNNNNNNNNNNNNNNNNNNNNNNNNNNNNNNNNNNNNNNNNNNNNNNNNNNNNNNNNNNNNNNNNNNNNNNNNNNNNNNNNNNNNNNNNNNNNNNNNNNNNNNNNNNNNNNNNNNNNNNNNNNNNNNNNNNNNNNNNNNNNNNNNNNNNNNNNNNNNNNNNNNNNNNNNNNNNNNNNNNNNNNNNNNNNNNNNNNNNNNNNNNNNNNNNNNNNNNNNNNNNNNNNNNNNNNNNNNNNNNNNNNNNNNNNNNNNNNNNNNNNNNNNNNNNNNNNNNNNNNNNNNNNNNNNNNNNNNNNNNNNNNNNNNNNNNNNNNNNNNNNNNNNNNNNNNNNNNNNNNNNNNNNNNNNNNNNNNNNNNNNNNNNNNNNNNNNNNNNNNNNNNNNNNNNNNNNNNNNNNNNNNNNNNNNNNNNNNNNNNNNNNNNNNNNNNNNNNNNNNNNNNNNNNNNNNNNNNNNNNNNNNNNNNNNNNNNNNNNNNNNNNNNNNNNNNNNNNNNNNNNNNNNNNNNNNNNNNNNNNNNNNNNNNNNNNNNNNNNNNNNNNNNNNNNNNNNNNNNNNNNNNNNNNNNNNNNNNNNNNNNNNNNNNNNNNNNNNNNNNNNNNNNNNNNNNNNNNNNNNNNNNNNNNNNNNNNNNNNNNNNNNNNNNNNNNNNNNNNNNNNNNNNNNNNNNNNNNNNNNNNNNNNNNNNNNNNNNNNNNNNNNNNNNNNNNNNNNNNNNNNNNNNNNNNNNNNNNNNNNNNNNNNNNNNNNNNNNNNNNNNNNNNNNNNNNNNNNNNNNNNNNNNNNNNNNNNNNNNNNNNNNNNNNNNNNNNNNNNNNNNNNNNNNNNNNNNNNNNNNNNNNNNNNNNNNNNNNNNNNNNNNNNNNNNNNNNNNNNNNNNNNNNNNNNNNNNNNNNNNNNNNNNNNNNNNNNNNNNNNNNNNNNNNNNNNNNNNNNNNNNNNNNNNNNNNNNNNNNNNNNNNNNNNNNNNNNNNNNNNNNNNNNNNNNNNNNNNNNNNNNNNNNNNNNNNNNNNNNNNNNNNNNNNNNNNNNNNNNNNNNNNNNNNNNNNNNNNNNNNNNNNNNNNNNNNNNNNNNNNNNNNNNNNNNNNNNNNNNNNNNNNNNNNNNNNNNNNNNNNNNNNNNNNNNNNNNNNNNNNNNNNNNNNNNNNNNNNNNNNNNNNNNNNNNNNNNNNNNNNNNNNNNNNNNNNNNNNNNNNNNNNNNNNNNNNNNNNNNNNNNNNNNNNNNNNNNNNNNNNNNNNNNNNNNNNNNNNNNNNNNNNNNNNNNNNNNNNNNNNNNNNNNNNNNNNNNNNNNNNNNNNNNNNNNNNNNNNNNNNNNNNNNNNNNNNNNNNNNNNNNNNNNNNNNNNNNNNNNNNNNNNNNNNNNNNNNNNNNNNNNNNNNNNNNNNNNNNNNNNNNNNNNNNNNNNNNNUCAAGUUCUAAGUUUAACUUCAAAUUCUAAGUUCAAGUUCUAAGUUCAAGUUCUAGUUCAGGUUCAAGUUCUAAUUUCAAGUUCAAGUUCUAAGUUUAAGUUCAAGUUCUAAGUUCAAGUUCUAAUUUCAAGUUCAUAUUCAUAAUUAAGUUCAAUUUAUAGUAAAUUCAAGUUAUAAUUAAUUAUAAGUUCUAAUUAAGUUGUAAUUCAAAUCUCUAAAAUUUCAAAUUCAAACUAGCUAGCUAGUGUCCCAAAUUCAAACUAUUAAUUAGUCCUAAAAUAUCAAAUAUAAUUCAAACUAUUAGUCCUAAAUUCCAAAUUCAAACUAGCCUUAAAAUCACAAAUUGAAAGUACUCCUAGAAUUCAAAAAUCAAACUAUAGUGCUAAAAUUCCAAAUUCAAACUAUUAGUAGUCCUAAAAUCUCAAUAAUAACUCAAACUAGUCCUAAAUUAAAAAUUCAAACAAGUCUUAAAAUCACAAAUUCAAACUAGUCCUAAAAUCCCAAAAUCUAACUAGUACUGAAAUUCUAAAUUCAAACAACUCCUUAAAUACCCUUGUUCAAUCUAAUCUUACAAUUCCAAAUCAAACUAAUUAACUCAAGAAAUACCGAAUUUCAAACAAAUCCUAAGAUACCCUAAUUCAUACUAAUCCCAACAUUAAAAUUUUCUCGGAAUAUGCAAUAAUGAUGUAACGAGAUCAAACAGAACAUAAAAGCUCAAAUUCUCGAAAUAUUCAUCUCAUAAUAGCCAUAGAUGUAAUGAAAAGCUAAAAAAAAAUUUUAGAUUAAAACUUACUAGGACGGAUCUAUUGAGAUCCGUCUUUGAACUCGAAUUUCGUCGGAGAUGAGAGGAAUGGAGAUGCGAGGAUCUCGCUGGUAUGUUGUUGUCGUUGCUGCUGGUGCGCUGCUGUUUCGCCAGUAGCUCGUCGGAGCUGUCUCUCGUGCUGGUUGUUGUUGGCUGGAGAUGUUGUUGCUCUCCUCACCGGCUGCUGAAGUUGAUUGCUUGGAGCUUGCUGGUUGGAGCGGUUGAGGGAGAGAGAGAGAGAGCAGCGAGCUUUCGCUGAUUGGAGAAACGAGAGGGAGGCGGCGAUUUGUCUCGCCAUUCCCGCUGAAGAGAAGAGACGGGAGGGAGCAAGGAGAGAAGAGAUGAGAAGAGGAAAGUGAAGGGAGGAGGGCGACGGGAGGAGCGAGAGGGAGAGCUCACCGGCGAUGGUGGAGCUCUCGCCGGUUCUUACUAAUGGAGGGGGCUGCGGCGCUGCUAGAGAGAAGAAAAGAAUGAGUUUUCAAAAAACGGGUUUGGUCUUUUUUUAAGUCAAAAAUAGGAAGGUUAGGUAGAUUUAAUAUAAGCCAUUGGAUUAGUUAAGAUGAGCGGCUAGGAUUUGAUCUAGGAUUCACUUAAGGGAUGGACGGUUCGAAUUUAAACUAAUGUUUCAAGAUUUGGACAAAAAGGGUUAUAAUUGCAAUGAAUGAAUGGCUAAAAUUGCAACUAAAAUUGAUUUAAGAGGCUAUAAUUGAAAAACGAAAUUGGAUUGAGGUGGCUAGAAUUGUAAUGAAUUGGAUAAGGAAAAAACUAGAAUUGAAAGGAAUUAGAUCAGAAUGGGCUAAAGAUUAAAUGAUUUUGAGAAAAAUUAAACAAAUGCUAUCCAAUUAAAAUACUACAAAUAUUAUAACAUUUUAUAUAAUAAACAUCACUUAAAUUUUAAAACAUUUGAAUAAAAUAAUUAUUUCGAGUUUUACUUAUAAUUUUAAAAAUAUUUUAAUAAUAUUUAUGAUAAUUUUAUAAAGCAUGCCCACUAAAAUAUAUAAUUUUUAGACAAAAUCGAUUAAAAAUUUAAACUUGGAAUAUUUUUAAAAAAAUAUGUAUUUAACCGAAUAGCACUUCCGAAAUGGUUAUAGGUCGGUAUAAAUUUAAUUUUAUUGAUCAACAAAAGUUUAUCAAUAUCAAAUUUAAUAUAUAAAUCUCCUUGAAUUGAUCAUCGGUAUUUCUUUAAUUGAUAAUGUAUUUAAUAUCUGAACCACUAGUAUGUAAGACUUGAUUUAUUAAACUACUUGAGGAAUAUAUAAUUAAUCAACGUAUUUCAUACUCCGAUGAAGUAUCCUUUACAUGUCAUCAUAAUUAGGAGGUGAUCACUACACUUGACAUCCAUUCAAGAUCGAACGUAUAUAAUAAUACUAUCUCGCAUUUCAUACUUGAAUGGAUUAUAUGUUAGUUCUUCACCUCUACAACAUCAUGACCUGAGAUAUUAAGUUCAUGAUUAGACGACGGAUUGAUAGAAUUUGUACAUUACUCUAUAAAUAUAAGUAUAAUUAACUCCUAAUUCAUAUCAACGUAGUUUCAUACUCUAAAUAUGGAUUAUAGAUUUUUUUUAUUUAUUCCACGAAUUCUAACUUUUUAUUUAUAAAAGUAUGCAAAAUUGUUAGACUUUUUGAACAAUUAAUUGUAGGUGUAAAAUGAAAAUUUUUAAUAUUGUGCACAAUAGCAAAAUUAUAAUUAAUAGGAAUAUUUUAAACAAACCGACCUCCGGAUGUCACUUUUAUUAAAAGUAAUUAGAUAUAAUAAAAAAUACCGACCUCAUGAGGUCGGUAUCACAUUAAAUUUUAAGAUAAAUAAAAAGUAAUCAUGUUAAUUAAAUAAUAUUGACAUCGGGAGGUCGGUAUUUUAUAUUAAAUUAUUUUUUUAACUUAUAUAAAAACCGUCAUUUGGAGGACGAUUUAUUUAAAGUUAAUUGAAAAUAUUAAUUUAUUACAUACUAUUUAAUUUUACCGACAUCCAGAAGUUGGUAUUAUAAUUUUUUUAUUUUACACAAAAUCGUCCUCCGGAAGACGAUUUAAAUAAACUUAAAUCAAAAUAUUUCUCAAUUUUGUUUUUUAUAUGGAGAAAUGGGGAAAAUCGCGUCUGCUAGUGCAGAUAUUUUAAAAAAUGCGACGGACAACGUCUCUAUGUCGGUCGCUUUUUAAAAAAAAUGUUUGACCAACAUUUUGACCAAAAAGCAACGGACUAAGAGACAUUGUCCGCCGCUUUCUUAAAAUAUUUGACCAGAUAUUUUGACCAAGAAGAGACGGACAUAAAGAUGCUGUCCGUCGCUAAUUUAAAAAAUAAUUAAACAAUUAAAAUUAAUAAAAAGCGACGGACUGCGUCGCUAUCUAUAUAAAUAAUUAAUUAGCAAAAAUCCGCGAAAAAAGCGACGAACUAAGCGAUGCCGUCCCUCGCUUUUAAAAAAAAUAAAAUAAAAUUAUUUUAAUUAAAAAGCGACGGACAGUGUGUCUAAUGGCGUCACUUUUUGGAGCGACGUGGUCCGUCGCUUUUACUUCCGUUGUUUUUUAGCAGUUUUUUAGUAGUGGUAAUUGUUGAAUAAAUGAAUGAUACUUAAUAAUUUUCUAAUCUAUAGAGAUAAGAAGAUUAAGAGUAACUCAAAUAACAAGUUAUAUUAUCAUAUCUUUACUAUUUGGUAACAUUGUGAAGAUAAUUAUUUAGUACGUAACAUUUCUUUUAAAGAUACAUAACGAAAUUUUACUUUUUCACUUACCAUUGGUCUUCAUGGUUUUGUCAUAUGUCUCAAAAUUAUCACAUUUUAUUUUGCUAUUUGAAAGUAAUUUAAUUUUUAUUCAUGAUAGAGUGAUGUUUUUAUUCUAGGCGGAAUGACCUGGGAGAUCCUUAUACUUGCCCGAAUUGUCAACUGGACCCUUCUACUCACGAUAUUGCCAACUGAACACUUAAACUCAAUAAAACACAAUAUUUUAAACCCUUUUGACUUCACGUGCACUUCAAACACAUAGUGAAAAUGACAUGUCAUGAUCCACACCAGACUUUUAGUGACACAUCACUUAUUUUUUUACUUUAUUUAAAAUUUUCAUUUUUUUUCUUUUUCACUCAGUUUGUUCCUCACACUAACUUUAUCCUUGACCAUCUCCCUCCAUUUUUUCACCAAAGCCACCAUUGCCAUCUUACAUCCUUAUUCUUUACUGGUUAUCACUACCUUAAAUAACUAAAAAAUAUCAUUGUUCUCCAAGUUUUCAUCAUUCAUAAUUUUUCUCCAUUUUUUUUUAUCAAGGUCUUCAUCCACCACUUGAACCAUUGUGAAAUUGUUUCUUCCAUUAAUGCCAAUGAACCACACUAAAAUAUCUUAAUAUGUUCUAAUAUAUACGUAUGUUCUACUUAAUUUUACAAAGACAUAGAAUAAUCAUUCUUCACUCUCCAAAAUAAUUAGAUCUCUAUCACCUUAAUCCCAUGAGUUUCCUUAAUCAUGUUUGUAAUUAUCUCAAACUAUUGAUGUAUUUUUAUAAUUUUGUGUUAUUAUAUUAUUAUAUUAUAUUAUAAAUUAAAAAUUUAAAGAUCCGUAGGACUUACGCACCACGUCUCGAGGCUUACGCCUCACUCUAUACUAAGUAAAACGCCUCUCCUUACGCCCUGACUUUUAAAACACUGAAUACUACUAAUGUCCUGACGGUACCGCAUGGGAUUAUCCAUAAGUAAUACGUAACACUUAUGGAGUACUAAAACUUAUUUGAAUCAAUUGUUUGUAAGCAGUAAUUAAUAAAUAAAGAACCUAGCUUUUUUAUUCAUAAGCAUUAAUAUUACAUAGAGUGGAAUAGAAGCAUGAUCCACAUUAUUUUAGAAAGCGGUCGAGCUAGGUUAUAGUAAUAAGCAUAGUAAGGCCAUAGUUUAGUUUGGCUACAAAAGGUGUGCUUCUGAUCACACACAUUUCGUAAUAGAUAUAUAAUUAACUAUGCAUCAAUAUUCUUGUUUACUUUGGUGAAGCCAAAUGGAUAAGGCUUGUUAUUGAGAGCCAGACGGGCGUAUCCCUUAUUUUCGUAUAGUCCGACAUCUGCACAAUCAAAUUGGCAUGUUGGACACAUAAAUUGACUAGGACAAUACCUUAACUUGUAAGAAUGAGGUCUCCCCGUCUCAUAUUUCUCAAUUUUGAACCAGUUCUUUAAGGUAUUAGGUCCUGGAAUUCCUAAGGUACCACCAGUUAUAACAAACCUAGGUGGCGGAUGCACCGGCCCUAGCAUGUAAUCACCAGCUUUCCAAACAGUUUCGUUAACACAUAGAUUAGAAGUUGUAGUUGAGAACAUUAUACUAACGUCUUGGUUUUCAAACACAUAAUGACUUCCAAGUUGCAUAGUGAAAAACGUCACGGGCGUGUUGUGAUCAAAUUCACCAGAACUGUCCUGCACGAUGCCGUUUGGGCAUUUGGUGUUUCCAAGAUCAGCUAAGUAUACGCUUCCACCGCCAUAGGGAAUACUGAGAAUGGAGUACUCUUCGUUUAUCUUGAGUGGUUCGCCGUCCAUGUCGAGCACAGGAUUAUUAUCAGAAGUGAAAGAUUGAGAAAAGGAAACCAAAGAGAGGCUACUUGAAACCAAGAGGAAACUCAAAAUAUUACUAAUAGACUUCAUCUUUGUUUCUGUAUUUUGCUUGCUAUUAAUUAAUCUAUAUAUGUCCAAUUUAUAGAGCACCACAUAUAUUGCAUGGCUUCAUUUUCACGUUUUUGUUACAUGAAUAAUACUUAUUUUGUCCUUGAAUGUCUGAGACAUAUAAUAAUAAUAAAGUUUUGACAAAUAAGGUAAAAGUUCAGUAAAAUGUUUGAAGUUUUGCCUUAUUAAAUUUAGUAAAUUUUUUCUAAAGUUAUAAGUUUUGGUGAGCCAUAUCAAAUUCAGGCAAAAACGUUUUAGUAAUGACCUUCACAAAGCCAUACCUUACACAAAAUUGUUUUGAAGUCAAGAUGCAAAUUUUUAAUUUCAAACACGUACGCCUAAAUUUAUUUUAAAAACAUAUAAAUUUCGGGGCCCUUUUCAUUGACACACAUCUACCACGUGAGUCUUGACAACCUCUGUAAAAAUGUUUGAAAUCAAAUAUAAAAUUUAAAUUUCACUUGUAUACGUUUGAAAUUCAUCUCAAAAUGGGUAAGUUUGCAAAUACAAUGAAAAACCGGACAUAAAUUUAGCGAAGACAUAAAAACAGACCCAUAUUUACAAAACGUAGCACGGGAUUUUCAUUUAACAAACAUAGCGGGAGUGUUUUUUUUCCUUUUUUUUUUCAAAACGCGUAUGAAAUUUUUACUCAAAAGCGUAAAACUUUGCUCAAUAUUUUAUGUAAGGUUCAUGCUGAUUUAUGAAAAUUCAAUAUAAUUACAAUAAUAUUUUGUAUAACUUUCAUACAAGAUUUAUAUAAAUUUAAUACAAGUACUACAAUAACUUGCAAACUUUAAAAUACAAUAAUUACACACCUCAUCAUAUAAUUAUAAUACAUUUCAUACAUUUUUCGAACUUGGGUCUGGAGUUCCUUUGUGUAUUUGUUUAUGAUUAGGAGGCGGCUAUUGGUAUACUAUGGUUUAGGUUUUAAAUUAUAAAAACUUUGUUCCAUAUUAGUUGUUUAUUUUAUUUUUUAAAAAUAAUUUACCCUCUUAUUAUUUUAAUUUUUUGAAAAAAAAUUUAUGUUUACAUUUUUUUUAGAAAAAUAAUCGUAAGGUUAAAAUGAGGGGAAAAAAGAUUAAUUCUCUUUUGAUAUUAUAAAUUGACAAAAAAAUUGAGAUAAUUAUUUUUAUAAUAUGAUCAACUAAUAUUGAAUGAAGGACCAACAUGGAUUGUGAUACAGUGUUGGGACCGGUCCACCAUUAAUCAUAGGUCUCGAGUUUAAGCCCUAGAUAUGAAAAAAAAAUUGUUGAGAGUACUACCACCAAUAAAUUUUGCAGUGCAUGAUCUAGAUUUAAUCCCAAAUUUUCCAUUCUUAUCAUCAACUCUAGUUGCAGUUGCACUGUUGCAGGCCAAUAAUGGAUAUAUUUUAAUGUGCCGACGGGACCAUUAGAGACUAGCCAUAUCUAAAUCGUGUUAAUAAAAUAGGAUGAUUAGUUGAACAUUUAAUAUAUAGUAGUAGUAGGGUUAAUGUACGACAUCUCCUAGAAUUUGGAGUAAAAUUUAAUUUAGACUUAUUAUAAUUGAACAUAUAUAUGAACAAGUGAUAAAGUGUUAAAUCCUAUGAUAUACUAUCGGUCCAAAUUUAGAGAAAUUUAUGCAUAUUUCCAAUUAGUGUUUAUUACAGAAACAAGUUUUUAAUAAGCCUCAAUAAAACUUCAAAUUUGUUUAAUUUGUUCCCCUAGAAACUCAUGAAUAUAAUUAAAAGGAGGUGACAUAUUUCAUGCGAUUAAUUAAAAAUACGGCGAUGGAAAAUGUUAUAAUAAUCUGGCGCGGAAACUAGGGCUGGGCGUUCGGUCUUGUUCGGUUUAUCGAUUUUCGAUUUGGUAAAAGUGUUAACCGAAUGUAACAACCCAGAAAUUUUUUUUGAGCUAAGACUUGAACCAUCCUUCGUUGUGAGUAGAAUUUUACCGAGGAAUUAAAAUUUUCUUGAUGUAACACCUCGCAACUAGAAAGAAGUUUAAAAUCUGGAAAUAGUCAUUUUUGAAAAGUAUAAGGAAAUCUGGAAAAUUUUAAGUUAAAGUGAGUUUUGGUCAACUUCAACUGACCAUAACUCCUAGCUCAGGAUGAGUUAGGUGUAGUUCUAGAUAUGGUUGGAAAUCUCUUGGAAUGAUCUUUCCAACGCCUCCAAGUUUGCGUGAUUCUGAGUUCGGAUGAGUGAGUUAUACCCUUUGGAAGUUGGGCUAUUGGUUUAAGGAAAGUCCAAAUCCGGAUUUUUGAAGGGUAGUUUGGUCUUUUCCUUACCCUUUUAUUUUAAUUUGUUUUAGUCAAUUAAUUAAGGGUCUAAACUGAACUGGGUCAGUUUUACGCUUUUGGAAAAGAGUUAGGGUUUUAGAGAAGAGGAGAAAAGAGAAGGAGAAGCAAGGAAAUCGUCAAGAUCGUCGAGUUUAGCUUGUGGAUUUCGUCGGGGGUGAUCCCUAAAAGGUAUGCGAGAUCACAUAGCAUUGGGUUAGUUCACCCACGCGCCAAGCAUGUUUAAUUCAGCGUGUUUUCGUCCUAAAAUGAAUGAGAAAUUGAUGUUCUUGAUAGUUGUUCUUGGAUUGAUUUCGUUCUUGAAUAUGAGUUGGGAUUUAGGAGUUUCUUGAUGAUUAAGUAUUGUUUCCCUGAAUUGUUUGAGUUAGAUUUUGUGUAUAUGAUUUGGGUACAUGAAUCUAAAGUGAAUUUGGGGGAAAAAAACGGAUUAAAGCGAUUUAGGGUCAGAAAACACGAUCAAAAGUUCAUCUGAAUUUUACCUGAAGGGAGGCUGGCGCGAUGCACCCCUAUAGUGCCAGGAAAGCUGGGGCGGCGCGCCAGCAGUGUGCCCGAAAUGAGUCCCAGUAAAACGGGGCCUGGCGCGACACGCCAGGUACGCCCUCGGAUGGGCGUUUUUCACCAGUUUUCGUCGUUUAGCCUAUUUAAGUUAUUCUAAAGUGUCCUUACACUUUCCAUUGAUUCUAACUACUUUAAAUGACUUCUAAACACCUAGAAAUCAUCCAUAAACAUGAAUCAUAACCUUGAAUCCAUAAAUUCAAAUUCAAGGGAAGUCAAGAGCCAAGUCUAGGAAGUUCUCGGAGUUUUUUUCAAGAAGUCUUUUGCAAAUGCUUUUUAACUUUGUUUUAAGACUUAAGUUUUGAAGUUGAGUAAAGAGUAAGAGCAAAGUUCAUUUUCUUUAAAAUGAUAUAUGGGAACUAAGUAUUUCCAAGAGUAAAUGUUUUCACAUUUAAGAUGAGAGGAAACUGAGAUUUCCAAAAGAGUUUUGAACAACAAAAGGGAACAUUGAUUCCAAAAGAGCUUUUGAAGCUAAGUUUGAGCAAUUAUCUCAAACCAGAGAAGAAGUUGUUUUAAAAACAUAUGAGCUAAGUAUAUUUUGAGAGUAGUAUUGAGCACCGAUAUGGAGACGCGAGUUCAUAUUAACUCAAGCCCCCAUAAACCAUGUAUCCAUCAUAGGCAGAAAAAGGAUCAUACUUUUUAAAUGAUUCCUUAGUGCUUUUUAGCAUAGACUAGUGGAUCCACUUAGUAGUUCAGGUUCUAUGCCUAUGGCAAGGUAUAGGACGGUCCUUGGCAUCGUAAGGUAAAAUGUUGUACCAUCACUUAGGCUCAUAGUGAUGGUUGUCGGUUAGAGAAACUCCCAUAGAAGUCAUUAUAUUUUUAUAUACAUCAAUUUAUUGUAUUUUUACAUACAUUUCAGAGUUAUGUUGUAUCCUUUUAUAUAUACAGAGUUGACAUCAUGUUUUAAACAACUUUUCUUUAUAUUGCACUUGUUUUAAAUCUGCUUUAUAUUGAAAUGAGUUCAGUUAUGUAUUCAUGAGUUGAGAAAGAGCCAAGGUAAGUGUUUCUUUUAGAUUCCCUUUCAAGCCUAUGUUGUUUUAGCAUUCCAACUCGCAUACUCAUACAUUCAAUGUACUGAAGCCAGUUGGCCUGCAUCUUAUUAUGAUACAGACACAGGUAACUAGGGUCGGCAUCCGGCACAUCGUUGAUCCAGUGAGAAGUUUAGAGUCUGUUAGUGAGCCUCUUUGCAUUCCAGAAGACUCUUUUUCAUUACUUUCAGUUUUAAUAUUAGUUCAUUAGGAUGUCGUGGACCUGUCCCGAUAUCCAUCUCAGUUGUUUUGAGGCUUCAUAGACAGACAGACAGUCAGUUAGUUAAUUCAGUUGUCUUUACUUUUCAUAUGUUAAAGACUUGAGUUUGCCUUAAAGGCUAGUUGAAUGUUCCGUUAUAACAUUCUAGUUAUUUCAUAAAUGUGUAUGUGAUGAGUUAAGUCUUCCGUUGAGUUAGUAAGUCAGGCCAAGGGUUCGGCUUGAGGCCAGCAAUGCUCUUCGAGUGCCAGUCCCUCCCAGGGUGUAGGCUCGGGGUGUGACACUUGAGUAUUGAGUUCCUAAUCCCUUCUGAGAUUAUGUUCCUAAUCAAGAAACUAUUACAUGUUACCCAUGAAGUCCUUAAGUUGAGUUGUUCAUGCCCAUAAUUCUGCAUGAACCUUAUGAGUUGAGCAUUCUUGAAGUGAGUAGUAUCAUUGACUCCUUGAGUUUUGGAGUUGUUGAGUUCCAAGUAUUGAGUUCUAUGCAUGGUUAUUGAAAACCUUGAAUUGAGUCGUUCACGUCCAUAAUUCGGCAUGAACCCUAUUUUAAGAAGUCUUUUUACAAAUUGUUUUAAAACUUGUUUUAAAGACUUGAGCACUAAGUUGAGAAAGAGUAGAGUUGAGUUCAUUUUCUUUAAAAUGAUAUAUGGGAACUAAAUAUUCCAAAGAGUUAAUGUUUUUACAUUGAAGAUGAAAAUUGAGAUUUCCAAAUGAGUUUUGAGCAGUUUGAGUACUAUCUCUUUUAAGAAAAAGAUGAGUUUUGAGAAAGAGUUUCUAAAACAUGAUUAGUAUGACAAUCGAGUAUGUCAUCAAUGUUUAAGCAGUAUGGUAUCUAGAUAUACCAUCAAUGUUUAUGCAAUAUGACUUCCCUAGUCAUCAAUGAUCAUAUUAAAAUAUGGUUUUGAUAUGUUUUUGAGAAAGAGUUUUCUAGAGUAGUUACCUCUUUUAAGAGGGUAGUUUGAGCAAUUAUCUCAAACCAGAGAAAGAGUUAUGUUUUUAAACAUAUGAGCUAAGUAUAUUUUGGGAGUAGUAUUGAGCACCGAUAUGGGGGCGCAAGUUCAUAAUAACUCAAGUCUCCAUAAACCAUGUAGCCAUCAUGGGUAGAAAGGGUCAUACUUUUUAGAUGACACCUAAGUGCUUUUUAGCAUAGACUAGUGGAUCCACUUAGUUAAGGCAUUCUUGUAACAUCUCGCAAUUUGAAAUAUCUAGGAAGAAGCUAAUAAUUGGAAAUAGUCAUUUUUGGAAAGAAUGAAAAUCUGGAAAUUUGUUUAAGUUAGGAAAAGUUGAGUUUUGGUCAACUUCAAACGGCCAUAACUCCUAGCUCAGGAUGAUUUAGGUGCACUUUAAGACAUGGUUGGAAAGCUCUUGGAAUAAUAUUUCCAAUGCCACCGAGUUUACGCGAUUCCGAGUUCGUAUGAGUAAGUUAUGCCUUUUGGAAGUUGGGUUGUUGGAUUAAGGAAAGUCUAAUCCUGAUUUUAGAAGGUUUAUUUAAGUCUUUUCCUUACCUAAUUAUUCUAAUUUGUUUUUAGGAGAUUAAUUGGGGUAAAACCAGAUUUUGGUUAGUUUAGAAAAGUUAGAGUUCACGCUAGGGCUUGGAGAAAAGAGAAAAGAGGAGAUGAAAAAGAGAAAAGUUAGAGUUCACAAGAUAUGAAAAAAAUCUUGUUGGGAGUACUACAUCAAUAAAUUUUUAAGUGCACGAUUCAAAUUUAAUCCCAAAUUUUCCAUUCUUAUCACCAACUCUAGUUGCAGUUGCACUGUUGCAGCAAAUAAUGGAUAUAAAUUAAUGUGCCGACGGGACCAUUAGAGACUAGCCAUAUCUAAAACGUGUUAAUUAAAUAGGAUGAUUAGUUGAACAUAUAAUAUAUAGUAGUAGUAGGGUUAAUGUACGACAUCUCCUAGAAUUUGGAGUAAAUUUAAUUUAGACUUGUUAUAAUUUAAUUGAACAUAUAUAUGAACAAGUGAUAAAGUAUUAAAUCUUAUGAUAUACUAUCAGUCCAAAUUUAGAGAAAUUUACGCAUAUUUUCGAUUAGAGUUUAUUACAUAGAUAAGGUAUUAAUAAGCCUCAAUAAAACUUCAAAUCUGUUUAAUUUGUUUCACUAGAGACUCAUGAAUAUAAUUAAAAGGAGGUGACAUAUUUCAUGCGAUUAAUUUAAAAUACGGCGAUGGAAAAUGUUAUAAUAAUCUGGCGCGGAAACUAGGGUUGGGCGUUCGGUCUUGUUUGGUUUGUCGAUUUUCGAUUUGGUAAAAAUGUUAAUCGAAUGUAACACCCCAGAAAAAAAAAUUUGAGCUAAGACUUGAACCAUCCUUCGUUGUGAGUAGGAUUUUACCGAGGAAUUAAAAUUUUCUCGAGUAUUGAGUUCCUAAUCCCUUCUGAGUAUUUGAGUAUUUGAGUAUCUGAAUACGAUCAAAUGUUUCUAUUAGAUACUUCCAAUCCAAAUUUGGAGAAACUCUAGUUUUAUGUGUCUUUCCAAUUAGUGGCUAUAACGUAGAUAAGUUAACUAAUUAAAAUAUUUUAUACAUUUAAUUACAUGGAUUAACCUUUUUUUUGGUUUCCCACCCGAUGUUCGGAGUUCACAUUGGAGCUCUGACUGAAUUUGGAUCGCUCUCUGCAGGGUCCAUUCGGGGGUGGCGCUCCCAACAAGAUUUUCUCCAUACCCAGGACUCGAACCCAAGACCUCUGGUUAAAGGUGAAGCACUUCAUGUUGGUACACAGAUUAACCUUAAUAAGCUAUAAAAUCUCAUACUUGUUUCAAUAAACUUAAAAUACGCCGAUGGAAAGUGUUAUAAUAUGGGCUAGAAAUUAGUGGAAGGGAAAUAUGAAAUCAAGAACUCUAACAAAGAAGAGGAAUAUUCAUAUAUAGAAGAAGAAAAGAAUAGAAAUUCAAUAUCAAAAGCUAAACAAAAUAAUUUGUACAAACGGAUACUUAAUAGACGUAGUUAGUUAUAAACUUAUAUCUAACUACCUUAACUCCGUCCAACAAUAGUUGUCCACUAUACUAUUUUGGAAUAUACAACAAUAUAUACUUGUUCAUUUUAUGAAAUCAAUGGAUAAACAAAUCGAUGGUCAAUCACACAUUCAAAAACAAAUUAAAAUAUGUAUCGCAUCUGAUAUUUAAAUUAAAGGUCGUAUUCGAAGAUAGUAGCUUGUUUUAUUCAUAACUCAUAAGCAUACAUUAAUUAAAAUUACAUGGAGCGUGGAGACGCGAUAGAACGAUCCACAUUAAUUUAUUCCUUAACAAAGACAACGGGAAGAGGGUUUUUACCGUCAGCUACCAGACGAUGUAAUCCAUUAUGAAAUAGCUAAACAUUCAGAAGUUAGUUACUAAUCCAUUUGUUAGUUAGAAGGUCAUUUCAGUCAUUUCAGAAUGUUAGUUAGUGCUAGUUAAUUACCUCGAUUACUGUGCUGAUGAAUUAGUUAGUUAGUAAAUUAGAUAUUUUUUUCUUCUUCUUGCUUUCUAUAUAAUCUGUGGAUGUAUCUCACUUGUAAAAUCAUCCAGAUUCAGAUUAAUAAAAUUCUCUCUCGUUUCUUCCUGAAUCUAGUUUCUUCUCUAAGUUCAUCAAUGGUGUUAUGAGCUUGUAUGCUCACAAUUUUCUUCAUGGUAUCAGAGCAGAGUUGUAGUUGAGUUUAGAUCUCUACUAGUUGGUAAAAUCUGUAGUUCUGAAGAAAUGGUGGCAUUGAAGAUAGAUCAAAAUGAUCCUUUAUACAUUGGGGCAUCAGACAGUUCGAGUGUUGUAGUGAUUCCCAUAAAGUUGAUUGGAUCUGAGAAUUAUGGAAUCUGGAGCAGGUCAUGCAGAGAAGAACUGCAUGAAUAGUGGGAAACAUGUAAUGCAAUUGUGUUGUCAUGGCUGAUGAACACAGUCAGUGAUGAGCUUCUCAGUGGCAUUGUAUAUGCCACAAAUGCCUUAUCAGUUUGGAAUGAUCUCAAGGAAAGAUUUGACAAGGUGAAUCGAGCAAGGAUCUAUCAAUUUCAGAGAGAGAUUACCACUCUAAUACAAGGUACAGAUACUGAGUACCUGUUGUGCUUGUCCUCAAUCGAAAAAGUAUACUGAUCACUUGCAGCAGAUGAGGUUGAUUCAAUUUCUAAGUGGCCUGAAUGAAUCAUAUGAGCAGGCUCGCAGACAGAUACUACUUAAGGGAACUACAUGAUCACUGAAUCAAGCUUAUGCAAUGAUUAUAGAGGAUGAGAUUCAACACUCAAGUUAUAUGGCUAAUAUAGUUGAAAAGCCAAAUUCAAUGGUGAUGAAUGUGAACAAGAAUCAAGGAGGAAAAGAGAACUACAAAGGAAAUAAGUGUGAGUACUGUCACUAUCUUGGUCACACCAAGGAUAAUUGCUAUAAGUUGAUUGGCUAUCCAAAUGGUUGGAAGCAAAAGAAGAAACCAUGCUAUGGAAAUGGAAAUGGUAACAUGAGAAAUGCUGCAGGCACAAAUCAAUUUAGUAUCUAUAGAGGACAAAGUUCAGGAAAUAACAUAAGGAAUCAAGUAGGGCCAUCAUGUUCUGGUGGAUUUGGAGGAGGACACCAGUCUGCAAACAACAUCUCUAAUGAUUAUUAUAAGCCUUCUAACACAGCUUCAACCAGUCAGGUGGAAAACAAUACUCUCCUAGCAAAGGGACAAACAUUCAUUGAGAAAGAGUACAAGAAAAUAAUGGAGAUGCUAAACAAGCUUGGAUGUGCAAGAGUCCAAGCAGGUCAAUAUGGCAGGUAUUACCGCUUGCUUAAUGACAAACUUUCUUACAAAGGACUGGAUAAUUGAUUCAGGUGCGACUCAUCACAUCAUAGCAAACAAACAACCAUUGACUAAGAGGCAUGAACUAACCAAGUCAUAGAAUAAUCAAGUUCAUCUUCCAACAGGUGACAAGGUGGCAAUCAGUCAUGUUGGUGAAACACCUAUUUUUGACAAUGAAGUGGUAAAAAAUGUCUUGCAUGUGCCAGACUUCAAGUCAGCUUGUUAUCAGUGUCCAAAAUCACAAAGGAACUAAAUUGUUUUGUAUCAUUUUACCUUUACUUUUGUGUGUUUCAGGACCUCUACAGUGGCAAGGUGAAGGGGAUUGGUAGAGAAGAAGGAGGAUUAUACAAUUUUAAAGUUGCAUUUACACCAAAGCAGAAGGAGGAAAUAAGGUGUGCUCAGAAGAUAGUGGCUACAAGAGCAACAAUACAGGACACAAAUCUAUGACAUAAAAGGCUUGGACACCCAUCUCAACAGAUAUUGAGAUAUCUCAAGUUAGCUACAAGCAAUAAAAGUGGUGAAUUAUCUUCAAAUUGCCCUGUUUGCCCUUUAGCUAAGCAAACUAGGCUUACCUUUCCUAGUAGUAAUACUAGAGUAUCCAUGAUGUUUGAUGUUUUUCAUAUGGAUCUAUGGGGACCCUAUAAGACCCCUACUCUAGAUAGAAAGCAUUAUUUCUUAAUAAUAGUAGAUUUGAAUGGGUUCAGUUGUUGCAAUUAAAAUCUGAAACCAUUGUGGCUAUCAAAAAUUUCCUUUCCAUAGUUAAGACUCAAUUUGAUUCUCAUGUCAAGACUGUGAGAUCUGAUAAUGGUGCAGAGUUCUUUAAUUCACAAUGUACAGACUUGUUUCAUCAUCUAGGAAUAUUGCAUCAAAGCAGUUGUCCUCACAGACCACAACAAAAUGGUAUGGUGGAGAGGAAACAUAGACACAUCUUUAACAUUGCUAGAGCUAUCAGAUUUCAAUCUCAUUUGCCUAUCAGAUUUUAGGGGUAUUGCAUUAAGGCUGCAGUGUAUUUAAUGAAUAGAUUGCCUUCCUCAGCUAUUGCUAACAAAAGUUCCUAUGAAUUACUUCACUAUAAACAACCAAAUAUGUGUCAUCUAAGAGUCAUAGGUUGUCUUUGCUAUGCUUCAACACUUCCCAGAAGGGAUAAGUUCUCAGCAAGAGCUGCUUCUGCCAUCCUCUUAAGGUACUCAGACCUACAAAAGGGUUACAUAUUGUUGUACAUCAAUUCUACCAAACUGUAUGUGAAUAGAGAUGUGGUUUUCCAUGAAGAAAUUUUUUCAUUUGCCAAAGUGAUGCCUCAGAUUAAUCCCUCAAUUGAUGUACAUGGUUCCCCUUUGGAGAUAAUAGAGAAUCUUGAUGUGGUGAAUGAGUCUGCUAAUAAAGAUAGUGAAGAACCUGAAGUUGCUGUCACAAGAAAUGAAGAUGCUCAGGCAGUAGAUGUUGGUGUUGAGAAUUCUUCAGUAUGUCAAAUGUCUGAAACUGAUCCAGUAUUGGAAAUUUCUGAAGAUUUCCCUGGGGUACCAUCACAUGUUGACCCUCCUAAUAGAAGAACUUUAAGCAACAUCAAAGAGCCAAUUUGGAUGAAAGAAUAUGCCACUACUAAGAAACACAGUAGUACCAGACAUCCCAUGGCCAACUCUCUGAAUUAUGACAAACUGAAGCCUUGUUACAGGGGCUAUUUGAGCAAGCUUUCAGAUUGUAUGGAACUUAAGUAUUUGAGCCAAUCUGCAAAGGAUGAGAGGUGGAUACAAGCAGGGGCGAAUUUAUGUACUAAUUUUGGGUCACCCGAACCCGUGGUCAUCCGACCAAACUCGAUAUAGUACUUCUAUAAUUAUUAAAGAAUAUGUUAAAUUAAAACUUGUUGAACCCGUUCUCAAAAUGGUUGGAUGGUUCACUGGUACCACUGCAAGAUUUCAACUCACAGGUCGCAGGUUCGAUCCCAGGCAGCCCCAAUUCGCUGCAAUUUAUUUUUAUUAACUAAAAACACAUUUUUCAUUAAAAAAAAAAGCUAAAUUUUGAAGUUCUAAAAGUCAAAGACUUCAAAAGUUUCCUUCCCACACACUUUCCAAGUUCCAACAAUAUUUUUCUUCUCUUUUCAAAUUUGUUUUCUAUUUUCCACACAAAGAAGAAGCUUCAAGUCUCCAACUUCGAAGUCAAGAAUUUAGAGAAAUCAUCAUUGUCAAAGUUUUAGGGUAAUUUUAGUUUAUGAUUUCUCGUUUUCAUAUAAAAAAAUCUUGUCAUUACUUAUAAUAGGAAAUCAUCAAUAGCUAAAGAAUUGAUUAUCUCAAACUUACAUAUUUUGCGGAUGUAACUUGUAAGGAAUGUGUUUCAUAUUAUAUUAUCAAUUUUGAAGGGUGUGAUUCCUUUUUUUUUUUAAUGUGAAAGGGGUGUGAUUCCCUUAUUUUUUUAAAUGUGAAAGGGGUGUGAUUCCUCUAUUUUAGUUAGAUUUGCAAGGAUUGUGAUUCCUCUAUUUUAUUUGAACUUGCAAGGGUGUGAUUCCCUUAUUUUUUAUUGUGAAAGAUAUGCGAUUCUCUUAUUUUAUUUUAAAUUUGCUAGUUAAAUUUGUGACUAAGUUGAAUAGUUAUUUGAAUUUGUAGGAACAUUUAUCCUUGAAUAACUAAAUGGAUAAAUUUUUUAUUAAGAAACCACGGCAAGGGUGUGAUUCCCUUAUUUUUUAUUGUGAAAGAUAUGCGAUUAUCUUAUUUUAUUUUAGCAAAAAUGAUCAACGUAAUAGCAUUGGUGAAGAAUUUUUGAAUGGAUGUUUAGUUUGUAAGAUAGAGCGGAAGAUAUUUGAAAAUGUAAGUAAUGAUGCUAUUAUAGAUCGUUUUCAAAAUAUGAAGUCCCGUCGAGUACAAUUGUAAACUGAUGAUAUUUUUUGUGGUAAUGCAUUUUUUAUGUAUUGCUCGCUUAGUUAUUGUUAUUAUAAAUUUUUUUAUCUUAUCUUUAAAGCAAUGGUGCACCCGUUUUCUUAAAAUCCUGGAUUCGCCUCUGGAUACAAGCUAUGCAGCAGGAAAUCCAAGCUCUUGAGGAAAAUAAUACUUGGAUAGUUGUUAAUUUACCAAAGGGCAUGCAUAUAGUUGGUUCCAAAUAGAUAUACAAAGUGAAAUAUAAGGCAAGUGGUGAGGUAGAAAGGUUUAAAGCCAGGCUAGAAGCAAAGGGAUAUAGCCAACAAGAAGGACUAGAUUAUCAUGACACUUUUUCUCCUGUAGCCAAGAUGGUGACAGUGAGAUGUGUCAUUGCUCUAGCAGUAUCAAAAGGCUGGACACUAUACCAGAUGGAUGUCUAUAAUGCAUAUCUUCAAGGUGAUUUAGAUGAAGAGGUCUACAUGGAGAUGCUUGAGGGCUUUAAAAGACCAGGUGAAAACAAAGUAUGCAGGUUACUUAAAUCAUUAUAUGGGCUUAAACAAGCCUCAAGACAAUGGAACUUAAAACUCACAAAAGCAUUGCAGGCCACAUAUUUUACUCAAAGUGCUCAUGAUUACUCAUUAUUCACACUUAACAAGGGGGAAGACCUUGUGAUUGUUUUGGUCUAUGUAGAUGACUUAUUGAUUAUAGGGAAUAACACACAGUUGAUCACUGAAGUUAAGGAAGCUUGCACAGACAGUUCAAGUUGAAGGAUCUAGGUGAACUUAAGUUCUUCUUAGGCAUUGAAGUAUUGAGAUCUUCAGCGGGAAUUAUUCUGAAUCAAAUGAAGUAUAUCUUAGAGCUUAUUAUUGAUGCAGGCCUGACUGGUGCAAAACCUGCAUCCACACCACUAGAGUCCAAUUUGAGAUUGACAUUAGUGGAACAUGAUCUAGCAACUGGCUACACUGGAGAAGUUGUGCUUCAUGAAAUUACUUCAUACCAAAGGUUGGUUGGUAAGCUAUUAUAUGCCACCAUCACUAGACUAGAUAUAAGCUAUGCAGUGCAAACCCUCAGCCAGUUUAUGCAAUCUCCUAAGAAGUCACAUCUGGAGGCUGCUACUAGAGUGGUUAGAUAUUUGAAAGGUACAGUUGGUCAGGGUAUUUGGCUGCAUUCUGAACCUACCAACAUACUCACAUGUUGGUGUGAUUCUGAUUGGGCUGUUUGUCCCAACACAAGAAGGUCCAUCACAGGGUAUGUCAUCAAGUUUGGAGAUUCUUUGGUAUCCUGGAAAUCCAAGAAACAACAGACUGUUUCAAGAAGCUCAGCUGAAGCUGAGUACAGAAGCAUGGCUUCAACAGUCUCAGAAAUCACCUGGCUCCUAGGCUUGUUCAAAGAGCUACGAGUGUCUAUUCAGUUGCCUAUUACUAUUUUCAGCGACAGUAAAUCAGAAUCCAACUAGCAGCUAACCCAAUGUUUAAUGAAAGGACAAAACAUAUCGAGAUAGACUGUCACUUCAUCAGAGAUAAGAUCAAAGCAGGGAUGAUUGACACUGCCUAUGUACACACAUAACAGCAACUUGCAGACUUAUUGACAAAAGGGUUGAGCCAGGUCCAACAUGUAUACCUUUUAGGCAAGCUUGGUGUGCUUAAUGUCAUGAACACUUCAGCUUGAGGGGGUGUGUUGAAAUAGCUAAACAUUCAGAAGUUAGUUACUAAUCCAUUUGUUAGUUAGAAGGUCAUUUCAGUCAUUUCAGAAUGUUAGUUAGUGCUAGUUAGUUACCUCGAUUACUGUGCUAAUGAAUCAGUUAGUUAGUAAAUUAGAUAUUUUUUUCUUCUUCUUGCUUUCUAUAUAAUCUGUGGAUGUAUCUCACUUGUAAAAUCAUCCAGAUUCAGAUUAAUAAAAUUCUCUCUCGUUUCUUCCUCACUCUAGUUUCUUCUCUAAGUUCAUCAAUGGUGUUAUAAGCUUGUAUGCUCACAGUUUUCUUCACUUGAACAAGUAGCUUUCAUUUCCUAUGGUACCACCAGUCACCACGAACUGAUCUUUAUCAUCAGUAACUUUCCAACUAGUUUCGUUAAAACACGGACUAGAUAUAUCACUAAUUAAUCAAUUUCCAAUAGGUCAUAGGCUCAUAGAAUCAGCAAAUAGGUUGGGUGAGUUUUUUUUUUUUGGUUUUUCAUCCGAUGAUGGGAUUUUAAAUUGGAGCCUUGAUUAAAUUUGGAUCGCGCACUGUAGGGUCCAUUUGGGGAUGACGCUCCCAACAAAAUUUUCUCCAUACCCAGAGCUCGAAUCUAAGAUCUUUGAUUAAGAGUGAAACAAUCUCACCACAACUCAUGUUGGUGGUAGGUUGGGUGAAUUAAUGAGCCCUUAUGUUAAGUUAGUUUAUUUUGAUCUAUUUUAUUUAAAAUUUAGCAAGAAUCAAACGAAUUACCUUUCUAAAUUAUGCAAAAAUUAAUACAAAAAAUCAAACACUAUAUGUUUCUAUUUUUUUCAAAAAAAAUAAAAUUACACCACUAGACAAAGUGUCUACCAAUUUUUUAUUAAAAUAAAAAACUUCAAUAGACAAGUAUUUCCUUUAGCCUCAAUUUGCUAUUAUAAUAUUGUUACCGGAGAAGAUGCAGAUAAGAAGAUUUAUUCCGGCGACCUUAGAGCCCUUACAAAAAGGUAGACAUUGUUUUUAUGGAUAAAUCUAUCUCUAUUUUGCUUGCUAUUAAUGAUUAGUCUGUCUCCAAUUUAUACAGCUGCUAAGGGCAUUUUUGACAAACAAAAAAUAGCUACCGACCGCUACCUUUUAGGUUAGUGACAUUAUUUCAUUUAUAAAUAAUAAUGAUUUAAAGAAAAUAAGUACUCUAGUAUAAAACCUGUACUAUUAUUUUUGGCUUAAUUAAUUCUCUUAAAAUUAUCCCCUUAAUUCAUCUAGACAUUUAAAUUCAGACUUGUACCUAUUGAACACUUCUAUUCUUUUGAAUUUGAGUCAUUCUAACAUUUUUUUAACAAUCAACUAAAAAUAUAAGAAAGAGUGAAAUGUACUAGCGGUGACAUGACAAUUUGACAAAUUAAAUAAGUAAAAUUUACAUAAAUCUCAUAGUGUUAAGAACUAAUUAUAUCAUAUCUCUACUCUUUUUCAAAUUACAAAAAUCAUUUAAAUUUAUAGGAUCUCGGAUAUAUAUAUAUGAAAAUAUGUAGAUACAUAGUUCACGGAUUGCGAAUGAUACAUUACUUAAUGGAAGAGAUGUAUUCGAAGGGGAGAGAUGUAUUCGAGAGGGAAUAGGAUGUAUAUGAGAGGGGAUUGAUAUUAGUAAAAAAGUUGAAAAAUUAACAUUGUCAAUUUAAUUUUGUAGUUAUUACUUAGAUAUUAGCCAUGACUAGCUUUUAAAUUCAUAGGAUAUUAGUCAUGACAAGCUUUUAAAUUCAUAGCUAAAAUUUCCUAAUUUAAUUUUUUAUUUAAAAGUAAAAAUUUAAAAUAAGUCAAUUCAAACAUUUUCUAAUUUAUGACUUUUUAUUUAGAAGUCAUAGUAUAUAUAUAGUAAUAAAGUUGAGAAGUAACUUUGUAACAUUAAUUUUUAUAGCUCAGAAAGUUAAUGAAUUUGUUGAUAAUCAUGAAACUCGAAAUUUGGUAGCUUUUACAAGGAGUCCGGAGCCUAAAGGGAAAAAAAAUUGACAAAAUUUCCAAAAGGGUACAUCAAUUUUUUUUCCUAACCAAAGGGGCAAAAUCGCUGAUGGGGUAGCGAUUUUGAUUUGACGCCGUUAAUAGAUCAAAAUCUCUGCCCUAUCAGCGAUUUUGUCCAAAAAACUUUUUCAGAAAAUCGCUGCCCGCGCAGCGAUUUUGCGAUUUUAAAAAAAUAAAAUUAAAAUCGCUACUAUGGUAGCGUUUUAUAAAAACGAAUUUAUUUUAUUUUUUUGAUUGGCAGCGAUUUUCGUUAAUGUUUUUUUUUUAAAUCGCUGCUGUUGCAGCGUUAUUAUAAAUUUUGUGGAAUUUUUUUUUUUUUAAGGAAUCGCUGCCUUGGCAGCGAUUUUAAUGGAACUUUUUUUUAAAAAAAUAAAAAUCGCUGCUUAGGUGGAAUUUUAUUUAUUUUUUUGAAAUUUCUGUCAACUACUAGUUGAAAGAAAUUUCAAAAUAAAAAAAAAAUCCACCAAAAUCUAAAAACAGAAAAAAAAAUUCACAAAAUUUAUAAUAAUGUUGCAACAGCAGCGAUUUUAAAAAAAAAACAUUAACGAAAAUCGCUGCCAAUCUGUUUUACAAUUAGUGUUUAUUACAUAGAUAAGUUUUUAAUAAGCCUCAAUAAAACUUCAAAUCUGUUUAAUUCGUUCCACUAGAGACUCAUGAAUAUAACUAAAAGGAGGUGACAUAUUUCAUGCGAUUAAUUUAAAAUACGGCGAUGGAAAAUGUUAUAAUAAUUUGGCGCGGAAACUAGGCUUGGGCGUUCGGUCUUGUUCGGUUUAUCGAUUUUCGAUUUGGUAAAAAUGUUAACUGAAUGUAACACCCCAGAAUAUUUUUUUGAGCUAAGACUUGAACCAUCCUUCGUUGUGAGUUGGAUUUUACCAAGGAAUUAAAAUUUUCUUGAGUAUUGAGUUCCUAAUCUCUUAUGAGAUUAUGUUCCUAAUCAUGAAACUAUUACAUGUUACCCAUGAAGUCCUUAAGUUGAGUUGUUCAUGCCCAUAAUUCCGCAUGGACCUUAUGAGUUGAGCAUUCUUGAAGUGAGUAGUAUCAUUGACUCCUUGAGUUCUAGAGUUGUUGAGUUCCAAGUAUUGAGUUUCUAUGCAUGGUUAUUGAAAACCUUGAAUUGAGUCGUUCACAUCCAUUGUUUACAUCCCUACUCUAUUCAAAUAUGACGAAACGUCGUGGUGACUCAAAAAAUGAUUAAUUAAUUCAAUUAUAAAAGAAUUUUCAGAAAAAACGAGUUUUAAAAGAGUCACCACCUAAUUUUAGGAAAGACUAGGAAACCAAUUAAUUAACUAACUAAAAGAAUGUCUACGAAACCAAUAGAUUCUAGUUAAGGGGUUCAAGUUAUUCCGAAAGGAAAGUGUUAGGCAUCCUUCAAAAUCCACAAUUGUGGGUCCCAGCUGAACUCAUUUUUUCAAAUUGAGGAGGAGAUGAAAACAAAUAUACAAGUAUAAUAAACAUGAGAUAUACACAAAUAAUAAAAUCAAACAAUAAUAUAAGAAACAACCUAAAUUUGCCUAUUGUCAAUAAUAUACAAUAAUGAAUGGAAAAUAUAAUUCUAACUCCUUUCGAAUAGCUUCAAUGAGAAGCGACUCUGGGGUACCAGUAAAGACACUUAGUAAAAGUGUUAGUAAUAAAUAAAUAUGAAUAAAAACAAAUAAAUAAAAUAAUAACUUAAAAGUAAAAAAUCCGUCUUAUUAACAUAGGAGGCCUUCACUAUAAGAAAAGUAUUGAUUACCUGGGGAUUUUCCUAGGGAUAACAUAGUAAAAUCCGCAGGUAACUUGAUUACCUGCGAAUUUUCUCGCAAAAUGAAAUCCGAUGGAAAAACCUUUGUAGGUAACUCUUACCUGCGGAUUUAUACAAGCCCUAGGUAAUUUACAUGGGGAAUUAAAAUACGCAUGUGUUACCUGCGGAUUUAUCUGCGAUACAUAACAAAAAUUCUUGUGAAUUUUUUACCAAAAAUUCUUGUGAAUUUUUUACCAAAAUUUCUUGCGAAUUUUUUACCAAAAUUUCUUAUAAAAACGAAAUUUCUUGGGGAUUUUCAUAGAAAUAUUUUGCAAGGAAUUCUCUAUGAAGAUUCCCAAGUAAAUCUGUAGGCGUUUGGAGAUAAAAUUUUGUGAAACAAAAGGAAAUUUCCUGUGUGUGUAUAUAUAUAUAUAUAUAUAUAUGAAAAUAUUGCUCAAGAUAAUUCCUAUGAAAAGGAACCCGCAAGAACUAACAAAAAAUAUAGUUCACGUUAUAUCACUUUCAUUCAACAAAAAACAGAAUUCAUAAUUAUAAUUCCUAUGAAAAGAAACCCGCAAGAUCAAUAGUUUAUGAUUCUUAAAUGGACAAAAGCAAAAUACAACUCAAAUUUGAAUCCUAAAUAGUGUUAUCAACUAUCUCAAUCCUCACUUUCAUUCACGCUAUCAGAGUCAUGGGCAGAACCACUGUCAUUCACACUGUGAGAGUCAUCACCACUUUCAUCCUCAUCAUAAGCUUGAUUGUCUUCUUGAGAUGAUUGCCCAUUUGAAGAUGAUGCGUUGUAUACAUUCAAACCUGACCAGAAUUAUGAAUGAAUAAACUUAAUACACCACAUAGAUUCCAAGAACAACCUUAACAACCUUAACCACGCUUCACUUUGUGCGAUUUAAUUGAUUUCAGAGGCAAGUUUUUCCUAACAUCUUGAAAAAGUUGUGUUAUCCUUGCAGAUGCCAUUUUCUCAAAAUUACGUCUUAUAGCAUCAGUAUAGUGAGGGAGCCAUUUGAAUUUCUUCUGUAUAUAGCAAAUAAAAACUGCAUUAGUUAUACAAGCUCACACCACCUGCAUUAGACACUUGAUAAUUGUUAGAGUGUUGCAAAUGGUAACGUUAUUCUGGGAGAUUCUUUAACGGAUGAAAUAAGCUCACUAUUUUAUUUGAGUUUAGAAUAAUAUAUAUGACCUCUCACGUCGUGAAUGUACCUCAUCUAGUACAAUACAUCGAUACAUAUCAUAUCAGUUCACAGUUCCAGAUAUAACUAAGACAGACAUCUAAGAUAAUAAGCAACUGGAAGAAAAUUCAUUUUCGAAUUAACAAAACCAACAAUGCAUUUUUUGCACUUCUUGACUAAAAUCACUUCCAAACUCAAUCACAUAACUAACAGUAAACUAACUAGAAUUCUUUAACUGUCACUCAGUGCUUAAAAACAAUUGUAAAGUCCAAACCUUUAAAUUUUCAGAGGAGAGAAAAUAAAUCAUACCCUUCACCUGAAUCCAUUCCUUUUGUAGCUCCAUAUUUUCCAGAAGCAACAUCCACCUGGAAAAAUAAGGUAAUACUUUCUAGAUGCUAACUAGACUAUACAGAAAGACAAGAAAUCGCACUUAAAUAAACUCAAAACUCACUACACUCUCAGGGUCUGCAAGCAUGACAAAUGUGACAUCACAAGAUGUUGCAACCUCCUCAGGGGAUGAUUUGUAUUUGCAGAAAAGAACCUCAAGUUACCUUGAAAUGAAAAUUAUCCAAAGAACCACAAGUUACCAUGAAAUGGAAAUUAUCCCCAAGUACAAGCAAUAACAACAGUCAAGAAAUUUUUUAAGUGAUCUCAUACAAGGCGAUACAAGCAUAGGCAUAGAUCUUUCUUUUUUCAAUUGUUAAGGAUUAGCAUAGAUUACCAUUGGCUACUUCAGUGUUGGGUAAUCUAAGUUUAAACACAUUUCCUGGAGGCCAACACAAACAAACUUAAGUUUGCAGCAUAACCAAAAUUGGCAUAUACUUACUUUGCACCCAGGGAUAUAAGGGGUUCACAUUUGCUCUUGGUCCUAUUCCAAACUGUCACAUCACAUCUGCAACAUGAGAACAAACACAAUAAAAUCAUUAGACAUUGAAAUUUAAUUAUUCCAAAAAAAGAGGUUUUAAAGUAUAAAAAUCAUGUCUCAUUGCUCCAACAAGAUCAAAUGUCAGAUGGCACAGCCUUGGUAUUAAUAAUGUGUACUUCUGAAAGAUCAACAGUUUAGGGUACUCAUAAUUUAGCUAGUUAAUAAAGAACGAUAACAAUGAUGAGUAUAAAGUUAACUACGCGCUGUCCAGUGAUUUAUGAAGUUCACAAAGCAAAACCUCAUUGAAAUCCAUCAAAUUAGUGUAUCAAAGUAAUAAUUGGAACAUACCCUGCUUUUAUGAGAUUUUGUGCCAUUGGAUUGCCCAUAAUUCCAAGACCUAGAAAGCCAAUACUUGCUGGAAGAGCAUCAGCUGCAGAAAACUAAAUUCCAUCAGACAAAAUAAACACCUAAUUUUUUGUCAGUAGUAAAUAGCAUCCGAAAGAACUAUAACUCGACACAAAAUGACACCAUAAAAGAGGAAAUAAAGUUUUUUUGUUAAUCAAUAAUUUCAUCCUAAUUUCAAUUUUCGCGUGAUGUCAUGCUGCCAUGAUACUUUCGUCUUGCUUUCAAGUGAAUGGAUCAAGACAAAUGCCUUGAAAAUUUUCUAUUACUACUAGCUGAUGGUGCCAAACUAUACAUUACAAUACUAUAAAAUUGUAAAAUAUUAAGGUUUUUCGUAAUAGACACCAGUAAUAGCAGGCGUUGACAACAUCUCUAAUAGUCAAACAAAAUCACUUCAUACAUUAGGCCGUCCCUAAUUGUAAAACAGAAACUGUCACGACCCGAGUCUACACCCUGGAUGUGGCCGGCACUCAAGAACCAUUGAUGGUCCCCAAGCGAACCCUCAUCCUGGCUGACUACAAGCGGAAAACUAACUCAAGCAUACAAAGCUUAAAAACUGAAUAAAAUUCAUGAAACUGAAUAAAAUUCAUGAAACUGAAAUACAAAGCUUUAACUCAAAUGAAAAACUCUGAAUAAAAUAGUAUAUUCAACUCGCCAUAAAAUAGGCAACUUAAGUCUUUAAAACAUUUUAAAAAAUAAAUGAAUAAUACAGACUUCUCAACUAUACUGACUAUCUAUGAAGCCUCUAGCUGAUAAAGAUGAAAGUCGGGACAAGACCCACGACAUCCUGACUAAACUAAAAAGUAAAUGAAAUCCUCCGGAAAAUAAGGAGACUCACCAUAGCUAACUCGAACUCUCGGAUGUAUCAAUGAAUCUCCUAUUGAUGAUCCUGAAUACCUGUGUCUGCAUCGUGAAAAGAUGCAAGCCAAAUGGCUUAGUACGUGGAAUGUACUAGCAUGUAAGGGGAAUUCUAAAGCAUAACAUAAGCUUGAAAGAAUCUGAAAGAAAUUGAAGAACUUACCUGGCUCAACUCAACUCAACAUAACUGAACUCAUUUCAUUAUAAAGCAGUUUAAAACAUGUGCAAUAUAAAGAAAAAAAUUGUUGAAAACAUGUUGUCAAUUCAUAAUCAUAAUAUCAUAAAAUGACAAAUCAUGCUCCCUCUCAAAGUCUAGUUGUGCAAUACAUGAAUGAAGUCACAUACCCCCAUUAACACUAAGCAGAACCCCUUGAGGAACCAUGCUACUUUAUGGGGGCUGUGUGUUGUUUGAACUCUCCCCCAUAUCGGUGCUCAAUACUACUCCCAAAAAUAUACUAGCUCUUAUGUUUUAAAAACAUACUUCUUUCUGCUGAUUUGAGAUAAUUGCUCAAAAACUUAGCUCAAAGGCUAUCUUGGAAAUCUCAGUUUCCCUGCUUGCUUCAUUUAGAAAGCUAUUUCUCUUUUCUGAAAACUAGCCCGAAGGCUCUUUGAAAAUCUCAGUUUCCGUUCUUAUUUAAAUGUGAAAACAUUUAAAAACUUCUUUGGGAAUACUUAGUUCCCUAAUAGCUUUUGAGAAAUGAACUCAACUCUUUACUCUUUGCUUAACUCAAAACUUAAGUCUUAAAACAAAGUUAAAACGUUUGUAAAAGACUUCUUAAAAUAUGGUUCAUAUCGAAUUAUGGACAUGAACUACUCAAUGCAAGGUUUUCAAUAACCAUAGAUAGAACUCACAUACUUGGAACUCAAGAACUUCAAUGAUACUACUCACUUCAAGAAUGCUCAACUCAGAGGAUUCAUGUAGGAUUUAUGAGCAUGAACUACUCAACUAAAGGACUCAAGGAUACUUCUUAUCUCAAGACUGUUCGACUUAUAAUGUUCAUGCGGAAUUAUGGGCGUGAACAACUCAACUCAUGGACUUCAUGGGAAAUAGGUAAUAGUCCCAUGAUUAGGAAUGUAAUCUCAAAUAGGUUAGAAACUCAAUACAAAAGACUUAGGAUCUGAAGAUAUUACUUCUCUCAUAGAUACUCAACUUAUGGAGUUCAUGCGGAAUUUAUGGGCAUGAACGACUUGAUUCGAAGGUCUACAAACUACAUGAACCCAUGUAUAUGAAACUUCUCAUUCUCUUACUUACUACCUCAAUACUUAGUUCAAAUCGAUGGUUGAUCUCAAAGGAAUCACAAUUGAACUCAAAGGCUUUCUUGAACUUUACUCUUAACUCUCUCUUGAAUAUGAAUUAUGAAUUCAAGAGUUUUGGUUCAUGAUAUGAAGGAUCUCAAUAACAAUAUAGCUAUUCGAUAAUUAGGAAUAGAACUUUUAAAAGAAACAUGAAUUCAAGAACUCAAAAUCAACUUAUCUCAAGAAUGCUCAAUUCUAGGGAAAGUAUCCUAGAUUACUCUUUUUCUGAUCUGAAAGUAGAUGUAGGGCGUGAGGACGAGCUAGUCCAACACUAUGAUAGCCUUACAUACCUAGAAGAAAAAGAUUCUUGAAGAAUCUAUAAGAAUCUUGAGGAAGAACUUGAUUAGAAGCCUUGAAACCCUAGCUUGAAGGUAAACAAUCAAGAAAACCUUUCUUGAAAUCUCUAUGGCCUAGAAUUAUGAUUUUCAUUAGUGAAGAUGAAAAUCUAAUUGUUUUGAACCUUUUAUUAGUCAAGAAAUUCGUUUAUGGUAUUCUUAGAGGUAAAAGGCAAAAACGACUCUUUUUAAUAUUUUCCCGUCGGCUAAUUCGUAACAGCACUGUAUAUGUUACUAAAAUAGUCAUAACUUUUUACUUAGAAAUUGGAUUGACGCAAAAUUGGUGGGGUUGGAAAGUACAUUCAAUUACCUUUAACUGGAUAGGUUAUGGAUCACGUAACUCUUAAUAUUCUAAGAGAUAUGGUCGUUUAAAGUUGACCCAAGCAAAAUCUUAAAUUAAAACUUAAUGAAACUUCAAGAACACUUAUCAAGAAUUCUAAUCUUUAAAUUUCAAGAUCGAAAUUACGCUGAAUAAAUCAUGAUUGGUGUGUGGGUGAAAGAACCCAACACUAUAGAAGCUUACAUACCACUUAGGGAUUAAACCCAUGGCGAAAAUCCGCAACAAGACACAAGAAUCUCGACGAACGUUUGAUCUUCUCCUCUUUUCUCCUCUUGAACUCUCAACUAAACCCCUACGCUAAUUUUAUGAUUAUAAAACUGAACCUAAUCAGAUUAGACCCCUAAAAUAUUACUAAAACGAAUUAAAUCUGUUUUGGUAAGGAAAAGACCAAAAUACCCCUCUAAAACCCGGAUUUGACUUUUCUUAACUGGACAACCUAACUUCAAAAGGCCAUAUCUCACUCAUCCGACCUCUAAACUUAGCAAACUUAGCGGCGUUGGAAAGAUAAAUCAAAGGUCUUUCCUACGGUAUCUGGUAGCACACUUAAUUCAUCCUGAGCUAGGAGUUAUGGUCGUUUGAAGUUGACCCAAAACUCAUACUUAAGCAUAACUUGCAAAAUUUCAGAUUUUGCUAUUUCCAAUUUAAUUCUUUUUGUAACUCAAGGUGCUACAUCUAGUGACCUUUAACACUCAAGAAAUUUUUAAUUCCUUGGUAAAAUCUCAGUCACUACGAAGAACGGCUCGAGUCUUAGUUCGAAAAAUUUUCUAGGGUGUUACAGAAACUCACAUCAGCUAAUUUUUUUUGAAGAUGAGAACAAAUUGAAGAGAUUCUAGAACAAACAUCAUUUGCAGGAUAUUAAAAUUCAAUAAGCUGUAGAGAAGAAACAUAAUAAGGACAUGCACUCAUCUUCUUCAAGUAUUUAAGCAAGAGCUUUGAUUUGCAAAAAAAUCUCACUCGAUUUUCAUCCAAACUAAAACAGUAAACAAAAAUUUACAGAUUAACCUCACAGAGCUUGAAAUUUCUAGAUUAACCUCAAUUUUUUGGUAGAUUGACAAGCAAAUCUUCCGAUCUGUAGUCCUUUACUUUGGAAAAAUUCACUUGGAGAGAAGCAUGAGGUCCGCUAGGAGAGUUUUGAGAUGAGCUUUGUAUAUAUGAGCUUGGGGAUCCGGAUGAGCUUGGAGCUUGGGGCUACACCGAUUCAGAUCGUUUCCACCAUUGUAUCUACAUGUGAGUUUUGGAGAGAAACUUUAGUGGGUUUGUGUAAAGUGAGUUAGAGAGAGGAAAAUGAGUCUUAGUGGGUCUUACAAUCACUUUCCAAUUCCUAAUUGAGUUUUUAAUUGGUCUAUUAUCCAAAAAAAUUACAAGUGUAAAAGAAUCCAAUCAUCUAAAAGAUAAUUGGUCUAAUAAUUCCUAAAUCCCCAAUUAUUUCCCAAGGUAAUAAAAUGUCUAGGCAAAUCCCAAAAAUAAUUUUUUAGACAAUCUGGAAUUUUCCUACAGAUUAAAAAUAAAUUUUUAAAAAAUAUUUUUGGUCCAUGUACCUAGGGAUUUAGCUAGAGAUAUUGUUCAUGCGGAUAUAUUUUCCUAGGUAAUUUUCAGGAACUAAUUUAGUGCAAAAUGGUACCAAUGUUAGUUGCGAAAUUUGUUGGGAAUAUAAUUUUCAUAGGUAAUAUAUUCUAAUAUUGAGGAAUUUAAAAUUUUCGCAAGAAAAUUUGCAAGUAUUACCUGCGACAAUUUCCCCCCAGAUAAUAUUCCUAUGUAAUUCACACUUUUCUAGUAGUGCUUGGAAAUCGACGGUAAUUUCUUUAUCGGCCAAUUUUAACAAAUAAUGGAUAUAAACUUAAACUAAAAUUUCCGUCUUUUAAAAUGAAGAGGCCUUCAAAAUCGACGAAGAAAUUUUUUCAUUGGCCAAUUUUACAAGAAUGAAUAACAUGCAACUAACAAACAAUAUAAUAUCCACUAAGUUCUGAAAUUUUCCAAUGAUGAUUAAAAUAAAAUAAAUAAAAAAUCAAUACUAAUAGAACAAUGUAAAUAAUAACAAUGAUAAUAACUUCACUUUUUAUUUAUAAUAACGAAAUUAAGAUAAUCAAAAUGACAUAAAAAUUAGUCGGGAAGAACCAAACUAGGAACACCAUAUGAACAAGAAUUAUUGGAGCAAAGAACUACCACCAUUGUUAUAACUAAAACAAGCACAAUCUGUGAAACCCACUCAAUAUAAUUAAAUCUAACUACCAAUGAAAUGUUAAUCACAUAAGGUAGUCUAUAAAUUUACCAAUUUAAAAUCUACAAACUUAAAUAAAAGACAGAGAAUGACACAAAAAGGGAAGAACGGUCAAAUAUUUAGAUCCCACCUAACAUCACAUUUCAUGUAAUCAAAAAUAUAACACCAAUCAUCUAUUCGUUAAUAAUCUAAGCAAUAUAUCACUUCACAGUUAGUAAUUAAAAUAGAAUUGAUAGAAAAUAAUCAAAACAUUAGCAAACAAAAGCAACAGCAAAAUAUGGUUAAAAACAAAUAUGAGAAGUGCAAAUAAUUGUUCAAAAUUAUAAUACAGACAGAAAAAAAACAAAGGAAAAUAAAAAGUCAAAAAAGGAUAGUGAUAUUACCCUCGCCGGAGAUAGAGUGCUUCGACCGGUUUCGGCCGUUUCUGGCCUGCAACUGCUUCUAAAUCACCGAACUCGUUGUUGGGUUGCUAUUGUUGAUGUGCGAGCUUCGAAGCUUGUUGUUCACCAGAGCUUAAAAGCUCACUGGUUCACUGGUGGUCUCCGCUGGUCGGAGUUUGAAACUGCUGGCUGCUUUGUGGUAUUGUCUUUCAUCGGAGUUUGAUGCUCUGAUUCGACUGGAUACCUGCAAAAAUGGAGGAAAAGUCGUGAAAGGGGGAGAGGAAAGGGGUUGAUUUCCUUUUUAUGUUGCUCUGGUUCAUCGGAGCUUUGAGGUCCUCGCCGGAGCUGCUUGUUGGAAAAAGGGAAAGAAACAAAGGGGUUUUGGGGUGGUGUGGUGGUUUAAUUCGCUGUUGUUUGGAGGUUUUGGUUGCUGUUGGUUUUGAUGUGGUGGUGCAGUAGAUUCGCUGGUGGGUUUUGAGCUCGAGUGGUGGUGCGAACUAGCCAGGGAUGAGGGUUUUUUGGGUGGUGGUUUUGUUUGGUCGUCUGUCUCGUUUUGCCGGAAAAUGUGGGCUAGUGGUGUCAAAGAAAGGGGGAAGAAGAAGGGCCAGCUGGUUGUUGCCUUGUGGUUGUCAAAUUCCGAUUAAAAAAAAUCGUUUGAGGGUGGUGGCGGUUUAGAGAAUGUGUCAGUAAAGAAUUCUUAGGGAUUUUACCCUAUCAAAUUGAAAAAUUAUUUCCACCCCUCUUAUUUUUUAGGGCAAAUUACAAAAAUCAGUUACCUUUAAGGCAAAAUUACAAUCUAUCUUUUAAAAGUUUAUAAUUACAAAAAUCUUUUAAAUGGAUACAAUAAUAUAAGCGUUGAUACAUUAAUAUGAUGCGCGGGAUAAGUAAGAUACAUUACAUUUUAUACAUGAUACACUAAUCUGAUGUACAUUUUACACAUGAUAUACUAAUCUGAUGCGCGAGAUGCAAUAAUAUAAGCGUUGAUACAUUAAUAUGAUGCGCGGGAUAAGUAAGAUACAUUACAUUUUAUACAUGAUACACUAAUCUGAUGUACAUUUUACACAUGAUAUACUAAUCUGAUGCGCGAGAUGCAAUAAUAUAAGCGUUGAUACAUUAAUCUGAUACGCGAGAUACACUAAUCUGAUGCGCGAUAAUCAAAAUUUAUAUAGGAAAUAAUUUUAUAAUGGGCUCAAAUUGUGGGCUUGAUAUUAUGACCCAAAAUUGUUGGUUAAAUAAAAUAUCUGUAUUUAAAUGAAUUUCUAGACUGUGCAAAAUAUCAAAAUGAAUAUUAACAAAUGUAACAAAUAAAAUGAAUAUUAAAAAAAAUAUAAUGAACUUAACUAAUGACAUGUAAAAAUGCAAUUUUAAAAUUAACUGAAUAAAAAAAUCCUAAAUUUUGAUAAAUAAGGAUAGUUAUCGAUAAACUUUUUAAAAUUAUAAAAAAAUAUUUUGAACUAUUAAAUAAAUAAAACUUAAAAGUUACGAAUUUUGAAAAUGUUAGGCCAAAUUAAAAUUGGGUGUCAACAUCCAUAAUUCGGCAUGAACCCUAUUUUAAGAAGUCUUUUUACAAAUUGACUUGAGCACUGAAUUGAGAAAGAGUAGAGUUGAGUUCAUUUUCUUUAAAAUGAUCUAUGAGAACUAAGUAUUCCCAAGAGUAAAUGUUUUUAUAUUGAAGAUGAGUGGAAAUUGAGAUUUCCAAAAGAGUUUUGAGCAGUUUGAGUACUAUCUCUUUUAAGAAAAAGAUGAGUUUUGAGAAAGAGUUUUCUAAAACAUGAUUAGAAUCAGGGCCGUCUUAACUAAUAGGCCACUAAAACCAUCGCUUGGGGCCCCCAUUUUUAAAAAAAAAUACUUAUACAUAUUAUUAAAAAAAUUACAUUAAUUUUUUGAAAAAAAAAAAAUGUUGUAAGAGGUUUUUAUAGUUUUUUCUUGAAAAAUUGUUAUUUUUGAUAUUCUUAGUUCAUAAGUAUAUGUAAAUUGUUUUAAUUUUUAUAAAGAAUUUAUUCAGUUUUAAUAUGUCAAACUAGAAAACAUGAUUCCGAUUUUGAAAAAAAGAGAAAAAACUUGAAGAAUUAGAUAAAUCUUAAAAAAGAGCUCUUGAUAGAUUUUUAACAAAUAAUAAAAUUUUUGAAUAAAAAAUAUUGGAGGAUGUUCUUCAAAUGAUCAAGUAACUCAAUUAUAUAAUUGAGUUAGAUGAUAAUAAUAUCCAAGAAGAAAAUCUAGAAGAAGUUGGUGAAAAAUGUGAUAUUGUUCCCGAUAUCAAGAACUCUUAAAUAAUUUUAAAUAGUUGCAUCCCUAAAAAUAUAUAUGAUCCAAGUCAAUGGAAUAAUGUAGUUACAAAAUUAAGAGAUCUAUUAGUAGAAAAGGGAUCAUUUAGAGUGACUGAUAUAAAUUUCCACAAGAUAAAUGCGUACGACAUUUUUCUACAACACAUUAUAUUCAAAAAUUUGUAAACGGAGAAAAGCAUGAAAGAAAAUGAUUAAUCUACUCUACAGAUUUGGAUAAAAAUAUUUGUUUUUGUUGUAAAUUAUUUAGCACAACUGCUAUUAUUUGUAAUAAUAAACUAGCUAGUGAAGGUAGUAAUGAGUGGAGAAAUCUUAGUGUUAAGCUCAAAGUCCAUGAAGUAAAGAAUGAACAUAUUAUUAAUAAUAUGAGGUUCUGUAUUGAUUUAGAAAUGAGAUUGCAUUAAAAAACAAUUGAUAAAGCUGUGCAAGAACAAAUUGACAGAGAUAAAAUGUAAUGAAAAAAUGUAUUGUACAAGAAUUAAUUGACGUGAUCAAAACUCUAGGGAAAAAUAUUUAGCAAUUUAGGGGAACAAAAUGGAAAGAUCUAUCAAGAAAAGUAACGGUAAUUUUUAAAGCCUAAUUGAAAUGAUUAAUAAAUUUGAUUAUGCUAUGCAAGUACAUAUUCGAAGAAUAAGCAUGACGAUAUUCAUAGUCAUUACCUUGGACAUACUAUACAAAGUGAAUUAUUAAACUUAUUGGCAAGUGAAGUCAAGAAUAAUAUUAUUAAAGAGAUUAAAGAAACAAAAUACUUCUCAAAAUAUUAGGGCCUCUCUUUAAGAUUUGGCUUUAGGCCCUCGAUCUUGUUGAGUCAGCCCUGAUUAGUAUGACUAUCAAGUAUGUCAUCAAUGUUUAAGCAGUAUGGUAUUUUUUUUUUUUAAUUACACCCAAACCAAGUGGGAGUUAUUUAUUCCAUCAAAAGAGUGCAUAUAGGCAAACCCAGGUACAAGAAGGCCUUUUGGCAGCCAACAGAAAAGGCCUCAGCUUACAAAAAAAAUUGAUUUGUCAUACCUAAUUCUAAUACUAGGCAUUUGCAUUUUGUCUAAUUGAUAUGAGCCCACUUCUAGCUUAAGGAUAUCCCUCCAAUCGUGAUACAUAUGAGCUUCAUUAGAAAGAACAACAUGUUUAGCUAAUGCAUCUGUAACUUGAUUAGCUUCCCUAUAACAAUGAUUUACUUCACAAUUCAUCUUAGCAACAACUUGUAUGAUGUCUUCCACAACACCUUUGAUUUUCAAGUUGGUGGCUUGUCCAUUCCUUACCAUAUCAACCACCAUUUUUUAGUCGAAUUCAAGAUAACAAUUGUGAAAUCCUUGUUGCAAACACCAUAGGAUUCCGAAUCUAGCCGCCAAAGCUUCUGCAAGAUUGUUACUAGAGCAUGAAGAAGGAAUGGAGAAGGCCAUAAUCAUCCUUCAUGUAUGAUCUCUAACGAUCCCUCUUAAACCUGCAUUGCCAGAAGAGAAACUUUCAUCAGUAUUUAUUUUAACACAAUUAAUAUUGGGUGUGUUCCAGUGGACAGUCUUCCACUUCAGAUAUGGUUUUAAGCUUUCCACCUUGUUUAGAAGAUCUCUCCAAAAAUUAACAAUCUCAAAAGAGGGAAAAGUCAUUCUCAAAGACAUUUUCAAAUUCCACCAUACAUGAUUUUCCAUGGUUCUAUACCACAUCUUCUUUUGAUCCCCAUAUUUACUAGCACAUCUAUGUUUCCAGAUUUCCCAGAAAAUCAAGAUAGGUAGAGUAUGGAUAAUCACAUUAUGUAUGGAAUCAUGAGUAUGUACAUUCCACCAAGUCUAUAGAAGAUUAAUAGUAGAUGAGGCCCUCGUAUCAAUGGCCAAAGGACAGAGGCGUAUCCAGGAUUUCGGCUAGAUGGGUGCACGAUUACGAAAAAAUAUUUUUUAAAGAUAAAUUUGAUUAAUUUGACUUUUAGUUCGUAUAUGAACCAUUAAAUUUUAAAAAUUAUAGGUUCAAAAUGUAUAAUACUACUAGUUUUAAAUUUUAACAUACACAUUUGAUUUAAUUAUAUAAAAAAAUUACAAUGUUAAAUUUUUUAGGAAUUUUCAAUAUAACACAUUUGAAAAUUUUGAAAGAUUAAAGGAAAAAUAAAAGCAAAAUUAGCUGAAACGUCAAAAGUGUAACCGAUAACCACUUGGAAAGGUGUUACUCAUAGAGACAAGAUAUAUAUAAGAUUUAAAAUUAUAUCCUCACUUAGAAAGGUGCACCCAAUCAUCAUCGCAUUAUUAUAUGAUAUACUUUGAACAUGGGUUCACACAUCUAUAUUUAAAUAUUUUUUAAAAAAUAUAACACUACUAUACAUGAUCUAGAGAGGGGAGCAUGGGUUCACGUGAACCCACAGCACCCCCUCUAGAAACGCCUCUGCCAAAGGGCCUCCAAUUUUUUUCCAUAAGUAGCUAGCAACAUCACUAUCCAAGAAUACAUGAUUAAUGGUCUCAGUUUUCAUAUUCUUACAACAAACACAAUGAUCAUAUUAUUGUAUCUAGAUAUACCAUCAAUGUUUAUGCAAUAUGACUUUUCGAGUCAUCAAUGAUCAUAUUAAAAUUAAAUAUGAUUUUGAUAUGUUUUUGAGAAAGAGUUUUCAAGAGUAGUACCUCUUUUAAGAGGGUAGUUUGAGCAAUUAUCUAAAAUCAGAGAAAGAGUUAUGUUUUUAAACAUAUGAGUUAAGUAUAUUUUGGGAGUAGUAUUGAGCACCGAUAUGGGAACGCGAGUUCAUAAUAACUCAAGUCUCCAUAAACCAUGUAGCCAUCAUGGGUAGAAAUGGUCAUACUUUUAGAUGACACCUAAGUGCUUUUUAGCAUAGAAUAGUGGAUCCACUUAGUUAAGGCGUUCUAUAUGACGGCAAAGUAUAUGAUAGUUUUGGCAGCGUGGGCAAGACAUCUAUCAUCACUUAGGCUCAUAGUGGUGGUUGUCGGUUUGAGAAACUCCCACAAAGUUAUAUUGUAUUUUUAUCUACACACUGAGUAUUAUUGUAUUUUUCAAUACAUUGAGUUGUUAUCUACAGUUUUACAACUUUUCAUAUAUUGCAUCUUUUAUUGUUGCUUUAUUCUUGAGUAUCUUGAGUUGAACUGUGCUUCAUCGAAUCGAGUACCUUAUUGUUGAGUUGAGCCUUAUUUCACUGAGUUGAAUAUUUUAUCCUUUGAGUUGAGUAUCAUAUUCUUGAGUUGAUUCGAGUAAGUGAGUUGAGAAGAGGUAAGUAUGUUUCAUUUUAUUAAGUUCAAGCUUGUGUUUAUGCUUUAGAAUUCCUCUUACAUGCUCGUACAUUCCACGUACUAAGCCAUUUGGCCUGCAUCCUUUCAUGAUGCAGACACAUGUAUAUUCAGGGUCAUCAACAGGAGUUUAGUUGAUACCACAUGGAGUUCAAGUUAGCUAUGGUGAGCCUUCUUGCUUUCGGAGGAUUUCAUUUACUUAUCAGUUGUUAGGAUGUCGUGGGUCUUGUCCUGACUUCCAUCUUUGUCAUUUAGAUGCUUCAUAGAUAGACAAUAAAGUUUCACAAGUCUGUUCAUUUAUUUUGUUAAACGUUUUAAAGACUGACGUUGCUUAUUUUGGGGCGAGUUGAAUAUAUUAUAUUAUUCAGAGUUUUGUUUUGAUUUAAAGCUUUGUAUUUAAGUUUCAUGAAUUUUUAUUCAGUUUUUAAGCUUUUGCAUGCUUAACGUCUUCCGCUUGUAGUCAACCAAGGAUGAGGGUUCGCUUGGGGACCAACAAUGGUUCUUGAGUGCCGGUCACGUCCAGAGUGUAGGCUUGGAUCGUGACACCAAAACCGAACUAAAAUAAAUUUGGUUCAGUUCAAUUCAAUUUUUCGAUUUGAAUAUAAUCGGGCCCUUUUCUUAUCAUCAUUCAUUAGUUAACUUUUCUAAUACUAGGCAUUUGCAUUUGGUCUAAUUGAUAUGAGCCGACUGUUAGCUUAGGAAUAUCCCUCCAGUCAUGAUACAUAUGAGCUUCAUUAGAAAUAACGUGUUUAGCUAAUGCAUCUGCAAUUUGAUUUACUUCUCUAUGACAAUGAUUUACUUCAAAAUUCAUCUUCGCAACAACUUGUAAGAUGUCUUCCACAACACCUUUGAUCUUCAAUUGACGCUUGUCCAUUCCUUACCAUAUCAACCACCAUUUUUUAGUCUAAUUCAAGAUAGCAAUCGUGAAAUCCUUGUUGUGGAUGAUGAUAUCUAAAUAUAGAUACCCUUAAUUACAUCAAGCACGUUGCCAUAAAAUAAACAUAAAGUAAGUAUUGUACACCAAAUAAAAAUAUAUUCAGCGCAAGUAGAAUCCAAAAUGGCUUAUUUUGGCUUGACACGGAGUUUAAAAAAAUAUUUGAAUCAUGUGAUCUAAAAAAAAGAUAUGUCGAAUCAUGAAUGUAUCAAAAUGACCUUUUAAUUUUGUGGUCUUAAAAUGUCAUGUAGAAAGUUGAAAUUAAAGAAUUGCUAAAAAGGAAAAAGGUCAUGUUUAUUUUAAAUGAAUUAAAAAAGAAAAUAGCUCAAAUAAAUUGAAACAUAGAGAAUAUAAAAUUUUGACGGAUUGUUGUAAUUUGUUGUGUAAAAAUUUAACCAAUACGUUUUUUUUUUUCCAAGUUGGUCCAAAUCAACUUCGAAUUGCUCCAAAAUUUGAUAUGCAACCUUCUCAUAUAAAUCACAACAACUCUUCAAUUAUUAGAUUCAAUCUAAAUCUUCAAAAAUACAUAAAUGUCUUCAAUAUUCAACAAAACAAAUUGUUAGAGUUAUCUUAUCAAUAAUAUAAUUCAUUACUAUUUAGUAUCUAAACUCUUAGCUCGUCUCAUCCCAAUAUUACUUUGGGCAGAUCAUUUUCCUACUCGAUCAUCUAAACUCCUAGGUUUUUUUCCCUUAUAUAUAUGAUGAUGCGAUCUCCUUUUGUAUUACUAUUAAUUUUGUAACAAGUAACUAUAUCGAGACGAUUGGUUAACAACAAAAACAAAAGUAACCCAAACUUAAAAAGAAACCACAAACUGAAGAAAUUUAUGUAUUUUUGAAUGAAGAAGGUAAGGUAAGGUAAUAGGCUAAUUGCUAGCUUGUUUAUUUAUUGAUAAGCAUACAUUAAUUUACAUGGAGCGAUAGAAGGAUAUAUCCACUUUAUUUAGAAAGCUGCAAGCUAGCCAGCUAAUUAGCAUUCUACGCCUUGAUGAACACAAAUGGAAUAAAGUCCUUAUCGUCAUCGACAGUCGCCAGACGAGGAUAUCCAUUUUUAAAGUUGCCGCCGAUAUUUUUGCACUGAAGAUGAGAGGGACAAUGCAGUAACUUGUAUACAUUUUUGGAACUUCCUGGUGUCACCAAGUCAAUUUUCCUAAUCUUGAAGAUGUCGUUUUCAUUUCCUACCUUACCACCAGUUACCACCAACUGUUCAUCAUCAACUUUCCAAACAGUUUGGUCAACACACAACUUUGUUGUUUUAACAAAGAACUUGAUAUAAACAGCAGUCAUUUGACGCACCACAUCACCAUAAUCCGACUCCGACUUACGAACGAAUACGACGGGCGUGCCUUUUCCCAAAAAUUGGGGAAUUGACAUGUGCUGCAACACGGCGUUUGGGCAUUGAAGGUUUCCAAUAUUGUACAAGUAUACGGCUCCGGCCCCGAUGAGAGGAUUGUUAAUAAUGUACCUCUCGCCAAUCCUCAGCGGAUCGCCGUCUUGGUCAUAAACUUCAGGGAGUACAAGAUUAUCAUCAUCAUGACUAGUUGUGGGGAGGACAAUUGGAUUCUCAGAAGUGAAAGAUCGAGCAAAGGCAACCAAAGAGAGGGUACUUGAAAGCAAGAGGAAACUCAAAAUAUUAAUCGACUUC